AGAGCUUGGAGAGAAGCCUUACUUCGGCGGUGAAAAAAUUGGGUUUGUGGAUGUGGCUCUGGUGCCCUUCUCUUGCUGGUUUUACGCAUAUGAGAGCUUUGGCAACUUCAGCAUAGAGGCGGAGUGCCCCAAGUUGAUAGCUUGGACCAAGAGGUGCAUGGAAAAGGAGAGCGUGUCGUCUUCUCUUGAAGACCCGCACAAGGUCCAUGGAUAUGUUGUGGGGAUAAGAAAGAAGUAUGGUAUAGAGUAAAAGGGAAACAUCAUGGGCUAUUAAGCAGUGUAGUUUAGUUAAUAUUAUAUAAUAUAUAUGAGUGUUUGGCUGUUUGCUUAAGUUUUUUCUUUGAAAUUGUAUCGUUGAUGAGGGUUGGUGGGUUUGCUGACCAUUCCAUCGUUUCAUGUCACAUAAACAAGUAUUAAAACAAGUUGGAUAAGACAUGCCUCUUGCCUGGAACCUGACAACCUGUUGUACAUCCAUUGGAAAAAAAAAAAGGUACAUAGCGUUAAAACCAAAUAAUAAUGAAAUUGAUCUUAAAACUAAACCUACUUUUUUUUAAUGCCUGAUAGGACAAAGAACAUACAUAUUGUCUUAAUUACUAUCAAAUGACUUGUGUACACUGUACACAACGUUCAUAAAAUGUACCUUUUUUCCUAUAGAAUGAAUGAUGAGUCAUAUACCUAUUCAUAAAUGAUAUACCAUAAUGUGUCAUGCUUAACUAGUACUACAUGAGUAAAGUUAAAGCAACUUGCUCAUGCUUUAUGCUUGUUCCAUAAUUAGAGUCACUUGAACAUGUAACUUAUAAAUAAACAACGGAUAUGUAUAAUAAGUGAAGUGAAACAUUUAUACAAUGUAAAUUUGAUGCGCUUAUGUUUUAAGAUGAUGUACUUAUUUUUCAAUAAGAUGAACCUAUUUUUUCAAAGGAUGUACCUAAGGUUCUAGAAUGAGAAAUGAGAUGUGUGAAGGCCUCAAAAGCAUUCCGAGGCCUAUAAAAGUGAAAGUGCAUGAUAAGAAUAAGCCAAACAAGUCACCUAUACAAUGAAAAUAAUAUGUACCAAUUAUUUUUUAAGGAAGUGUACUUAUUUGCAAUAUGAUGUAUUUAUUUUUUUUAAGGAUAUACCCAAAGUUCUAUGAUGCCAAAGGCCUCAAAUGCAUCUCAAGGCUUAUAAAAGUGAAAACUCAAGCUCAAAAUUCGCCAAAUAAGUUAGUUAUACAAUUUAAAUGCAAUGUAUUUAUUUUUCAGAAGAUGUACAUAUUUUUCAAGACGAUGUACCUAUUUUUCCAAGGGAUAUACCUAAAGUUCUAGGAUAUAGAAUGGGGUGCGGGAAGACCUUAAAUGUACAUCGAGGCCUAUAAAAAUGAAAGCUCAUGUCCAAAAUAGGGCAAAUGAGUCGAGUAUAAUGUACUUAUUUUUUUUAAGAAGAUGUGCUUAUUUUUCAAUACGAUGUAUCCAUUUUUUAAAUUGAUGUACGUAGGGUUCUAGGACGUAGAAUGGGAUAUGUGAAAGCGUCAAAUGUAUCCCAGGCCCAUAAAAGUGAAAGCCCUUGUCCAAUAUAGCUUAUGUCAGUAAAUGCAACCUAGGCCUACAAAAAUGGAAGAUCAUGUCCAAAUUAGUGUAAAUGAGUCACAUACAUAAUAUAUAUAUGGUGUACUUAUUUUUAAAACAAUUCUAAAAAAUAAUUUUUAAAAAUAGUUUUUGAAAUUUGUUUUUUGAUAUUUUGUAAACCAAAAAUUUGUUUUGAAACCUACAAUAUUUUUAAGUUGUUUUCUAUAUUUUAAAAUAUAUUUUAAUAAUAAAUUUUAUAUGUAAUGUUUUAUUUUUAAUCACUCUUCAUGUUUGUAUGCUUACUUUUUAAGUAGUCAUAAAAAACCAAUUGAAGACCACUAAAAUAUAUUUUCAGAAAAUACCAUAUUUUUGUUUUUAAAAUCAAAAACUAUUUUUUGUUUUUUAAUUGUUACAUUUGUUUUCUUGUUUGUUUUUUUUUAAAAUAGAAAAUUAUUUUCGAAAAUAAUUACCAAAUAGAAUCUUAAUCUUUGUCUUUAUCUUUUAAAAGUAAGGAUUGAAAUAUCAGUAAAUAUGGAUAUAUCGAUACUUGGAUUUUAUGGAUAUAUCAGAAAUAUCGGAGAAAUAUCGAUGGAUAUUUUUCAUCAAAUAUCGGUGAGACAAAAAUUAUCCAAAAUUGAUGGGAAUGCUUAGAAAAAUCCAAAGAAUGAUAAAAUAAGCAAGAAUAUACAUGUUAAAGUUAUUUUAUAAGUGUAAUUAACAUAAAUAUGGUCAAAGAAAAAAAUAUCGGUAAACAGUUUACAAUACUUGGAUUUUAAGAAUAGAAAAUAUGAAAUUUGGAAUUGUACACUUAGAAAGUUAGAAUUGAGUUAAGAAAUAUUUGAUUUUAUUAAAUGAAAACAAUUUACACAUAAACAUAAUACAUAUGACAUUGCAAUGGUCCUUAAUACCAAAAUGAAGAUCGAUGUGGUUCCAUCAUAUUGUUAUUGUUAGAUGAAGGGAGUCCAUCUUGUUGAAGACAAUAUUUAUACCAGGACAUGGAGUUUCGAUAGUAUUGAUUGUAUGUAUGAACAUGUCAUGCAUAAAUUUCUUGUGUCCUAUCGACAACCUGUCCAUGGAUGGGAAAUCCAAGGUUUUCCCAUAUGCUCGUUUGAAAUCCUUGUUGUUGUAGCUGAUGUGGAAGAUAGUAUGGCAUUUGUGUGGAAGAAGGAUAGUUAUACCUUUCAUACUCUUCAUCAGCGGAACUUGAAACAUUUUGAGGAAGCUGACCAUAACUCAUUGCAUAAGGGGCAUAAAUGUUGGCUUCGUUUGAUGAAUCACUGAAUUGAGUCUCUACACUCAUCGACUCAAAACUGGCCGACAAUGAGUCCUCGUUGUAUGGCAUCAUCCUUCGUUGUCUUCUUCUAUAUGGCUUUCCAAUGGCUCCAACACCUGAACCGGCUCUUCUAGAGUUGUGGUCUUCAUCUUGAGUACAAUGUGUGAAAUAAUCUUCACAAGUAAAUGUCGAUGGUUAUCCACUUCGUUGUUGUUGUCUAACAUCCCCUUCAUCAUUUCCAAGGUCGCUACCAUCAUUGGUCCUCUCUCCUCUUGAACCAUCAUAACCGGAAGCGGAAGUACCAGUAGACUAUGUCUACUAUUAUGUUCAACACUCAUGGAGUCAAAAGAAGGUCAAGAAGUGACUGUCGGCUAAGAAAUUCCUUGUCGAAAUGAAUCUCUCGUGUCUUGGCUAAAACUAUCAGUAUGAACUUCUUCGGAUAACACCCGAUCAACAUCAACACUUGCUUCUCAAACAUGUGCGACAAUUCGUGGGUCGGGAUUUCCAUCUUCAUCAUCUAAAUGAAGAAGUCUAACCCAUUGAAACAAUUGGUUAUCUUCUUCUUCACCAACCUCAGUUGCAAUGUCAAGUAAAUCGAGGUAAUCUUUCUCUGCAACUUUGUCAUGUUCUGCUUCCAUGUCACAUAUCUUUAGUUUCAUGUUAUAAUAAAAAAAAAACUAAUUAUUAGAGCAUCGGGUAAGCAAGCCGAUUUCUUUGUUUUGUAUGAAUUAAGGCAAACAUGCUCCAAUUUCUUUCACAAGUUGAAGAUGAUGCAGUUUGCGAUAAAACCUUAAUGGUCAACCUUCUUAAUGUAGGAGUGUGAUUUCCAUACAUGAACCACCAUUCAGCUACAACCAAAUAAAUGAUAUCAAUACUUAUAUUGGAAAGCUACAAUAAUAUGCUAAUGAAAUGAAUUAUUAAUUCACAAAUAAUACUCACCGGGAACCAUUUCUGACCUCAAAGCAAUCGCUGCUCGAUCACCAAAUCCUCUUUUUGCAUCUCAGAAUAGUAUAAUCUACAUAUUAAAUAAUUGAAAAUGAAAAAGUUGAGUAAAUGAAAUUCAAUUAUUUAAUUUAUAUUAUAACUCUAAUAAUUUACCUCAUUUCCAAAUUGACUAAGACCUUCUGAUGUAGGAUCUAAUUUCGUAAAGACUUCAUGAACAGCUUGAGGUAGAUCAGGAUCAGUACCAACUCCACGUUUAUAUUGAAAUCUUGGAUUAAGAAAGAAUGCUAGAAUAGCAAAGUAGAAAUGUAAAAUUAGAAUGUUAUGAAAGACACAUAUUAAAUACCAAUAACUUUCGAAGAUGAAUAAUACUUACCUACUGCAUGAAGAGGAUGUUUAAGAGUUCUAUCCCAACGAUCUGCAAUUAUUUCUAAUAUUCAUUCUUUAGCAUUAAGUCGAAUGAGGUUCUCUUUCAUAACUCGAAUCAAUUUGUACACAAAUGACAUUGUAGGAACAACUUCUGAAUCGACAAUGCGAAGAACCCUCAUAUAUUGACACUAGCUCUCCCACUCUUUCCCAGUACGCAUGGUCAAACAUAAGUGAUUCAACUUCUUUACCGAUUAAUGUGCUACUUAAGUUGUGUUGUGCCCAUUCAUCACUGAUAAACACUUUCUUCAAGUUUGCUUUCUUUUUCAAAAGACUGUUGAGGGCCAUAUAAUUGGUUGCAAAUCUUGUUGCUCUAGGACGAACUAUGUCUCCACCACACACCUUCCGCAUCUGCACAAGCAACCAACUAUGGUUAUAAAUGAAGUCGGUUAUCUUUCAAGCCUUUGUAAUCACAUCUGCAACACUCGUCCUUUUAUCGAUGUCUUCGAACAUUAAGUCGAUGCAAUGUGUUGCACACGGAGUCCAAUAAAGAUUGUAUUUCUUCAUUAACAACUUCCCCGCCUUCACGAAUGCCGACCCAUUAUCUGUAACUAUUUGUACCACAUUUUGUUUCCCAACUUCCUUGAUCACAUCCUUCAACAAACCAUAUAUGUAUUUGUUGUCCUUUAUAUUAUUUGAUGCAUCAAUAGAUUUGAGGAAGAUUGUGCUACCUUUUGAAUAUACCAUGAAAUUAAUUAUGCUUAAUUUCGUAGGCCCAGUCCAUCCGUCGCACAUAAUCGUGCAUCCAUAAGUCUUCUACUUUUCUCUUUGAAUAUUGACAUAAGCUUCCUUGUCUUUGUACUCCAUAUCCAAAUACUUGUGUUUGAUUUCAUAAGGAGAUGGUGGUUCUAUACCCAUACCUACCAUCCAUAUAUAAUUAAAGCAUAUAAGAACAUUUGUGGCAAUCAUACUAUAUAAAUAGUAAUGAUAUUGUUAAAAUGAAUACAACUUUUAAAAUUAUAGUAAUUACCUGCUUGUUGUGCACCAACAAUCAUGUUCUUGAAGUUGUGAGAGUUUGCUUUAUUGGGCGGAACACUCUCAUAUAUGAAGAACUUACCGAUCAAACGUCCCAUGGUUUCCUUAAUGGCACCACCUUUGAAAAGAUUUUUCAUAUUUUUCUGUCUUACUGCUGAAGAUUUGUACAAUGAGGGUGCAUCAGGCAGUGAUGGAUCUGAAUAUCGAACACUUUGCGAUUUUCGCAUUUGCCUUGUUGUUGGAUUGGUUAGAUGUGAAGACUCACCUAUUAUAAUUAUUAAAAUUAAACAUAUAUGUUAAUUUAAUAUUAUUGAUAAAGUUGAUAAGAAACAGUAAUAAUUCAAAUUAAUAUUAUACAUGUUUUCCUUUUGCCUUUUACAAAAUGUUCUUCUUGCAUGUUGUCAAUUCCAUUCAGCAGCUUUUGAUGCUCAAACUGCCUCUCUAUAAGCAUGCCGCUCAUCAGGGUGCAUGUCAGCCGGAUACAUAUACACAUCAUCAUCUCCAUCAUCAUCAUCACCACCAAGGUUCUCCUCAUCGUCCUCAUCAGUUACAUGUCUAUGUCUUCUUCCCAUUGUGUCUCGCAGUUCAGAUCGAAUCUCUUCUAUAUCUGCAGCUUUCUUCGCUUUUGCCUUUUUUUUUUUUUGUUCUAGAAGUCAUCUUAUUUCUUGUUUCACUUCUAGAGGCACGUUAGGACACUUUUUUGUAUUUGAAAUAGGGUCUGUAUGUGAUAGGUGAAAUUUAAAACGAGUAAUCCCACCACUCUUUAUUGCCAACCCACAGUAAUUGCAUACUGUUCCAUUUUUGUUUCCUUCCAUAGGUGUACAAUAUUUCCAACAAGGAUCUCGUUGUUACCACUUUCACUAGCCAUUUUCUGAAAUUGAAUUAUGAAACUAAUAUCAAAUUUAAAAUUAUUAAAGAUAAAACAUGUAAGAAAUUUAAUAUUCAUGAAAUUGAUAAGAACUAAUAAAAAUUGAAUUAUGCAUAUAUGAAAUAGAUAAACAUUACAAUAAAAUUUCAAUAUGAAUUAAAUUUAAAUUAAAUUAAAUUAAAUUUGCAUAUUCAUGAAAUUGAUAAGAAUCAUUACUAAUAAAAAUUAAAAUUAAAAUUGAAUUAUGCAUAUAUGAAAUAGAUAAACAUUACAAUUACAUUUCCAUAUGAAUUAAAUUUAAAUUGAAUUAAAUUAAAAUUGCAUAUUCAUGAAUUUGAUAAGAAUCAUUAUUAAAAUUGAAUUAUGCAUGAAUUAAAUUUCCAUAUGAAACUAAAUAUGCAUAUAUGUCAAAUCAAUUUCCAUUCCAUAUGAAAUUUAAUGUUAAAAUGACAAAAUUUCAAAUUAGAUAAUAUCAAUUAAACUAUAUAUAACAAAUAAAAUUGAAUUAUGCAUAAUAAAAAUAAAUUUUAUGAAAGGUAAGACAUACCUUAAUUAGCCUUGACUUGGAGUUAAUCCCCUUCACCACCAAAUUUUCAAAAUUUUAAAAUUUUGCUAGAUCAUAUAAGAAUUUUGAUGUAUGAAAUGCAAUGGAAUGUGGGUAUUUAUAGGAAUUUUUUUGGUCAAAAUAGUCGUUGGAUGGUCAAAUAGCCGUUAUAAAUUAAUUUUAACCGUUUGAUCAAAAUUUGGUUAAAAUUUCACCAUUAGAUACUCAUAUAACCAUUGGAAACACUUCAUAGCCCUUGGAUAAAGUGAAGAUUGAUUUUCCACCAUUGGAUCACAAAUCUGACCGUUGGAAGCCUUUACAAAUACACGGGUGAAAUCUGGGCCAUCAAAUCCUCAAAAAUUCAAAUAUGCCCGUCGGAUCAAAUUCCUUAAAGUUGCAAAAAAUCGCCGAUUUUUUCAAAUAAUCGGUGAUUAAUCCUGAUUUUCUCAAAUAAUCAGCGAUUAAUCCCGAUUUUCUCGGCAAAAUAUCGUCGAUUUUUUCAAAUAAUCGGAGCUAUAUCGAUAAAAUCGCCGAUUUUUUGGGGUUGUCCUCUGGCUUCUCCGCGCGUGCCUCCACUUGCGAUUUAUCUCCGAUUUAUCGGUGAAGCACCGAUAUUUCGCCAAUAUAUCGGUGAUUUUAUCGAUUUUUUGGCGAUAUUCUCGGGGAUCGUUUCGAGGACGACUAAUAUCCAAUAUUUCUCCGAAAUAUCGACGAUAUUUCCCGAUUUUUCAAUCCCUGUUUAAAAGAAAAGAACUAUAAAAAUAUUUUUAAAUUAAAAGAAAAUUAAUAUAAAAUAUUUAAUAUAAUUUUUUAUGAAAAAAUAUAUAUCUAUUUUAUUUUAAUAUAAACAAAAAAUUAUAAAUUUUAAUCAAACCAUAAAGCUAGAACCAUAGUGAAACUAGAACCAUAUUUAAUGAUUCUGGUUUUACGAUGGAGGAGAUAUGUAAGAGGUGAGAUCACCCCGUAUUUUUUAUUAUUUUUUUUAUGAUAGUGAAAAUUUUUGCAAAAACAAAGUUGACAUAUCUUUCACAUUUGAAAGUGUGUGUUUUUUUCUCAUAUGUUAUUGCUCUCAGAGCGAGAGUUCUCCUAACAAAAAUGUAAAAUAAAAAAUAGGAAAAGUCUACAAUACCUCCUUCGGUACCAUGCCUCCAUUUUUUAUCAUCCAUUGGAUGAAAAUGAUUAAAUCUCAGCCAUCCAAAAUGAAAAAGAAAAAAAAAAUUCAAAAAAAAUUCUCCCGGGUACCUUCCCCUCCCGUUCUCUCCCCCAUUCGGCAUCCUUUUCCCCUUUUUCCCCCCUAAUUUGCUCUCUUGCUCUCUUCCCCUCCAUCUCACGCAUCCUCCAUAAGCCAACUUCCUCAGCUCACCCGUUUCCCGCCCCUCCAUAGCUGGGUGUCUCGCGCAUCCUCCAUAGCCGACUUCCUCAGCUCACCCAUUUCCCGGUCUCAUCUUUGUUUGCCGACUUCCUCAUCUUUGUUUGCCGACUUCCUCCAUAGCUUACCCAUUUCCCGCUGUCAUCUUUGUUUUCUCUCCCUUUUCCCGUUUUUCUCUCCACUGAUUGUCCACAGCUGGGUGAAGACCACGGUCGGCUUCAACCGGGCCAACCUCUUCGAGGCCGACAUCGCAGACCUUAUCAAAGACGUCUCCACAGCUAGGUGGAGACCACCUUCGCCGUCAGCCGGGAUCAAAGACGUCUUCACAGGUGGGUGGAGACCACCAUCGCCGUGAACCGGGCCAACCUCCUCCAAGUCGACGUCUUGACCUCAUCAAAGAAGUCUCCCUCAAGGACCGCGAGCUCAGGAUUGUGGGCGAGGUCGGUGCCAAGAUCCGAGUCUUAGACUUCAUUUCUCCCGAUGUCCAGGUCAGCUAUUUUUUCUGCUAGAUUUUUCUUCUCGAAGAUUUUAUGUAAAUUUUCUGAAUUUUUGCUUUCUCUCCCCCCUACCCCUGCAUUUUGUCACACGGAGAAUUUCUGUUCUUUUACACGGAGAAUUUUAGUGGAAUCUUCAUAACCCUUGUGUUUUCUUCAUAUUUUAUAUUUUGUUUAAGAGGUGUAAGGGGGUGUUUUCAGGUUCUAAAUUUAAUGGUUUAAAAACCCGAAUUGAAGACGUAGCUGGAAGAAGAAGAAGAGGACGUGUAGUACUAAGGAAAAGAAAGCUGAGAAGGACACAAUUGUUUGUCACUCAAAAGGCGCUUGUAUCCUAAUUAUUUGGUGAGUUCUAUAUAAAGGGAAAAAAAUGUGAGUAGUAAUUAUGUGUUUUACAAUAUUGUGUCCAUUAUAUUUCAUGUUUUUUGUUAGAUUUAUGGAUUGAUUACAUUAUAGAAAAAGAGUGUGGUUAGAUUAUUGAACAUUGAAAAAAAUUUGUAUGUUAAUUUUGUCAUCAUUUUAAAUGUAAAGAUAUUUAGGGAGGAUGUUGUAGUUGUAAUGGUAUUUGUAUUUUAAUUGGCAUUUGGUUGGUUGUAGUAAGAUAUAAAAAUAAAAUUUAUUGAAAUGUGAAAAAAAACUUAUGUUGAGAUAAUGUGGUGGUGAAAGUAUGUUUGAUUUAUUAUAUUUGAAAUCAUAUUAUAAAAAUUGACUUAAAUGCUUUGAUUUAAUUUUUAGAGCGAAUGCGAUGGUCUUGAAGUUGUUAGAAAUCCAAAGAGGCCUAUCGGCGCUUGGAUACAUUACUAGUAAGGGAAAAUAGAAAUAUGUAAAAUAAUAUGUUUUUUAAUUUAUUUUUUGUGGUUGUUAUUGUUAAAUUUGUUUGAAAUUGUUUUGUAGUAACGAUCANNNNNNNNNNNNNNNNNNNNNNNNNNNNNNNNNNNNNNNNNNNNNNNNNNNNNNNNNNNNNNNNNNNNNNNNNNNNNNNNNNNNNNNNNNNNNNNNNNNNNNNNNNNNNNNNNNNNNNNNNNNNNNNNNNNNNNNNNNNNNNNNNNNNNNNNNNNNNNNNNNNNNNNNNNNNNNNNNNNNNNNNNNNNNNNNNNNNNNNNNNNNNNNNNNNNNNNNNNNNNNNNNNNNNNNNNNNNNNNNNNNNNNNNNNNNNNNNNNNNNNNNNNNNNNNNNNNNNNNNNNNNNNNNNNNNNNNNNNNNNNNNNNNNNNNNNNNNNNNNNNNNNNNNNNNNNNNNNNNNNNNNNNNNNNNNNNNNNNNNNNNNNNNNNNNNNNNNNNNNNNNNNNNNNNNNNNNNNNNNNNNNNNNNNNNNNNNNNNNNNNNNNNNNNNNNNNNNNNNNNNNNNNNNNNNNNNNNNNNNNNNNNNNNNNNNNNNNNNNNNNNNNNNNNNNNNNNNNNNNNNNNNNNNNNNNNNNNNNNNNNCACGGGAUUGAAGAGUUUAAGAAGAAACAACAAAGUGGGGUUUGCGGUUGCUUAUUGUUUUUAAUGGUAAUUAAUUUACAUCAUAGUGAAAUACGAUUUUGUUUUAAUAUAAUUUAUGAACUAACUAUAUAUCUAUGUCAAAUAUACUCGUAGUUAUUCUACCACGAGCAUAUAUCGUUUGAAGAGAAAUUCCUACCGCUAUAUACUCGACCUUCUCCUCGGAUUACUGCUUGGGGAGAUGAUGAAGUAUUGGACAGGAAACGAAGAUUGAAAAAACUUGGUGGAUAUGCAAAUGAGAAUGUAAGUUAUAGUUUUGAAAGUCGUUUACUAUUGAUUUAAGUUUUUAGUGAUUUAAAAUAUGAUAUGUAUUAUAUUUUGAUGAAUACAUUGUAGCUCAAAAUAUGGGUGAUAGAAAAUGAGAUAAGGGAUUGCGUUGAUGGAAAUGCAACGACAAUGGCGAGUGAGAAUGAGGACGAUGAGAAAUUUGUAUCCAAUCUAAACAAAGAUGUUAUUAAACGAGUAAGUGUUUUACAAUAUAUCGUGACUAUCUAUAUUAGCAUUGAACCUUUGUAUUAUGAUGUUAUUAAUCACGUUCGUAUAUAUCACUAGGUUGAUGGUGGGAACUUAAUGGAGAUGGAUAAAACCUUUCAACAAUUAAAGACACAUCUACUUGAUAUGGCUUAUGGUGCAAGUAGUAGUAGUUGUGAUCAAAUUUUGGCUAAAUUUGAGGAGAAUUAUACUACAGUGAAAGGUCUCUUCCUUAGGUCAAGCGGAAAACCUUUGAGAAUGCACGAGGAAGGAACGAAGAAUGACAUGCUCUCAUGCGAGAGAAGUUUGGAAGAUACGAACAAUAUGAAUGUGAAUGAACAUUAUCUUCACACUUCGUCAAAUGAGAAGUUAUGCACCGAGGACUUGAAUGAAAAGAAUGAAGAUGCAUGUGCUACAUCAAUUGAAGUGCAUAUCAUUCCAGACGAAAAUGAAAAUUUUUUACCACUUCCAAUCAAAAGGAGUAGAAGAGAUUAUGGAAAGGUAUGUAUCAUAUAAAAGAAAAAAUUAUUUUCUUUACAACUACUUAACCAUUACAUAGUAAAUAGAUGUAUAUUACUGACAUUUUCCAUAUUAGGAACCAUUACGAGCACUAUGUGGUUAUCCUAAUCAUGUCAUGAAAACACGUUCAUCAAGGGAGAGGAAACCAAGUAAAUUCAAGGUCUCCCCGUUUGUACAGAAAUCAAGGAAGAUGGUAAAACGUGACGCAUCAGAGGUAUAAUACAAAUAGUUUAAUAUCAUUGUUCUUAUUUUUUGAUACUUAACAUAUAUAGUUAAUAAUUAUGUCUUGUAUUCGAAUUAGUCAAUCCCCAUGUCCAUUCGUGAAGACGUGGUGGAUAUUCAAUCAUUCAAUGUACUUCAAUCUCUUGUCGCUGAUUAUGUUUUCAAUAAAGCGUUGUCAAAAAGGUUUGUCGCGUCUAGAACAUUCAUAGAUGUGUUGUUACAAUUUUAGCCUUCAUAUGCUUCCAAUUUACUGAAGUUUGUUUGAACAUAUUAUUAUUUUAGUGAGCUUCUUGUUGACUUUGGUCAUGAACAUGGAGUUCGUGGAGAUUUUGCAUGCUUACGUCCUAGACAAAAUUUGAUGGAUGUUGUAAGUACCUACUUCAUUUAUAUCAAAUGCAUCCUAUAUUAGUUAAAUAAAUUUAUUGAAGUUAUUGUUCAACAAUAGGUAAUAAAUUUAGAAGCCUCAAAGCUAAAUUAUUUUGAAAGACAAUUCAUAGGCAUACGAAGUAUAAGAUGCUAUCUUCCCACGACAUUUUCAGUAAGCUCAUAUUUCUCUUGUUGUUUACUUACAUAUUAAGUACAAUAUAGUAAUGUUCGUAUUAUGUUUUCUUAUUAGCAAAUGAUUUUGUGCGGGAGUCCUCAUCCUGUUUUCGAUAGAAAAACAUCCAUCGUGAGUAAGCACAUUAGUGAAUUGGAUGAUUGCGAGAAGGUUAGUAAUUAUUUCUAAUGUUUAAUUGCAUAUAUGAAAUUUAGAAUAGAUAUUGUUUUCACCUAUAAUAUAGUAGAUUUUUUUUGCCCCAACUCAUAUAUAUUGUUUUUCUAACUUUACAGCUAUUUAUUCCAAUGCAUGACGAAUGCCCUGGUCAUUGGUAUCUGUGCGUCAUUGACUUCAAAAACUCUUAUACCCAAAUUUUGGACUCAUUACGAUCGAAGAAUUGAGACAAGUUCCGGUUUUAGAGUGUCAAAACAGUGGUAUGCUUUCAUGUUUAUAUUUUUCUUCUAUUCUAUUUUUUCCUCUUCCAUAUUUAUUAACACUUUCAUAAUAAAUUAGGUUGAAUUUUGUCAAACGUUCUUCAAAUUGUAUGACAUAGGGAAAGAUGUCUUCCAAUUCUCCAUUGAUUGGGCUCCUUCGAUUCCGACCCAAGAGAAUGGGUUAGUAUGAAUACAUAACUCACAUUACUAUUCUUUUCCUGAGGUAUAAUUAGACAAGCAUUGAAUAAGUUGUUUUGCUUUUCUUUUCUCUUUCUUAGGUGGGACUGUGGAGUGCAUGUCAUUAGACAUAUGCAGAGAUUCAAAAAUGGUGAUCCGAUGACGAGCUCCGACUUUUGUAAUUCUAUGAAAAUACGUCGAGAAAUAGCAUGUGAUUUAGUUUUACACGAGGGAAAUAGAGAAAAACAAACCAUUGUGGCUAUUGUUUGUACAAAGACGUCGACACGAGCAAUGAAAAAAUUAUUAUUAUGAUAUUUGUUAUUUUUCAAAUAUUUAUCAUUUCCAUAUCCACAUAUCGUCAUGUUUAUUGGGAAGUUGUGAGCUUCGAUGACCAUACAUUAUUAAUGAUUAAGUCCAUUUUAUUUCAAUAUCCAAAUACUCUUCUUUCAAUAUGGUCGUCAAAAUGAAAUUGUAAUAUAUUGGUAUCAUUCAUGUUCGACAUGUGUGAUUUUGUACGAUCUUUAACCUAAUCAGAUCUGUAAAUAUUCAUUUAUCUAUGCUAACAAUAUAUAGUUAGUACAUUACUACACUGGUUGACGAAUGUCGUUCAGCCGGUAAGAACCAGUCCAACGAUUUAUCUAUGUCCACUUUUCAUAGGCAUACGCAUUAUUCGUACCGGUUGAGAACAUUCCUCAUAUUUUCAGUUGUGGAAAGUGGUUGAUCGAUGAAGAAAUUGUCUCAACCGGUUGACGAAUGAUUUGACCAGUGGGAACCGGUUGAGAAAUAUAGCAAAUUGGUUGAGGAAUUUGCUCAAUCGGUUCAUGGUUUUUUAACCAGUGGCAACCGGGUGAAGAUGGGCAUCAACCGGUUGAGGAAUUUGCUCAACCGGUUGCGUAUAUUUUUAACCAACAUCAACCGGUCGAUCACUUCUAGAACCGGUCGACCGACUUGGCACAACCGGUUGAGCAACUGGUUGAGCCAUUUUUGACCAGUGGCUACCGGAUGAGGAAUUUCCUUGGCCGGUUGAGAAGUUUUCUCAACCGGUAGCCACUGGUCAAAAAAAUCCUCAACCGAUUGAUGGCCAUUUGCUCAACCGGUUUAGGAAAUUCCUCAAUCGGUUGAGGAUUUGUUUAACCAGUAGCUACCGGUUGAGGAAUUUUCUCAACCGGUUGAGGAAUUUUCUCAACCGGUUGAGGAAAAUCCUCAUCCGGUAGCCACUGGUCUAUAAUGCCUCAACCGGUUGAGGAAAUUCCUCAACCGGUUGCCUCCUGCAAUGCUAUUGUGCACAAAAAGGGUAUGAUAUGAGUUGUACCAAUAACUUUUCACUAUGGAAACAUUCGACAAUGUACCAUUAAGUUCAAUUAUAAGGUUUGAAAUUGAUGGAAACUGGCAUUACAAUUUACCUAACUACGAUUUACCCAUUUUGAGUAAAAUCACUAAAUUUACCUAUUUCAUGUGAAUUACAUCAUAUUGAUUACUUUCCUAUAGUUAACUCAUAACCACCUAAUUGUCAAACUUUAACCACAAUUGAAUUUAAUUAAAUCCGCAUAAUUAACCGUUUUUUUCGACAUGAUAUAAAUGAAUCGGUUUCUCCAUUUACCAAUCAUUUUAUCCCUUGUUAUCAAUUAAAUUAUAAAUGUAGAGGAUAUUGCAUUCUAUCAAUCAACUUGACUCUUGAUCAAAAUUCAAACUUUUCAUUAAAUAGUUAAGUUAAAAGUACACAUUAGUGGAAGUGAUAAUGUCAACUAAUAUAAAUACUGAUUUAAUACCUACCAUCCCUUACUCCGCUAAGGAAUAAAAAAAAGGUUGCAUAUCCUUUUCAUUUGGAUAUUUGUUUGGAUCCCCACCUUCACAUGGUGUUGACAUACUUUGUUCAUGUUGCUGAAAUCCUGCUAUUUGCACAUGCACAUUUCAUUGUUUUUUUCAGCUAUCCAAUUCCAUUCCAAUUAAUUAAACCUAAUCAUUAAAUAAUGCAUAGCUGAAAUUCAUGUCAAAAGUGUUUCUUCAUUCCCGAUCUUACAUUAUUAAGUUCAACCCAAUCUAUGUACAUGUCAGAUGGGUCAUUCGGCAACUGCUCCCUUAACAUUCCCUGCAUGUUUCAAUAAUUAAGUGUUGUCAAUUAUUAUUGAAUUAUAUGUUAUCAAUGUUUGGAAAUUAUAUAACAAGCCUAUUGUACAUACAUGUAAGGUUGCAAAAAUGUCAAUUGAUGAAUUUGUUGAAGGCAUCAUUUCCCUUUGAAUGUCACAUUGGGAAGACAAAUUAGUUUCCUCCUACGUACUCAUAAUGCCAUCAAAACAAUUAUGUUAGUCAUUUAUGUUAGUACACCUACAAAAAUUAAUCUUAGGGGCAAUUUUUAUUGAAUAUGACAUACCAUAUAACCCGGCUGAGCAUUUUGAGGGAUUGUAGCUUCUGGACACUUUCGAAUUGUGUGACCCACUCUUUUACAACAACCGCAUCGUCUUCCCUUUUGAACAUUCAUUGCCACUUUGCCUGGAUUCCCUUUAGUCUUCACAAUAUUUGGAUCACGAACUUGGUUAGUACCUAUCGCUCCAUCUGAUGCUAUUUUCUUCCCUUUCAAAUUAUAGUUAUAGAGUUCCUCCAUUCUCGCCGUCAAAUUUUGUAUUUCAUUUUUGGCCUCUAUAAAUGAAGAUGACGUAUCUGACACAAAGUAGGAGAGCUUGUUGCACAUCGAACUCAAUGAACCAUAUCGUACAAACCGAUCCAUGUUGUUAUUCGUCUCAUUCACUGGUAUUGAUCUUGUAUACACCUUUGCUAACUUUGUCCACCUCUUCAUAAUACAUGACUGAGGAAUCUCUUCCAAAUGCUCCACCUUCAUAACCACCACCAUGUGGCAACAUGGGAUGCCAAUUGACUCAAACAUCAUGUAUGAGCAUUUUAAUGUUACAAUAUCCGGGCAAAAUUGUACUUCCCAAUUUAAGUUCGGGCGUCUAAACUUAGAUAAUGUGUAUGCCCGCAUUGAAUGAUCACUUACAACACCAACCACAAAGAAUAACUCAGCAUUUUUCAUCUCCUCACGAAAUUUAAGGAAAGAUUCUUUUGUGUAUACCGUCGCAGCAUGAUUUUCAAGUAUGGCUAGUUUGGUUGAAAGCACGGGUGAAGAAUUGUUCGACUCGAACUCUGCCUUUGCCUCGUUUUGCCGUAUUCUCAGUAUGGCUCUAUCAAAUUGUUGUACAAACUCAUAGAGUCGCAAACGAAUUUUUAAGAAUCUAUUUAGAUAUGCAUUCAUACUCUCAUACCUUUGUGUGGUUCUCAUCCCUCCAAAGAAAUUUCCACGUAAAUACGCCUCUGCCCAUCUUUUACGUUUCCCAUAUAUCUCGGUCACCCAACGAUUCUCAUUAAGUCCCAAAUUUGCAACCAUUUCAUGCCAAACCUUUUCAAAUUCUUCUUCAUUCCCACGCAUGAACAUGCACCUUGCAAAUAUGCUUGAGAAGUCCUUAAUAUGCACAUUCGUGAAUGCAUUUCGUUGCAAAUGCCAUGAACACAAUCGAUGACACGUAUCGGGUAAUACUUUUUUAAUUGCCUUACGCAUAGCUUUAUCCCCAUCAGUUACUACAGAUAUGGGUUUCUUAUUCAUCAUUGCAUCAAGAAAUGUCUCCAACACCCAUUCAUAUGUCCUAAUACUUUCAUCUAUCAAUAACGCACAACCAAAUACAACAGUUUGAUGGUGAUGAUUAACACCGACCAACACUAUUAGAGGCUUUUUAUAGGCAUUUGUCCUAUAGGUUGUGUCAAAUGCUAGGACAUCUCCAAAACACGCAUAAUCCAUUCGAGCAGUUGAAUCAGCCCAAAACAAAUUUGCUAGUCGACUUUCUUCAUCAAUGUUGAAUUUAUAAAAAAAUGAAGAAUCCAUUUCUGCCUUUCCACACAAAUAAGCCAAUGCCGCUUCUGCAUCACCGUCUUUAAUUUCACUUCUACGCAUUGCAUCAACGUGAUUGUAUAUAUCUUUUUGUGUGAAACCGACGUGCUCAUGUCCCCCUGAUUGUUUUACCAUAUAGUCCAUAAUUUGUGUGGUUUUAACACCUACUUUACACAAAACAUCAACUUGUGCCUUAUCUGGAUUACUUAUUGUUCGAUGAGACCGAAGGAAUUGUGUGUUGAUAGCAUCGACCAAAUUAUGAUUAUGAUCUCCUAUAAAUUCCUUUACAAUCCACUUUCCAUCUUUCCUAUUCAAGCCUACACGAAAUGCAGCUUCACAUCCAACCCUAGUCAAUGAUCAUGGCUCACGAUGUCGCUUGUCAUUUUCAAUAAACUUUGUCACUCGCUGUCCUUCUCUAGAACACACCCACUUUCGAGAUAUUAUAUCUCCAUUCUUGUCUCACUUCAAAUCAUCUUUUCGAAUACUAAAUCCGGCUACUCUAGCUAACAUGUUGUAAAAUGUUUCAGCCUCAUCUAUGCGAUCGAAUUGCAAUUUGUAGACUUCUUCAUCUGAAAUACCCUUCAACACCUUCUGUUUCAAACCGUUUCCACCCAGGUUGUAAGUGGCACCGAUAAAUACAUUGUCAUUGAUGACGUCCUCCUCUUUCACUUCAAACUCCCGCUUGAUUGUUUUCUCCUUCACCGAUUGCAUAAUCUACAUUACAUAAAUAAGGUAAAAAAAUUCCCCAAUAAUACUUUAACAAAUUAUCAUAUCACUUUUGAAUCAAUUGAUUGUAUACUUGAAGAUAAACCGAAUUCGACAACGUCAUCUAUUCUCAUUUUUGGAAAAAAAUUUAGAAUUUGAUAAAUUAUAGAACCGGUGUACACUGCACACGUGAUAAUUUUCCCAUGAUUUUCCAUUUAAAAGGUCAUAUGUUGCAAAAUUGAUACUACUCUGCUAUACACAAUCAUAAGCAAAACUUUUUAAAAUCAUUAAAUAUCACUUAAAAAUCAUUAUGUUGAGGAAAUAACUUAUGACAAAUGCAAGUGCGACACCAAUACCCUCAAAAGAUGGCAUUAGACAAUGAUCCACGUCUGACAUCUAUACAGAAACGCACCAUAAUUUAAAUUGUCCUUAGACAACCAAGUGAAGUAAUAGUUAAGUUCAACUUCGUAGACAUGGUUCUGCUGUUGAGGCUAAGGUUGUAGUGCUUUUGGAGGUCCUUGUGCAAUAACAAUAUUUCAGAUUGUCCAACUUUUUUUUGGUAGCGGAUGGUGUUGUUGGUCUUGAUGAGCAUAAAAAAACAAUCGGUACAUUUGUUUGUUUCCUCGUAACCCGAAUCUACUCUCUUCCCUUGCUCUAAGCUAUUAUAAUGUGGUUGAGCUACAAAUUGACCGGAUGCAUUUUGGUGGUGUUCACAAAAUUUGGCAGUGUCUACCGGUUGAGAAGAUCUAGCGACCGGGCGUAUUACGCCGGUCGACCGGUUGUGGAUUUUUUAACCAGUAUAUACCGGAUGAGGAAUAUCCUCAACCGGUUGAGAAAAUUUCUCAUCCGGUUGCCACUGGUCAAAAAAACAUCAACCGGUUGAUACCCAUUUGCUCAACCGGUUGAGGUUUUUUUAAACCAAUUGCUACCGGUUGAUGAAUUUUCUCAACCGGUUGAGGAAAUUCCUCAUCCGGUCUUCACUGUUUUAAUAUGUAAACCGAUUAGCUAAUUGUUUCUUUUCGUUGUUGAUUUCAUUAAGGCCUUCAUUCCUUAUCAGAACGUUAUAAUGUUGCCCUAUUUAGGCAUACUAUGUUAACAAAAUUUCCAACAUUAAUCUUAGUUGCCAUCUUCAAGGAGUUUGCCAGUCACAAUAAUUAAUACCUCUCAUCCACUUUCUUUAAAAACAUGGAAAAUGACUUUUAUAUAAUUCUAUCUAAAAGCACGGAAGCUUUUGGGUACACCGCCAAACUUAUUCCAAACUUACCCCAUAUUGGGAGUCAAUAAUACACAUUUCUUAAGGUUGAUUCUCUCUUUUUAAGUCAUUUGAAUAUGUAUUACCCUAUAAUUUUGAUGAUGUUGUGAUUUUUACAGCCAACUUAACUCACUUAUAUUAACUAAAUUAAUCUCAACUGUUCAACAGAUCACUGAUGCAUAUUACUAACAAUGUGCUUUAGACAAUCAAAAUCCAAACUCUUUAACAUCAAUACAUACCAUUUAAAAAUCACUAUUAGGUUUUGGAAAUAUUCGCCCAUCCAUUUCAAAGAUGAAGGCAUUAAGCUUAAAAAAUGUAUUAUGGAUUUGUUUACCUAUUCUUUAUUGAGUUAAAGAUCAUACCGUUAAAAUGGAAGGUCCAAGUGUGAUGCAGCUUGACCUGAAGAUUUGUCUUCUGGAUGUUUUUUGUGACUUGUUCUCCAACAAAUAGCAGACCUCGUUCAGAUGCUAAGGUUCUUACAAUACUAAAACUCCCCCAAAUAUAUACUAAGAUAUGUAUGUGGUUGGUUGCUGGAGUUAUUACAUUUUUUAAUAGGCUGCCACAUGUUGAAAACCUACCACCACAAUGGUACACUUAGUGGUUGAUAGUUUGGAUAUUUGCAUCAGUUUUUUAGGUACCAUUAAAUAUAACAUUUAUAUCAGUUGGGAAAGUCAGCCUAAUGUGGAUAUUUUUUACACCCAUUGCAAAUGGAUAUGUGUAUAACUUAACAAAAUAUAAAGGGGAGAUAUGGACUUAAUUGAUAAUAUUGACAUUUGUUACUAUUGUUUAGCCUAUUUAUUGUAACUAUGUUUUGAUACCGUUUCCUACUUACUAUAUUUUUUCAUCAAUUAACGGUAUUUUUUUUUUAAAUCAUGCUUCCUAAUAUAUCCUAUAUAUGAGAAAGGUUAGUUAAGCAGACUUAAUUACGUAAAAUGAGAUAUGUUAUGAUAUUCUACUUAUGGAAAUUUUAAAUAAAUUCAGAUUCAUUAAUUUAUGUCACUCACCAUGGUAUAUCGUACUUAUUCGAACAAUUUUUCAUACAACCAUAAUUAAUUUUAAUGCCCCUAUGGUAGUAUAUGUUAGUUAAUUACAAUUUUAAUCUAAUAGGUCUGACUAUAUCUUAGUGAGUUCAUUACACUAUAUUUUUCCAUGAAUUAACGUAAUUUAUUUUUAAUUAAUGCUUCAUAAUAUAUCGUAGACAUGAGAAAGGUAGGUUAAUUACACUUAAUUACGUAAAAUGAGAUAAGUUAUGAUAUUCUACUUAUGGAAAUUUUAAAUAAAUUCAGAUUCAUUAAUUUAUUUCACUCACCAUGGUAUAUCGUACUUAUUCGAACAUUUUGUCAUACAACCAUAAUUAAUUUUGAUGCCCCUAUGGUAGUAUAUGUUAGUUAAUUACAAUUUUAAUCUAAUAGGUGUGACUAUAUCUUAGUGAGUUCAUUAUACUAUAUCGUACCUAUCAAAAAGAUUAGUUAAUUUAUAUGAUUUAAUUAACUUAAGUUCUCAUAUUUUAUUUUCCUUAAUAUAAAUUUUGUGAAAUUAACUUCAAUUAAUUUCUUUAAGGUACAUCAAAAUAUUUAUUCAUUUAAUCCAUUAUAGGUUUAAUCAGUUCAUAUGGAAACUAUUACAUUAAAAGUGUAGCAAAUAUAAUGUAAGACAUUAAGUUAAUUAAAAUUUAAUUACUUCAUAAACUGGAUGUCUUUCCACGAAGGUCGACCGAUGUUCAAACCAGUUCUACCCCUCAACCCCUUUGUCUUCUACUCCAUUCUUCUUCAUCCUCGCGCGAGACCUGAACCCGUCCGUCUUCCACUUCAGUCUUGUUCAUCCUCACGCAAUACCUGAAGCCCAUCUGAAUACUCAUGCCCCCAAAACGAGCACCGGUCGAAGCAUCCUCACCCGGUCGAAAAGGGAAGAGCCCGGUGGUAUCAAGGAUGCGCGGGACCAACAAAAAGACCUCCGACCGACAACAAGCAAGCGAAAGCACCCACAACACCUUGGAUGGAGCAAAACGCACCACCAACGGUAAACGUCCGGCCGUGGAAGCAAGUCUGGAGGUUCGUAAGAAGGCCACCUUUGAUCGAUCUACGUUCGCAACCCCUGACCUAGCCCAACGAUUUCAUCUUCACUUUGCGAAUCGGACCGUAAUCCCGGGUAGGAACAUUGCUUUUGCAAAGCUCAGUUAUUUCCAUUUCGAUGUGCUUUUCGCGAGAAUGGGUUGGCUUCCGAUUGUCUCCGUCAAUGAGUUCGUUUAUCCCAAGGUUGUCAAAUGUUUCUACUCCAAUAUGACAUUUGAAGACGAAGGACCCAUUACUACCACGAUUAACGGUGUACAGAUCGUUUUUGAUGUUGCUGCACUUUGUCGGAUUUUAGAGAUUCCAAACGAAGGGGUUUGUUUGUAUGAAGCUAAGAAAUGGCCAAAGGUGGAAGGUUUCAAACCUGUAGAAGCUUUACAGAGGCUAUGUGGUUACUCGAGAUCUGAUAGACCAACUUCCCAUUUGUUGACUGUGUUGAGUCGUAUCCUACAUCACAUGAUAUCGUACAUUUUCAUCCCUAAAGGAGGGCACCGAGAUGAUGUAUCUUUCUUGGAGGCUUUUUUGGUUGACAGCAUUCUCACAGAAAGAAAGGUUAAUAUUGGUUACAUAAUUUUCCAACAUAUGAAAGCAUGUUCAAUCAGCGAAGAUUCAGUUCUCCCCUAUGGCAUGUUUAUCACAAAGAUUGUCAAAUACUUCAAUGUCAAUUUGCGCAAUGAGACAGACGGGAAAAAACUCAAAUCAUUUGAUACAUAUGAUCGGGCUUCACUUCGCCGCAUGCAUUUUGUAUGGAAGAAAGAUGGUUCAUGGGCAAGGAAGUCUUCCGUUCCCCCCUCAGAGGUUGAUGUCUCUUCAGACAAUGGGCCCUCCGAGGAUGAAGAAUAUGAAGAUGAGGAUGUACAGGGAAGAACUCAUGCAAAAGCAAAUGUCACACAAAUACCGUCAACAGGUGGUGUAAGAGCUAGGGCGUUAAGAAAUCAUCCUUCACUAAUUGGACCGGACGACUCUGAGGCAUCAGAUAACCUCAAUGCCCAGAUUAAGUCCCUUGGUUCCCGCUUGGAGGAGAUUGUAUUAGCCAAUGACCGACGUUUGACAUCUCUGGAGAAUCGCAUUGAUGGUUUACACGAGGAAGUGAAAGAGGGUAUGCAAGUUAUACGACGCCAACAUGAUGAGAUGAUGGUCUUCUUCCGAUCCCACUUCCCGCUUCAUGGACCAGACCAUUAAUGACCCCUUCUACAUUUUGUACUAGUUUUAUAGUUAUUAAACUUUCAUUCUGUUUUUGGACAUUUGGCUAAUAUAAAUGCCCUUUUGUUAUUAUGACUUCUCGUAUUACUUAUGGAUGUUGUCAUCGGCCAUUCACAUAAAUGGCGUAAAUGUAUUCGCUCAAUGAAAAUGAUGGUAUAUGGAUUAUGUAUUUUCCUCUACAUGUAUAUAUUAUACCUAUCUUAUUUUGUUUAUAGCUCUUGAUAUAUAGGUUAUUUUCAUCUCUUUAAAACUUUUUCUGUAUAUUUUAAAUUGUUGGUAGACAUCACAUAAUUUAGGUUCCCAUUUGGGUGCCAUGAAUAUUUUUGUCUUUUAAAUAUUGAGUCUGAAAUCCCUAGUUUCGGAUGGCAAAAGGAAGGUUAUGACUAUUUCCAUCAAAAGCAUAGAAGAAUCAUGCGUUAGGAAGGUUAUACUCAGUAUUGGUUCAUCGUAAAACGUAUGUAUUCUCCUCCCUUUGUCUAAUCUACUAUAAUGUGUACGAAUAUGGUCAGCCUACUAUAUUUUUUUUUAAUAAAACUUGGGUAUUUUCAACCGGUUGAGGCAAUGCAUCAACCGGUAGCAAGUCCCGCUAUUGGUUUUGGGGGAAAAACAAUGGCAGUGUCAACCGGUCGAGAAAGAGCAUCAACCAGUCGCAUGUUGGUUUGCAAUCGGUAGCCACUGACCACUCACAGGUCAACCGGUUGAAUACAACCGGUCGACCGGUUACUACUUAAUACAAUAGGGUGAGCUAUGCUUGCAUGCUUGCAUGAAUUAUCGUACUGAGUUUUGGCCCUCUGCUUUCCAUAUUUAACCCAUUCUUUAUUUACUAUUUUAAAUACAUUUUUAUUUGAGGUGCAUUUGGAUGUCUUAUGAAAACAAAUAUCUCCAUUGUGUUUUGCAUAGAUUUGAAGUUCAAAUUUCAAUUCUAGAAUGGUGCUAUAAAUGAAAAUGAGAUUGCUGGUAACAGGCCGAUGGCAUUGGAUCAAUUUUGACUUCCCCAUUAAGGGCAUUGUUUUAACUUUUAAUUUUUAAUCCUCACUUGUGAGCCAUUGAUUUCCAUUGUUGUGAGCCUUUAAAUUUCCAUUACACAUCCAACUGCAUCUGUAGUGUUUACUUCUGUCCAACAAUUUGUUUGUUGUUGAUCCUAUUUUUUUCUGUAAGUCUUCUUUGAACCAAAUGACUUAUUUGAGUCGAUUUUAUGUGGUUUGAGGCUAUAUCUAGGUUGUAAACUAAUCUAGAUUAGAGCAAAUUAAUUCCAAUGGAAAUGAUGGAGCACUUAGAAGAGUGGGCUUUAGAGAUUGGUUAUAAGGCGGGUGGUCUUCUGUCUACUUACUUAGGUCUUCCUCUUAGUACCCCUUUUAAAUCUAUGGUGGCUUCAAAUGGAGUGAAAGACAGGUUCCACAAAAGACUAGAUAAAAGAAAAAUACAAUAUAUCUUUAAAGGAGAAAGGCUCACUCUAAUUCAAAACCCUUUAUUUAGUUGUUCUAUCUAUUUUGUGUCUUUAUUUUGCAUGCCAAGGACAAUCAAAUUGAGGUUGGAGUGGAUUCAAAGGGAUUUCCCUUCGGAAGGCAAGGGCUCUUGAAAGAAAAUCACAUUUACCAAGGUGAGCAAUUGUUUCUUCAGAAACAAUUGAAGGAGGCCUUGGGUAUUAGGUGUCUCUCAACACUUAUCAAAACACUACUUUGCAAAUGAAGUUGAACACAUGCAACUGUUAGGAUCCACAUUACCUCCUUAUUUAUAACCUAUGGAUACUAAAUAAAUUGCAAAAUUUUGUCCAGCAGUUUCAGAUGAUGAUGCAAGCUCCGAGUCUGGAAUACACUGAGCACAAAGAUUUGGACAAACAAUGGCACUCUCCUUGGGGCUCCACUGUGGUUGAUGAUGUAGCUCCUGCAUUUAAAACGAUAGUGGAGGAGAAUUAUUUAUCAUCUUCAACAUUUCAUCUAGACGAUACAAACGAGAAUAGAUUGCAAUGGUGGACACAGAGAAAGAACCUUGAUCACCACCGUCUUGGCAAAUUGGUGAGGUAGGUUUUCACUCCCUUCUUACCCUAAGUUUGUAUAUCCAUGUAUGGAGUUACAAAGGUUCUUUAGUUUGCAUUUGGGAAUAGGGGCCAAGUACCCAAUUCCCAUCCAUCAAAAUUCAUUUAUAGAAUUUACAUCACUCAUCUCUCAUCUCUAAUUGUUUUGGAUUUUGACAUGGUAGUUAAAGAUCAAGAAUUUCAACUGUUGCUAUGUUAAUGGUUGCUGAAAGUGCAUAAACAUUAUAGCAUUAUGCACCACUAAAUUAUUUAUUUUAUCUUCUGGAAAUUCAUUUUUUUAAUAGAUUGUCAACAUACCAUGCCUUUUAUAUGCUAAGGACUUGGAAGAUUUAUGGUUGGGUCCCUGGAGAUACUUGCUUUUGGGGGAAUGUUUGGACUGUGAACGCCUGGAUUUGAUACACAAGAAGCUGGUGCAUGAUCUAAAAUGUAAAAGUCAAAUCGAUGUAAAUAAGAGCCUUCUUAAAAUUAUUGUUUGGAGUGCCAGAUAUUCCCAUGGAAGAGAAGAAUGUUUUUUGCAGCUAUGUUUACACAAAGGCCGUUUUAUUGGUAAAGUGGGAUUUUAUGAUGAAAAAACAAUGUGUAAGGUAUUCUCUAACCACUAUCUAUUCCUUGGAUUGAGUUAUGACCCUACUUUUGUGUUACAGACAUAUGGGGCCAUUGAAGUCCAUGAAAUAUGGCUCUUUAUUAAAAGCUAUCUACAAGUCCAUGAAAUAUGGCUUCUUUGUUUCUUGUCCCCUAUGGAACUGCUAUGAAUUCAUCCACCUCUUAGCCUGAAUCUCAUCAAUUUAUGCAUACGUCAGUAUGAUGUAGUGGAAUUUUUAGAACCUAGACCUUAUCACUUUUUUUUUCCUUGUGGAUGAUUCUAAUUAAGUAGCCUAGUUUCAUCUCUUUCUUUACAUUUCCAAGCUACUUCAUCAUUAUUUGUUUUGCUAUGCAUCAACCGGUAGUAGUUUGUUUUGCUACCGGUAACAUGUGCCCAUUUGGGUUUUGGGGAAAAAAUUUGGCAGUGUCAACCGGUCGAGGAACACCCUCAACCGGUCUCAAAUUGGUUUGCAACCGGUUGCCAUUGGCCAUUUUGGGACGUGCAUCAAGAAAUGGCCAGUGUCUACCGGUUGCAUUUAACCGGUCCACCGGUUAAGACUUACUACAAGCUUUUCCCAACUCUUUUCAUUCCUGCUAGCAAUAGAUGGCAGAGGCAAGCUUGGUCAUUUAAACGGUGAUGUGAGCAAACCAGGAGCACCACAAAAUGAGAGUCACUUCCACCAAAUCUUUGUGUAUGCCAAUAAGCACCACAAAAUGCCCGAUCACAUCCUAAACCUGCGAGAGAAGGAAAGAUAAGGAAUGAUUGCAUAUCUAGAAGCACUUCAACAUAUCUCAAAGUAUCUAUGAUCAUCAUUUUAUUCCUCAAGCAAUUAAUUCUACUUCAAAAGAAUAUGAAAAUAUUUUGAGUUUAGAACAAAGGAUACCCUUAAAUAUAAACUUGUUUAUUCCACUUUUACAAAGAUUACAAUUUAAACCAAAGUUUAAAGUCCAAAACCUCGAUUCAAACAACCCAAACUGUUGGUCAAUAUUUACAUAAUAAUAGAUAGUACCCUAGAUACAAGCAGAAUCCUUGCCUGAUUUCAAGAUAGAAAUUGUAAUAUGGAAAGCAAACUCACAAAUAGCCAUCAAGACAACAAAACCAACAAAAUAACAAUAGUGUUGGUAAGUAUUUACAGUGUUGUGGUACACCAAUAUCAUUUCUGGAAGGCAUCAUUCCUCCACAUGCAUGGCAUUGUAGGUGGACAGUGUUAGGGUUGCACAGGAAUCCAGCAUAUUCAGCACCUGAUGUUUGUAAAUGAAUUAGUUAAAAUAUAUUACAAACAAAAAAAUCAAGCAGCAAAACAUCUCAGGACCAAAUAUUCACAAUUCAUAAGAAGCCAUUGAAUGAACCUUACACUUUGUCUAUAUCAUUACUUAAAAAAGAAUUUUCAUGAGAUUAUCUAAAUCAUGCAAGUAACAGUCAUCAAUACAUGAUAGCAACUUCUUGCAGUAAUACAACUAAUAAAUAAUGCAACAGAACAACCAGUUCAGAUUGAUGGUAAGUAAAUGUGUGCAUGCCAUAUUGCAGUCGAUCAAAUCAAUUAAGCAUACAAUUUCCGAACAUAUUAUUCUGUAGAUAGUUAAUAUUACCACAUUGAGGGCAUGGAAACUCCAAUUCUUCACUUUCCUCAUUUAGUCAUGAAUGUGCCCGUUUCCAACCAAUCAUGGAAAUCUUGUGAAUACAACUCGGUACCAGAAGUUGGUGGGAAAACUGAUUUAUUUAUCUCACACCCGACCAGAUAUUGCAUUUGCAGUCAACAUAGUAAGUCAAUUUUUGCACUCACACUAUGAAGUACAUCUUGAGGCAGUUAACACUUUUUAAAUUCAAUAAUAAUAAUAAUAAUAUUAAUUUUAGUUCUUUUCAUAUAUUAAUUUGUCUUUUGUGAUUUUUUUAAUAAAUAAUUUUUUUUUUUUUUUUUUUUGCUUUCCAAGAAUUUUUGUUGAUUUUUUCAUAAGGUCUAUAACUUUAAAUUAAACAAGCUUGAAUAUAUAUGUUUGUAAUAAUCUUAUAUUAUAUUAGUACUUAAACACAAUUGUAUGUCAUUUUUUUAUGUUUAAUAAUAAAUUUUCAAUAUUAAAGUUAGAAUCUAUAAGAAAAUCAACAAAAACAAUAUAUCAAUUUAGAAAUUAUGAAAUCUAAAAUUUAUAUAAAAAGGUAAAAAGAAAAAAUUAUUUAUGAAUAUUAAAUAAAUGAGAUUUAAAAUAACAUACUGGUUCUAUGAAAAUUUUAAAAAUAACUAAGAUAUGAAAAAAAAAAAAAAAAAACAUGUUAAGUGUAAAUUGGUGAUAAUUUAAAAUCGAGACAAGGAAAAGGACAAAAAUCGAUGCGUUGACCGCGUUGACCGUGCCGCUGCCGGUCGAUCGGGUGACUUACCGGUCGACCGGUUCAUUGGGGUGAGAAUUUAAAGCGCCUCCCGCGCCUCAGUUUCUCACUCAUUUCUUCUGGUGCUUCAAGCCUUGUGUCGUUCCAGCUCCCCUCAAGGGAUUUUAUACGCCAUUACAGCCUUCUGAGACGUACGGAUUGGAUUGUGGAGUCUAGGGUUUUGGAUUUUGGGACUCAGGGCUACGCAUUUGGGCGAUUUCCUCCUCAGUUGGCGCGUCAGAGCCUGCGUCAGUGUAUUCCCGCUCUUGAGGCCUUUCAGGUGUGUGUGCAUCCCUCUCUUCAGCCUCAUCUCCUUCAUCUCAGCCUUUCGGAUGGCACCUAGGAGAGAGUCAGCUGCUUCCAGGGCUCAGGGCAAGCGCCCUGCUGAGCCAUCUCAGCCAGAUCAGUCCGAGGCUCGCCGAAAGGCGAGGUACGACACCGCUCUUUUCGCUUUUGUCGAAGACUACCAGAGAUAUAAACAAAAAUUUGCCCAGAAGAAAGUUGUUCCAGGGAGAAGCAUCAAUUUCUCCCAGCUUAAGUACUUUGGAUUUGAGGAGAUUUUUGGACGGAUGAGAUGGCUGCCAGUGGUGACUAUUUCGGAGUCUAUCUUCCCGACUCUGAUUCGCACUUUCUACUCACGGGUGACCUACGGGGUUGGAGGACCGAUCACGUCGACUGUCAGAGGAGUUGAGAUCACCUUGAGUCCGGAGAGCAUUUGCCGGAUUUUCGAUAUACCAUCAGUUGGACUCAGGGUGUAUGAGUCCAAGGUGUGGCCCACGGUGCCGGGAUUUGAGCCCAGAGAGGCUAUUCAGAGGCUGUGUGGACUUGCCGAUGCCCAGGGGAUGGGCAAACCCUCUGCACAUAGCCUGACAGUGAUUAGCCGUAUCCUUCAUCACAUGGUGUGCACCAUUCUGUUGCCACGGGGCGGACAUCUAGACGAGGUAGCCUACCUCGAGGCUUUCAUAGUGGAUUCCAUUUUGACAGGGAGACGGAUUCAUGUCGGGUACCUGAUGAUGAUGCAUAUGAUAUCUUGCUGUGAGAGCAAGACCCGCGUCCUCCCCUAUGGUCGCUUCCUCACGAGAGUAUUCAAGGAUGCCGGGGUUGAUUUGAGCCGCGAGACAGAUUUCGAGGCCCCAACCACGUAUGACACAUAUGACGAGCAGUCUCUUGCCCGUAUGAAGUUUGAGAAGGCCCCUGAUGGCUCUUGGAUCAGGAGAGCUGAGCGACCACCGCCACAGGACCAGGGGUAGGGACAGCUGCAUCCUGUAGAUGAGGAGGAGGCCGAGAUUGGAGAGAUGGAGGGUGGGCUAGACCCUCAGAGGGACUUUGAGCAGAGCAUGCCUGAGUGCGACAUUCCUCCUCCUGAGCCGAUGAUAUCUAAGCCGGCAUACACAGCUGGACCAUCUGAGCCUUCUCACGCAGAGAUACCAUUUCAGGCACCUCACGCACCCGAUCAUGCACCUUGGAUGGAUUUAUCCGCUCAGAUCAGUUCUCUCGGGACUCGUAUGGAGGAGCUUGCAGUCGUCAAUGAUACUCGUUUCCACUCUAUGGAGGAUCGCAUAGAUGAGUAUCAGACCGGCUUCACCUCUCAGUUUGAGCAUCUCGAUCAGAGACUUGGGCAUCUUCAGGAGCGUAUGGAUCACCAACAUGAGGAGAUGAUGGCCUACCUUCGCUCAGUGUUUCCUCCACCUCCGCCUUGAUAUCUUCGAGACCCCCCCCCCCCCCCCCUCCCCUUCGUUUGUUUUUUAUGUUACCAAAGGGUCUAGGGGACAUGAGGACACAUGCAUGACAUUUCCAUAUCAUUAGUCUUGUGUUGUGUAUAUGCGAUAUUAUUAUAUAUGAUAUGAUAUUUUCGGAAUUCACAUUGUCUCCUACUGAAAUUUUGCAUGUCAUUUAAAAUUUUUGCUUUAAUUGAUCCAUGUUUGGAUUGAGGGGGAGAUUUCUUCUCUCCUAGAUAAGGAAGGUUUGUCAUCAUCAAAUAGGGGGAGAUUGUUAGCCGAAGGGUGCCCCUAAUCGGGUUUUGAUGAUAACAAACCAUGGUUAAGUGAUUAAUUGUUUUAAAUUCUCAGGUAUAAACUCGAAAAUUCAUCAAAGGACUAAAUGGAUACAUGAUCGAGACGCUUCAAAGACUUGAGAUCAUAGGAAAUAAAUGUAGGAUGAUAGCACGAGUGCACUUAGGAUGUUCAUACCUUUUCAUGCAUCUUAGAAAACUCGGUUUAUUCUUUAAAACUUGAUUUUCUUUAAAACCAGAUUUUUAUCAAACAUACCUUAGGAAAAUUGAUUAUAAAUUGGUAUAUUAAUUCACCUAAAGACCUUGCCUAAGUAGUACAAAAGAAAGGAAUUUUCAAAAGGAAGGUUUUUGGGGUAAAAAUGCUCAACCGGUCGACUCUAUGUAUCAGCCGGUCGACCGGUUUAUCAUGUCCGGUCCAUACCGGUCGAGGAGUGUCAUAAACACACUCUCUCAUCUAAUGGUUUAGCCUGUCAGCAGCUAGUGUCAGCUGCACCAUCAAGUCAUCCAUCCUGUCUUUCUUUCCCCUAAACUUGGAAGUAUUACAGAGUUGAGAGUUUACAUAUUUUGAGAGCCUCGCUGUAAGUCACUAUAAACUAAUUCUUUUCUCCAUAGCUAUUGAUCUAAUACUCUGAAACCUAGACAUAUGACUCAGCCUCAAAUCUAGAUGUUUUAGGUCACCCCUCCAUGGAGGGCAGGAAAAUAUUCUAGGUACAUUAUCCCAGGGCAUAGUUGUGACCACACUGAUCAUUAUGCGAGAAGUCGUAUUAGAGUUGUCAUUUGACAUAAAGUGAGGAUACUUUAGUAUCAAAAUUAUUCAUUUUUUUCGGCAAUACCUGGCAUUAGCACUUUCAUUUUGUGAAAUGGCAUGAUUUAAGACACUUUCUGGAGUCACUAAUUGCAGAAGAGUUAAAAGUCCUUUGUCUCAUGGUUUGGCAUGGGAGGGUUAGGUUUCAACUUAGACACUUAAAAGAACCGUGUUGGUUUCCUGAAUUUCAACAAGAAAACACAUUAUACGAACUCAAAUAAUGUGGCAUAACACAACAAAGUAGUGUAAGUCCAGCAGAAAAAACAAGAAAAAAGGACAUGAAAGCCAUUUAUGUAUCUCUCCCAUAUCACUCACUGCACUGCACCUCUACUAACACUAUCUCUUGUGGCCCUUGCUUUGCCUUUCCCUAGCAACAACUUAAUGCCCACAUUUUGGUAAAGUUUGUGAGUAGAGCUACUAAUAUUCUCAAAAACUUUUCAUGGAUUAGUAGUGAAGUUCUUCAGUACUUAAUUUGUUGUAUAAAAUUUAUAUUUUAGUAAAAUACCCGAACUUGUUUAAUUGUGAAAAUCCAAAAUCAAUCAAAUUAAUAUAUUAAUACUAACGGGUCUUUCGUAAAACUUAAGACAUUUCAGUAAUUAAUUUACUUUAUCAAAUUUAAGGUUUAAUAAAGUUCAGAUAUCGAAGAAUAAAAAAACAUGGUACUAAGUUUUCUUUUUUUUAAAAAUAAAAUAAACAAAUACAUGUUAAAUUAAAGUUCUCUAUUCACAACAACCUAGGACACAUAUUCUAGAUAUUUCUGUUUUUAGUAAAAAAUCUCAUCUCUUGCAAAACCACAAACCUGAUGCAACAGCAACAUUAUUGAAAAUAACAAAAAAGCAAUGGUUAUUAAAUCAGAAAUGAAAAGGAAAAUAUUAAGGUUCACAUGAUCUGUAAUUAACAGAGAGGGGUUUAUGCUCAUUCCUAUAUAUACCUAAAUCCACAUGGAUCAAAGUUAGGCCAGACGUUGUCAUACUGAAAAUAAAUGUAAAGAUAAAGAACUACGACCAUAGAGUUUGUUUGGAAAUGAAAGAAUGGCAACUUCCCUUUUCUUGAUGAUUGGAGGAACAAUGGUCAUUUCUGCAUUUUUUGAUUCUCUGAUAGUUACCAACCGGUCGACAAAAUGCAUCAACCGGUACCAAGUUGUUUUGCUACCGGUAGCAACUGAUCAGUUUGGGUGGUGCAUGCAGAAAUGACCAGUGUCUACCGGUCGAGUGCACAGAUCAACCGGUUGACAUUUACCGGUCGACCGGUUAAAUAUUGAUACACUCGGGUGCGAUAUGCUUGCCUGCUUGCAUAAAUUAUCGUACUAAGUUUUAGCCCUCUUGUUCCUUAUUAACGCCAUUCCUGAUUUACUAUUUUAAAUACAUUUUUUGCACAAUUAGAUCAUCUCAAAUUAAUUUGUGUAACUUGUGAAUUUAUGGUAUGGAAGUUCCUUAAAGGAGACUUCAGAUUCACCUCCCCUUGUUGCUGCUGCGUCUAUUGGGCUCAUGGGCCUCGUUGGUGUAAAUGUGGACAAAUUUGUGGAAUUUUUGGGAAUGUUGUAGAAAUUUGGUAUGUGGGGUGUUGACGAAUCUUUGGGCUUUUAUUCCAAUAAAUGCAUGAGAUUGAUUUUGAUCCAUGAUUAUAUAAAGAGGGAUCCAAGCAUAGCAUUGGUUAUGGUUUUCAACUAAUCAAGAUAUUUAUAGAAAGAGAUGUAUAAAUUUUCUUGUCGUAUUUUAUAAAUUUGGUAACUUCAUUUUUUGGAACUGGUGCCACUCGGCUUGUGUAUAUAGUACAAAGACCUUUGCAUGCCUGAAGUUAAAAUUGAAUAGAUUCAUAUUAGUCCACUUAGAACACUAUCAGCAACAUGGGUACUAAUAAUAUCAAAUCAGCAAUUUCUCCAGUAACAGAGAAUGGCAAUGUGUGUGUGUGUGUGUUUGUGUGUGUGUGAGAGAGAGAGAGAGAGAUAGAGAGAGAGGACACCUCAUUAAUGUCACACUGCUUAUCAGCUUCAAUAUAAAUACAACCCUUUACAUGAUCAACUAAAAAAACAGAUAUUAUCUGCAGCUUAGUUCCUAGUGACUGCAAGUCAACGUAAUUAUUCAUAAGACAGAAAGCUGAAAGCCUCUCCCGUCCAACCUACAGCCAAGAUAUUCUUCAGGUCAACUCAACAAAUGAAAGGAGCGUAAAAGGGGAGGGAUUGCUCAAGGCAUUCCAAAUUCAGAUCUCAAAUUAUUAAACAUUGUACCAUGCACUUGACUUUCCAGAUCGUUGGAUCCUUAAUAGAAGGGAUAAGCGAGUUUCUGUUUCACUGAUCUUUUCGUCUCAUAAUCAUCUUCAGCAUAGGUAACAAAUUUAGAACCAUCCUUGUAACAUUCUUCUACCAUCUUUUCAAGAUCUUCCUCACUCAGCUCCUUUUCAUUGGGAAAAAAUGGAAGGUUAUGGGCUUUUCCAGCUUCGUUCUUAACUUUUUGGCCUGUAUUGAAUUAAUCCGCUUCAAAAUCUGUUCCCAAAGACGGAAAAACAGAAUUAUCAAUCUAUAUAACACAUUGAUAGGAUGAAGUAAUGCAAGAUAAAUUAUCAAUCUUAACUUUUAGCCCUGUAUUGAAUUCAUCCUCCAAAAAAUAUGUUCCCAAAGACGAAAAAACAGAAUUAUCAAUCUAUAUAACACAUUGGUAGGAUGAAGUAAUGCAAGAUAAACCAAAAUUAUCCCCUACCGUAACAACGAAACAUGAUGCCUAAACAUCACCACAUCCACUAAUUUUUAUUUUUUAUAUAAGUAAUAAAUUUUCUUACCAAAUGCGUAAAAAGAGAGCAAGAGUAUCAGCACAUCCAUUAAUAUAAUCAAUGGACUCUUACCAAAUGCGUAAAAUAUGCUUGUGUAUAAAAAUUCAGACUAGCCAGCUACAAUUUACAUCUUCCAUGGGUUUUCAUUUUUCCUCGACCAGUACUCGACCGGACGCCAUAAGCCAGUCGACCGAUCCAUCAACAGGUUGACCGGUUGAUCUAAUCCUCGACCGGUUGAGUUUUUUUGGCCUCGAAAAACCUAUUUUCUAAUUCCUUUCUUUUCUAAAACUUAUGGAAGGUCUUUAGGUGAGUUAAUAUGCGAAUUUUGAAUCAAUUUGCCUAAGGUCUAUUUGAUAAAACUCGGGUUUUAAAGAAAAUCAAGUUUUAAAUAAAAAACCGAGUUUUCUAAGGUGCAUGAAAAGGUAUGAACAUCCUAAGUGCACUCAUGCUAUCAUCUUACAUUCAUUUCCUAUGAUGUCAAGUAUUCCAAUCGUCUCGAUAUUGUAUCCAUUUGGUCCUUUGAUGAAUUUCGUAGUUAAUACUUGAGAUUCUUAAACAUUAAACCAAUUAGUUACUUAACCAUAGUUUGUUAUCAUCGAAACCCGAUUAGGAGAACCCUUGGGCUAACAAGCUCCCUCUAUUUGAUGAUGACAAACCUUGGUUAUCUAGGAUAGAAAGAAAUCUCCCCCUCAAACCAAUCAUGGAUCAAUCAAAUGAUAAGCAAUGUAAAACACGAAGAAUCAAUUGAUAAAAAUAUCAUAUCAUAUCAUAUAUAUAUGGAAAUCUCACAUGUACAAUAAGAUAGAUAUGACAUUGAUAACAAUGACAUGCAUGAGAGACUAAUAGAUCCUAUAGAUCGUACAUCCUAUAAAUAUCUCCCCCUUUGGCAACAUAAAAAAGAAACGAAGGGGGAUCCCAAACACACUCAUGGCUGAGGAGGUGGUGGUGGAAACACAGAACGUAUGUAAGCCAUCAUCUCCUCGUCAACGUUAUUAUCUUUGUAAAAAAGGGGAAAAAAAUAAUAAUUUGAUAUUAUUAUUGUAACAUGUACAAAAUUAAAUAAAAUGAAGUUAUUAAAUAAAUUAAUUUAAACUAUAAAUAUUAUAAAAAUAAUAAAUUGGAUUUAGAUUAGGUUUGGGUUGUUCGAAUUUUUAUUUGUAUUUCACCUUAAUUAAGUUUGGGGAAAAAAAAUUGUACCCUAAGAUUAUAAAUAAUUGUCGAACCUUAUCCAAAAAAAGGUUGGCUUAAGUCAUGACAACUUGCCUAAAUUGCACCUCCUAAUUCCGAUUAUCCAAAAAAGACUUGAUGGCCUAUUGAAGAAAAAGGAUCAAAUCUCAAUAACCCCUUAAAUGAGGAUUCAACAUAAGAUCAACAUUUUUUAAACAAGUAAAUUUUGGAACGACUUUGUGGGAUUGAAAGAAACUAACAAAAACCAACAAAGGUACAAAAACUGAUACAUAUGGUGGUAGCAUAAGGUUAUAUAAUUCAUUAGUUACUUCAAAUGCAAUUAUUAUGAUCUGUGCGAACGGUCAUUUAUUAUUUUAUUCAUGUUCGUUAUGUCCAUGUUGAAUUGUGUUAUUUAACUAAAAAUUGCAUCAAAUGCAUUGGAAGCCUAUGUCUAUACAUGAUAAGAUUUGGUUUUUUAAGGAUCACAAGGUUCGUUUGGUGUUUGAUGUCAGCUUGUCUGUGGGUAAGCCUAUGUCUUGAUCUAUGUUGUUGGGAAUAGUAACAAAGAGAAGUCAUAUGUCAUGAUCUAAUCGCCAUAUCACAUACCUAAAUGAAAACAAAAUGAAUUUUAUUAACCGGUCGACCGGUUAACUUCUGCCGGAUGCGUACUUUUCUCAACCGGUAGCCACUGGCCCUUUUGGUUGCUGGAUUCUCAAAUGGACAGUGGCUACCGGUUGAGAAAAGUAAGAAACCGGUAGAAGAUAACCGGUCGACCGAUUAACAUUUCCUUGUAUAAGUUGUAAUUUGUUUGGAUUCCCCUAUAGAUUUGUGUAUUGAUAGGCCAUUUGGUAUUUUGCUACCUGUAAUUGCUCUUUCUUUGAAGGGACAUCAUUGUGGUAAACGAACAUCCAUAUAAACCGACCUUUAGUUGCGUGCAAGCGGGUAUAUAUUUUAUGUGAAGGUGCGUUAAUAAUAGAGGUCGAAGUGAUUAUUAAUAAUUUAAACUAUAAAUANNNNNNNNNNNNNNNNNNNNNNNNNNNNNNNNNNNNNNNNNNNNNNNNNNNNNNNNNNNNNNNNNNNNNNNNNNNNNNNNNNNNNNNNNNNNNNNNNNNNUAAACUAUAAAUAUUAUAAAAAUAUUAAAUUGGAUUUUGAAUCCUCACAUUCUUCGUACCCUCCCAAUUCUCCAAAAAUACUAAAAAAUUCAAAAAUAUUAAAAAAUUAACAAGGGUGCGAGGAAUGUGAGGAAUCUUCACAUUCUUCGUACCCUCCCAAUUCUGCACUUAUUUGGACUUUUUAAAAAUAUCUGGGGCAUCAUAUGGCUUGUAUGUUGUUUAAGUUGGUCCGUUACACUUAGAAGGUGGUCAAAUGACAUCCGGAAAAAUCGAAAUCCAAAAAUACUAAAAAAUUCACAAGGGUACGAAGAAUGUGAGGAAUCCUCACAUUCUUCGUACCCUCCCAAUUCUCCACUUCUUUGGACUUUUUAAAAAUAUUUGGGGCAUCAUAUGGCUUGGAUGUUGUUUAAGUUGGUCCGUUACACUUAGAAGGUGGUCAAAUGACAUCCGGAAAAAUCGAAAUCAAAAAAUACUAAAAAAUUCACAAGGGUACGAAGAAUGUGAGGAAUCCUCACAUUCUUCGUACCCUCCCAAUUCUCCACUUCUUUGGACUUUUUAAAAAUAUUUGGGGCAUCAUAUGGCUUGGAUGUUGUUUAAGUUGGUCCGUUACACUUAGAAGGUGGUCAAAUGACAUCCGGAAAAAUCGAAAUCAAAAAAUACUAAAAAAUUCACUACAUUUUGAGGGUGUGAAAUGGAUCGUAAAAUUCAAAGUGAAAGUUUACCGAACAAAUAUGUGAGGGGUUUAAACUUUUUUGGAUUUAAUAUGGCUUGGAUAUUGUUUAAAUCAGUUCAUUAUACUUAGGAGGUGGUCAAAUGAUUUCCAGAAAAAUCCAAAUCUAAACAUACUCAAAAAAUUCUGUACAUUUUGAGGGUGUGAAAUGGAUCGUAAAAUUCAAAGUGGAAGUUUACCGAAAAAAUAUGUGAGGGGUUUGGAUUUCCAUAUUGUUAGUAAUUAUACCUUUUUUGUAUUUUCAAUAUUUCAACCAAUUUUUUUUGAAAAGCUAAGAAAUCUCAAUUAAUAAUUAGUACACAACUAAUUUAAUUUUAAUUUGAUAUAUAUUUUAUAAAAUUUAGUUCUAGUUUUCCUAUUUUUUUAAGUUCAUAAACCAAUUAUAUUGCUUUUCACACUUCAAAUAUUAGUCAAAUUUUUUUCAACAAAUUAUUUGAUGUUAAAAUAAAAUAAAUUUACUUUUCCUUAAUUUCUAAAUUAUAUCACCAAAUUCUUUAUAAUUUUUUUUAUUUUAAAUUUAAUUUUUAUGUGGGGUUUAAUCACUUUAUAGUACAAAAAUAAAUAAACUGUAAUUUAUUUUUUCAAAAUUUUCUUUAUUUAUUAUUUGAUGUUAAAAUAAAUUAAAUUUACUUUUCCUUAAUUUCUAAAUUAUAUCACCAAAUUCUUUAUAAUUUUUUUUAUUUUAAAUUUAAUUUUUAUGUGGGGUUUAAUCACUUUAUAGUACAAAAAUAAAUAAACUGUAAUUUAUUUUUUCAAAAUUUUCUUUAUUUAUUAUUUGAUGUUANNNNNNNNNNNNNNNNNNNNNNNNNNNNNNNNNNNNNNNNNNNNNNNNNNNNNNNNNNNNNNNNNNNNNNNNNNNNNNNNNNNNNNNNNNNNNNNNNNNNUUCAUAAACCAAUUAUAUUGCUUAUCACACUUCAAAUAUUAGUCAAAUUUUUCUCAACAAAUUAUUUGAUGUUAAAAUAAAUUAAAUUUACUUUUCCUUAAUUUCUAAAUUAUAUCACCAAAUUCUUUAUAAUUUUUUUUUAUUUUAAAUUUAAUUUUUAUGUGGGGUUUAAUCACUUUAUAGUACAAAAAUAAAUAAACUGUAAUUUAUUUUUUCAAAAUUUUCUUUAUUUAUUAUUUGAUGUUAAAAUAAAAUAAAUUUACUUUUCCUUAAUUUCUAAAUUAUAUCACCAAAUUCUUUAUAAUUUUUUUUAUUUUAAAUUUAAUUUUUAUGUGGGGUUUAAUCACUUUAUAGUACAAAAAUAAAUAAACUGUAAUUUAUUUUUUCAAAAUUUUCUUUAUUUAUUAUUUGAUGUUAAAAUAAAAUAAAUUUACUUUUCCUUAAUUUCUAAAUUAUAUCACCAAAUUCUUUAUAAUUUUUUUUAUUUUAAAUUUAAUUUUUAUGUGGGGUUUAAUCACUUUAUAGUACAAAAAUAAAUAAACUGUAAUUUAUUUUUUCAAAAUUUUCUUUAUUUAUUAUUUGAUGUUAAAAUAAAUUAAAUUUACUUUUCCUUAAUUUCUAAAUUAUAUCACCAAAUUCUUUAUAAUUUUUUUUAUUUUAAAUUUAAUUUUUAUGUGGGGUUUAAUCACUUUAUAGUACAAAAAUAAAUAAACUGUAAUUUAUUUUUUCAAAAUUUUCUUUAUUUAUUAUUUGAUGUUAAAAUAAAUUAAAUUUACUUUUCCUUAAUUUCUAAAUUAUAUCACCAAAUUCUUUAUAAUUUUUUUUAUUUUAAAUUUAAUUUUUAUGUGGGGUUUAAUCACUUUAUAGUACAAAAAUAAAUAAACUGUAAUUUAUUUUUUCAAAAUUUUCUUUAUUUAUUAUUUGAUGUUAAAAUAAAAUAAAUUUACUUUUCCUUAAUUUCUAAAUUAUAUCACCAAAUUCUUUAUAAUUUUUUUUAUUUUAAAUUUAAUUUUUAUGUGGGGUUUAAUCACUUUAUAGUACAAAAAUAAAUAAACUGUAAUUUAUUUUUUCAAAAUUUUCUUUAUUUAUUAUUUGAUGUUAAAAUAAAUUAAAUUUACUUUUCCUUAAUUUCUAAAUUAUAUCACCAAAUUCUUUAUAAUUUUUUUAUUUAUUUUAAAUUUAAUUUUUAUGUGGGGUUUAAUCACUAUGUAGUACAAAAAUAAAUAAACUGUAAUUUAUUUUUUCAAAAUUUUCUUUAUUUUUCUGUUUCAUAAAAAAAAAUUCCUAAACAAAAUAAUUACAUUAAACAAAUUUAUAAUUGGUUAAUGUAAUAAAUGUAACAAUGUGUGUUGCAUGAAAUUAUUUCCCAUGGCAACCGGUUGGGUGACUUGAAGAACAGGUUUUGUUUUUUUUUUCUUUUUUAAAUGCCAUGUGUCUCUACCCUAUUAGCCCAAAAAAAGUUGGUAUGGUACCGAAAAGUGCUUUUCGGUACCGUAGCAAGACCCUAAAAAAUAACAUAAAUAUAUUUCAUGGAGUGGACCAGUGUGUACUUAGUUGACCAGGACUGACGACAGCAAUGACGUGGAAUGAUCAAAGCAAUGACCUCUCGUGGAAGCAACCAGAGCAUUGGAUGCUCCAUAACCAAACUUUACUUCACUCGCAAACUUGUGGCACAAGCUCAUUAGUUUUAGUUCUAUUAUUUACUAGUAAAAUUAAAAUUUAAUAAGUUUUUAAAAAUAAAUAAAUGUGCUGAUUUUUUUUUAAUGCAGAUAUUAUAUAUAUAAAAGCUAAAUUGCUUUCUAUUUGAUAAUAUUUUUGGAUUUAAAUAUGAUAUUAAUUUUAAAAUUAAAUUAUUUUUGUACAAAUGAUAAAAAUACAGGAAUAUGUCAACCGACAGUUUUAAUUUUUUUUUUUAAAAAAGUGAUUACAUUAAAAUGAGAUUUGAUAAAUAAAUUCUAGACUGAUAAAAACCAUAUAGAAAAACUUAAAAUAUUGGAAUUCUGGAAUUCUGGAGAAAGAAAGAAAACUGAGAUAAUGAUAUAAUAUGGAAGGAAAGUGCAUGCUGAGAUAAGGAAUGAGCAUCACCACCUCCUAGAAAUUUCCAAGGUUUUAACCCACUCUCUGAGAUUUGCUAUAAAUACUUGACAAUUUCCCUUGGGUUGUUCAUCAAUACUUGAGUCUGAAUCUUAUUGAUCACAGUAGGAGCAAUGGCAGACGAGAUUAUCUUGUUGGAUUUCUGGCCUAGCAUGUUUGGUAUGAGGGUCAGACUUGCCCUGUCAGAGAAGGGCCUCAAGUAUGAAUAUAAAGAGGAGGACCUUAGGAACAAGAGCCCUCUGCUUCUUGAGAUGAAUCCAGUUCAUAAGAAAAUCCCGGUUCUGAUCCACAAUGGAAAGCCCAUUUGUGAGUCUCUGUUAAUAGUUCAGUAUAUUGAUGAGGUUUGGCACGAUAAAUCUCCGCUUUUGCCUAGUGACCCAUACCAGAGAGCCCAGGCCAGGUUCUGGGCGGACUACGUAGACAAGAAGGUAUGUCUUUGCUGUUGAUUUAAAGCCUUUUUUUUCCAUUGAUUCAUGGCGAUUGGCUCAGAUUUUGAUAAUGAUGAGGGAUUUGUCCAAAAUGCUGGGUUCUUCUUCACACAUUCUCUUCUGACAUUAAGUUUUGUGGGCCUUGGGGUCUCAAACUAGAACUUUACUGAUUCUCUUUGCUGCGUGUGCAACAAGACUCCACUUUGCAUUUCUGAUGUGGGUUUUCAGUUCUUUGUUAUAUAUGGGUUUUCAUUUCUUUGUUCUGCUGAAUCUGAAGUCCGUUCUUUCCACCCAAAAAAGCAGAUCUCAAGAAUGCCUUUUCCCUCAAGAAAGGGGAUCCAAAAACCAGUUUUUACAGCACAGUGUUUGGUUUUUUUUUGUUAUCCUGAUGUUCAACAUUUUGCAGAGCAGUUCUUUUAAUACAUGUUUUGUUGCUUUGAUCUCUUUCUUCUCAUUUUCUAAAACCCACAUUGAGGGGAAAAGCUUUAGCAAAUGAUACAUUCUUUCAACUGAUUCUGAUAUUUUUCUGCCACCGGCCCUUCAUUUAAUAUGUUCCUAGUAUAUGAGAUUUCUAUGCUGAAGGGUCCUUAAUAAACUUGUCCAACUAUACAGAAAGUUGAAACUUGAUGAAAUGCUCCAAAAAAAUAACCCUUUUCUCUCUUUGACUUUAUUGUUUUCCACAGCUCUAUGAACUUGGAAGGAAGAUAUGGUCAACCAAAGGAGAAGAGCAGGAAACAGCCAAGAAGGAAUUCAUAGAGUGCCUCAAGCUUCUGGAAGGAGAGCUUGGAGAGAAGCCUUACUUCGGCGGUGAAAAAAUUGGGUUUGUGGAUGUGGCUCUGGUGACCUUCUCUUGCUGGUUUCAUGCAUAUGAGAGCUUUGGAAACUUCAGCAUAGAGGCGGAGUGUCCCAAGUUGAUAGCUUGGACCAAGAGGUGCAUGGAAAAGGAGAGCGUGUCGUCUUCUCUGGAAGACCCACACAAGGUCCAUGGCUUUGUUAUGGGGAUGAGAAAGAAGCUUGGCAUAGAAUAACUAUUUUGUAGUGUUGCUGUGGUAAUAUUAGAUAUAUGUGAGUGUUUGGCUGUUUGCUUAAGUUUUUGCUUUGAAAUUGUAUGGUUACUAUUUGCAGUUGAAACCCCUUUUGGAGGGUUGGUGGGUUUGCUGGAAAGAAAUGUUUUGAAUUUGUUUUCAUUUGUUUUGGACUGGACUAGAGAGGUGUUCUUUGUAUUCCAUCAUUUCGUGUCAUAAACAAGUAUUAACACAAGUUGGAUAAGGCAUGCCUCUGGCCCUUUAUGGUAACGUACAAAGAUAUCAUGGGCCUACAAAGAUAUCAUGGGCUACAGAAUAGGUUAGGGCCCGCUUUUUAAAUCACUUUUUUUAACUAAUAUGUUUGGCAAAAGAUGUUCUUCAAUAAUUUAAUUCAUCUUCCUUGUCGGUCAUUUUAAGUAACAAGAAAAUGAAAAAGAAAUAAGAGAAAAGUUCAAUCACGUUCCAUAAUGUUUGUUUUUGAAAAUUGCUUUUAUGUUAAACAAACAAAAAUAAUUUUUUAAAAUUUUAUAAAAUUUUAUAAAAUAAGGAUGUUUGACAAGUUAUUUUGAAAUUGGUUUUUCUUUUAAAAAAAAAUAAUUUUUCUAUGUUGAUUUUGUAAAAAUAUUCUAAAUUUAAUUAAUAGAAAUUUAAUUGAGGUCUUAUAAAAAAUGAAAUUAGUUUUAAAUUAUAAAUAAAUUAAAAAUAGUAUAAUAUAUCAGCGUGGACCUAUUUUUUUUACGUGCGUCCUCACUCGACGAUGAGACUCGUUUUUUAUUUAUUUGGUGAAAAAUAUGAUUUUUAGAAAAAGAUUUGAAGUCCUCAUUGAUUUUUGUUUUAUUUUUCAAGGGAAAGACAAAAUAAAAAAUAAAAACCCUAAAUAUGAUUUCUGAAGGAAAAAUAGGUUUGUGAAAAAUCGAGUUUGGGUUUGGGGAUCAAGUUACUUAUUAGGAAGGUAUGGUAAUGAGUUAUAACACCCCUCUAAGCUCGUUUAUGUACGACCUCUACUAAAUGAAUUAAGGAAAUUGUGACAAUUAAUUAAUUAAUUAUAGAUACCAAGAAAAAUAAUCAUGUAAAUGAGUAUGUACAAGUCAAGGUGAAAAUUAAUAUACACAAAAAUAAUGAUGAAAUCUAAUUACAAGAAUACACAAAAUAAAUAACAAAAGAAUUAUGCAAAAAUAAUUUAUUGAACUAAAUAAAAAAUAUUAAAAAAAUAGUUUUCAAGAAAUUUCGAAGGAUUUUAUUAAAAAUGAUUUUUAAUUAAUGAUUUUAAUUUUUUUUAUUUACAAAAAAGAAGUUUCAAUUUAUUUUCAAUUAAUGAUUUGAUUCAAUUUCAUUUGUAUUUAAUUUUUUUUAAAAAAAAAGUUAUUUGCACUUAUUAUAUCAAAAGAAUUUAUUACAAAAUUUCAAUUUGGUAAUAAAAAUGAUUUUUACUUGCUUUUACAAAAAAAAUUACAAUUUUAUUUACGAAAGUAUUUCACUUUGUUUUAAUUUGAGAAAAGUGACUUAUACAAAUUAUUAAAAAGAAUAUAACUUUAUUUGCAAAAGAAUUUUUAAUUAAAAAUUAAUUUUUGGGACAACUUUAUUUACAAAAUAAUGUUUGGACAAUUUUUAUUAAACAAAUAAAUUUUUGGACAAUUAUUAUUAAAAAUAAUUUUUCAAAUUCUAUUAAAAACAAUUUUUUUGGAUUUUUCUAAAAGCAUUUUUUUGAAUUUUUAUUAAUAAAAAAAACUUUCUUUUAUUAAAAAGAAUAUUUUAAAAUUAUUAUUUUAUUAGAAUAUAUUUACUAAAUUAUUCCUCUUAUUUAAAUGACAAUUUUGAUUUGUUAAAUAUUUAAUUCUGUAUAUACUCAAUAAAUAUAUACAAACUAAUAUUUACAAGAACUAAUAGAAAUAAAAUCAAACAGAAGUGAGCAAUAAAACGUGUACCCAAAUAAGGUUACAACAAGCUUAAUGUCUCUCUACAACUUUUUUAUUCUUACUUUCUUCCAUGAAAUUUUGUGCUUCACGUGUUAUAAAUUUGUACUCAGCCAAUAGAAUUGCAGAAUAGGCCCAUGCAAAAACAAAAAUAGUUCAAAUGUAAAUAUCCAAAGGUGUACAAAAUCCUUAACAAAUAUUCAAACUCAAAUUCAAAUUUCAAAUUAGUUCGAUAAAUCUUGUCAAUCAAAAUGGACACAAAUUAACAAAUAUAACCUAACAAAAACAUCUCACAUGCUAUAAACCUUAAUCCAAAAAUUUCAAAUUAAUAACCAAAAUACAACACAAUUAGCCAAGCCCAAAAUAUCACAAAAUAAAAUAAAUUCAAUUAGGCCUAAAUUUAAUAUUUCAUAAUCCAAGCCUAAUUUAAUAUACACCAUAAUUGUCCCACAUCCAAAUUAAAUAGUUCAAAUUGGUGAAGCUCAUAUCAAAUAUUCAAGUCAUCAAUCAAAUUUCACCCACAUUGUGGACCCAAAAUCCAUACCUAUAUUAUGGGUCCAAAAUUCAUAUCAAUUAACAAGCCCACAUUAAUAAUACACAUGACCAAAGAAAAUAAUUUCCCAAGCCCAAUCCAAUAAGCCCAAAUAAAUAACAUUAGAUUCAAGUCAAAAUCAAUUACUAUGCAAACAAAAAUAAAAAAAUAAAGAUAAAAAAAUGAAAAUAAAAUAAAGUAAAAAGGAAAUUUACCCUUUUUUUUUAUAACUAUGGGUGGUAGGAUUGCUAGUCGGCAGUGACUGGCAGGUAAUGGCGGGUGGUGGCGGGCAGUGGUUGUCGGUAGUGGUGGGUGGUGGUUGGCCGGUAGUGGCCGUGGAGUGUGGGGAAGGGAAAAGGAAAGAAAAAGGAAGAGAAAAAAAAAUGAAGGAAGAUGGGGAGCGUGUGACAGUGGGGGUUUGUGGAAAAUGGCAGUGUAGAGAGAAGGACUAUGAGAAGAAGAAAAAAAAAAUGGAAGAGAAAAUGGGGACCAUCGUGUGUGAUAGUUGGGGGGAAGAAAAAAAAAAGAAAAAAGGAAGGGAGGAGAUGGGAGAGUUGACCGUGUUUGGUGUGUGGGUCGUGGAGCGGUUGUUGUGUUGGAAGGGAGCCUGAAGAAGAAAUGAUGGAGGAAAAAAAAGUGAAGAGAGGAACGUAGAGAAAGAUGAUAAAAAAAAAAAAAAAAAAAAAAAAACUUGGAGGGGGUAUGGGGAGUGGCUUAGACAUGUAGGAGAAGGAAAUGGGUAAGGGAAGUAGGUGGAGUGGGUAGAAUGAGGGGAAAGAGGAAGAGAGAAGAGAGAAGAGAGUGAAAAUAAAUAAAAUUAAAUUAAAAAUAAAAAUAUAAUAAUAAUAAUAAUAAUAAUAAUAAAUAAAUAAAUAAAUAAAUAAAAAUAAUAAUAAAAAUAAUAAUAAAAAUAAUUUAUAAAAUAAUAAAAACUAAGAAUUAAAGGGUGUAAGUGGGCUAAACAAUUAAGAUGUAAUCAAAAUUUAAAUCUAAGGAUAAAAUUGAGCUCAAUAUCAAUGUAAAAAUAAAAUUAGGACAAAUUUUGGGGUCUACAAUCGGUUUUCAUAUAUUAUUUCUUAUGGUGAUUAGAUCUAUUUACUAGGUUGUAACUUAAAAAAAAAAAAAAAAAACCUAUUAGUAAAUUCAAUGUUACUUGAUUUGAAGUUUAUUCUUUAAUAAAAAAAUUUAUAAAAAUAUAAGUAUGUAUAGAAAAAAAGUAGACUCAUUAAAACCCAAUUUUUAUCCAUAAAUUUUUAAUAUUAACCACUAUUUAAGUUUUAAGUUAUUUAAAAAAAUUACUAAACUCAUUAAUUAAUUUAAUGUAUUAAGUUUUGUUUAAUUUGGAUUUUAUUUGUCUAGUGAAAUAAAUAAAUAAAAAAUAUAGUUUCAUGUAGAAGAGAAACAAUAGAGUCAUUGUAGAUUAGAACUAGAAGUUAUAAAAAAUAUGUAAAAUAUAUAUAAUUAUAUAGCUGGAGUUUAUAUUAUAAAUUAUAAAGUUAAAAAAAAUAUAAAAAACUACCUUCAAUGUAAUUUCUAAUUUCUUUUAAUUAUAAUGUAUAAUCAAAAGUUAGACAAAACAAAAUUGUACACUCAUAAGUUAAAUAAUGAAUAUUUCAUAGCCUCAAAGGUGUAUACAAUUUUACACAUUUUUGUUAUGAUAAAAAUAAUCCAUAGCCAAAAACUAUGAAAGCGAUCAAUUCGUAAUUUUUAUUUUGUUAAUAUUACAUGAUGUUCAUGCAUUUUUUUAAACCAUAUUUAUAAUAAUCCUAUAGCGAUAAAAUAUAACAAAAUCUUAAAUCGUUAUAGUUUUAUUAUAGAAUAUUAACUGGAUAAAUAUUGUUAGAUAAUUUAAUUAAUUUAUUUUAAUAAAUUAAAAUAUUAUUCUAAUAAAAUUAUUUCAAAUAUUAUUCUAAUUUAAAAAUUACUAGACUGUUAAGUCUUGUUUAAUUUUGAGUUCAUUUAUAUAGUAAAAUAAAAUUGGAAAAUAUGAUUUCAUGUAGAAGAAAAAUAAUAGAGUUGUUAUAGACUAAUUUUCAUCCAUAAAUUUUUAAUAUUAAUUACAUCAUUAUUUGAGUUUUAAGUUAUUUCUAGAAAUUACUAAAUUUAUUAAUGAAUUCAACACAUUAAGUUUGGUAUAAUUUUAAGUUUAUUUGUCCAAUGAAACAAAAUUGGAAACAAUAAAGUCAUUCAAGUUCAAUUUUUGUCCAUAAAUUUAUGGUAUUAAUUGGAUCACUAUUUGCAUUGCAAUUUAUUUUUAAGAAUUACUUAGACUUGUUAAUAAAUUCAACGCAUUAAGUCAUACUUGAUUUGGUGAUUAUUUACUAAGUGAAAAAAAUUGUAAAAAUAUGAUUAUAUGCAAAGAAAAAACUAGCCAAGACAUUUAAAUGAAUUUUGGUGUAUGAUAUUCUAAUGUUAGUGAGUUUCAUGACUUUAUAGUACUAACUAAAUCAAUUUUUGACUUUUAAGUUAUUUUUAAAAAUUAGUAAAUUUUAUGUAUAAAGUAUAAUUUGAUUUAGAAUUUAUUUUAUCAAUGAAAAUUUUCUUAAAUUAAAUGAAAUUCAUUAAAACACAUGUAAUUUAAAAGAAUAUUAUAUUUGAAGAUUUUUAGUAUCGGUAUUAGAUCGUAGAAAGAGGUAAAGAAGAAUGAUAUCAUCUUCAAUCUUAUUUGCUUUUUAUAGUUUUUUUAAAUUCCUCUAUAUUUUUCUUUUGCUUUUAAAAAUUGAUGAAAACAAUUUCUACUUGUUUUCUAAAAUAUGUUUUUUAUUUCACUUUAUUUUUAAAAAUUACAAAUAGAAAACAACUAACAAACAAUUUUAUGAAUUUUUAAAAAUAGUUUUUUUUUUAAUUUUUAAAAACAAAAGUUAUUUUUUAAUGAAAUGGCCAAAUGGGCUAAAAACUUUUCAACAGCAAAUUUUGAGAAUUUGGGUCAAGUGCUAUGUGCUCUUGUACAAUCCUCCACUAUUUUUGGCCUUCAUGUCACCGUUGUCAACUUUUACUGUGAAUAAGUUCACGAGCUUAUCUUACUUUAUAUUCGAGAGCAAGGAACAAGAUCUUGAGAGAUGCUUGGUUUGUUUUUUUUUUUGUAUUAAAGAAAUAAAAGAGUAUUCACUUACUAUUCCAUUUUGUACUAAAAAAAUUUGAUAAGACAUUGAUAGGCAUGUAAAUAUUAUAACAUUUAAAUAAACUAAAAAUAUUUUUGUUAUAUUAUUUUAAUUUUAAUUUUUGAACUUUCAUAUUAACGUUCGUUUUAAUUUUUCAUAUGAUUUAAAAUUGAUCAUGGUUCUAACCUUUUACUAGGCUAAAAUCUUUAACUUUUUUAGAUACAUAAAAUAGAAAAUAAAAUAUAUUUUCAUAUAAAUUGUAUUAACAUUUCUUUAAUUAAUUUUUAUAUUUCUUAAAAUACAUAUAUCUUAAAAUACAUAUAUCUUUUUUAAAAAAUAAGUACAUCAUUUAGAAAAAUAGGUACAUCUAAUAUAAAAACAUGUACAUUUCAUUUCAUCGGGGAUUCUUAUCCUCAUUCAACCUAAUUCGGGUGUGGGAUUUCACUUAUGUAGGUCUCAGAAUGCAUUUGAGGUCUUCUUAUACCCUAUUCAACAUGAUAUAACUUUGUGUACAUGUUUUAAAAAAAUGUAUAAAAGUUUAGAAAAGUAUUUACAUCUAAUUUGAGUUGAAUCAUUCCCUUAUUCGACCUAUUUUGAAUCUAAAUUUUAACUUCUAUAUACCUCAUGAUGCAUUCCCAAACCCUAUUUGGCAUGGUAGAACCCUAGGUACAUAUGUUACAAAAAUAAGUAUACUCUUAAGAAAAAGUACAUCUUUUACAAUAAUAACUAUAUUCUUAAAUAUAUAUAUAUAUAUAUAUAUAUAUAUAUACAUUCGUAAGAAAAAUGCAUAUAUUUGAUUUGAGGUUAACCAUGAUCCAAUUCAACCUAAUUUGGAUAUAAGAUUUGACUUAUAUAUGCCUCAAAAUGUAUUUUAUGCCUUCCAAAACUUCAUGUAGCAUGGUAGAAGUAUAGGUUCUGAAAAGGUGAAUCUCAAUAGUGGAAUACACCUAAAGGGGGGUUGAAUAGGUGUUUUGACCAAUUGAACAAAAUCUCAACUCAAAUUAGUAAACCUUAAAACUUCUUGAAUAUUUUUCUUCUCUUCACAAAGUCUAAAAAACAAAUUAUAAAUCACAUGAAUAUAUGAAUGCAACAACACUCCCCAACAAUAUUCAAAUGAAAUUCACAUGCACAUGAUCUAAUACUCCUAAACCCAAAUCAACUUAAAACUAAAUUAUGAUAAAAACAAGAUCAAUAUACAUCAAAAUAUCAAUGAUUAACAAUCAGAAAUGACUUCAAAGAUAAUUCAUAGCCAUUUCUCUUUAUCAUUCAAUCAAAUACUAGACAAUCAAAAUUAUAAUAAAUUGUAGAAACUAAAAAAUGAUGCGAAGAAGAGAAAACGAGACAAUGAGACACCAUAAAUUUACAUGGAAAAUUUUUGAAGAGAUAAAAAACCAUAAGCCUACUACCAAUCAAAAACAUCCACUAUGAAGAAUAAAAACUAAAUACAAGGUUUUACCUAGCUCAAGCCAACUAAUCCUUCCCGGACCACUUGACUAGUACCUUCACUUUUAGUUUCUCACAUUCUUAUUUUAGAGCACAUUUGGAGUCUACACCAAGCUCGAUCUCGACCUCUUAUUGAUUUCACAUAAGAAAAAAAUGGGUUUUUGUGCAAAACCAAGAGAAUUAGAUAUGAAUGUUUCAAAAAUCAACCCAUGCUCAUUUUCAAAAAAUCCAUUUUAAAAAAAUUUCUUAGAAAACUUGGAUGGAUUUUCUUCGUAGGUAAACACCCUUAAAAUGGUGAGGAAAGAAAAAACUCUCUCACAACUAUUGUAGUCACCACUUAUAGAGAUGGAAGAGAUUUGAUUUUAAAUGAGAAAGAAACCCUUAAUCGAAGGGUUGAAAGUUGAUCUUAAAAAUAGGUUGGUUGGAUCAAUCUGCCUCUACACUUAGAUCAAUCCAAAAACAGGGGAACAAAAGCCUUGUGCUAAUAAUAUUUCUCCUUGUUUUCUUAACUCAUUUAAAGAUGAAAAAACAGGGUUGAUUCAUAUUCAAUCACCACACUCGACUAUAUACCUCAGCCUCUUAGCAAAGUUUUAAUCUUCAAAGGUCAAGUAGUCCGAAGAGGGAUUUGUAAACUGAGUUAGGGGACACUUAGGAAUUUUGUUUGAAAUUACCAACCUAGCUAAACACUCACAAUCUCCUCCUUUGGCAAUUCUGGGACAAAACUCUUUACAAUACGAAUGAGUACAAGUAAGUAAGUCCCACCCAACUCUCAUACAAGGCCACACACUCACUCAAAACCUCACCAAAGGUGCUACAAAUCCUAUAAAUAAAUCUCAAGAAAAAACUUUAGGAGCACUUGCACAUAUUACCAAGACACUUCCAUAAGUUUCGAAUGAAUUGAUACACAAAUAUCCACAUAUAUCCACAAAAUCACAUGUCUAAAGAUAGUUAAUAUGCAUUCAUGAGUUCAAAAACGUGUCAAAUAUCCAUCGAUAUACAAAAAGGGUGAUCAUGAUCAACAUAUCAAAUAUCCAAAGCAACAAAACACAAAGAAACCGUCAUGAUCAACUACAUGUCAUAUCAACAUCCAUGUAAAAUGUAAAAUGUUUCCUAAUUUUUGUCCCAGUAGGAGACAAAAGGUCAUAAUCUCCCAUUUUCUAUCUUAGAAAAAAGACAAAUGAAUGAGAAUUCAAUAGCAUAAUAUCUCACAUCCAAAUCAACAAACAUCCACUUUUCAACAAAAUGUCAAAUACCCAAAAAUCAAAUAUUCACAUAUUACCAAGUAUCCAUAUCAACAUUUCAGAAAAAAAAAAUUAUAGGAUACAAUAAUCUCCUCUUGACUCCCAUCACAAGAUAUAAGAAUCUCUCCCUGAAUCCUAUCACAUGGUUUCAAUUAAAAACUUUCAAAAAAUAUGCUUUAUCACCAUGAAAAUAGAUUUCAAGCAUGAAAAUUUAUGGAAACCACUCAAAAUGAACAACCAAAGCCUAGGAUUAGCAUUCCUAGAAACUAGGAACACUCCAAGGCAAAAAUGAAAUCUCAAACUAUUAAAACUAUUGUGAGAAGACUCCACACACAAAAAAUAAAUAAAUAAAAUCCAAAUGAGACUAAGGGCUGAUUGGAAUUUCCAGAAGUGUAGAUUGUGUUGUGUUGAUUGUGCUGUGAAAAACAUAGUCCUAAGGGUUGAUUGGAAUUUCCAACUGCUGGAACGGAAUCCCAACUACACAAGAUACAAUCUAGUGACGCACAUUGGAGGUCCUAGCCAACACAUACUAUGUAGAAGGCAAUUUCUGACAACACCGACGCACUAAGAAGAGACACACAGACCGACGACAUGAGUUGGACAACACAACAAUUCUAGGCUAUUCGACGAGGCUGUUUGGUGGGAUUGGCUAGACUUGAAACGCUCACCAGAUAGGGAAGUCUGACUAUAAAGGUUUCCAAUGGUAGAGACUUAUGACGGUAGUGGUCGGAAUGAUGAACCGACGAUGAUGGCUAAAGAGAAGCAUAGAGUAGAGAAGUUUCCUUCUUUAGAACAAAAGACCUAGGGCUUUUGAAAGAAAUGAAUUGGGAAAAACUGAUUUAGGGAUUUUGACUUUUUUACUUUUAGUUACGAAAAUACCUCUCAUCCAUUAAACCAUAUGAGCAUAACUAGUUGGGGGCAAAAAUGGAAAUUUUCACAAAUGCAUAAGUGGUAUCGAUUUUAGUGGAUUGAUCUAGCUUUCGAUUGUGCUCUCGAUGAUACACAGUCACAUAGGUUUGAACAUACCAAAUUUGAAAAAAAUGGUUAAGUGUGUGAGAGACAAGUACUAGGUGGUAUCGACCUUGGUGGAUCGAUCUAAGAUUCAUUCAAGGGCUCUCGAUCACUACAUUGUGCACACAAUGGAUCGAUCCACAAAUUCAAUAGAUCGAUCGACACCUAAUUGAAAAAUGACUUAGGCAAAAACUAUUGAAAAAUCACAAGAAAUACACCAAUAGGCUUUCCAAAAACUGAAAAUUGAUUGACCAAAGAUGAGAUACAAUAGGAUGGCAUACUUAUAUUUCAAUUAAUGAGUUAGAGUUGAUUCACAUUGAACAAAAAUGCUUCCAAGAACUUAACAAUGGACAAAAUUAAUAAACAUAGAGAUUGAAGUACUUUCCAAAUUUAUCAAAUGAAUAGGUAAAAAACAAAUGAUUAUCAACACUCUAACAAGGAAGCUUAAGCUAAAAAAAAAAACUCACUCAUGACACCAUAAAACGGUGAAAAUGUUAAAUAAUUUCCACUUAUAAACCUAUAUUCAUUUAUGAGCCAAAAAUCAUUUUCAAGAUACUCUUCCUUUCUAGAGAAAUUCAAGAUAAUGUUCCAAGAAGUCAAUUUGCAUCUCUCUUGGCUAGAUUUCUGUUUAACAUGACCUAAUCACAUCCCUUUAAUAAAAUUCAUACACUAUUUGCUUUUCAUAUUUAGCAUUGAAAGGAAUACAAAGCUAUAAGUUUUACCUUAAAGAUCAGUUUUUGACUUGAGGAUCUCUAAGGACGCCUUUACAACAUAACAACAUAAGAGAUGUCCCACUUUUGCAAGGGAGGCUUUUUAAUUCUUGAAACACUGCCAAAGAGCCAUAUCCAUUCCGGGAAACUUCAUAUUUUCUUUUUCUUUUCUUUUUCAUUUUUUUUAAAAAUUUAAUUUCAAAGAGAGGACAAACAAUCAAAGAUUGAUAUUCUCAACCUCUCAAGGAUAUUCCAGGUGUCUUUACUCACUCUUUAAUGCUCAUUAAAUGGGUAUAAGUUUACAUUUAGACUUUAAAGAGCAUUAUUCACCAUUUAUGCAAACACAAGGUCUAACAAUGAGCUUUUUCUCACUUAAUAGAAAUGAAGCUAAUCAUUUGUAGUUUAUCUAACCAAAUCAAAAUAGCAAGGAUUCAAUAUCAUGUUUAUCAAACAAGCCAUGGAGAUAAAGACAUCUUGAAGCUUUUAAGAUCAUGAUGAGUUAAUUUAACUUUUAAACAAAAUGAAUAAGCAUGUCACUCUCAUGAACUCAACAAUUGUUGAAAAUUUAUGAAAAAUGGAGAAAAGAUUGAACCAAAACAAAAAGAACAUCAAGUUGAUGAUAUUUGGGAACUUAGGAAGACAACUAGGACUCAAGAAUAUGCAAGAGGAGUCCUAGACAAGUUUUAGAGGCAAUUAAAUAGAGAGUAUAUAAACCUAUGGGGCUCCUAAGUGAUUCAAACCUAGAAAUGUCCAAAGGUUUAGUAACAUUGUUAGCAAUUUGACUUUCUAUAGGGAAAAACUCUAGUGAAACAACCUUGUCUUCUACCAAGUCUUGAAUGCAGUGAUGCUUAAUGUCCACAUGUUUUUAUCUAGAAUGAAGAACACGGUUCUUUAACCUAUCAAUAACAUUGGCAUCAUCAAAUUCCUCCCCAUCAAUCUUAACUUUUACAAUGGGAUGCUCUUUUUCAUUUUGCAACAAUCUAUGUUGUAGCAAGUGAUUAACACAUACAAUUUUAGAACUUCCACACACAAGAGAAGAGGAUGAAGGAGAUUUUUUACUAACAACAUAGCACUUAUCACAAAUUCUCAAGCCCAUCAUCACACAUACAUCAUUCAAGUUAAACACCUUGCAAAAAUUUUGUGAAAAUUUUACAUUGAACUCAUUCCCACACAUUUGGCUUAUUCUAACUAAGUUAGCCUUUAAACCUUCAUAUAAGACCUCUUCAAGAUUAGGAAUUUCGGGGGCACAAAUGGUACCUUUGUCUUUCACCCUAGCCACAUUACCAUAUCUAAAUGUCACAUUUCCUCCAUCAAAUUCAGUGAAUGAAGUGAACAAAGAUUUAUUUCCAGUCAUAUGAUGUGAGCAUCUACUAUCAAGAUUCCAUGAGUGUGACUCACUAGCUCUAAGUACGUUAUGGACAACAAAACACUUCAACUCAUUCAUUUACACCCAAAUUUGUUUAAUAUUUGAGACUUGUCUUUUCAUUCAAAGUGCUUCCUUUCAACUCACCAUUAUGAGGGAUCUUUGACCACUUCUUGGACACUCUCUUAUUCUCAUUCAAUAACCUAUUCUUCAAAGUAUAACAUUCAUUCAUUAGGUUGGUAAAUUUCUUUUGAAAAUUAUCAGACAAUCUUGCAUAACAUCUAUAAAAAAUGUGUCCCAUUUUGCCACAAUGAUUGCAAUGAAACUUGAUUUGAGAAUGAGUUUUCUUAGGAGAUUAUUUUUCACAAGGCUUAACAAAAAUUGUUUUACCACUACUUGGAGUAGUAUUUGCAUCAACAAAUCCUAAGCCUUGUUUAUCAAAAAAUUUACACCCUAAAUUGAUCAACUCAUUAAGUCUCUUAGAGCUAGGAUGUGACUCUUCCUUCUUAAGACUUAACCCAUCCUUGAACAUUUGAUUCACUUUUCAAUACAUAAUAUUUUUUCUUCACUUCCAAAUGUUCAUUUUCAAGAAAUCCAAUUUUGUCAAGCAAAACCUUAUUUUCUCCCUUCAAGACAUCAAUCUCAUUGAUUAGAAUAUUCUUAGAAGCCUUCCACUUGACUUGUUCUUGUUUAAGGCUCAAGCACUCCUUAUACAAAGUCUCAUAUGCCGUGUCAAAACUCAUGUCAUCAUCAUUGGAGUCACUUGACUCAUGACUCACUUAUCACUUAAGACCUCUUUCUUGAGUGGUUUCUCAUUGACACUUGCAACAAAGGCUAUGAAGUUAGUGCAUUUUUCACUUCCAUUGGAUUCUUUUUCACUUGAUUGACAAGAUUCUAUGUUGCUUCAAGUGACUUGCAUGACCUUCUUUCCUUUUUUUCUUUGAGGGACAUUUGGCGGCAUAAUGUCCAUUUCCUCUACAUUUAAAGCACUCAAUCUCCAACUCUUUUUUCACACAUUUCUCCAUAUCCUUCUUUUUUUUCUAAUAGAGUUCCUCCAUUUUUACCAUCAUUUGAUUCUUUCUUGGAUUUUAUGAAUUUCAUGUACUUCUUAAUUUUUUUAGUAAACUUAGUAAGCACACCAUUUGAUAUUUUCUCAUCAUCCUCACUUUCGGAACUUAGGGACUCUUCUUUAAUAGUUUUUAAAGCAAUUCCCUUAGCUUUCCUAGGUGAUACAAGCGUCAUCUCAAAGGUUUGGAGGGAACCUACAAGUUCAUCUAUCUUCAAGGAAUCCACAUCCUUAGACUCUUCAAUGGUGGUAACCUUAGCUCUAAAUCUCUCUCGAAGAGAUCUUAAAAUUUUUCUAACCACCUUAGUGUUAGAGACGGAUUCACCUAGAUUGAAGUUAGAAUUCACUAUAUCCAUCAAUUUUGCAUGAAAUUCUCCAAAAGUUUCAUGGUCAUCCAUCCUAAUGGUCUCAAACCUAGAUGUCAACAUUUGAAGCCUGGACAUUUUUACGACAUUAGUUCCUUCAUGAGUCACUUGGAGGAUAUCCUAAGCCUUCUUUAACCAAAGUGCAUGUGGCAAUCCUAUGAAAUUCAUUCGUACUAAUGGCAUUGAAGAUGGAGUACAUGGCUCUAGCUUUAUUCUCACUUGCUUCAUUUUCACUUCUAUCACAUUCCAAUUUUGGCUUGAUAACAUUUGUUAGUUUACCUUCUCUAUCUAACACCUUAGGUGGAGACUAACCAAAUUCAAUGACAUUCCAAACUUUUUCACUUUGCAUUUUGAGAAAAUAUUGCAUUCUCACUUUCCAAUGAGAAUAAUUUUCACCAGUUAAGAAUGGUGGUCUCCUAAUGGAAGAUCUCUCUUAAUGAGGUUCCAUGAUUGAGAUUUAAGGACCGAAAAUGAUUUUUUCUUUAAAAACCCUCUCUGAUACCAAUUGAAAAGGUGAAUCUCAAUAGUGGAAUACACCUAAAUGGGGGUUGAAUAGGUGUUUUGACCAAUUUAUCAAAAUCUCAACUCAAAUUNNNNNNNNNNNNNNNNNNNNNNNNNNNNNNNNNNNNNNNNNNNNNNNNNNNNNNNNNNNNNNNNNNNNNNNNNNNNNNNNNNNNNNNNNNNNNNNNNNNNAAAAAAUGCACACUCUCUCACAAAGAAUGUAAAUUUUUCAAAAAAAAAAAAAAAAAAAAAACUUUCUUUUAUGGGGGGGCGCGGUGCUAUACAUUCUUAUAUAGGUAUAUAUAUAAAAAUAUAGAGACCUCACAGAGAAUGUGAGGGGUUCCUGUUCCUUGUGGGUCACUUCUAAAUCCUACACACACCCCUAAGAAACACACACACACUUUUUUUAUGGUGAACCACGACAAUAUACAUCCUUAUUUGGAUCUCUCUAUAAACAUAUAGAAGUGUGGGAGUGUGUGAGGCUCUCCCUUAUUUGAGUGGGCGUUUCUAAAACCUAUAUACAAAUUUUUUUACAUAUAGAAAUAUGAGAGGUACACGUCUAUUAUCUUUUCAUACCAUAUCUAUAUCACUCACUCUCUCUCUCACGUUUGUUUUGUGUGUAUAUAUAUAUAUAUAUAUAUAUAUAUAUAUAUAUAUAUAUAUAUAUAUAUAUAUAUAUAUAUAUAUAUAUAUAUAUAUAUAUAUAUAUAUAAAGUAUAUCCUUUUUAGGUUGUGCCUUUGAAUUAUUCCACUUNNNNNNNNNNNNNNNNNNNNNNNNNNNNNNNNNNNNNNNNNNNNNNNNNNNNNNNNNNNNNNNNNNNNNNNNNNNNNNNNNNNNNNNNNNNNNNNNNNNNCAAAGAUGAUUCAUAGUCAUUUCUCUUCAUCAUUCAAUCAAAUAGUAGACAAUCAAAAUUAUAAUAAAUUCUUGAAACUGAAAACUGAUGCUAAGAAGAGAAAGAGAGACAAUGAGACACCAUAAAUUUACAUGAAAAAUCUCCGAAGAGAUAAAAAACCAUGGGCCUAUUACUGAUUGAAAACAUCCACUAUGAAAAAUAAAAUCUGAAUACAAGGUUUUACCUACCUCAAGCCAACCAAUCUUUCCCAAACCACUUGACUAGUACCUUUACUUUCAGCUUCUCACCUUCUUCUUUCGAGGCACACUUGGAGUUUGUACCAAGCUCAAUCUCGACCUCUUCUUGAAUUCAUACAAGAACAAAAUGGGUUUUUGCACAAAACUGAGAGAAUGAGAGAUGAAUGUUUCAGAAAUCAACCCAUGUUCGUUUUUAGAAAAUCCAUUUUUUUAAAAAAAUUAUUGGAAAACUUGGACGGAUUUUCUUCAUAGGUAAACACCCUCCAAAUGGUGAGGAAAGAAAAAACUCUCUCACGGCUACUACAGUCACCACUUCCAGAAAUGAGGGAGAUUUGAUUUUAAAUGAGAGUGAAACCUUAAUCCAAAGGUUGAAAAUCGAUCUAAAAAACAUGUUAGUUGGAUCAAUUUACCCCUAUACCUAGAUUGAUCCAAAAACAGGGGAACAAAAGCCUUGCACCAACAAUAUUUCUCUCAGUUUUCUUUACUCAUUUAAAGAUGAAAAAUAGGGUUGAUUCACAUUCAAUCACCACACACUCAACCACAUACCUUGACCUCUUAGCAAGUCUUAAUCUUCAAAGGUCAAGUAGUUCGAAGAGGGAUUGGUAAACCAAGUUAGGGAACACUUAGGAAUUUUUUUCGGAAUUUCCAACCUAGCUAAACACUCACAGGUUCAUUUUUUUAGAAACAUAUAACACCUUAAGAAAAAUAUGUACAUUUGAUUUCAACUUAACAUGACAGAGUCACACUCAUUUGGGUCUAAGAUUUGACUUAUGUAUGCUACAAAAUGUAAUUAAGAGCUUCCCAAACCUCAUUUGACAUGGUGGAACCCUACCUAAGGUACAUCUUUUACAAAAAUACAUACAUUCUUAACAAAUAUAUAUAUAUAUAUAUAUUUUGAAGAAAAAUACUUACAUUUUUUUCAAGCGAACUGUGUGUUGGCGUCGUAGAUCUAAGGAACGGAAACAAUACGAAUUUAUUUAUUUAUUUUUUUAAAUUGAUCUUUAGGGUUAAAGUGCUAACCUUUAGGUUUGGAUGUUUCAGACCUUAAAUUCCAAGUGUUGAAGAUGACAUUGAAGUUGUUGGAAGUCUCGUAAACCCAUGGUCUUUUGCUUGAUGACUCAACUUUAUUCUUGGCACAUUUUUGAUAGGAAGGAAAGAAAGGUGGAGGCUAGAGCUCUCUUUAUCUCUAAAUGGUGGAAGGAAAAAGUGAUGAAGACUCUAACCCCUAGGGGGUAUUUAUAGGGUUCCUAACUAAGCUUAAGUGACUUGAGCCCACAUGGGCUUGGGUAACUUAAUUUAGGCCAAAAUGGAUCCUAAUUGAUUAAUUAACCCAAUAGGGCCUACUAAUUAAUUAAUUAGCUCAAUCUAGAGACUUUGUUCACUUAUCCUUGUGCAAUCUUGUAUAAUUACCAAAACACCCUUAUGCACAAAAGUAAACCUAUAGUCAAUUCGACCCUCAUAACUAUGCCAAAAAGAUAUAUAAGCUCAGAGCGGGGACCACUAGGAUCCAUAAGAGUACUAACUCCCUCAGGAUCCAAUUAUGAAGUUGAUUCAACAUCUUAUUACAAAGAAUCAACCAAACUCCAAUAUUCUAUGUAAAUAACAACAAGACACUACGUGCUCGGGUCUAUGACCUAGUAUCCAUUGUGUUCAGUCUUCCCAUGAACUGGUGUUUUAGUCUAACAAGGUGAAAGCUAUCAACCUUUCAAGACUCUCUACCAUCCUUGUGUUACAAAUCCUCCUAUUGUAUAUUCAAUUGACAUGUCUUAGCUUUCAAAGAGCUUAUGUCAAGUUCUACUUAAGGAACUAUUAUGACCAUAGUUUCCAUGAACACAUCCCCUUAAGAUCACCCAAGGGGACACAUUGUCUCAAUCCCAUGAGAUAUCAUGGUGUCUAUUGAGAAUGCCUAUUGUUACCGACUUCCAUUAACAGUGACCCAAUCCAUAGGGAAUAUAUGAUCAACUUACGAUCUCACCCAUAGGUAAAAGUCAUUGCUAAUUUUAGUACAAUCUCAAUAUUCUCUCAAGGUUGAGAGAUAACACAAUGAAGUAUCUUGGUGAGGUCAUGACUACUUGAUAGUCUUAAGUCAUGACUCAUCAUAGGUCUUGUCCAACGUGUAAUCAUACACAGUAGUGUACUCACCAUGGGAAACCCAUCCCAAUAACGAAGACCAACCAUCCCUCCAAUUAGGAGGUGGUGCACUACAACCUCUAAUGGGUUGCCUAGACCCAUAAACCGGUUGUGAACAAGUCAAUUAUUUGCAAGGAACCCAUGACUUAAAGAUCUUCUAUGCAACUCCUAAUGCACCUAAGUCAUGUACAAUGCAAAAUAUGUUGACAAGACUUCUCAUAAAAUAUAAUACAUGGAAUAAAGAUAGAUAAAAGUGAAAUGGGAACAUCAUUAAAUAAAUAAGGAAUUUCAAAUUUAAUACACCAUGUUAUGCUUUUAAGAGCUCUAUCUUAAGACUAUAAUCCUAUUUGACCUUAUUUAGGUCUAGGUAUUCACUUAUGGAAGCCUGAGAAUGAAUUAAAGGUCUUUCCUUACCUUGUUAGGCUUUUCUAAACCAUAAGAACAUCCUUAAGAAAAAAUACAUAUAUUUUUAUGGAAAACAUGUACGUUCUUAAAAAAACAAAAUAUGUGCGUUUUUUUUAAAGGAGAUUGUGACCUUAUUUUGCCUUAUUUAGGUUUUAAUAUUAACUUAUGGAAGCCUUGUAAUAAUUUUGAGGCUUCCCAUUCCUCGUUGGUCAUUUUUAAAGUCUACGUACAUCUUUAAGAAAAAUAUGCACAUUCUUAAACAAAGUAUGUAAAUUCUUCAAAAAAAAAAAAAAAAAAAACCUUUUCUUUUAAGGUGGACCAUGGUUCUAUUCAUUCUUAUUUAGGUCUAAAUAUUAAAUUAUAGAAGCCUCAUAAUGAAUUUGAGGUCUUCCUGUUCCUUGUAGGUCAUUUCUAAAUCCUACAUACAUCCUUAAGAAACAUACAUGCAAUUUUUUUAAGGUGAACCAUGACAAUAUACAUCCUUAUUAGGAUCUCAAUAUUAACAUAUGGAAGUGUUGGAAUGUUUGAGGCUUUCCCUUAUUUGAUUGGGCAUUUCUAAAACCUAUGUACAAUUUUUUUAACAUAUGGAAAUAUGAUAGGUACAUGACUAGUAUCUUUUCAUACCAUAUCUAUAGCAUUCAUUCUUACUAUCAUGUUUGUUUUGUGAUUAUAUAUAUAUAUAUAUAUAUAUAUAUAUAUAUAUAUAUAUAUAUAUAUAUAUAUAUAUAUAUAUAUAUAUAUAUAUAUAUAUAUAUAUAUAUAUAUANNNNNNNNNNNNNNNNNNNNNNNNNNNNNNNNNNNNNNNNNNNNNNNNNNNNNNNNNNNNNNNNNNNNNNNNNNNNNNNNNNNNNNNNNNNNNNNNNNNNUCAAAAAAAAAAAAAAAAAAAACCCUUUCUUUUAAGGGGGGGCACGGGUCUAUUCACUCUUAUUUAGGUGUAAAUAUAAAAAUAUAGACGCCUCACAAAGAAUGUGAGGUCUCCCCGUUCCCUGUGGGUCACUUCUAAAUCCCACACACACCCCUAAGAGACACACACGCACUUUUUUUAAGGGGAGCCACGACACUAUACACCCCUAUUUGGGUCUCUCUAUUUACAUAUGGAGGUGUGGGAGUGUGUGAGGCUCUCCCCCAUUUGAGUGGGCGCUUCUAAAACCCAUGUACACUUUUUUUAACACAUGGAAAUAUGAGAGGGACACGUCUAGUGUCUUUUCUCACCCUAUCUAUAGCACUCUCUCUCUCUCUCACGUGUGUUUUGUGUGUAUAUAUAUAUAUAUAUAUAUAUAUAUAUAUAUAUAUAUAUAUAUAUAUAUAUAUAUAUAUAUAUAUAUAUAUAUAUAUAUAUAUAUAUAUAGAUAUAUCCUUUUUAGGUUGUGCCUUUGAAUUAUUCCACUUCUAAUGGUUUGAAUUGUUUUUUCUAUUCUAAUGACUAUAAUUACCAUGGUACCAAGAAUUAUGUUUACCACGACCAUGAUUGUGUCCUUAGCCUUGUUCACGUCCAAGUCCAACUCAAUGUCUAGGAGCUUGGACGGAUGUGACAGUUGCUUCUAGCAAUGACACAUACCUAAUAGUAUGAGGUUGAUGAUUCUUCGGUAGAAGUUCAUUAUUUUGUUUAGCCAUAAGAAGACAUUAAACUAAUUCAAAAUAUUUAGUGAAAUGAUGUUCUUGAUAUCGUUGCCAUAGGAGUACAUUCGAGGCAUGAAAAAUGGUGUUCAUUAUUCUUUAAUGAUUUUUUCUCCAUAUAAAUUGUGAACAACUUUUGAAUAAAGUCGAGUUGUGGUCAUUGACAGACUUGAAAUUUUGUAAUCUCAAGUGCAUCUAAUCAUGAUGUGCUUUUGGAAGGAUUACAAUCUCGUGGUGGCCAUAUCAUUAUGUUAUAUUAUUCCAAAGGAUCAAAGUAUCAUUCCAUUAGAUUAUUUCAAAGGAUGAAAAUUCUUUGAUUGUAAGGAAUUCACCUUUUAUUCCUUCAUCAAUGUGAUAAUGAAGGAAUAUUAAUGCUCUAGUACGAUCUUGUGAGGAUGCCUCAUUUUAUUUUUUAAUGGUCUUUUCAAGAUUCAUAUUGUUUAGGUGAAUUUUAGCAUCUAGAAUCCAUAUAAAUAGUUUGCCUGAAAUAGGGAGUGUAACAAACUCAAACUUGGUAAGAUUUGACAUUAUUUGAAAACUAUAUUUGAAAUAAUUUAAUUGGAAUAAUAUUUCAAUUUACCAAAAUGAAUUAUAAAUAAAUGAAUAAAAUUAUCUAACAAUAUUUUAUCAGGUUAAUAUUCAUUAAUAAAAACAUAACGAUUUAAGAUUUUGUUAUAUUUUAUCUCUAAAGGAUUAUUAUAACUAUGGUAAAAAAAAUGCAUGAACAUCAUGUAGUAUUAACAAAAUAAAAAUUACGAAUUGAUAGCUUACAUAGCUUUUGGCUAUGGAUUAUUUUUAUCAUAACAAAAAUGUGUAAAUUUGUAUAUAUCUUUAGGCUAUGAAAUAUUCAUUAUUUAACUUCUAACUAUACAAUUUUGUUUUGUGUAACAUUUGGUUAUAUCAUUAUAAUUAAAAGAAAUUAGAAAUUACGUGUAAGUCAUUCUUUAUAUUUUUAUAACUUUAUAAUUUCUCAUAUAACCUUUGGCUAUACAAUUGUACAUAUUUUACAUAUUUUUUUAUAACUUCUAGUUGUGAUUUUUUUUCAUAAUUUUUGUCUAUAAAAAAAAUAUUUUCAAGUUUCUUCAUCGAAAAAAGGAUAAAUUAAAUAGAAAAUAAUACAAAAGUAGAAGUUUAUCACAUACCUUUUAGAGGAGAAAAAAGAUAUUUUAUGAGAAUAAGUUUGUCCUUUUAGUGUUUGAAUCUUAUACAAAAACUUAUAAUAAGAGUUUUCUUUUGGAGAGACUAGAAUUAGAGAAGAGAUAGAGUUCUAAAAUAACUUUGAGGUAUCCAUUUCAUUGACCCAAGUUUCCUAUUUAUAAGAGUUUGAAAAAACUAGGAUUAAUUAUAAUAUUUAAUUCUUUAUGGGGAAAAAGUAAAAAAUAAAAAAGGCUUUUAAUCAUUAAUUAAGAGUACUUGCUUAAAUACAAAAUUUCACAAAAAUUUAAACUAAAUUCCUUUAAAAAAGAAUAGAUAACUUGUUUUAAAAAAUAGUUAAACUAUGUUAAUUUUAUAUAAUUUGAGUGAGAAAUAAAUUUAUUAUAAAUUGACAAAGUUGUCAUUCACAAAAAGCAUCAAAUAUAUUUGAUUUUUUUUUUCAUUUUCAUUUUUCAUUUUUUUAAGGAAAAAUCAGAUUUAAAUUUUUUUCAUAAAUUGAUAGCUAAAAGAUAAAUUUACAAAAUUUCAAAUCCCCACAUGUUUCCAUUAUUUUUACCCCAUAAAUUAUCCCAUCCUUAAUAAGAUUGAAUUUUGCAAAUUAUUAUUGAUUACUCAUUCAAAAAUAAAAAUAAAUUACACUAAAAAUCAUAAAAUUUAAAUUAGAAAAAUAUUUAAUAUAAAUUUUAAAAAUUCAGCUUUAUAAAAAAUAAAAAUAAUUAUCAAUUCUAAUAAGAUUUUUUUAAUCAAAAUUCUAAAGCAUAAUUCACAUUCAUCUAAAUAUUUAUUAGAAUUAAUAAUUUUUAAAAAUAUAAAUUAAAAUUUGAUACCCCUUCGGAGAUAAAAUUCCAAAAAUCAAUGAAUUAAUUUAGAAAAGAAUACAUAUUUCAAUCUCAAAUCUUCAAAUCUAAACAUAUACUAACUUAGAAAAGUUCUAAUAGUUUCUAACAAGUCUAAGUGGGUAUUUGGUAAAUCAAUUUAAUAACUUAAUUCAAGUUAUUAAAUAAAUUAAAUAUAGUUGGUAAAAUAAUUUAAUGGUAUGACUUAAAGUAAAAAACAACUUUAAGUAAUAAGUAAAAAUAAUUAAUUUAUUCUUAAAUUCAUGUUUUCAUUUUAUCUUUUUACCCUCAUUUAUCUUAGUUCCACGAUUUAUUUUGCUAUUAUACAACUUCCAUCAUUACUUGAUCUCAUUUACCCUCAUUAUAAUUUAUGGGGGUAAGUAUAUUAAUUUGAUGAUUUAGAAUAAAUUUUAAAUUAAUUUUAUUAAAAAAUCUUAAUAUUUAAAGUAAAAAUUAAGUAAUAAGUUUUAAGUCAAUAACUUCAAUAUAAUUUUACUUAAAAUCAACUUAAGUCAUUGAGUAAUAAUUAUUGAGUUUUACCAAACACCCCAUAAUUAUACUUAUUAUCAUACUACCAAUUUCUUAUCAAUUACAUAAUUAUUUAUUAUAAAAUUUUAAUAUGUUAAUGAAUUAUGAUAUUUAAAUAUUUAAAAAUAUGUUGAUUGCAAACUAAUUUAACAAGAAAUAAAAUAAUAUUAUUUUGUAAAUAUUUUUGUAAUGUAAAAGAUAAGUAAUUUAAUAUUUUUUAACAUUUACUAAUAAUUAAAAUAUAAAAAAUUUAAAUAUUUAACAAUACUUAAUUUAUUCAAAUUUAAAACAAAUUUAGAUCUUAGAUAAAAAUACAAUCACCACUGAAAUUUUAAAUAUUUAAAAUACACAUAAAGUUUAAAUAUUUAUUUAAUUUCAGGAAUCUAAGAACUAAGGAAGGGACCAAUAGUGACUUGUCGAUCUAAAAGUAUGCAAGUUCUAUUUUCUUUUCCCUACAAUAUCAUUUUUUUCCUUGCAACAUCAUUUUUGUGGUGGAAAUUAUGCGGAGGACCAGUGUACUUAAUUGACAGGGCUGGCGAAAGCGAUGACGUGGAAUGAUCAAAGCAAUGAGAUGUCGUGGAAGCAACCAACUAUCGGGACGCUUCUAUAUUUUACCAUGCCAUAACAAAAGUUUCCAUAAUUCGCAAGUUCUGGAGAGAUACGAAACCGAGAUAGAAUAUAAUUUAGAAAGGAAAAUGAAAAUGAAAGCUGAGAUAAGGAAUGAGCAUCACCACCUCCUAGAAGUAUCCAAGGGUUUAACCCACUCUCUGAAAUUUGCUAUAAAUACUCAGCAAUUUCCCGUGUUGUUCAUCAAUACUUAAAAGAGUUUGAAUUUAUCAAUCACAUUAGUAGCAAUGGCAGACGAGAUUAUCGUGUUGGAUUUCCGGCCUAGCAUGUUUGGUAUGAGGGUCAGAGUUGCCCUGGCAGAGAAGGGUCUCAAGUAUGAAUAUAGAGAGGAGGACCUGUGGAACAAGAGCCCUUUGCUUCUUGAGAUGAACCCAGUUCAUAAGAAAAUCCCAGUUCUGAUCCACAAUGGAAAGCCCAUUUGUGAGUCUCUGAUAAUAGUUCAGUGUAUUGAUGAGGUUUGGUACGAUAAAUCUCUGCUUUUGCCCAGUGACCCAUACUAGAGAGCUCAGGCCAGGUUCUGGGCGGACUACAUAGACAAGAAGGUAUGCCUUUGCUGUUGAUUUAAAGCAUUCUUUUCCAUUGAUUCAUGGCGAUUGACUCAGAUUUUGAUUAUGGUGAGGGAUUUGUCCAAAAUGCUGGGUUUCUUCACACGUUCCCUUCUGAUAUUGAGUUUUGUGGGCUUUGGGGUUCCAAACUAGAACUUUUACUGAUUCUCCUUGCUGUUUGUUCAACAAGACUAUACUCUGCAUUUCUGAUAUGGGUUUAAAUUUCUUGUUUAUGUUGAAUACGAAUUCUGUUCGUUCCAUCAGGAAAAACAGAUCUCAAGAAUACCUUUUUUCCCCAAGCAAGGCGAAUACAUAAACCAGAUAUUUAAAGAAAGGUGUUUGGUUUUUUGUUAUCUUGCUGUUCAACAUCUUGCACAACAGUUGUUUUAAUAUAUGUUCUGUUUCUUUGAUCUCUUUCUUCUCAUUUUCUGAAACCCAAUUUGAGGGGAAAAACUUCAGCAAAUGAUACAUUCUUUCAGCUGAUUCUGAUCUUUUUUCUUCCACCGGCACUUCAUUUUAUUCUUAGCAAAUGAUAUUUCUAUGCGGAAGAGUCCUUAAUAAACUUGUCCAACUUUACAGAAUUUGAAACUUGAUGAAAUUCUCCAAAAAAAAUAAUCCUUCUCUCUUUGACUCCAUUAUUUUCCACAGCUCUAUGAACUUGGAAGGAAGAUAUGGUCAACCAAAGGAGAAGAGCAGGAAACAGCCAAGAAGGAAUUCAUAGAGUGCCUUAAGCUUUUGGAAGGAGAGCUUGGAGAGAAGCCUUACUUCGGUGGUGAAAAAAUUGGGUUUGUAGAUGUGGCUCUGGUGACCUUCUCUUGCUGGUUUUAUGCAUACGAGACCUUUGGCAACUUCAGCAUAGAGGCGGAGUGCCCCAAGUUGAUCGCUUGGACCAAGAGGUGCAUGGAAAGGGAGAGCGUGUCGUCUUCUCUUGCAGACCCCCACAAGGUCCAUGGCUUUGUCGUGGUGUUGAGAAAGAAGUUUGGUAUAGAGUAGAAGGGGCACAUGGGUCCUCUCUCGAAGACCCCGCAAGGUCCAUGACUUUGUCACGUGGAUGAGAAAGAAGUUUGGUAUUGAAUAAAAGGGAAAUAUCACGGUCUAUGCUCUAUUGAGUAGUGUUGUAUUGGUAAUGUAAGAGGAGUGUUUGCUUAAGUUUGCUAAGUGAUAUGGGUUUGCUGAGCUAUGUUGUUGGAAAUAAAUGUUUUGAAUUUGUUUUGGACUAGAGACGUGUUCCUGUAUUAAAGAAAUAAAAGUCUUUGACUACAUUUCCAUCGUGUCCACAUGAACAACUAUUAAGACAAAUUGGUUAAGACAUGCCCUAGAUAGAAAUAGAUAGAAGUGAGUCAUGAAAUGCACAUAUCUAACCUGCUCUUAUUACCAUAUUUUUUUUUUUUUAAAAAAAACUUUGAUAUGAGAAGUCAAAGAGCAUGUCGUUGUUGAUUUUUUUUUCUUUUUCACAAGAAUAUAUAUAUAUCUUCCAUAAAAUUAUCUUCAUGAAAAUUUUCUAUUUUCAAUUUUUUUUCUCUAUUCCAUUUUCUCAUAUUUAUUGAUUUUAAUUAUUUAUAGAUGUUUUAAAUAUAAAAUAAUAAUAUAAAAUAAAUAAUUAAUAAGAAAAAUUUUAAUAUAACAAUAAAUAAAUAAAAUGUUGAAAGUAAUAUUAUGGUAGGAAGGAUGUAUCACUCUUUUUUGGUUUAAACUAAGAUAUGUUACCAUCAUUUAUGUGCUAGAUGUCUUAUUAAUGGUGAAAUAACGUGAAUUCAAAGGGUGUUAAUGUAACAUUGAUCAACACAACCCUUGAAAAAAUGAAUACCACUCUUUUAUAAAUAAAAAACACCACUAAAUUGUAUUAAAAGUAUCAUUGUAGUGUGAAUGUUGUACUAUUCUUCUUUGGUUUAAGGUAUGUUUCCAUUUGUUAUGUGCUCAACGUAUUAGGUAAUGAUGAAAUAACGUGAAAUGAGUGAAUGUUAUUAUGCAACAACACCGAUCAACACAACCCUUAGAAAAAGAGGGUACCACUCAUUUAUGAAAAAUCUACUAUGUUAAAAGUACUACUAUGGUGGGAAGAAUGUAUCACUUGUCUUUAAGUUCUACCAUGGUAGGAAAAAUGUAUCACUCUUCUUUGGUUUACGGCGAGGUUUGUUACUAUUCAUUACAUGCUCAACGUCAUAUGUGAUGAGGAAAUAAUGUGAAUUGAGAUGGUGUUAUUUCACUAUAACACUGAUCAACACAAAUCCUUGGAAAAAAGGGUACUACUCUGUAGACAUAAAAAAAAUUAGUGGAUUAAAUUACCACUAAUUUGGUCUUCAAAAUGAAUAAAAAAAAAAAUAUAUAUCCUCUUAUGGAUAAGUUUCCUUAAUCUCCAACUAUAAAAAGGAUAAUAAUAAUAAUAAUAAGAAAAUUAUUAUUAUUAUUAUUAUUAUUAUUAUCUUGUUGAUAAAACCUCUUGGGAGAAGAAAAUUUGCUAAAAUCAAGGAACUAAAUCCCUUGAAUUAAGCAACUAAACUCCGAGAAUUUGAAAUUCAAAUUCCAUAUCUUCACCUAUAAAUAGAGGUGUCUUCUUUCAAGAAAGGAGAUGAAGAAAUUGAGAAAUAAAAAAAAAAUUCAGAAAGGAAAAUCCUAAGGAGAAAAUCCAAAGGCAAUUUUGUACAGGAAAAAAAGGUUUCAUAACAAAAGAAAAAGUUUCAUCAAAUUUCUCUGCAAGUUUGGUAAAUGGUAGAACUGCUAAACGCAUUCUUUGCCAUUUAACGAGUUCAUUCGGGAAUAAGCCACUUGUGACCCUCGAUUGAUCUUUGAAAUCAAGAAAACGUCAUCGUCGUCUUCCAAAGUGUGAUUAAGGCAAAAGAAUUAGGGGGGAAAAUUAUUUUGGAAAGAAUAUUAUUUUGAGAUUUUACCCACAAUAUUUUCAAUUUUAAUAAAUGUUUUGUUCGCAUUAUUUUCCUAUUUAUUUUGUUAAUUUGGUAGGACCAUUUAUGAAAUUUGUGGGUACAAAUUUCUAGCACGCCCAGCGAGACUUCUUUGCCUCUCGUCUCUUUUUAGAAGAUUGAUCUCUACUUCAUUGAUGACACCCAAAAGAACUCAAGUUGUGCAUGUAAACAAGGGCAAUGACAAGAUCAUCAUUGCACAAUCAACACAUGACGCCGCUAUGGGCCCCAUGACUCAUAGCAAAGCAAAAUCAACAUCUUCACUCUCAACAAAACAAAUAAGUGAGUUUGCUUGUUUGCUAAAAUCGGUAAGAACGUGUGAUGAGCACCAGCCACUCAUCACAUUGGUCUCUCUAGGGGCAAAGAGCCAUAGUCCUCGUAGUAGGGGAAAACUCACUUCAACACUACAGGACUUAGGAUAAAUCUCCUAGCUCUGUUAUCGAUUCUAACUCUAGCACCGGCUCAUACUCCGAGUCGCCAGCUGGAAUGUCAAAGGAGGAAAACUACUCCAAUCGUUUCGACUCUUUUACUUCUCCCUUCUCGAUGACUAUGCUGGUAAUGGCAACUGGCACUACAUUUGUAGAGGAACAAUUAGUAGAGAUGGCUCAUGGCAUCGCCAAACUCACCAAAAUGGUUGAGGAGAAGGAUAUGCAAAUAGCCUCCCUCAUAAAUAAGGUUGAGGCACAAGUACAAAAUAUGGGUGAGUCAAGUCAAGGACUCAACCACUUUCUGAAUGUUGCAUCUCUUCUCGAUGAUGCACCACAUGCGUAUAGGACAAUCCAAGUUGAGAGACAAAUGGCGGAAUCUGCCUCAAUGGCAUCAUUAUCUAUCCAACAACUUCAGUACAUGAUAACUAACACCAUUAGAGUGCAGUACAGUGGACCCUUACAGAGUACGCUCAUGUACUCAAAACGUUACACUAAGAGGAUUGAUAACCUACGUAUGCCUGUGGGUUAUCAACCUCCAAAAUUUCAAUCAUUUGCAAAAUUUCAAUCAUUUGAUUGGAAGGGAAAUCCAAAACAAUAUAUUGCCCAUUUCAUUGAAACUUGUAACAAUGCAGGUACAGAUGGUGACUUAUUAGUUAAACAAUUCGUCCGUUUUAUUCGAAGGAAUGCUUUCGAUUGGUACAUAGACCUUACACUUAAGUGUAUCGAUAAUUGAGACCAAAUGGAAUGUGAAUUCCUCAAUAGUUUCUAUAACACCCGACGAACUGUAAGCAUGAUGGAACUUACUAACACUAAGCAAUGGAAAGACAAGCCGAUUAUAAACUAUAUCAAUUAUUGACAUUCCUUAAGCCUUGACUACAAAGAUAGAUUAUCUGAGGUAUUGACCAUGGAAAUGUGCAUACAAGGAAUGCAUUGGGGUCUCCUAUACAUUCUCUAAGGGAUACAACCUCAUACAUUUGAAGAAUUAGCUACCAAAGCACAUGACAUAGAGCUCAACAUAGACAACCAUGGUUCUAAGAAGGACCUUACCAUUGAUCGAUAAAGAGAAAGACAUGAUGGGAAAAUGAGUGACAAGACCUCAAAGAAACCUAUUCAGGAGUCAAUGACAAUAAAUAUAACUCUUGUCAAAAUCUCAGCAAGAGAUAAAAAAAAGGAAGUAAAAGAGGUCAGACUAACCCAGGAAAAUAAGAUGUGUCAAUUCAUCUUGAAGGAAUUAGAGGAGAAGAAGUAUCCUUUUCCUGACUUUGAUGUGCCUAACAUGUUGGAAGACUUGCUCCAAAAAAAGGUUAUUAAGUUACUUGAGUGUAAGCAUCCAAAAAGAAUGGGUCGUGUUAAUGAUCCAAUCUACUAUCAUUACCAUCGAAUUGUUAGUCAUCCUAUGGAGAAAUGUUUCAUUUUAAAAGAUCUCAUAAUGAAACUUGCAAAGCAAAGAAGAAUUCAUUUAGAUCUGGAUGAAGUAGUAGAGUCAAAUCAUGCUAUAGUCACAUUUGAGUCAUUUGAUCCUGUUCCAUUACAUGUUCCACUUAAGAAACUAGGGACAUGUGGCAAUACUAUUCAAUGUGAGUCACCAAAACCAAAGCAAACAUAAGUGUCAUGUUAGGAUAGCCUUCUUCGCCUUUGCUCUGAUAAUAAAUCAAUGUCAUAUGACGAAGAAGGUUGGAUAUUGGUGACACGAAGAAGACUUUGCAAGAAGCAAGGGUCGCAUUCAUACCCUAACCUUCUUAGGAGGGAAUGACAUGAGUGGAAUACUCACCAACAUUUAAAGAAGAAAGAAAAAAAGAAUCUUAAAAGAAAACAAGCGAUUGUACAAAUAGACGACUUUUUGGUCCAGAAACUCAUCACCCCUAUCACCCUAGAGAAAUACUUCCCUCUAGGGUUCUUUGAUAAAAGGGUGGCAGUAUCAACUCAUAUGGUCUCUUGCUAAGAGACUUCAAAAGAAGAGGGGUUAAGUGAAGAUGAGGAAAACAUUCUUGGUGUUGAGUCAAGAAAAACUAAGGAAGAAGAGGGGGUUGUAGCAAGCCUACAACACCUACUCUCACUAUUUAGUAGCCACGAAAUGCUACAACUACCUAAUGAGAUACAAAAUGUGUUGAUUCAAGUACUUAAGGAUCCAACACUCUAUGCCACCAAAAUAAAGGGGGCAAAAAGACUUGAGGAUGAAAGCCACAAUUGUGCCAAAUGUUGUGCAGCCAUCAUUUUUACUAACGAAGACCUUCAGUUAGGGUCAAAACCACAUAAUCGACCCCUGUUUGUUACUAGGUACAUACGGGAACAAAAUAUCACUUGCAUUUUAAUUGAUGAAGGGUUUGGAAUAAAUAUCAUGCCUAAAGCAACAAUGAAAUGACUCAGGAUUGCUACAAAAGAACUAACUCAGAGUCGCCUAAUGAUCUAAGGCUUUAAUCAAGGGGGACAACGAGCUAUUGGUAUGAUUCACCUAGAGCUUGUUACAGGUGAAUUGAGUUCGAACACAUUGUUUCAUGUAAUCAUUGCAAAACAUUUUACAACUUAUUACUCGAGCGACCAUGACUUCAUGAGAAUGGGGUAAUUCUUUCGACACUAUACUAGUGUUUCAAAUUCUAUAGAGGAGGGGUAAAGGUAGUAUAGACUGAUACUAAGCCAUUUACAGAAGUCGAGUCUUAUUUUGUUGAUGCUAAAUUUUACAUAGAAAAUGAUGUUAUGCAGGAAGUCCUUCUUGCGAUUAUUCUCUCCACUGGGAAUGCUAAACUUAAGGAAAAAGUUGAGCUAUGUAAGUUGACAUCAGCAGGGAAAUUUCAUAACAAAUGAUGACUCAAAUAAAAAAAAAAGAGAAAUUUUCAAAAAAAUUGACAUUGGACUUGACAAUUCUCACUACUUUCCUAGUUUUUAGGUACAUCCCAAUAUCUCGACGAAGUGAGGGUCAACCAUUUUUCAUAGAAGACAAAAACAAAGUACAACCCUGAGGAUUGGAAAAUGGGGACCUUUAAGUCUUGAAAGAAGAUACGACCAUUCCUCUUCCAAACUUACAACUUAUCUCUAGGGAUGAAACACAAAAAUCCAACAAAACCUCAAGAGAUCAAACAAAGCAAGAAUUCUUUCCUGGUAAAAGAAUAAAUGAGGAGUUCAACCCUAAGACUUACAAGUUAUUAGCCAAGGCAAGGUAUUACUUCACUUCGUCAUCACGAUUAGGAGAACUUAGCCUCGAGACUACAGGUGAAAAGAUGCAUGACUUUAACGAAACUCAAAAAAAGUUGAAACAACAAGGGUAUGCAGUCAAACCUUCUAGUGCAGGUUUAGGGUUUGUACCUUUUGAGCCUAUCAAAAUUUUAGUUAAGACUAAGAAGACUAAGGCAAGUACACAACAUAUCAUUGUAGAAGACAUGGAGGAGAGUAGUGGGUCUAACUCUCCUUCUCGAAUUUCAAUAUUUGAUCGGAUUGAAGCUCUAAUUACAUGAGCUUCAGUGUUCACUAGGUUGGGCGAUUUUAACCAAGUAUAAUGUAAUUUAGCACAUAUUCCACAAAGGUCAAUACAACGAAGGAUUAAUACUCUACCCAAAAGUCACGACGACAAAAUCCCAAUAAGAAGUAGUGUAGUGAACUAAAUAAGAAUGCAAAAAUAAGAAGUUUAAUCCCAUCAAGGAUGAAACACCAUUCAACUUGGGAAAUUUGUACUAAUGGCUAGUUAAAAUUAAAAUGACAUACCAUCGUGAUCACCAAGCAGUCGGACGAGGGAUGCCCUAAAGAUGUUAAAUAAAGUUUGACACACAGUAACUACCAUAUUACAGUAGAAGUUGACUCUAAUUCAGAGUUUUUAGAAGAUGAACUAUGAGAAGCUCCUCAAGUAUUUGAGGACGGGGGGCAGGCCACUGUAGAUGAGUUAAAAGAGCUCAAUUUAGGUACAAAUGAGGACCCAAGGCCAAUUUAUGUAAGUAUGCUUUUAAGUCCUUCUGAAGAGAAAAGUUAUUUUGAAUUGUUACUCAAUUAUAAAGAUGUCUUUGCAUGGUCGUACAAAGAAAUGUCAGGUCUUGAUCCAAAAGUUGUAGUACAUUAACUCACGGUGAAACAUGGUGUCCGAUUGAUUAAGCAAGCCCAAAGACGAUUUUGACCAGAACUUGUUUCGCAAAUAGAAACGAAAAUUUUCAAAUUGAUUGAAGUUGGUUUUAUUAAGGAGGUAAAGUACCCGACAUGGAUUGCGAACAUUGUUCCAGUGAAGAAAAAGAAUGGGUAGAUCCGUGUCUGUGUAAAUUUUAGAGAUUUAAACAAUGCUUGCCCAAAAGAUGACUUCCCAUUACUAAUUAUUAAGCUUAUGGUUGAUGCAACUACAGGUCAUGGAACUUUAUCCUUCAUGGAUGGAUCAUUGGGGUAUAACCAAAUACAAAUGGUGCCAGGGGAUGAAGAACUUACUGCAUUUUGUACUCUAAAGGGUAUUUACUGUUACAAAGUGAUGCCUUUAAGACUAAAUAAUGCAGAUGCAACGUAUCAACAUGCCAUGCAGAAAAUAUUUGAUGACAUGCUUCAUAAGAAUGUCGAGUGCUAUGUUGAUGAACUGGUGGUCAAGUCUAAGAAGAGAGAAGACCACCUGCAAGAUCUUCGUAUGGUGUUUGACAGGUUAAGAAGGUACCAACUUAUGAACCUACUCAAAUGUGCUUUUGGUGUUACUUCUAGUAAGUUUCUAUUUUAUUGUUCGACACCGUGGCAUUGAAGUGGAUCAAUCUAAGAUCGCAACCAUUCGAGCUAUGCCAGAGCUGAGGAAUCUUUAAGAACUUAGAAGUCUUCAAGGACGUCUUACUUUUAUUCGACGAUUUAUUUCAAAUCUUGUAGGACGAUGUCAAUCCUUCAACCAACUUAUGAAGAAAGAUGUCCCAUUUGUUUGGGACAAAGCUUGUCAUAAUCCCUUUGAGAGAAUAAAAAAGUAUUUGGCUAAUCCACCAAUCUUAGGUGCUCUUAUGGCAGGGAAGCCAUUGAUACUCUACAUUGCCGCACAAAAAUGCUCUCUUGGAGCAUUGUUUGCACAACAAAACGAGGAGAACAAAGAAAAUACAUUGUAUUACUUAAGUCAAACUCUAAUGGGAUCAGAACUAAAUUACUCCCUAAUAGAGAAAACUUGUCUUGCUUUAAUCUUCUCGACAAAAAAGCUAAUACAUUACAUGCAGGCAUACACAGUACACUUAAUAGCACACGUUGAUCCCAUUAAGUAUGUGCUAUCAAAGCCAGUUAUUUCAAGACGAUUAGCAAGAUGGGGGUUGUUACUCACUGAGUAUGAAAUAAUCUACAUUCCUUAAAAGGUAAUCAAAGGACAACGCAGACUUCUUGGCAGAUCAUCCUAUCCUUGCAACAUGAAAAAUUUUAGAUGACUUCCCCGAUGAGGAGAUCUUUUAUGUUGAUGUUUUUCCUUCGUGAAUGAUGUUCAGGUCAGCACGUUAUGAUGGAACAGGUGCAGAUGUUGUAUUUGUCUCACAACAAAGAUAGAUACUACCAUAUUCAUUUGUUCUUAGUGAGAGAUGCUCUAACAACGUUGCUAAAUACCAAGCCUUAAUUAUUGAACUACAAAUAGCGAUUGAAAUGAAAAUCACAAGCUUAGAGAUAUGUGGGGAUUCUAAGUUGGUAAUCAAUCAACUUCUAGCCUUGUAUAAGGUUAAAAGUGAUGACUUAGUUCCUUACUUCCAAUAUGCUACCCAACUGAUGGAAAAGUUUGAGCGAACCUCUUUAGUUCAUAUUCCAUGAAAGAAAACUAAAUGGCAGAUGCUCUAGCUAAUCUAGUUGCAAGUUUGACACUGCUUAAGGACGAGACUAUACACAUCACUCUUUGCCAUAAGUGGGUACUGCCGCCAUUGCCACUAUUACAACAAGAAGAAGUAAACGCUACAUCGGUAUUUACUAUUGACAACGAAGAUUGGCGACAACCAUUAAUUGACUACUUAGAGCAUGUGAAGUUACUUGAUGAACUAAGGCAUUGAACAUAAAUACGACAUUGAGCUCCAUACUUCAUUUACUACAAAGAAACACUUUAUCGAUGCUCAUUCCAUGGAGUACUUCUUCGAUGCCUAGAAGGAGAAGAGACAAAUCAAGCAAUUGAAGAAGCUCAUUCUGAGAUCUAUAGGGCUCACCAAUCAGGGCCAAAACUUCAUUUUCGAAUCAAAAGGAUGGGAUACUAUUGGCCAACUAUGGUUAAGGAUUGUAUGGAAUAUGAAAAGAAGUGUCAAUCAUGCCAAUUCCACUCAAAUUUUAUACACAACCCCUUGAGCCACUCCAUCCUACAAUUGCGUCAUUGUAGACCCUCAAUUUUGUCCCUUUAGCACAUGUCUUUAAGUUCGUUUUCAGUGCUUCAAAAUAGUUCCUUGGUGGCCCAUGGCUACUCAUACCACUUACCUUUUUCUGAGUCACCUCGGAGAUUUUGGUGGAGGAAUUAUUUGAUCCUUUAUUGUGACCCUUGGCAGCCCUAACUUAGACUUAGACUUUUCUUGUUUUUUUUUUUUUUUUUUUAGGAUAGCUUUUAGAUACAUUUGGCCCAUUUGGACAUUUUUAGCGUGACUUGUAUGACUUGCAUGGUUACAUGGCUUUUGGGCUCGACUUUUUGUUUAUUGGUUUAUUUUUAUUUUAUUUCAUUUUAUUUAUUUUUACCGUUUCCUAAUUUAUUUACUUGCUUAUUUAUUCAUUCAAUGAUUUAACUUCAAGAUUUUCAUGUUUUUGCAAGGAAACUUACCAUUGGAGUUUAAGGAAGGUGGGACUCUCCUUGGAAGGUUUUGGAGGGGAAUUUGAAAUUGAGAAGAUUGCUUUUGAUUGGAAGAUUUAAAAAAAGGAAGAAAAGAAGAAAGGAAAUAGGAGAAUUUUCCUUUUUGGAAAGAAAUUUAGGUCUUGAGGGGUGAUAUAUAUAGGUGAGAAAAGGAAAAGAGGGGGAAGGAUUUUUUUUGGGGGUAGAGCACGCGUUGGAGGAUUGGGAGGAGAUUUGAGGAGGUUCUUUUUGGAGCAGCAGGCAUUGGAGGAAAAUUUGUCGGGGAAAAGAACAGAGGAAACGAAAAGAGCAAUUGCAACCAAGGCUGUCCAGGUAUGCACCUCGUUGCUUUUGGAAUUCUGACCUAUGUUUGAUUUUUUUCCACGUGAAUAUUUAAUGGUAUUGUUGAUUUUGUGUGGACGAAAGGGGCCACAAUUUGUUUUGUUGAGAUUGGUUGCUUGCUUGUUUGCCUUGUUUUGGUUUUGAUUGUCAUUGAUGUCUUCGGAAGCAUAUAACUCCAUGCCUGAAUGUGAUCAGAUUCUGUUCUUCAUUUAAAUCAUAUUCUGCAUUUGUCUCUCUGUUUUUAGCCCAUGGAUUAAUAUCUGAAGUGGGGGCUAUCCAUGUUUACUGAUCAACACCUUCUGCCAUUUCCUUCUCCAAGUUUUACUUCAAUUUUUUUUAUCUUUUAUCUGUAUUCUUUUCCUCGCAUGGUGUUCGAACCCUUGCUCUUGUAUUUGGGUAUACGUCGAGGAAUGAUGUAAGUGUCAAUAUGAGGGAUGAACUGUGCAACAAUCCCACUCAAAAAUAAUUGAUUCCGAGGUAUUGUAAUGGAUUGUGGAGACUGGAGGUAACGUCUUAUUGGCAUCAGAUUUGACCUUUCUAAUCCUAUGGGAUUCAAUGGCUCGUACAGAAUCGCAACUCCGGUGUUAUUUGCAAGCAUAGCUAAAUGGGUUAAAGCCAAGCUAAUAUUUUCUCUUGCUUCCGAAUGAUCGCGUUAUCAUUGGCCAACAUCACUUCUACCCUUUCCAAUUUUCCAAGCGCUUCUGACCGUAAGAAUAAUGGUCUCAGAGAAAGCAAUUUGACUUGUAAAACAGAGGGUUUCAGAGAGUGUCAGGAAGGUGAUUGAUUUGGGUAGCACUGAAAAAGGAUGGUUUGAACUAGGGUUUUGAAUCACGCCUUGAGUUAUUAGAGCAGUACGAAGAAUUGCGGGAUACCAGUGAUGGAUUGAUGGGUUCGGUGCCGAUUCUGGGUCGUAUUACAGAUUUGGGGCAGAGACGAUUGGUGAUGGCAAUGGGAUUAAUGCAAAUCAGGGAGAUGCUAUUUUUGAGGAAACGUAGUUCACGGGUUUUAGGAAUGUAGUUUCAGAAUUUUCAGAGAUUCUUGAUGUAUUGUGUUAGAAUAUUCUGAAACAGUUUCAGUAUACCGAAGGAUCCAAUACGGGCUUAGCAAUUACUAUAAGGAACAGAAAGAAGGAAAUUGAUGCGACUUCUGCGAACAAGUAAGUUCCAGAUACUUCGGUUGGAAGAACCUUCUCAAUAAGGUGAUCAAUCAGAGGAGGUAUCUUGCACAGUAGACCUUUCUGAUUCUUUAUGUUAUCAACUUGAUCUUGUCUCUUUUGUCGCAUAUGUCAAUUCUGCUCAUUUAUGGAAUUCAAAAUCCUCAUUGUUGUUGCCUGAAAAAGAAAUUACGGCAAUUGGAGAAGACAAUCAGUCUGACCCUUUUUGUUGAAAAUUUUGUUUUGGAAAGAUUUUCUAUUUAAACCUCCCUGCGGGUACUAUUCGAUGAAGUCUUUGGUAAUAAAUUUCAGGAUGCUAUUGAAUUGAUAAGUAUGUAGCCAGUUGCUUCUAAUUUAGCAGCCUGGAAGAGAAUGCGAGUUGUUGAAUUCAUGCACAUGCGAUAUGCUCUGGAAUCUGUGGUGCUUGCAGUUGGAGCUAUGGAAAGAAGUACAUCUUAUCAUCUACUAUUGGUGAGAGAUAUAUUGUUCUUGCAAUGAAGCACCCUGCUGUCUUCUUAGAUAGCAGGUACAUUGACAAUGGGGAUAAGGAUAAGAAGACUUAUACGUCUUCUUAGAAUAUGGAGGAUUCACUCAAUACAAAAGUCACUCUUUUCGUCUCUGGAAUUGAGAAACCACAGUUUAGAGGAUGGAAUUAAAGUUUUUAUGCCCCAAGUUGCAGUAGCAGUUCUGGUAAUACUCAAACUCAGAGCAUCACGGGGUAUGACAGGAUGGCUGGAAUGGUGAUUGGAAGGCUCCUGGCGUCCAGAGAUUCCCUAAGUAGCAGUGGAAGUUUACUACUGGUGUAGCCAUGAUUGAAGUUACAGCUCCAUGUGUAUAUGCUAUCAAAAGAAGAAGGAUACGAGACUCUGAUUUUCCAUACCACUGGAAUGGGUGGAAGGGCUAUGGAGGAUCUGAUCAGAAGGGGAUUUAUACGAUGUGUUCUGGACAUAACAACAACAGAGGUUGCUGAUUAUGUAGUUGGAGGUGUUAUGGCUUGUGACAAUUCCCACCUUGACGUCAUGAAGAUAAGAAAUUUGUCGGCUUUGUAGCAAACGAACUAAACGAAACAGCAUCAAAGGUAAUGUUGACCCGAAUGAUUAGGCUCAUAUUCAGAAAGACAGAAUUUGAUCCAGACUCGAUUUCCUCUGGUUCUGCUACAAAUAAAGAAGUUGAAUUUCUGGACUGCACAAGGACCUUUUAGUUCUGAUUUUUCUUUAGGUGCCAAUCUUACCACAAUGGAAGAUGUCCAGAAUAGUUUUAAUGCAACGCAACUUAGGCUUUGUGGAAGGUUAAGCAAUGUUGAUGGCUAUAUAAUGCCGAUCAUCUUCCCAAGUGUUAUUCUCUGUGGCUGAGUUGUUUUCUGAAGCUGAAACAUAAAGACCCUCUCAAUAAGGCCGCCUCUAUGAAUCUUGCUCAGCAUGCACUGAUCAGCAAUUUCUGGUGAGAUCUCAGCCAGUUCCAGCUGAUAAGCAGGUGAACCAGGCAGGAAGGACCAAUUGGCAAACACUCUUGGGCUUUCCUGGUGGGCAUGAAACCCAGAAUUGCAAUGGGGUAGUUCAGAAUCUGAAUCUAGUUCGACUUGGAGGUCUGAGUCAGACAUUAUAUAAUUAGGAUGGCAAAGAAGACUCCUUACCUACAGCGGCCCAAAUUUAUUAAGUCGUCCUUUGACACUAAAGAGAUCACCGGUUUGCCCUUGAUAAAUUAAUGUCAUCAUGAGCAGAUUUUGUUCCUAUUCUUUAGCUGAGAAUCAAAUGCAUCACACCAUCGAACAGUUGAAAUCUUUGAGUAGGAGCAGAGAAUGAUGCAGAACAGAGAAAACAAUGACCCAGGUCCAACAGGUCUCAUGAGGUUUGAUGGUGAGAUCCGUUCAGCAAUGUUGGGAAGCAACUGGAAAUAUGGGCCUCAUGCUGCUGCAACUCACUUAGACUACAUGGUUGAGUUUACAGUCACUGUGCCAAUUUUGAGUCUUGCUGGAACAAUGGAUAACUUACCAGCUGGUGAACCAUGGCUGCAGAAACUAAAAGCGGAUUGAGCAGGAUGCAACUACUCUCAUUCCAGGAAACAAAGAACUGAAACCACACGAGUAGGACCCUUUGAACAAAAAUGCUGGUAUCAAUACACAUCCUACGUGCCCAUCUAUUAUUCAAUCCAAUUCUGAAGUCCCAGUCAUGUCACCUAGAAAAAGCAAAGGAGAAAUUCAAAGGGAACCCUUGGGCUUGAAAGGAAAGGUUCUUAGUCUUGGAAAGGUUCAGAAAAGCCGGAAGGUGUAGAAAGAAUUCAAGCAGCCACAGAAGGCUUCCUCCAAGCUGAUAGUACCACCUAGCACAGGUUUCGGUACCUUAACCUAUGGAUAUAGUUUGCUCUUGAGAGCGUUCCAUACAUUCGAAACGGCAUCAAUAAGUCACUACUUUUGGAUCAGCACUUGGAACUGGAUCUUAGUACUGUCAUGCUUGGCUGUUGCUUUUGGUUUUAGAAACAUGAACUGCUUAGGUAACGCAUCUGGCUUGGCAGUUAUAAUUAUAAUGUCAGUCACCACCUGCCUAAUGUCUCUGGUUGCUGUACUGUGCCGACACCAGAAUGUCUCCUCUAUAAUUGGCUCCAUGUUCUUCAUUGGCGUAAUUGAAGCUUUCUAUUUCUCAGCAUGGAUCUCUAAGCCACUCCUGAGCAUGCGUGUAAGAAUGGAUAGCAGGGCAGAUUUUCAGGUUCCUGGUCAGAGUGGAAUAAUGGGACAGCCAAAUGAAGACGAAUUCCCCAUGAACUUCCAAAAAUAGACUUAAUGAUAAGAAGAGAGGUGAAAAAGAAUUCAGUGGCUAUUCGAGAUGACUUUUAUGGAUGAAUUCGGUAGAGAAUUGAAAAGAAUUCAAGUGGUUGCAUAUGUGGGUGAGAUUCAAUAGCGUUAACGGAUACUCUUGAUGGCUGAAAUUUAAAAGAAAUGAUAGACUACAUAAGUGAGGUGAUUGAAUUUUAUAAAUAUGAUUAUGGGUUUUGAAUUACAUCGAGAUCAGCACUUGUUGAGAUUAUCAUAUUUAUGCUGGUAACAUUGCAAUCAUAUACGUUUUCAUCCCAAGAGUUUGAUCAUGCGUCAAAAUAUCUAGAAGCAGAGCAAAUUGAAACCUUUUCAAAAUCAGCAGUGGACAGAUUCUGUCCUAAAACACUUGAAGUUGGAGCAUACUGAGGCAGUUUAGUCUUCUGAAAUCCAUACCUAGUUUCCUGAUGAUUCAAGUUCUUUAUUUGACUUUUCCUUUAUAGAGAAAGCUCCUAGUGGCAUUGACCAGCCAGGAAUUCACCAUAUGCUUCAUCAACAAUAAUGUGCAAUUCAGGAAAAACGAGGUUGGAUGGUCAGAAGAAGACUUUGAAACUAGUUCAGGAUCUCAAUCUAGUGAAUCUGAUUUCUCCAGUUUCAGUCCAGAUGAGCUUCUGCAGUUAAUUGGUGAUGCAUCAGUUAUGGGAAAGGUCCUUCAUCAACUAGCACUUCACCUUUAUAAGAAUCCAUCAUGAUUCUCAGCACUUGCUGUUGUCUAUUUUCUGACAUGUAUUAAGCAAAGAUUGGUCUGAAGAGAGAUAAUACAUCCUCUAUCUAGUACACAGAUUCAGACGCUGAAUUCCGUGAUUAUGUUAGUGAGGUCACGAGGGAAGUGUGUAGGCAUCACUAUGCAAAGUGCCUUGAAGUUGUAUCAAUUCGUUUGCUGGAUAAUCGCCCACAAAUUAGCAAAAAUCAUCUUUCAAAAUAUAUGAAGUAUCCUACGUUUAUAGGAGAGCAAUUGAUCAUUCAACACCAAAUUGUUAUCUUCAGGGAAAUGUUGAUAUGAUUGGAGGUGCAAUAGCAUUGACUUGAGAUAGUCAACAGUAUGUGAUCACAGAGUUAGGAUAUUACAACAAGAAGAGUCCAAUGGGCUUAAAUCUUUUUGACAGAAAUUCUCAUCUAUCUUGGACUUUAAGCUAGCGUCUGAUGAAAAACAUCAGAAUCUUCACCCUAUUCUAUGAUAGAUGCAUGCAUUGCAGUAUGCUCGAGAUCAUUGUAGGCCUUUAUCCGAGAAGAAACAGAAUAGAGUGAACCAGGUGUUGAAUAAAGCCCGUGAUGAUGCUGAAAGUAGUGCCUAGAAGAACUCGUUAGAAAGUAACAAAGGCAAUGUCCUCUUUCCUCUCCUCUGAUGUGCCUUCUCCUGUUUGGAGUAUACCAAUAAUUCGGAAACUGCACUCUUUAUCUGUGACUUUACUUGAUGGAAACAAAGGGCAAGAUGGGAAGCCUCACAAGGAAGAGAAGCCUCAAAGUCUAUAUGAGAAUUUAGAAGAUUCUUUUGCCACAAAGGCAGCAGAAGAAAUAUGCUUGCAACAGAAAGAACUUAGGGUAUUUGAAAUUUCUGGAUUGGUGCUGCUCAAUGAGAAUAUACAGAAAAUCAAUCCAAAUGAACCACUAAAAGAAGAAUGCACUACUCUAGGUGAAGUAUCAUGGUUAGAGAAUCACAGAAACGCGUCUGCAAUAAAACGCUCAGAUUCUCCAAUAGAAAGUGACAGAACCAUGAAGCUGCCAGUAGAGGUGCCUGAGGGAGCUGAGGAACCUGCAGAAGAGUAUGAAAACAACAAAGAACUGAUCAUAGAGAAAGAGAGAGACAUCAAGGAAUUUCCAGCCGUGUCCAUUGAAGUUGAAUAGGUUAAAUAGGAACGGCAUUCUGAGACAAUACUCGCUGAAAAUCCUAGAAUGACAGAUUCUGAAGUGCAGACUAAAAAUGUGAACCUAUAGGAUUGUGGAAGACUUCAGCAAAGACUCUAAAAGAUUUCCCAUCACAAAAGCAAUGGAAGCAGAGAUGCUACAGAAACAGAGUGGUAAAAGGAAAGUGGAUGUCUCUGGUUCGGUAUCUGAAAUAUCAAAAGAAAUUAAUAAGGAGGUCAUAGAAGAUGCCAGCACUUGCUCUAACAAUAUUGAUGCUGCAUCCGAAGAGGGGAAAACAGAAGAGUCAAGCUUGUAGGAAACUCAACUGAAUGACAAAUACAAAAAGAUCAUUAAGACUAGCUCAGAAGAUAAGACACUAUAAGCAAAUACCACAAAUGAAACUAGUCCACAGGCUGAAGAGGUUGACAGCAUGAAGCUUGAAGAAACUUUUGAAUUGAUGUCUCAACUUCCAGUUAAGGCAUGUGAGAACACAAACAAGGAGAGUGAAACAGUGGAAAGGUCGAUUGAUAAUGUGCUGAAGAAACCGAUUAAAUCUUCUGGUAUAGUAUCAGAAUCCCAAGAACAAUGUGCUGAAGAAACUGAUUAGACCCUUAAGCUCUUCUCUAGCAGGGUCUUUGAUAUCAAAUGCCUGUCAGAACCCCCAUUCAGUAAACUGCUUCAAUUUGAGCUCAGGAAUCCAAGGAAGACACGGAUAAGGGAAAGUUGAUUACGCCAGAAUCUGUAUUUCUCAAGAGCAACUCAAGUUUACUGGAACUCUUCACCCUUCAUUGGAAUUCAAUAAAACUUUGAACAACAGAGAGCCACAGAAAAGUACUAAAGGAGGGCAGAAUGUAUUUUGGGAUUCAACAUCAGCAGGAUAGUCUCAAAUCUUAUUCCCAGGCUCCACUCCAUCAUGGCAACCUUGCUAUACACACCCUCUCCUCUAUUUACUUUUGUGAUUGGGAACUUACUAUUUUAAGUUGAAUUUUUGAACCAUUGUUCAACUAAACAUUCCCAGCUUUGAAAAAUCCAUCUUAGGAGCAUCUAGGUAUAAAAUCCCAAUUUUAACAUGCUAUUUGCUGCCAUUUUCCUCCGGGCAUGCACUUUCACUAUUUUAUCCGAUUUUUAACUAUUUUCAUGAUUUUCUCGAUUUUCUCAAGCAUGAACAAACUUCAUGAUUCCAAACAAUGGAAUUAAUAGAAUAAAUUCAUGCAAAAGUAAUCAGGGCAUUGGGGGGAGGCCCGACAUUCAUAAUAUUCUCUUCAAUAGUGUCUUGUUUGAUAUUUGAUUGAUUGUGCUUCCUCUUUGUGGUAUAUAUGAGAUUAUUUUGAAUUAGUUGUUGAGUUAAUUUUGUUUCCCAUAGAGGAUUAUUAACUCGCUAAUCAGGUACGCUCUUUCUACCACCACACUUUCCAAAAUUUCAUGAAUAUGAGACAUAACCAUAUUUGAUGCCAUAAUUGAUUGCUUUGAUGCUUGUUGGAUCGUCUUUGAUGAAAAUACAUAUUAUGUGUCAUAUUUCCAAACUAAUCUCUCAUGUUUUGUGAUAGUGUUUGAGAAGCCGUUCAGGUACGCACUUCGACUCUCUCUUAUGGUUGGUUUUCUUAUUAGGCAUGCAAUAUUUGAAAUCACCUAGCCUACUCAGGUAUCCAUAAUUAACUGAUUAAUGGCCACGCUUCCCUUAACUUAGUCAGUAGAGACCUCUUUAGGGCUUAGAGGGGUGCUACCUCCUAGAGGUACCUUCCCAAUAAGUAACCUGAUCCCCGAACCAAGACUUGGGUUUUCAAAGACACGCUUUUCCAAAAAUUAUGGAGUCAUUUUUUUAGGGUUUUAUUUCUUGUUUUAUUUUCCCUUCAAAAAUAAAAAUAAAAUAAGUGGCGACUCCAACUUUUUCAAAAAUCAAUUUUUCACAAUAAAAAGCGAGUCUCGUCGAUCGAGUGGGGACGCACGUGAAAAAUGCGGGUCCACAGUCAUGGCCAUUUGAUGCAUGGGGACUUGACGUGGUCAGACCCAUUACUCUUAAAUCCUUUGUUGGACAUGCUUACAUAUUGCAGCAACAUAUUAUUUUUCUAAAUGGGCAAAAGUUGUUCCACUUAAAGAAGUGAAUAAAGAAAAUGUAGUGAACUUCAUUCGAAGUAAUAUUAUCUAUCGGUAUAGGGUACCAUGAUAUAUAAUCACUGACAAUGGGAAACCCUUCUAUAGCAAAUUGAUGAUCAAUCUUUGUGAGAGGUUUAGUUUCAAACAACACAAUUCAUCAAUGUACAAUGCACCGACCAAUGGUCUCACAGAAGCAUUCAACAAGACUCUUUGCAACUUAUUGAAGAAAAUUGUUGAUAAUUCAAAGAGGGAUUGACAUGAAUGAGUAGGAGAAGCACUUUAGGCAUAUCAAACAACAUAUCGAACGCCUACACAAGCAACCCUUUAUUCCCUUGUUUAUGGUGUAGAAGUUGUAUUGCCCCUUGAGCGUCAGAUCCUUUCAUUAAGGAUUUCUAUACAUGAAGGACUAACUAAUGAAGAUAAUGCCAAGUUACAUCUUCAAGAGUUAGAAGCACUAGACGAAAAGUGACUCGAAGCCCAACAACACUUAGAGUAUUAUCAAGCACACCUUUCAAAAGCUUUAAAAAAAAAAGGUUUGUCUUCGGUCUUUUCAAGUCGGUGAUCUAGUUCUUGCCAUUCGUAGACCCAUUAUCACCACACAUAAGACUAGGAGUAAAUUUACAUCAAAAUGGGAUGGACCUUAUGUGGUGCAAGAAGUCUACACCAAUGGUGCUUAUAAGAUCGUCACUGAAGACGGAUUAAGAAUUGGCCCUAUCAAUGGAAAAUUCUUAAAGCGUUAUUAUGCUUGAGUCACACUACACCCUUAGCUUGCAUGAGCAUAAAUUAUGUCUGGAGCACCAAAAAAAAAAUAAAAAAAUCCGCUAAGUCGAAAACCUAAAAGGACGCCUUAGGUAAAAAUUAGGACAUAUGCUCACAAGAUUAAAAUUUUCUUUUAGCCUUGGCAAAAGUUAGAGCAUGAAAAAAAAAGGUGCUGCAUUUGACUUGAUCCUCUCUCUUUGAAAGGUAUGUAAGCAACUUGGGGAAACCACCUAAGUUCACUCACUACCAAAAAAAAAAAAAAAGGUCUCAUUUUUAUUAAUAAAUAAAUCUGACUAACAAAUGCUAGACUUUAUUACAUCUUAAUAAAAAAAAAUGAAUGAAAGCAAAAAAAAAAAGGGAGCCAAAACUAAGUAAAAAGGUACAAUGAUCACAUCCACACCAAGCAUGCAAGCUCGUCACGUUGAGUCCUUAAGGCUUCUUGAAGUGUCUCUAAAGUUUUGACAUCAACAUCAGUAAGCACAAGGGUUUGGGCGAUAAUGACAUGUUAUUUCCUCAAACGAGAAACAUCAUUAUGUUUAUUGGCUAUAAUCUCAUCAAUCUCCAAGAUUAAGUUAUGAAUGUGCUCUUUUUGUUUACCUAGUUGCUUAAAUUCCUUCUUAAGUGCUUCCUAUUUAGCAUCGAGAGUAGCUAAGUCUACCUUUAAUGAUUGACGAUGGUUUUCCUAUAUACACUUAGAGUUUAAAGCAUCCACAAUCUGAGAUGCAAUAAUAGCUAAACGUUCGCUUUGUACUUCUAGAGAUAUAUUUAUAGAAUGGGUGCGUCACAUUGCAUUGAGGUGAUCUACACUUUCCAUGUACUUCUCAAUCUGAGACUUUAAUGGUGAAGGGUUCACUCCAAUCUUUGUGAUAACAUUGAAAAGCUCAUCAAUUUUUCCUCUUAAUAAUGGGAGACAUUUAUUUGGAAAUUUUAAUAAUCAUCACCUUAGUGCCUUCUCCUAUCAUAAGUGCUUCUUGGCGUUAGGCAUUAAGGAUGAUUUGUUUGACGUCGAAUGUGUGAAUGGAAGUAGAAGGAGCAACCACGGUAGGACAUGUAGAUUGUUGUUCAGUAAUUAAACCUAUAAAUGCUAAAAUUGUUAAUUCAUCAUAUGUUGUAUCUCUAAUUGUGGUCUUUUGACCUCGAGAUUCAAUCAGAACAUCACUUAAGAUGUUAGUAAUACCUUUAUCACCCAAAUAAGAAUGAGACAAAGGUAAUGGGAUGAUAGAGUGAUUAUCUUGUUGUAUGGUCAAGGUAAAGGGUGCUGACUCCCUAAUAGCAAUAGUACUUUCGAACUGAUCCUUAGGAGAGGACUCAUCCCCUUCAUUGACAAAUUGGUUGUCACCCGCCACCUAAGGCAAAUAAUUAUUUUUGUUAGUAUCAAUGCAAAAAAAAAAAAAAAAAAACCUUUUCACCAUCAAGUUCCAUCGCUUGAGUAGAAGUUAGGACGUCAGCAAAGAAGACAUUUACAUCAAGAUGAUAAGAGUUAGUCUCAUCAUAGUACAUAGGGUUGGGUCUAAUUUUUUUCCAUUUGAAGUAACAUUCACUUGUAUCUUCAAAGUUUUUGUUUGAUACAUAAAGACCCUGUGCAUUGUUAUGUUGCUUAAAAGUCUUGUGACAGUGAGUAUUACCACCGUUGAAAAUAGUUUCCUCAUGCUCUGAGUGUGUGGAGGUAUUAGUUUGAUGUCCACCCAUUGAGCGCUUAGAAGAAGCUCUUGAAUCAUCAGGUAAAUCAUCAAAAUCCUUCUCAACAUUGUCUCUAAUAUUCCCCUUAGUAGAAACACUUAAGUCAACCUUGCGCGUUCUACUCUCUAAAGAUCUAGAGGGUAUUUGCCAAGAAGAAUUAGGAGGGGGCUCCAUACAAGUAGUAGUAAGAAUUUCUUUAUCAGGAUUACGUACUCUGAUCCACCAAUCCGCAUAAGCCAAUCUGGUAUAGUAACUUUGGAGUAGGUACCAAGCCUAGUACAUGACUGCCAAUGUUGAUACACCGCCUUUAAAGUUCUAGUGUGAAAAAUCUCUAGCGAACUCUCCGGAAGGUCUUGAAGAUAUACAAACUGCCUAGAAAACCGAUGAGGAUAAUACAGUUGGAUUACCCAAUGAUUACCUUGUCGCAAAGAUAAAUAGUUAGAGUGAAGACUUAUGAGAUAAGAAGCUUUGGUAACACUAAUAGAUUCAUUAUCAGUCCAGUGCACAUGCCUCUUGUGGCGCAAUGCCAAGUGGUCUAGCUUUACGCCUUUGCAAGACAUUAUCAAAGCCUAAGCUUGCAAAUCAUCAAAACACUUAACAAAAAACUCGCCAGUGUAAUAAGUCAUCCGUGGGGGAUGGCUCCAAGAAGGAGAAAUGAAAUGGGUAUCGAAAUAUUCAUUUAACCAUCCGUAUAAGUAAUGAAUAGGGAAAAUAGAUGCAUUAGUCCCAGGCUUUGAAGAAUAAGUGAUUUUAUUUAAGCUGUUGUAAAUACUUCCUAACACCAAAACAACAAGGCUAAAUGUCUCACCUUGAGCCAUUUUACUAGCUACCUUGAAGACUUUAGGAUGAAUCAAAUUGACACCUCCCAAGGAAGAACGAACUUGUAUAACCAACAUGCUAAGAAAGCGCCUAAGUAUCCUUCACAUCUGCCUCAGCUAUGCCAAGGUUGUAAAAAAUUUCCAUCUCUGACUGAAUACGAGAUUUAAUAGGAUCAAUUUCCCCAGAGGGGUUAUGAGUCUCCUUAGGCCUUUACGCCUUAUUCCUUGUACUUUUAUUUGGAAGUUUUGCAUACUUCAUGGAGCCUUUAUACCAAAAUGACACCCAAGAGGCUAACUUGACUGAAGACUUCCCUUUCGUGUUAGAGCAAAUUCGAUGAUAUGCAAGGAAUAAGUUUUGACAACUUGGUGGGAGUGAGGGCUUUGUCACAUCAUUAGAUAACUCUUCCAUGCUCGGUACCAUCUCAUCAUAAAAAGAUCCAAUGAUGGGUAGUCCAACAAUAUGAUACAAGUCCCAAAGAGAGAUGGAAACCUCUCUAAUGGAAGUAUGCAAGGUGUUAGUGGUAGGACACCAACGUUCACAAAAGGCCCUAAUCACAGAGGCAUGACAAUCAUAGCUGAAUAAGGACGCAAAAAUAGCUUCAUAAAGCUUACAUCCUUUAAGAAAUGGUCCAUGCCGGUCCAAUACCUCCUCUACCCAUUCCCAAUAUCCUUCGAUAAAGAAAUAUUCCCUUAGUACUUUGAAUGAACUUCCCCAUUUAGCUUCUCCGUCAUGAACACAAGAACCAAACUAUCCAAAUUCAUCAUGAACUUUAGUAGUAGUUGGGUGAGAGGAAUUCAACAACAGAACAUCAGAAACAAGUUUCACCUUAUUGAGUUUUGAAUUGCCGAUAUUUGUAAGCUUGCAAGAUGCAACUCGGGACAAGGAAGAAAUGUGUAAUGGGUCCUUUGUCACUGGUACUGACAAAGAUUGAAGGUCAGUAAGUGACUUAUGCACUGACAAGGUAGUCCCCUCCUCAAAAUCUUCACUAUCAUCCUCAAGAAUAGUUACAAUCUUCUAUUUGAAACAUUUGAAGAACGCCAUCCUACAUAAAAAGGAAAAAGAAGGUAGAGAGAGAGAUAAAUAAAACAUGGGUAUAAGUUUUUAGAUACCACUAUGCAUUUAAGUCAGAUCAAUUCACAUGAGUGAAGACCUUAGCACUUAAGUCAUAUAAAGUGUUGAAAGUACAAUACCGCAUAGCAUCAGGGCCAUAACUUGUUUGCAUAGAUACCGAGUAUUAUUCUAGUUUUAAUUAAAUGUUAAAACUUGAACACAACUAUGCAUUCAAGUCAAGACAAUUUGCAUAGGUGAAGACUUUAGCACAUAAGUGUUGAAAAUACAACACCGCAUAACAUUAGGGCCAUAACUUGUCUACAUAGAUAACAAGUAUUAUUAUGGUUUUAAUUAAAUAUUAAAACUUGAACACCACUAUGCAUUCAAGUCAAUCCAAUUUGCAUGGGUGAAGACUUUAGCACAUAAGUGCUAAAAAUACGACACCGCUUCGCGUCAAGGCUACGAAUUGAUUACAUGAGGGUCAAACUUUAAAUAUUCAUAUGUUUUUUUAUUUUUUAUUUUUAUUUAUUUUUUAUUUUUUAUUUUAUGGAUAUUUAAGUUUAUUAAAAAUUUCCCUCAAGUACUAAGGUAAUUUAAAAAUAAAUAAAUAAAUAAAAUUAAAUUACCUGAAAUCAAAUUCGUCUCUACGAAUAAUGGAGGCUAACAUGUGUUCGAAAAAGGUGAAUCUUUUUCUUCCUUGACAAAAAAAAAAUGAAUAAAAAGAUCACGUGUCAACAUAUAUAUAUAUAUAUCCAUCCAUUUUUUCAGGAGAUCACGUGAAUGGAUUUUAUAUAUAUAUACAUAUAUUAAAUCCUCAUCCUUACAUCAAUAUAUAGAUAUAUAGCCUAGUGAUGACGUCUCCCAAGGCAACCAACAUUGAGGCUCUGUCCCCAUUGACUUCGACAUACACCCACCAAGCUCCAAAAUAUAUAUAUGCAUUUAAAAAAAAAAUACUUACAGGUUUGAAGAGGUGAAGACUUCUUACGGUAAUUCAAGUCAAGUUUCUUAAAAUUGGGUUGAAAAUCACCCAAAAAUUCAAAAAAAAUAAAAGAAUAUGAAAGGAUUCAAGUCGGGUUUCUCAAGUUGGGUCAAAGAACACUCAAAGAUCAAAAAAGCUCUUUGAAAAAGUUCAAGUCAAAUUUCUUAGCUAUUGUCCCUUUUAUAUAUAAAAAAAACGUAUAUGGGGAUGACAAAUUGGAAGAUGAUUGAAAGUGUAAAGUAAGAAGGAAAACAAAUUGGAAGAGGAUUCAAAGUGUAAAGCAAAAAAGGAAAACAAAGUGGAGUUUGGAAAAAAGUGGGAAAGAAAUAUUUUUUUUGGAAAAAAAAAAAACUUCAAGACUCACCCCAUCCACAUGACAAUGCAUAUAUGUGAUGCGUCUUGAAGUGGGGGUAUUUGUAGACAUAAAAAAAAUUAGUGGAUUAAAUUACCACUAAUUUUGUUUUCAAAAUGAAUAAAAAAAAUCCUCUUAUGGAUAAGUUUCUCUAAUCUCCAACUAUAGAAAGGAUAAUAAUAACAAUAAAAAAACUAUUAUUAUUAUUAUUAUUAUUAUUAUUAUUAUUAUUAUUAUCUUGUUGGUAAAACCUUCCAGGAUUUUUUUUUUCUAAAAUCAAGGAACUAAAUCCUUUAAAUUAAGCAACUAAACUCUGAGAAUUUGAAAUUCAAAUUUUAUAUCUUCACCUAUAAAUAGAGGUGUCUUUUUUCAAGAAAGGAGGGGAAGAAAUCGAGAAAAAAAAAUCCAGAAAGGAAAAUCUUAAGGAGGAAAUCCAAAGGAAACUUUGUAUGGGAAAAGGGGCUUCACAACAAAAGAAAAAGCUUCAUCAAAUUUCUCUGCAAGUUCGGUACAUGGUAGAACUGCUAAACACGCUCACCGCUAUUUAACGAGUUCAUUAAGGAAUAAGCCACUUGUGGCCCUCAAUUGAUCUUCGAAAUUAAGAAAAUGUCAUCGUUGUUUUCCAAAGUGUGAUCAAGAUGAAAGAAUCAGAGGGAUAAUAUUUUUUUGGAAAUAAUAUUAUUUUUGAGAUUGUACCCACAAUAUUUUUAAUUUUAAUAAAUAUUUUGUUUGCAUUAUUUUCCUAUUUGUUUUGCUAAUUUUGUAGGACCAUUUACGAAAUUUAUGUGUACAUACUCUUUUAUGAACAAGGUAGUGUAGAAAAAGUGUAACACUUUUUUUUUUAACUCAGGUAACUCAAGUAAUAUAUCAUUUCUACCAUAGUGAAUCCAUUCUUCUUCUUUAGCGUAUAAAAAGUGACUCCGUUCUUCUUUAGCACAUUAACUUGAAUACGCAACUCAAGUAAUAUAUCAUUUCUACCAUAGUACUUUUAGCAUUUUAGUGGUAUUUUUUUUCUCAUAAAAAUGUGUACCCUUUGAAUAAGCAACCUUUGAGGUGCACAACUUAAUGUUUUAAGAGGGUGCACUAUUUUUUCCUAGCGCAUUUGAAAUGUGUACAACUUCACUAUGCAAAAAAACAUUAUUUUUUAAUAAAAUUAAGAUCAAAUUAAUAUAAAUGAUUAAAUACAAUUUUUAUGAAAAAAAUAUAUUUUAUUUUUUAUUUAUAUAAAUAAAAAUAAAAAAUUUAAUAAAACAAAAUAUUAGAGCCACAACCAAUUUUCUAUCUUAUAUAAUUAAAAAUAUUAAACAUUUUAACCAAGAAGAAAAUUAAAAUUGUGAUCAAGUUACAUCCAUAAGCAAAAAGUUAAAAUAGUGAUUAUCGACUCUAACUUUCACAUAAAAAUUUAACAAUUUUUUAAAAAUAUAAACAAUAAAAUAAUAUGACAAUGUAAUAGGAUUAUAAAAUAAAUAGAUAUUUUAUUUAGGAGGAAUAUAGAAAAUCUUAUGUCCUAAGCUUCUAAAUUUGUUCAUAAUGAAUUUAUUUUUAUAUUAAAUUUGUUUUCAUUAAUUAUUUCUUAUAUAUUUUUAUUUUGUGUCUAGAAUAUCCAUAAAUAAUUGAAAUCGGUAAAUGUAAAAGAAGAAAUAAUGAAAAAAUAAAAUUAAAAAGAUUUCAUGAAGUCAACACAUUAGAAAAUAAGAACAGAAAGGUAGAGAUAUUACGAAGGAGAGGAAAAAGAAAAAAGAAAAAUCAUAUGACAUGGUUGUCAUAUUAAAGUAAAAAGAAAAAAAAAUAAAAUUUUGUAGUAAUUAACUGUGAAAGGAGAUCGAGGGUUACAGGGUAAUUUUAAAAUUUUGAUGAUUUCACUAUUGAAAUACAUGUUUCUAGAAUUAAUUUUUCCAAGAUGUAUGUACUUUAAAAUUUAAAAUUUAAAACUUUAAAUUUUUUAUAUUUUUUAGUUGUUGCAUGAAUAUUACAUCAUUCUCCAUGAAUAGAAUGUGAUAGGGCAUGGUUUUUAAAUCACUUUUAUAAUAAUUUUUUUAUAAUUAACAAGUUUGGCAAAAGAUAUUCUUAAAUGAUUUAAUUUAUAUUCAAUGCUAGUAGUCAUUUUAAUUGGAUAAACUUUUCAAAAGCAAAUUUGAAGAAUUUGGGUCAAAUGUAAUGUGCAUUUUUGUAGGGCCCUCCCAAUGGACCUCGUAAUGCCAAAACUUCUGGCCUUCAUGUUUUGUCAACUUGUUCACACAAUAAGCUCACGAGCUUUACCUUGCUUUAUCUUGUGAGACUUUGAUAUAUGCUUUGUUUGUAUUAAAGAGGUAAAAAAGUUCUUAACCACCAUUCCAUUUUGCACUAAAAAAAAAUUGAUAUAGACAUGCCAAUUGACUUUGUGUGUCAAAUAUUGUCAUGAUGCAUAUGAGAAAAUAAUGUGUCAUUUGACUCCUUUGAGUCAAAUCUUGCCUUUAAGUACAGAGAAAUAUUUGAGAAAUCGCAAGCAUUUUUUCUUUGUUGUUCAUUAAUAUAUGGAAUAGGUUGACCUUUGAAUUAGUCAAGGACAUGGUAGGUCUUUUGGUCUUAUUUUUACUCAAAUUUAUUUGACUCAAAACUGAAGUAGCAUUAAAAAUGAUACUUCAUGUGGUUGUAAAUUUACAUUUCCUAAGGGUUUUCUUCCCUAUUUGAACCAAAAAUUGAUUUUUAGGGUUAGAGGAACACCUCCCCUACAACAGUCAGACAAACUCCAUUGAGUUCCUCUUCCAUUCAAAGAGUGGGUGUGUUUGUUUCCCAAGAAAAUCUAACCCAUUUUAAGUUCAAAAUAAAUUUUUAUCAAAUUUUUCUUUAGAGCUUGGGUUGAUUCAUUUGGUUCUUCCAAAGAUGAGAACUUUUAACUCAAUGACCCAAUCAAAUUACAUGCAUAAUAACAUGAAAAUCUAGAAACUUAAGUAUUACCGUUUCUAAAUAUGACAACUUUUAAUUCAACAACCCAAUCAAAUAAUCAUGCAUAAUAACGAGAAAAAUCUAAAAACCUAAGAACUACCGUUUCCGAAGAUAUGGACUUUUAAUCUAAUAAACCCAUCAAAUAACAUGCAUAGUAACAAGAGAAUCUAAAACCCCUAAGAACUAACAUUGCCAAUUUAACCCAAUAACCCAAUCAACUAACAUGCAUAAUAACUAGAGAAUAUAAAAAAACCCUAAGAACUAAUCAUUGAAACAUGAAAAUUUUGAUAGUAUGGGAAUAACCUAUAAACCUUAAAAUUAUCAAACUUUGAAAAGUAAGAUUUUUAAUAAAAUAGCAUUCUAACACCAUGAAUGAUAACUAGAAAAUUUAAAACCGAACCAAAAUUUUCAAGAUAAGACUUCUAAGAAAAUAGCAUUUUGAUAACAUGAAUAGUAACUAGAAAAAUUAAAACCUAACCAAAAUGUUCAAGAUGAGACUUUCAAUGAAAUAGAAUUCUAAUAUCAUAAAAUAUGUUCCAAAAAAUUUAAAACCUAACCAAAUUUUUGUAUAACCAACUUUUCAAGAUGGGAAUUUUUAAUAAAGUAACAUUCUAAUAACAUAAGAAGUGUACUUGAAUAUGUCUAAGUAUGUUGUCCUAAAGGAGCACUUAAAAAGAAGCUAUUCUAAAAAGAGAAAAGGAAAAUCCUAGAUCUAACUUGGGGUUUCCAAGGGUCACAAUGAGGGGCUAGAUAAAUCCCUCAACUAGAGUCUUUGAGAUGGCUAAAAAAGGUAAGUUGUGUGAGUUGAAAAUGGGCCACCAGGGAGACUACUGCAAAGUAUGAAAAUAGCACUUAAUAGGGCAUGUGCUAACGUAACAAAUGGAAAGUCUACACUUGCAUGCUAGAUUUAUUCUAAGUUGUGCUCACAUCUAUUUUGCAAGGUUGUUUUAUUCAUCUCAUGGACCCUAAGGAUGAAUGAAUGAAAUGCUUUUAUUAAUUCAAUUGAAUGAAUGAAUAUGAAUGGAUAUGAUCUUUGCCAUUUGAUUCUCUAGUUUGGGUUGUGCACCCCAUGAGGGGUACAAGAUUUUUAUUUUAUUGUAAAAAUAUUUUCUUUUCAAUAGAUGGGUUGUAAGCUCCAUUAUAGGAGCAUAUAAUUUUAUUUUUUAUUUUUUUGAUUGUAAAUUUUUUUUUUUAUCCAUUUAUGGUGACCCAAAAGGAAAGGAAAAAUUCUUAAAUUUUCAUUUUUGAGAUCCUAUGGUGACUUAAGAAAAAAGAAAGAUUCUUGAAAGUUCUUGAUUUGAGAUCCUAAUUUGACUCAAAAUUGGGACAAAUCAUAUAUGGUUUUGAAGCUUAGGAAGUUAGGAAUCCAAUGCUUCAAACAAUUUUCUAUUCGGAGUUGAAAUGAGGAAGAUAUAGUCAAUUGAAGUAAGGUUGUACAAAGAGCAUACUAUUUCAGAAUUAAGUUCGGGCCAAAUUGUUUUUGGUUAUUUGGGCUUCUUUUUUAGCUUUUUUUUUUUUUUUUUUUUUUUUUGUGGAAAUUCGACAUUUUAGGGUUUUGUCAAUUUUUACUAACUAAUCUUUGGUUGUAAGAAUAUUUUGAUAAUUUGAAUUUUGUCCAAUUUUUAAUUACCAAAUAUGCAAUAGGAUCCCUAAAGUUCAUGAGAAAUAUUUAUUUAAUUAUUUCCUUGUUUUUAUUUUAUGUUAUCUUUAUUACUUGCUUAUGUGACCUAAAAUAGGAUAAUUUGGUAUUCUUAAUUAGAUAUAAAUUUUCAUGGGCUUUUUCAAAAUAGGAAAACUUAUUUAAAUUGGAAUGUGUAUUGUUAGGAAAUUUAUUUUAAGAAAAGAUAAGUUAGAAAAGAAUUAAGAGUUUCCAUUCCUUUUAAAAAUUAAUUCUUAAUGAUUUUAAUUUUAUUUAAAAUUUUCUUAGAUCUUUGAGAUCUCUAAGAAUAAAAUCUUUCUUUUAAUGAAAAAACUCUUGUUUUUCCAAAUCUUUAUAAAAUAAUAUUUUUCCUAUUUUGCACAAGGUUUUGAUUUAAAGAAAAUAAGUUGAUUUUGAAAAUUCAUAAUAGAUAAUUUAUAAUUAAGAAGGUUACCAAAAUAAGUAUUCAAACCUAAAGAAAAAUGUUUUGGUAUUCUCUAUAAAUUUUCAUGAAAAGAUUUUUCCAAGAUUAUAUAUUUGAAUUGGUUGUUGCUAAUGAGAAUCUUAUUCAUUUGGAACUAUCAUUUUGAUUUUGGUAUAGAUGCUUCUCCAAGCUACUACACCAUACCUAAGAUGGUCCUUCAGGCUCUCUCCUCCUGAGAUAAGGAGGAAACCCCUAUUUGGAUAUGGAUAGUUCAAAAAUAAAGACUAAGAGAGCAAUUUUGUUUAGCAAACGAGUCUUAGUUUAAAAGAUAAAUAACGGAUUUGAAAAACCUCAUGAUAAGAAGGGUUUUCAAUCUUGUAUGUAGAGGUGUCUAAUGGGUCGUGUUGGGCUGACAUGACCUAAUAUUGAUCGGGCCAUUAGGGGCCAAUGUGUCGGGUUGGGUCGACCCAUGCAAGCCAAAUAGGUGACUCGACACGGCCCAUAAGUCCAUGGGCUAAUCGUGUCAUGCUGGGUCGGGUCGUGCUGUGCCGGUGGGCCAUGGCCCAUGGGCCACUCACUUUGUUAAAAAUUUUAAUUUAAUUUUUUAAGUCAUUUUUUCUUAAGUUUUUUCCUUAUUAAAUAAAUUUUAUUUUUGUUACUUUAAACACCUCUAAUAAUUAUAUUUUUAUUUUAUUUUUUAUAUACUUCUAAUAAUUAUACUUUUUAUUUUUUACAUUUAUAUUUAUUGAGUUUGUAAUUGUAAAAUUUAUAGAAAUAUUAGUUUUUUGUUUUUAAAAAUAGUAAAAAAAAAUUACAUUUGAAUUUGUUUAUUUUAUUUUUAUCAAAAUAACAAUAAAUUUAAAAUAAUGGAAUAUAAAAGGAAAUGAAAUAUAAAAAAAUAAUUCUUUUAUUCAAUAUUUCAACAAAUUACAUGAAAAAAUAAUGAGAAAAAAAAAACAAAAGUGAGAAUUGCAUCACUAUAGUUUGAGUACAUCCCAACUAGGUUGGCACCCACCCAACUAUCAAUCAUAUGCAUUACUUAACCUUUAAAAAUUAACUACAUUUAAUAGAUUUAAAAGAAACGAACAACAUAUAAUUCUUCAAUUAUCAUAUUCACUUUUGUCUUCUUAUUCAAUCUUCAUUCUUAUUUUUUCAUCUUCAAUCAUCAUCAAUCUCUUGAACAUCAUUGUUUGCAUUGAGAUGCAAUUUCUUGAAGGCUUCUUUAAGUUCAUCCUCUAAAGUUUGACAUGAAAAAAGUAAAAAUAGUUAUUGAUUUACUUUUUUUACCCCUCAAACUAGUUGUAAUAUAAUUGUUAAGAGGGGUAUUAUAGACAUUUGACAUGUAAUAAAAAGUAAACACUAAAAGGUGAAAUUUAAAAGGGCCAAGUGGGUCGACACGGUGGGCCGACGGGUUGUUUCUUUAGGCCUAGCAUGGCCUGCUCCUUUGGGUCGUGUUGUCUUAGCUUGCUAUAGUGUUAGGCCAUACUGGCCUUGCCUGACCUUUUGGCGUGCCGAGCCACGGGCCAAAAUGGGCAGCCCGACCCAAUGACCCAGAUUUCAUUAUACAUUUGAAUGGUUUGAAUUGGAAGUUUGAUUUAGGACAAAAUCAAUAACCAUUAAAAAAAGAAAGAAUAUUGUAACACCGUUCAUACCUAUUGACUUUCGUUUUUAAUACUAUUGAAAAUUUUCACGAAUGAGAAGGCAACAAAGCAAGAAUUCUUAAGAUUCUAACUAUGCUACAGUCAUGAAAGAAGAAAAAGGGGGGAGAAGUAAUGUUUUUAUACUACAACCCACAAUCAUGAAAUAAGAAAAAAGAAAAUUCCAAAAAAUAUAGACCAAACAACAAGAACUUGCUUAGGCAUCUUCUAUACGUGAUCCUUUCUUGUCACUUGUUUUUUUUCCAUACUGGAAUGUAAAAUCCUACCAUGAGUGUUAAAAUAAGAUUGCCAUACUUAUUAACCAAUUAGUGAGUAAUUCCUACAAGUGAUAGUUUCUUAUAAUACACAUAUUUCUUGUUUACUUGAGCGCUAGUAGUAAUGAUCAUAAUUUUAAUAUAUUGAGAAUGUAAAAUUUUCUAGCAACAAAUAUAUUUAGCCCAUUGUAUUACAAAAAAGUACUAAAUGAAGAAAAAAAAUAGAGAUGGAAAGAAAUCUAAAUUCUCUUUAGUUCAAAGGUAUAAAAUAAAAUCAAAUAUAAUAAAAAAAUUCAAAAUUUUUCAAUCUUUAUGUAGAAUAGAAAAAAGAAGAAGAAAAAGGAUACUCUUGGUGAAACAUGUAAGAAAUGUUAAUUGAAUUUAAAUUUAUUUUUCAUUUUAUUAUUUUUUUAAAAACUUUUUAUUGUUUUAAAUUAAGAAAUAUACUAAAGACAUAGGUUUUAGUGAUUGCCAUAUGUUGGUAAUAAGCAGGGAAUGUCACUAAAAAAUACAAUAUAUUUUAAUUAAAUGUUACCAAGUAUUGUAUAAUGAAUGAGAGAUGAAUGUUCAAAGAACUCAACCCCUUUUUCUUUUUAGAAAAUCCAUUAGAAAAUUUUUCUUGAAGACUUGAAUAAGAUUUCCUUGGAAAGCAAACAACCUCCAAAAGAGGAAGGGAAUGAAGAGCUCACUCACCGAUUGUUGCUCUCUACAAGCUCUCUCCUCCUGAGAUAAGGAAGAAACCCCUAUUUGGAUAUGGAUAGUUCAAAGAUAAGGACUAAUUAGAAAACAAUUUUUUUAACACACGAGUCUUAGUUUAAAAAAUAAAUAACGGAUUUGAAAAAUCUCAUGAUAAGAAGGGUUUUCAAUCUUGUAUAUUUAUAUUGUCAUUCAAUGACUUAAAUUUCAUUAUACAUUUGAAUGGUCUGAAUUGAAAGUUUGAUGUAGGACAAAAUCAAUACCCAUUAAAAAAGGAAAGAAUAUCGUAACACCAUUCAUACCUAUUGACUCUCCUUUUUAAUACUAUUGAAAAUUUUCACAAAUGAGAAAGCAACAAAGCAAGGAUUCCUAAGAUUCUAACUAUGCUACAAUCAUGAAAGAAGAACAAAGAAAAUUCCAAAAAUAUAGACCAAACAACAAGAACUUGCUUGGGCAUCUUCAGUAAGUGAUCAUUUCUUGUCACUUGUUUUUUUCCAUAUUGGAAUGUAAAAUCCUACCAUGAGUGUUAAGAUAAGAUUGCCAUAAAAGAAAUUAUCAAAUAUGACAAUAUUUUUUCUAAUUUUCAAAGAAUUAUCAAAUAUGACACUAAAUUUUCAAAAUAACACUAAAUUUCUUUCUAUUUUGGAUUUAAAAGUGAGUAGUAAAACUAAAAUUAUCAAAUAUGACAAUAUUUUUUCUAUUUUUCAAAGAAUUUCGAAAGCAUUAUAUUUAAUUAAAAACACUUGGCUGAUAAAUAAAUAAACUGAAAACAUGGGAAUUCUGGAGAGCUACGAAACGGAGAUAAGAAUAUAAUUAAGGAAAAUGAAAGUGAAAGCCAAGGAAUGAGCAUCAUCACCUCCUAGAAGUAUCUAACCCACCUCGCUGAAGUUUGCUAUAAAUACCUAACAAUUUCCCUUGAGUUCAUCAAUGCUUGAGUUUGAAUCUUAUCAAUCACAGUAGUAGCAAUGGCAGACGAGAUUAUCUUGUUGGAUUUCUGGCCUAGCCCGUUUGGUAUGAGGGUCAGAGUUGCCCUGGCAGAGAAGGGUCUCAAGUAUGAAUAUAGAGAGGAGGACCCGAGGAACAAGAACCCUCUGCUUCUUGAGAUGAACCCCGUUCAUAAGAAAAUCCCAGUUCUGAUCCACAAUGGAAAGCCCAUUUGUGAGUCUAUGAUAAUAGUUCAGUAUAUUGAUGAGGUUUGGAACAAAAAAUCUCCGUUGUUGCCUAGUGACCCAUACCAGAGAGCUCAGGCCAGGUUCUGGGCGGACUACAUAGACAAGAAGGUAUGCCUUUUCUGUUGAUUUAAAGCAUUCUUUUCCAUUGAUUCAUGGCGAUUGACUCACAUUUUGAUUAUGGUGAGGGAUUUAUCCAAAAUGCUAGUUCUUCACAUAUUCUCUUCUGAUAUUGAGUUUUGUUGGCUUUGGUGUCCCAAACUAGAACUUUACUGAUUCUCUUGCUGUUUCUUCAACAAGACUCCCCUCUGCAUUUCUGAUAUGGGUUUUUAUUUCUUUGUUCUGUUGAAUCCGACGUCUGUUCGUUCCAUCCAAAAAAGCAGAUCUCAAGAAUACCUUUUCCCCCAAGAAAGGGAAUACAUAAACCAGAAUUUUAAAGAACAGAUUUUGGUUUUUCGUUAUCCUGCUGUUCAACAUUUUGCACAACAGUUGUUUUAAUAUAUGUUCUGUCUUUUUGAUCUCUUUCUUCUCAUUUCUUUAACACAAAUUGAGGGGAAAAACUUUAGCAAAUGAUACAUUCUUUCAACUGAUUCUGAUAUUUUUCCUAGGAUACGAGAUUUCUAUGCCGAAGGGUCGUUAAUAAACUUGCCCAACUAUACAGAAAGUUUGAAACUUGAUGAAAUGCUUCCAAAAGAAAAAAAAAAAACCCUUUUCUCUCUUUGACUCCAUUACUUUCCACAGCUCUAUGAACUUGGAAGGAGGAUAUGGUCAACCAAAGGAGAAGAGCAGGAAACAGCCAAGAAUGAAUUCAUAGAGUACCUUAAGAUUUUGGAAGGAGAGCUUGGAGAGAAGCCUUACUUCGGUGGUGAGAAAUUUGGGUUUGUGGAUGUGGCUCUGGUGACUUUCUCAACCUUGUUUUAUGCGUAUGAGAGCUUUGGUAACUUCAGCAUAGAGGUGGAGUGCCCCAAGUUGAUCGCUUGGACCAAGAGGUGCAUGGAAAAGGAGAGUGUGUCGUCUUCUCUGAAAGACCCACAGAAGGUCCAUGGCUUUGUCAUGGAGAUGAGGAAGAAGCUUGGUAUAGAGUAAAAGGGGAACAUCAUGUGUGGGGGUCUUUCCAUCGAAGACCCACACAAGGUCCAUGACUUUGUCUUGUGGAUGAGAAAGAAGUUCCGUGUAGAAUAAAAGGGCUUUUGAAUCGUGUUGUAUUGGUAAUAUGAGAGGAGUGUUUGCUUUAAGUAUGCUUUGAAGGGGCUGGAAAGAAAUGUUUACAAUUUGUUUUCUUUUGUUUUGGACUAGAGACGUGUUCUUGUAUUGAAGAAAUAAAAGAGUUUUUAACUACAUUCCAUUGUAUCAUGUCACAUAAACAAGCAUUAAAAUAAGUUGGAUAAGACAUGCCACAAAGUUGAUCAGAUGCGUAGUCUAUAAAGAUAUCAUGUCCCAUAGAUAGAAGGUGAUAGACAGCUCACGUGACCAACUCAUACUUUGAGACAAUCCGGUGAUUGUUGCAGUUAUAUCAUAUCCAUUGACCAGCUCAUCCUCUGAUUCAAUCCCACAAUAGUUGCAGUUAUACCAUAUAAUAUUUGUACCUACUGUAUAUAAAAAGGCAGACCCACAAUUAUAACUGUAAUUCCCUCUUGAAUCUAGUCAAUAUGUGUGUUUAUACUCAUGCAAAUAUGAAUGAAAGAUAUUGUUUUUUGCCCAAAGCUUUCUGCUGUUUCAGGGUAUCAGACCCAUAAACUCCACCGAGUCACUAUUCCAGCAGCCACCCAAAUCUUGUAGUCUCUUCAUUGAAACCACCUUUUAUUGCUAUCCCAAUGACUGAAGACUCCAACUCCUCCGGGCCCUUCCCAUAUCACACAGUCAUCAUGUCAUGUGGAAACACUCCUUCAACCGCACUGGUGUCUGUUAAUGCAGCAACACAACUUCCCCUGAAACUCACCGGUAGCAGCAUUUAUCCCUCUUGGAGAACAAUGUUCUCAACACUACUUUAUGGCUAUGAUCUGAUUGGGUAUGUUGAUGGAACAUAUCCAUGUCCACCAGAAAUGAUAAAAAUGGGUGACACUUUCACACCCAAUCCGGAGCACAAAAUUUGGAAACGCCAAGACAGCCUACUUCUGCAUGCUAUCAGGGAAUCAGUUGAUUCCACCAUUGCCCCUCUUGUUGCAUCCACCACAUUUGCUCAAGAGUCUUGGGCUCGUCUACACACCACAUAUGCCAGCAAAUCGAAGACUAGGAUCUUAGGACUCCGAGAGAUGCUGAGCCAACUCAUCAAAGAAAAUAAAUCUGUUGUUGAAUAUAUGACAGUAAUCAAAACUAUGACCGAUGAAUUGGCUAUUGUUGGAUCCCCUCUCGGUGAAGAAGAAAUGGUGAUCAGUGUUCUCAAAGUUUUAGGAUCUGAGUUCAAGGAAUUGAGUGCAGCAAUAAGAGCUUGAGAUUCUUCCAUAUCCUUUGAAGAACUACAUGAAAAACUAGCAGAUCAUGAAAUGUUCCUUAAAUGUGAAGAAUUCAAGAAGCAUAGUGUUACUGUUACAACUCAGUUUAAUCAAAAGGGCUCAAACAACUUUGGCAAAAAGGGGAACAACUCAAACAGUAAGAAAGGACGAAGUUCUCAAUUUGGAAAUAAUUAUCAAGGCAACAAGAAUCAUCAUGGACACAUGUUCCCUAACCAAGGGAAUAGAUUUCUUGGUCCACAAGGGCGUCCUCCAUUCAAUCCCCCUCAAAACUGUGUUGUUUGUCAAUCAUGUGACAAAGCUAGACAUACUGCUAGGGUCUGCAGGUCUCGCCCACCCUCCUAUUUCACACCAAAAGAAAAUUUCAUGGCUCGAGAACCACAAAUUCAUAAUGCCAAUUGGGUAAUAGACUCGGGAGCCUCACACCACAUUACUUCAGAUCUUCAGAAUCUUUCCAUUCAUUCUGAAUAUGGUGGUACAGACGAUGUAAUUAUUGGUGAUGGUAAUGGUAUUUCUAUCACUCAUACUGAUUCUACUAAUUUAAUUACUGAAAAUUCAAAUUUUAUGCUUGGCAAUGUUUUGUGUGCUCCGUCUAUUCAUAAGAACUUAAUUUUUGUGUCUUAGUUUUGCAAACAUAAUUGUACAUCCAUUGAAUUUUUCCCUACUUACUUUUUGGUGAAGGAUUUGAGCAUGGGGGCAACACUCGUUCAAGGCCAGAGUAAGGGAAAUCUGUAUGAGUGGCCGACUUCUUCUCCCAACUCAAGCUCCACACCUCAGGCCUACAACACCACCACCAGUUCAACAUCUCGAUCAUCCCAAUCUGCGUAUUCUCCAACAUGUCAUCUCAAGUCAUUCACUUUCAGUGUCCAAGUUGUCUCUAGACUCUUGUAACUCAUGCUUAUGUAAUAAAAGUCAUCGACUUCCCCUUGGUGCAUCUUCUCUUAUAAGCUCUAAACCCCUUAAACUUAUUUCUACUGAUAUUUAGGGACUUGCUAUGAUGUAGGACAACCCUACACUACUACAAAAAAUGUAAUUUAUGACGUUUUUUUUCUUGACGCUUAUAUAAAGUGCCAUUAUUUAUUCUCAAAAAUGGGUAUUAAUGACGCUUGCAUUAUCUUGGCGCCUUAAUGGGAGAAAUAAUGACGUUUUUAAAUAAUGGCGCUUUUUUAAGCAUCAUUGUACAAUGAAUUUCAAAUAAUGACGCUUUUUUAAGUGCCAUUGUAGGAGAACCUCAACCUUGGCGCUUUUAAAAGCGUCAUUGUACAAUGCAUUUCAAAUAAUGACGAUUUUUUAAGUGCCAUUGUAGGAGAACCUCAACCUUGGCGCUUUUAAAAGCGUCAUUUUCUGUUCAUUUUAUAAUUACUCACAUUUUUCAAUUAAAAAAAAAGAGAUAAAUGUAAUAAAGCCUUUUCCAUACCCGAUGCCCACACUCAAGUUUCAUUACCAAAUCUGUCUCUAACUGAACCAGCAAGCUCCAGCCAAUUUCGAUUGAGAAAAUGAAGUUCUUACUCCAAAUCAAGAAGAUAGCAUUCAUGGAUGCUCCACCGAUUUGACUAUUUGGGUGCUGGAUUGAGAGAAAGGAAAUGAAUGGAGAUAUAAGAGAAAGCUAAGGUUUUUUUAGAUUCGUAGGUUGGGAGAGGCAAGAGGCAGCAAAGGCAGGUGCCUUCGGUUGAAGAGGUAAGCAAGGAGUAAAGGUCGAAGAACCAGAGGAACAGAGGAAAGAAAAGAAGGGAGAAGAAAAAACCCGGAAGAGAGAGUUGUCGGGUACGAGCCCACAUGUUCUCGUUUUCCCAUGGAUUCACAUUCUUCACUAUUGAUUUCUGGGAUUUGAGUGUGAAUGCUUGUAAAUCUGUUGUGGUUUUUGUUUAUUAUCAGUUAUUUUCUUGGUUUGCAUCUCCGAUAAAAAGAUACUAUACCUCUGUUUUUAGGCUCAGUUGUGUCUCUCCUCUGUUUUUGUUCUCUGGAAGAUUUGGAAAUGAUUCUGGUGUUGUUCCAUUUGUGUACAAUGGUUCAUGCCGAAAGGAGCUUGCUUUCCAUGGAGUUGUAGGUACUGCCUAUAACUUGUUUGAUGAAAUGCCAUUUCGAGAUAUGGGCUCUUGGAAUGCAUAGAAAGUUUUUCAACAUUCUUUAUUAAGGGAUGUAGUGUCAUGGAACUCAAUAAUUGUUGCCUAUGAGUAGAAUCAUGUGGCUUUCGAAUUAAAUAAAAAAAAUUUCUUCAGGGGGCGCGACCCCCGACAUCCCGAGCAAAGUGCAACAUUUACUACUAAUUUAAGCUUCACAAUCUGACAUAGGCUUCAUUGCUUAUAUUAUAAAAGAUGCUAUUCAACUUCAUUUUUAAAUGGGUUACACAACAUGUUAUCUAAUUAAUAAUAACGUCAUGUUUGGUUCAUCUAUUCAAUAAACUAAUUGAGAUUUGACACCCCACUUAUGACCACAAACUAGAAUGGUCACCCCCAACAUAAGUAGAACACAUGUCAAGGUGCGGCUUAGCUCUACUUUAGCCUUACUUGGGAAAUCUACCCAAGUCUAAGCCUAAAAACAAAAUGAAAAAAAUAUCAUGAUAUUAUAUUAAUACAAAUUAUAUAUAUCUAUAUUGAUUAUCUAAUUAAUCAAGACUCUAAAAAAUGAGUAACUUUGAUAAAUCAUUUUGGGGGUUGGAGAUGAACCAAUUUUAACAUGAACUUUAUGUAGUGGGUCUUUAAUGGAUUUAGCCAAGUUAUUGAACUUAGGCCUAAAAUGUGAUGCUUACAAACAAUAUUUUCCUAUUCUUACCAUUGCAAUUGAUAUGAAUAAUUUAUAAUACAUAACUAGAUGUAAUAUUUUAAUAAGUAUUUAUGUUUUAGUUUUAAUCAACUAUGCAUGCAUGAAACCUUAGAAUUCCCAUUCAAGUAUCAUUGUGAGACAGAAGUUUCUCUUAUUACAUACUAAGACAAUAAGUUGUCAAAAUGUGAAAUGUGAGUAUAUUUAAGCCAGUUUCAAGUUGACAACCACUAAAUUUGUUUUCCAUGUGAUAAAGAUCUUUUCUUUGCAAAUGAUGUUUGAAUUGUCCAGUUGGACAGUAUAGGAAAACAUGAUAUCUAUGAAGUUAAUUGCUUGUUCUUAAUUCAAUUUUUAGAAAAUUUGGUAGUCUUUCUUCUUGUUCUCUGGGUGCAUAUUUGGACAAGGUCACAUAUUGUGCCUUAUCCAUUUUGUGUACUUGGUGAACUAUAAGGAAAUGCUGCCGAAAUUUCUUUAAAAUGAAUUUAAGUAUAUUGGCAAUUGACACAUAGGGAUUAUGUAUUCCUAUAUGGGAUAGGAACCACCACCUAAUUAAGGAUGUUGGAGAUGUUAGAAUGCCUAAAUCAUGUAUAAAUCACUUGCUUCUAUUCAUUCGAAUCUUAGUUCCAUUCGUUAAUUGUUUUAGUUCAUGGUAUCAUUGUCUCAUAUGGUUAUGUGUUUUUAAAAUUUUCAAACUUGGUGUAUUCAAUAAUAUAAGAGAAGACUAAAAGUUAGAUCUUGCUUUUCGUUCCUAUUCAUGAAUAAAGCAAACAUCAUGAACGAACUAAGAUCCAUUUUUUAUGCUAAUAUUGAAUAACCUAAUAUACUAAUUAUGUUUCUUGUCAUAUUGCUUAUUGUUAGAUGACUUGCACAUUGUCGUUUUUUGGAUUGGUCUAAGUUUUGUGACAAUGUGGGAAAUUUUAAUUUGGUAGAUUAUAUAUUUUAAGCCUAUUAAUAGGAUUUUAUUAAUAACUUUAGUUGUUAGUGGUAUCUAGGAGUUGUGUUUAUCUCUUGUACAUCAAAUGGAUCGUUCUUGGAUGUCAAAGGAUAGGAGAUCAAAGGAUUAUGCAGAUGGGGUAGAAAACUUUAUCGCAUUUGCAUUACAAUAUUCCACAUAUAAAAACUCCAUUAAAUGUCCAUGCCUUCAGUGUGGUAAUAUGAUAUUCCACACUCCUCAAAAAAUUAGAGAACAUUUAUUCUUCUAUGGAAUUGAUUAGAGUUACCAUACAUGGUAUUGGCAUGGAGACAUUGCUCCAAGUGGACCACCAACUAGUAGGGCAGAAUGGCAUCAUACAGUUGAAUUUAACGAUGUGGAUAGUACAAUAGAAAUGGUUCAAGUUGCAUAUGAUGAUUGUAAGAAUGACCCAAAAUCGUUUGAAACAUUACUUGAUGAUGCUCAAAAACCUUUAUAUCCUGGUUGUAGAAACUUUACAAAGUUAUCUGCAUUGGUCAAAUUAUACAACCUGAAAGCAUGAUAUGGAUGGUCUGAUAAAAGCUUUUCAGAGCUUUUAAGUAUUCUUGGAGAUAUGUUGCCUCUAAACAAUGAGUUGCCUCUGUCUAUGUAUGAAGCAAAAAAAACAUUGAAUACAUUGGGAAUGGAAUAUGAGAAAAUACAUGCAUGUCCCAAUGAUUGCAUAUUGUAUAGAAAUGAGUUGAAGGAUGCAACUUCUUGUCCUACUUGUGGAACUUCAAGGUGGAAGUUAGAUGGAACAGGUACUAAAAAGAGGAAGGGAGUCCCUGCAAAAGUAAUGUGGUAUUUUCCUCCUAUUCCAAGAUUUAGAAGAUUGUUUCAAUCGCCAAAAAUUGCAAAAAACCUCAUAUGGCAUGCUCAAGAAAGAGAAUUUGAUGGUAAAAUGCGUCAUCCAUCUGACUCCCCAUCAUGGAAGCUAGUUGAUCACAGAUGGCCUGAUUUUGCUUCAAAACCUAGAAACCUUAGACUUGCCAUUUCAGCAGAUGGUAUAAAUCCUCAUAGUUCAAUGAGCAGUAGACAUAGUUGUUGGCCUAUUAUAAUGGUCAUUUACAACCUUCCUCCUUGGUUGUGCAUGAAAAGGAAGUUUAUGAUGCUAUCUUUAUUAAUAUCAGGUCCACGACAACCUGGAAAUGAAAUUGAUGUUUAUUUAGCACCAUUAUUGGAUGACUUAAAAAUGUUGUGGGAUGUAGGGGUUGAAUGUUAUGAUGUGCAUCAGCAAGAGGUCUUUACAUUAAGAGCUAUUCUACUAUGGACAAUCAAUGAUUUUCCUGCAUAUGGAAACUUAUCUGGUUGUGUAGUUAAAGGAUAUUUUACAUGUCCCAUAUGUGGGAAAGAUACAUUCUCUCAUAGAUUGAAGCAUGGGAAAAAGAACUCAUAUACAGGUCACAGAAGAUUUCUUCCUUGCAACCAUCCUUUUAGGAAACAAAAGAAGGCAUUUAAUGGCAAACAAGAGUUUAGCUCACCUCCGCAACCAUUGAGUGGAGAGGAAAUCCUAAGGAAAAUUGAUGUCAUUUCUAAUUCAUGGGGAAAAAAUAAAAACUCUCGAGGCAAGUUGAAUGUCAAUACUACAAAUUGUUGGAAAAAGAAGUCCAUAUUCUUUGAUCUUGAGUAUUGGAAAUACCUACAUGUUCGUCAUAGCUUGGAUGUAAUGCACAUAGAGAAGAAUGUUUGUGAAAGCAUCAUUGGUACCUUACUCAACAUUCCAGGUAAGACGAAAGAUGGACUUAAUUCUCGCCUAGACCUGCUAGAGAUGGGCUUAAGGUGUGAAUUGGGGCCAAGGUUUGAAUCAAAUCGAACUUAUCUCCCACCUGCAUGUUAUACGUUAUCUAAAGUGGAGAAAAAGGUUUUUUGCCAAACUUUAUCACAAUUAAAGGCUCUUGAAGGUUAUUGCUCUAACAUGAGAAACCUUGUGUCAAUGGAAGACUUGAAGCUUUAUGGUCUUAAAUCGCAUGACUAUCAUACAUUAAUGCAACAGUUAUUGCCAAUGUCAUUACGAUCCCUUUUGCCAAAGCAUGUAAGGCAUGCUAUUUGCAGAUUGAGUUUUUUAUUCAAUGCUCUGUGUAGCAAAGUGGUUGAUGUGUCUGCACUGGAUAAGUUACAAAAUGAUUUGGUGGUGACAUUAUGCUUGCUUGAGAAGUACUUUCCACCUUCCUUCUUUGAUAUCAUGCUUCAUCUUACUGUACAUCUUGUAAGGGAGGUGAGACUUUGUGGACCAGUUUACCUAAGGUGGAUGUACCCAUUUAAAGAUUCAUGAAAGUUUUGAAAGGGUAUGUACGAAACCGUAAUCGGUCGGAAGGUUGUAUCGCUGAAUGCUAUAUUGUAGAGGAAGCUAUUGAAUUUUGUACAGAGUAUUUAUCAAAUGUAGAUGCGAUUGGGAUUCCUAUUAGUGCAAACAUUGACCAAAAAGUUGGGGCACCAAUACCUGGAGGUCAAGUUGUGACAAUUGAUUUCAAUUUGUGGUUACAUGCACAUCAUUAUGUUUUAGAGAAUACAACUAUUGUUCAACCUUAUAUUGAGUAAGAACCACUAACACUUAAUAUUUGUGUCUGAUACUUAAAAUAACUUUAAAACAUUAACUUUGAAUUUCUUAUAAAUAAUUACAUAGAGAGCACAUGGAAUGGUUGAAAUUGAAAAAUCCUCGUCAAUCAAAAAGACAAAAGUGGCUCCAGGAUGAACACCUGCGGACUUUUACUUAUUGGUUGAGAAAAAAGGUAUUGGAAUGGUGUUAAAAUGUGAAGUAUUCUUUUUACUAAUGUUUAACAUACAUAAUAACUAUUAUUUAUAAUUACAGAUUGAAGCUGCAAUUGGUAAUAAUGAACCUAUAUUUGAAACCCUUAAGUGGAUAGCUCAUGGUCCUAGCCAUUAUGUCUCUAAAUAUCAUGGAUAUGUCAUUAAUGGGUGUCGAUACCAUACCAAGGAAGGAGAUGACUUACGAGCUACCCAAAAUAGUGGAGUUAGUAUUGUAGCUUCAACAAUGCAAAUCGCAAGUGCAAAGGAUCAAAAUCCAGUGUUUGGUGAGCUUUGUUUCUAUGGCAUUAUUACCGAGAUCUGGGACCUUGAUUAUACCAUGUUUAGGAUACCGGUUUUCAAGUGUGAUUGGGUUGAUAAUAAAAAUGGCAUAAAAGUUGAUGAUCUUGGCUUUACAUUAGUUGACUUUAGCAAAAUUGCUCAUAAAUCAGAUCCUUUCAUUUUGGCAUCCCAAGCUAAGCAAGUAUUUUAUGUGCAAGACCAACUUGAUCCAAGAUGGUCGGUUGUUUUGUCAACUCCUCAAAAAGAUUUCUUGGAUAUAGAAGGAGGUGAAGACUUUGUUGACAAUUCAAUUGAACACCAUCCCUUUAUAGGGGCAUUGCCACAAAUUGAAGCGUUUGAUGUAAUGGAUGACUCAGAUGCAACAUGUAUGCGAGGCGAUUGUGAGGGGAUUUAGAUUGAGAAAAAAUCCUCUAUGUAGCUAUAUUUUAAUGCUAAUGUAUGAAUAAAGGCCAUGAAAUGGGUUGCAAUAGCCACAAAAUAGGUAAUUUUUAUCCUUUUUUUAUUUUUUUGCACAAAAUAUUGACCAUUCUUUAACAUCUCCCAACAACAUAUUUACUAAAACCUUUUCCCUAAAUUGUGCAUGGAAGAUACUAAAUUAGUUAUGUUUGUGAGUAAAAAAAUUAUGAAAUUUUUUAUUUUCAAUAUGCAUGUUGUGUUUUCCAAACUUAAUGUAACACAAACCGAUAGUCCAAAAGCUUUCAUAAGUUCUUAUGGACUUGAUGAACUUGUUGAAAUCACAUGCUCCUUCCAUGUUGAUUCUUAUAGGAAAUUCCUACUGCAAAUUUAGCUUUCUUAUACAAAGGCCCUUGGGUUGCUUAAAAUAAAUGAAAUGUUAAACAAAGUAGGGCACAAAAAAAAGUUUAAAUGAAGUGUUAUCCUUGUUAUAUGAUGAACAAUUCUAAAAAGAUCUAUUGAAUUCAUGAUCUAUUGCAUUUCAUUGUGCAAUGAUUAUGGAUUUAUUUCUUUGAAAAGUUAUGUUUUACAAUUAUUCUUUGACUAGGUUAUAUGCAAUAUAAUUUUAACUAAUCUUUAUCAUUUUUUAUUUUUUUUUUGUUACAAUAAUGGAGACAAAGGAAGGAGAAAAACCCAUAAAAAGGAAGUACAGAGGGAUGACACGGAAGCAUAAGAUUAUAAAAAACAGAAGCAAGGGGGUUAAGUAGCCGGUUAAGUACAAUCUUGAUGGCAUUUUCAUAGGAGAAUCAGCAGUUCAUCUAACAAGCUACUUAGGCGUGUUAGCACGCACUAUGGUGCCAAUAAGAUAUAAAACUUGGCAUGUUGUACCUAAACAGUUGAAGGAUAAGUUAUGGGACAGCAUUGAGGUAACCAUUUCUUAUUUAAAUCACUUUGAUGCAAAAUGUCUAUCAUUCUUAACCUCUUGAAAUUACUAAAGUUUGGUAUUAAUGUGCAGACUGCUUUUUCAUUAAAUCAUAAAAGCAGGAGGAAUUGUAUGUUAACAAUGGGAAAAUGCUUUCGGUCCUUUAAGAACUUGCUAACGGUGAAGUACAUUCUUCCUUUCGAAGACCAACCGGAGCUCCUCAAAAGACCACCAAUUCAAUAUACUUUUAUUGAGGAUGAAGAUUGGACAAUAUUUGUCAAAGAUAGAUUGUCUGACAACUUUAAGGUAUAAUUAAGACUCUUUACAUACCUCUUAUUCACAUUCAUUAAUUAUAAAAUUUUAAUUUAUAGGAAUAUCGAGAAAUUCAAAAAGAAAGAAGAAAGAGAAACAUUUAUAAUCACCAUCUAAGUAGGAAAGGAUAUGCCGGUCUUGAGGAAGAGAUGGUAAGUGUAAGCCUAUUAAUUGCUUUUUAUUUAUUUUAUGCAUAAUACAUAAUAGGGUUAUAUGAUAAUUAUAUUAUACAUUGUCCUAUUUUGAAAGAUGGUUGCAAGUAGAUCAAUUGAAACUAUUGAUCGAAGCAUAUUAUGGAAGAAAGUAAGGGAAAAAAAGGAUGACACCUUUGAUGAAGUGGCCAUACCAGUAAUUGAGAAAAUAGUAAGUGAAUAUUUUUCAAUUUUAAUUACAUAUAUUUAUAAUAAGUUAUUUACAAUAACAAAUUUGCAAUUUAACUUUAUAAUUAAUAUUUUUUAAGGACAAGCUAUUGAAAGAGUCUCAAGAGAAUGGUAGAAGUGUUAGUGGAAGUAAUGAUAUACUUGUGGAAGCAUUGGGUACUCCUGAGUAUAGUGGUCAAGUUAGGGCCAAAGGGAAGCACUACACACCUUGCCAAUAUUUCAAUAGUGCUGCAGAUCGUGCUGUCAGGGAUUUCAUAGCAGCAUCUAAAGAAGAAUAAAGAAUAUUUCAGGCAGAAGUGCUAGCAAAACUGUCUCAAGUAGGAGCUGUUACUCCCCAAUCUGAUGUUAGCAGUUCAAGCAUGAAGCAAAAACAACUUCUCCUACCAAAAGCAGUGGAUAAGCCAAUCCGUAAAGUUGAAGAUGUGACCCCACCAGAAGCAAUAGAACCACAGAAGAAGGUAUUUAUUCAGUUAAGCUAAUUUGAUGAAAAAGUUUCCUCUAAUAUGAGAAAUAAUUUAAUUUAAUUUUGUUGUUUGAAUUGACUUCAAAUGUUGGUGGCAACAUAUAUGGUCUUCUUUGAUGUGGCAACAUAUAAUAGGAUGUGGCAAUGGACUGAAAUGUUAUCAUGCAAGUUUGUUGCAAUUGAAUGUAAAUGAAAUUGCAUUUAUCAUUGUAAUAGGAGCUAUAAGGUGAUUGAUGAUGAUAAUGCAUUUAUGUUAGUUUUGUAUAAACCCACUAAUAUUGAAGUGAUUAUUGUGAAUUGAGUUUUGUAGGUUAGAAAAUGUGAGCUGGCCAUAGGCACCAAGGAAAAUAUAGUGGGAGGUGGAACAAUUAUACUUGAAUGUGGUCCCAACUAUUUAGUAGUUGUUGAUGCUCCUUAUGAUUCAAGUGCACCCCUUCCCAUUCCUAUUCCUGGACAAACUACUACUGUUGGGGCUGCAAUUGGUUACCAAGUUUUGUGGCCAACUGAUUUGGUCAUCAUCCGUACUCCCAUCUUAGUAAGUAAAUUUAAUUACCAAACUUUAUAGUGACUUUAUAUAUAUAUAUAUAUAUAUAUAUAUAUAUAUAUAUAAACUAGUUAAUUUGAUUUGUACCAUGGUUCUUAAUUGUACAGGCAUCUAAGAAAGCAAAGAAACAAAAAGUAAAUGAAGUUGAAGUCAAAUCCAAGGGUGAAAAACCACAAGAUAUGAAAAUUUUUGAGACAUUGGUUGGCCUCAUGCUGAGUACAUCAAGAACACACCCUAUAAACUUCCCAGAUGAUGUUUUUGGUUAGAGUUUCAAGACCUUCAUGAUGAAAGAAGAUAUGGAAAUGAUAAUAUCAUCAAAAGAAGUGUCAUCCAAUUGUAUUUUAUACUACAUCUGGUAAGGGAUUUUAUAAUUUUUGAAUGACUUUUCACAAGAUUAUGAGAUAGAAGGUUAUUUUCUAAUGACCUAUAAUGAUUGUUGAUAACUUGUCAUGUGGGUUAUAAUCAGGCAUUUGCAUAGAAAGUUGAUUGAUGCAAAGUAGGCCGAACGAUAUGUUUUUGUCAAUCCAGCAUUGGUCUCAAAAGCUGGAAUGGGAGAGGGAAGCAAGGAAAACAGGUCAAGGGUUAUUGCAGAUCGACUAAAGAAUACAAAGCAUGCUGAAUAUAUGCUUAUUCCAUACAACCCAGAGUAACCUUUUAUCCUAAAUAUCAAUAUGGUGUUUGUAAGUUAGUUUGUGAUGUUUGAAUUUGUGGAUACUAUAUUACAAUUUUCAUUUCUUUUCUUUAGUUUCCAUUGGGUGUUAGUGGCAUUGGAGAUGAAGAAAAUGAUUGCAUAUUACCUUGAUCCAAUGGCCUGUCAACCAUGUGAUGAUCUUAAGGACAUAGUUAACAUGUAAGCAUAUAUUUUCUCCUAUUUUAAUACAAUUGAUAGUGUCUAAAUAACAUCUUUUUAAUUCUUUUUGUAGGGCAAUGAGAAUCAACCCACCGGAAAAACAGAAAACAUCAAAGAGGGAGCCAACUUGGGUGAAAGUGGUUGUAAGUACUUAUUUGUUUAGAUUAAAAUAUAUUGCUUCACCACUUAAUUUAUGACAAAAUUAGAAAAUGGAUGGUUAUUAAUAUGAUCAUCAAUAAGAUGCUAAAGAAGUAAGAACAUCAUUCUAGUGUUUAUUGCAAUUGUUGAUACUUUUCCCAUAGUGCCCAAGACAACCAGGUAGUGUGGAAUGUGGGUAUUACGUGAUGAGAUAUAUGAAGGAAAUUAUUGCUAAUCCAAACCAACUAACAUCAAAGGUUUGCACUCAAUUCAAUUCAUAUGGUUGGUCAUUUUACUAUAGCAUUUUUUUUUUUGGUCAAUUUAACUUAGUGAAUUGUAUAUGUCACUCCAAUUCAGUUUUGCGGGAAGAAAUCAUAUAGUGAAAUGGAAAUUAAUGAAGUUUGAUCAGAUUGGGUUAUGUUAGUGACUCAGUUAAUCAUUACUCAUGUUUGAAGGUACCUCUUAUAACUUAUAGUCUAAUACAACUUCAUAUUCUUUUAAAGAUGUAGUCAAUAUUUUGUUAAUGUUAAUUUUAUAAUGGAUUUAUUCACAAUGAUAAUUUGUUAAUGUAUAUAUUUGUACUCCUAGUUGGCAGUGUUUUCAAUAUGGAUCAUUUUGGGGGUUGCUCUAUUAUGAUUGAUGUAUAGUUGGCAUAUUGAGAGGUGAAGCCAAGUAGACAUGGUAGGUGUAACAACUUUUGUAUAUUUCCUCUACAAAUUAUUAUCAGUUAGAUUUGGAGAAAUCCUACAAUAGCAUAGCUACAAAAAUUCCUGCAUGUCCAAGCUCAUUUUCGUAGAGCCUUUAGUUUCAUUACAUGUGCAUGAAUUAGGAAUUUGUCUAUUCUCUACAAAAGCAUUUUUGGUCUUUAAGAUUACUAGCUUUAUAAACUUCUUUAAUCUAAAUUUAUAAAGGUCUCCUACUAUACUAAUGGGCUUAAAGUCUAUAAUAUCUUGUACUUCCAUUUUCUUUUACAUAAAAAAUAGGAAGCUAGUUUAAGACUUCUUACAAAUAAGCCUAUGGAAGGAAAUAACACCUCUUACUAAAUGGUUGUUAAAUUGUUUAUUAUAUAUUCUUCAGGUUGUACAAAAAGGCAUAGGUCAUUCUAUUAACAACGUCACUACUGCUCUUGAUGAAGGACACCCACAAACAAUUCAAAAUAUAUCAUCAAAAGAAUUUUGAGGUAACAUGUUGUGGUUAUUGUAAGUUUUAUGAAUCAAUUCCAUGUUUAGAGAUCAUUUCAUGCAAGUUCCAUAUUUAGAUAAUAGAUAUCCUCAUAUUAUUAAAUGUUGAUAUACUAAUACAAUAAGAAGAACUUAGAUAUUUUAACACAAUUUUAUAAUUUUACAUAAAUAUGUUAAUUUACAAUUUUAUAAUUUUUCGGACUUCCAGUUUUUUUUUUUUUCAUUCCUUAGUUCCUUCUCAUGCAAAACAUCUAAUGUCUAGUACAACCUAUAAGAAGAAUGAGAAGAUGUUAAUGGUUGAAGUUUCAUAAAUAAGAUAAAAAUCAUACCAAAAUAGUCAAUGAGAUAAAAACUUUUUUUUUUUCUGUUUUUUUUUAAAAUAGAAUAAGAGUUCUAAAAUAUUUAGAAAUUUGGUGUAAUAAAAUUAUUGGAGUUUGUUGAGUUCUUUUGAUAUUUUGAAAUUUAUUGCAAUGGAAGAAAGAUAUUUUAGGAAUUUAAAAAUUGGCAUAUACACAUUUCAUUUACAAAGUUGCUUCUUAACUAUUUGUUAAUACUAAUAUGUAACCCUCUCAAUUAUUUUGCAGAUUGAGCAUCUAGAAAGUGAGUUACAACUAUCCUUUUUCACUUGGAAGAAAAAUGAUGUAAAACUAGAUGUAGUGAAGGUUAUGAACAAUUCAAAGUUGAAGAAGAAGUUGUAAAAUUGUUGGUUUUAGUUGUUGAUUAUGUAUGAUGUUUAUGGAUAAAUUGUAAUAGUGAAAAAGGAAGACCAUAUUUGAUACUUUUUGUCAAUGGAGAUUCUUAAAUUAAGUUUUCAUUAUUAAUUUAAUUGUUGAUAGAAAAUUAUAAAACAGGGCAUAAUUAGGACAUUUUAAUUUCUGGGCUAUUAAAAUUUUAUAUGAGAUAAGAUGACGCUUUUUUAAAGCGUCAUGCUUUACUUGAAUAAACAGAAGAUGACACUUCUCAAAAGCGUCAAGGUUGAUGUUAAAAAAACAUGGCAUUUUUUUUUAGUGUCAAGGUAUAAAAUGCUAUACGAUGACACUUAUUAUGAGUGUCAAUGUUGCUCCUACAAAUAAAAAGCUAUAAGAUGACACUUAUAUUGAGUGUCAAUGUUGCUUCUACUUAUACAAUGAUGCUUUAUUAAGUGUCAACGUUGCUCCUACAAAUAAAAGGUUAUAAGAUGACACUUAUAUUGAGUGUCAAUGUUGCUUCUACCUAUACAAUGACGCUUCAUUGAGUGUCAAUAUUGACAUGAAUGAAAUUAUUAACAUAUGAUGACACUUAUAAAGCGUCAAUGUUUCAAAUAAUGACACUUACUAUGAGCGUCAUGGUUGACGUCCAAAGAAGAUGACGCUUCUAAAAAGUGUCAACGUAUGCGAUUUAAAAAGAUGACAGUCUAAUAUAUGACGCUUUUAAAAAGCGUCAUCUUAUAUCUAUCUUGACACUUAAAAAACGUCAUCUUUUGACAUUUUCCUUGUAGUGCUAGGAUGGUUGCCUACACUCAAGGGUAGGUGGGCUAGGGUUUUAUCUUUAGGGUGUAAGGAGAGAAACAAGGAAUAAAUUUUAUGGUAGAGAAAAUUAUAAGAUAAGAAAUAGAGAGAAAGAGGAAAAAUGAAGAAAAGAUGGAAAAACCUUAAGAGUCUCACUAAGGCCUUCUAGAAGUCUCACCUAAAAGAAAAUCAAUGGAGUCUUACCAUUGAGGGUUGCAACCUUGCAAUGAAAGAAAGUAUAAUAUUAUUAAUCAAAUUCAUUCAUUUGAUUUACAUUGAUUAGCCUAUUUAUAGGCUUCUCUAAGAAAUCAAAAGUCUACUAGGACUCUAAUAACCUAUCAUGACUCAAAUUCUAAUUAUAUUAUAACUCAACUAGCUAAUCCUAAUUAGACUCCAACAAACACCAAUCCCAAUUCAAUCCUAAUUAAUAUUAAUCAUACUUAAAGUUUACUUAGGUCUUCACUUUCUUCCUUGAAUAAACUUUAAAAGGCUUUCCCCAUCAUGCUCCUAUCACAUCCUUUGAUAAUUUUUUUAUAUUCUGUGAUUUUUGUUGACCAUUUCACCAAAUACACAUGGCUUUAUCCUCUAAAAAACAAAUCAGAUACCACUUUUAUUUUUGAAAACUUCAAGCAACUAGUAGAAAAAUAUUUCCAAACCCCAAUCCUGAUAGUUUAUUCUGAUGGUGGUGGGGAAUAUGCGGGUCUUCAUCCUGCUCUCUCCAAACAUGGAAUUCAACACCUCUAUUCUUCUCCACAUACUUCACUAAUUGUAGGGACUGCUGAAAGACAACAUAGACAUAAUCUUGAGACGACAUUGACUCUUCUUCAUCAAGCCUCCAUUCCUCUUCAAUUUUGGCUUGUUGCUUGUCAAACGAUAAUUUACCUCAUUAAUCGAAUGCCAAUCCCACUUUUAGAUAACAAAUCUCCUUUUCAGACCCUCUUUCACACUUCUCCCUACUAUCUCGAACUUAAAAUAUUUGGUUGCCUUUGUUACCCCUAGCUAAAACCCUACACAUGCCAUAAAUUGGAUCCCAAGUCUCGUCCUUGUGUUUUCCUUGGCUAUUCUCUCUCACAUAAUUCCUAUAGAUGUUAUGAUCCAUCCACCUAAAAAAUGUUCAUUUCUCAGCAUGUGGUCUUUGUGGAAAAUAGUUGACCAACUCAUACUUUGAGACAAUCCCAUGAUUGUUGCAGUUAUAUCAGAUCCAUUGACUAACUCAUCCUCUGAUUCAAUCCUAUAAUAGUUGCAGUUAUACCAUAUAAUAUUUGUACCUACUAUAUAUAAAAAGUCAGACCCACAAUUAUAGCUGUAAUUCUUUCUUGAAUCUAGUCAAUAUGUGUGUAUUUAUACUCGUGCAAAUAUGAAUGAAAGAUAUUGUUUUUUGCCAAAAGCUUUCUGCUGUUUCGAAACAGAGAUUGGUUUUUUAUUUUCACACAUAUAUAUGUAUAUCUUUAAAACAUGUACUUUCAAUAGUCAAAUCAUCAAACUUUCAAAACGACUAACCCUUUUCUCAUCAUGACAUUAAUUAUCAUAAUUUUUAUUUUUAUACUUUGACAUGAUAAGUCAAAGUGCUAAUCAUGGUUGGUUUAAAAAUAAAUAAAUAAAUACUUUCACAUUUAGCAAUCUACUAUGUCACAUGAUGUUUUUUUCCUCCAUAAUAUCUCCACAUUUUUGCCUUUUUUUUUUGUUAAAUGUAUUGGCUUCAUGAAAACAUUCUAAUUUAAUUUUUUUCUCUAUUUCAUUUGUUCAUAUUUAUUGAUUUUAGUUAUUUAUAUUUAAAUAAAAAUUAAUAAUAUAUAAUAAAUAAUUAAUAAUAAUAAAUUUACUAUAAAAAUAAAUACAUAAUAAACAAUUUUAGAAGUUUAGGAUAAAAGACUUUUUAUAUUCCUGUUAAAUAAAAUAUUUAUUUAUUUUAUAAAUCUUAUUACAUUGUCAUAUUAUUCAAUUUUUUUUUAUAUAUUUUUAAAAAAUUUUAAAUUUUCAUGUGAAAAUCAGGAUUGAUGAUCAUGGUUUUAGCUUUUUUCUUAUGGAUGUAACUUGACCAUAGUUUUAACUUUCUUCUUGGUUAAAAUGUUUAAUAUUUUUAAUUAUAAAAUAAAAAUAUGGUUGUGAUUCUAAAGUGUUGUUUUGUUCAAAUUUUUAAUUUUCAUUUAUAUAAAAUAAAAAAUAUGUAUUUUCAUAAAAUAAAAAAAUUGUAUUCAAGCGUUUAUAUUGAUUUUCUCUUAAUUUUAUUAAAAAUUAAAAUUUUUGUAUACUGAAGUGGCAUACCUUUUAAAUGUGUCAAGAAAAAAUAGUGUACCCUCCUAAAGUACUAAGUUGGUGCACCUCAAACCAUUGUGCAACUUAAGUUGCAUUUCCCUAAUACCACUUCUUUAUGAAAAAAGUGCUACUAAAAAUGCUAAAAGUAAUAUUGUGGUAAGAGUGAUGUAUCUCUUUUUUUUAGUUUAAGCAAAGGUAUGUUACCAUUUGUUGCAUGCUAGAUGUCUUAUUAAUGGUGAAAUAACAUGAAUUCAAUGGGUGUUAUUGCAUAAUAACAUCGAUCGAUACAACCCUUAGAAAAGUCCAUACCAUUUUCUUAUAAAAAGAAAAUACCAUUGAAGUGUGAUAAAAUGUACCACUAUGGUGGAAAUGGUGUAUCACUCUUCUUUGGUUUAAGGUAUGUUACCACCCGUUACAUGCUCAAUGUAUGAUGUAAUGAUUAAUAACAUGAAUUGAGUGGGUGUUUUGCACAAUAACAUUAAUUGACACAAUCCUUAGAAAAGAGGGUACCAUUCUUUUAUGAAAAAAGUAGUAUAUAAAAAGUGUAGUACUCUUUUAGCAUGGUGGUACUUUUAGCACACUUAAGUGUUACUUUUUUUUAAAAAAAAUAUAUAAAUAAAAAAGUGGUGCUCUCUUUUCUAAUGGUCUUGUAUAUCAAUGUUAUGAUGCAAUAACAUUCAUUCAAUUCAUGUUAUUUCAUGAUUGCAUAAGACAUUGAGCACAUCCAUUCAGUUCAUGAUUGAGUACAUAACGGGUGGUAAUAUACCUUACCAUAAACCAAAGAAGAGUGGCAUAUCCUUUUUUUUCAUAGUGAUACUUUUAACACACUUGAGUAGUCCUUUUUUAACAAAAGAGUGGUAACUUCUUUUCAAAAGGUUGUGUUGAUCAAUUUUAUUAUGCAAUAACGUCACUAAAUUCACAUUAUUUCACGAUUAAUAAAACAUUUAAUGCAUAAUAGAAAGUAAUAUAUCUUACCCUAAACUAAAGAAGAGUGAUAUAUCAUUUCUACCACAAUAGUAUUUUUAGCAUUUUAGUGGUACUUUUUUUUUGUAAAAGAGUUGUACCUUUUGAAUAAGCUGGGGGUGCACAACUUGAGUUGUGGAUUGCUUUAAGAGGGUGCACUAUUUUUGUCUAACACCCUUGAAAGGUGUGUAACUUCAAUAUGCAAAAAUUUUAAUUUUUAAUAAAAUUAAGAGAAAACUAAUAUAAAUGAUUAAAUACAAUUUUUAUAUAAAAAAAAUAUUUUAUUUUUUAUUUUACAUAAAUAAAAAUUUAAAAAUUUUAACAAAGCAAAAUGUUAGAACUAUAAUAAAGUUUUUAUCUUAUAUAAUUAAAAUAUUAAACAUUUUUACCAAGAAGAAAGUUAUAAUUGUGGACAAGUUAGAUUCAUAAAUAAAAAACUAAAACCAUUAUCAUCGACUUUGAUUUUCACCUAAAAAUUUAAAAAUUUUAAAUUUAUAUAAUAUAUAUAUAUAUAUAUAUAUAUAUAUAUAUAAGAAAGAGGUGCCACAUUAUGAAUUGAGGACGUGAAAUUUCUUAACGCUAGAUGUACCACUCCAACUUAAUGAGUGAGUGUUUAUCUUGUAGUAUAGGUUUAUGUUGAAAUGGAUUGCAACUUAUUUUAAGUUCCUUUAUUCUUUAUAAUUCCACACUUAGUAACGUCCUUGUCAUAAUAUUGUGGUAGGCAUGAUUGUGGAAUAUGUAUUAUGAAAUUCAUGGAGCUGUGGUCAAUGGGAGAGUUGUCCAAAUCAAUUGAUGUGUUAUGUAGAAGGACCUAUGUAUUAUCAUCUCAUUAAUGUAAAAAUAGUUAUAAAAGGCGAAAUUCAUUCAUUUGCUAAUUUUUUUCGUUAAACUUGAAUAAAUGCAGGGAAAGUUAAAACAGUAUAGAUUGAAAAUUAUGGGCAGCUUGUUGUUUUCAGCAUAAAAUGCACAUUGACAUCAUUUCAUGAGGGAAUAAUGGGGAUUGUACAUUUUGAUGACUGUGGACCUGCAUUUUUCACGUGCGUCCCCACUCGAUCGGCGAGACUCGUUUUUUAUUUGUGAAAAUUUGAUUUUUGAAAAAAAGUUGGAGUCGCCACUUAUUUUAUUUUUAUUUUUGAAGGGAAAAUAAAACAAGAAAUAAAACCCUAAAAAAAAUGACUCCAUAAUUUUUGGAAAAGCGUGUCUUUGAAAAACCCAAGUCUAAGUCCGGGGAUCAGGUUACCUAUUGGGAAGGUACCUUUGAAAGGUAACACCCCUCUAAGCCCUAUAAAGGUCUCUACUGACUAAGUUAAGGGGAACAUGUCAAUUAAUCGGUUAAUUAUAGAUACCUAAGUAGGCUAGGUGAUUUCAAAAAAGUGGUGAUUACUACUCAAAAAGUGCUAUUUGAUAGCCUAUAAUUAAUCCUUUUAAACACUUUUGAGUAGUAGUUUAGACCUUUUAACUCAAUUGGCAUGUUAAGGAUCCUUUAAAGCAAUUUUAAUCACUUUGUGCAAGUUUUGGUGUUUUUGUUAGUAUUUUGAUCACCAAAGCAAGUCAAGACUGAGGAGAGCUAUGAGGAAUCUUGGGCAAAGCUUAGAAGUCAUUUGCCAAGAGUGAAUUCGGAUUGCAAGGAGAAAAAAGCAAAGAGAAUCUGCCAUAAAGCAUAUUCUUGAUGACAGUCGUAGUAGCCACUUUUAGAGCACUUUCUGAAGUCCAAAUGAUGCAUGCUAUAUACCAUUUCAAAGAUCAGGAAGUCAAAAAUCCAAUGCUUCAAACGGUGUGCAAUUCGGAGUUGAAACGAAGAAGUUGCAGCCAUUACAAGCCAAUCACUCCGAGCUGAAGGAAGCAUUUUGCAAAGUGCUGCGAAAUCACCCUUUUGUUGCGAAGUGAUUUCGCAGCAUUUUUGUACAGUAAGGUGUUUCUCCUUCUGACGAUGCACGAUUUAUGCCGCGAGAAGGAAGCUAGGAACCUCAAGGUGGAAGCCAACUUCGCAGCCUUGUGAAGAUAGCUUGGUGUUGCGAAGUAAUUUCGCAGCCCUCCUUGAGCGUCUGCGAAAUCUCGCAGACACCAUUUUUCUCCUGCGAAAUGGUUCCUGAAGCCUCCCGAUAUUUGCUACCGACAUUGGGAGAUAUUUUCCAUUAGAUUUUUGUUGUCUAAAUCCCAAAAUACUCCUUGUAAACCUCCAAUUACAUGAUUCCUUAGUUUUUAAGUUAGUAAAAAGACUAAAUAUCUUUAUAACAAUUAGUUUUAUAUUAUGUUGAUAUAUAUACCUCUCGAGAGCCUGUUCUCAGAGAGGAAUUCCUUCUGUAAAAGUUUGGGUAAGCAAGUAAAGUCUAUUUUCUUUCUACUGCCUUACCUUCUCACUUUGUAUUUUCAUUUUAUUUCUAAGUUAUGAAUUCUCUGAGGAGUUUUCCCCAGAGAAUGAGUAACUAAACCUCUAAUUCCUUGGAGCUAAGGUUGCCGGGGAAGGUUCCAAGUGCAAGAAUGCAGAGCUUUGUGGUUUUAGCUUUUAAUGAAGAGGAAGUGAAAUCCUUUAAUGAUUUCUAUGUUUUUAGUUAACUUAAAACACCUUAGAGUCACCUGGGCCAACACUUGGUAAGGCAAGUGAUUUCCAACCAUGGAAAUGCACUAGUUUACCCCUUGCGAGCCUCUGGUAGGUGACUUCAGGGUAGGAUUUUCUGGAAUUACCAACACUUGGUAAGCUUUAGGACUCCUAGGAGACAUCCAUUAGUUAUCUCUUGCGAGUUUGUGAAGGGAAGUCCAAGGUUAAAGAUCAUCUUGAAUGGUAAGUGCUCGUGAGAGGCAUGAACCAUUGCAAGUUGCAUCAGUGAGAGAAUUAAAGUGAAAUCUAAUUGAAGGAGUCUCUGUACAACACCGGUUAGAGAAUUGACUAUAUGUUGAAUCUCUAACGCGAGGAAAUGAACCAUCUGACCGGAGCUAUGUCUUUUGCAUGAGGAACCACCCCAGUGAACCUAACUCUCCAGGGAAUGCUUUUCUUCCUAAAUUAUUCCAACUUUGUGUAUGUUAGUUAGUUUAANNNNNNNNNNNNNNNNNNNNNNNNNNNNNNNNNNNNNNNNNNNNNNNNNNNNNNNNNNNNNNNNNNNNNNNNNNNNNNNNNNNNNNNNNNNNNNNNNNNNGGAAGUCCAAGGUUAAAGAUCAUCUUGAAUGGUAAGUGCUCGUGAGAGGCAUGAACCAUGCAAGUUGCAUCAGUGAGAGAAUUAAAGUGAAAUCUAAUUGAAGGAGUCUCUGUACAACACCGGUUAGAGAAUUGACUAUAUGUUGAAUCUCUAACGCGAGGAAAUGAACCAUCUGACCGGAGCUAUGUCUUUUGCAUGAGGAACCACCCCAGUGAACCUAACUCUCCAGGGAAUGCUUUUCUUCCUAAAUUAUUCCAAACUUCUGUUAUGUUAGUUAGUUUAAGUAUAAACCUUUACCAAUCAAAGUUUGUGUUUUACUUCUUAAGCUAACCGUGAAAUGAAACAAGACCAAUUCACUUGGAAUUGGUAUCAUUGAUUGCUUGUUAAUCAUUCCCAGUGAACGAUCCUAGAGCCACUAUACUAUAGUAGCUUUUUAUUUGCUACCCUAGUGUAUGGUGUUAUAGGUAUAAAUUUUGUUGAUCACUCCCUCAUCUAAGGAGCACCAGCUGGACAUGGAUCAGCUGAGACACCAAUUGGGCAUGAAUCAAAUGGCGCCGUUGCCGAGGAAUGAGUGUCAAGUUUAUAGUGAUACCAUUUUUGAGCACUUGUGAUUUUCAUCACAAGUUGGUAAAGUUUCUUUCACUUUACUAAUUUUCAUUCUUUCUUUGUUUAUUCAUAAUCUAAGAUUUUUUUUUUUAUUUAGUCUAGUUUAAUUUUGCUGUUGUAGCCCUGUUUCUCUUGUUGUCCUCUGUUUUUAUUUAAGUUGCAGAUAGAUACUAGUUGUGUAUGCCAAAGUGGAUACGAGACAGUGGAGGAAGGCUUGUUAAGUGUGAUACACCUCAGAGAAGAGAAUUGGAAGUGAUCUUGAAUAUCAUGGAAGCUACACCUGAAGAUCAGCAUAGUCACCAAGGUCGUCAAGACAAUCUCAAUGAAUUCAGAUCAAUGAGGGACCGCAUGCAUCCACCUCGUAUGAGUGCACCAUCAUGUAUAGUGCCCCCUACAGAGCAGCUAGUGAUCAGACCGUAUCUUGUUCCACUUCUACCAACUUUCCAUGGAAUGGAAAGUGAGAAUCCGUAUGCACACAUCAAGGAAUUUGAAGAUGUUUGUAAUACAUUCCAAGAGGGAGGAGCUUCAAUUGAUUUGAUGAGGCUUAAGUUAUUUCCUUUUACUUUAAAGGAUAAGGCCAAAAUUUGGCUUAAUUCUUUAAGGCCAAGGAGUAUCCGCUCUUGGACUGAUUUACAAGCUGAAUUCCUCAAGAAAUUUUUUCCCACUCAUAGAACAAAUGGCUUGAAAAGGCAAAUUUCAAACUUCUCAGCUAAAGAGAAUGAGAAAUUCUAUGAGUGUUGGGAGAGAUACAUGGAAGCUAUAAAUGCUUGUCUUCACCAUGGCUUUGAUACUUGGCUAUUGGUGAGCUAUUUUUAUGAUGGUAUGUCCUCCUCAAUGAAGCAACUCCUCGAGACAAUGUGUGGAGGAGAUUUCAUGAGCAAAAAUCCAGAGGAAGCUAUGGAUUUCUUGAGCUAUGUAACUGAUGUUUCAAGGGGAUGGGAUGAACCAACCAAAGGAGAAGUAGGAAAGAUGAAGUCUCAGUUGAAUGCUUACAAUGCAAAGGCUGGGAUGUAUACUUUAAAAGAAGAUGAUGACAUGAAAGCAAAGUUGGCAACUAUGACAAGAAAAUUGGAGGAGCUGGAGCUGAAAAGAAUACAUGAAGUGCAAGCUGUUGCUGAAGCACCAGUGCAAGUGAAGCUGUGUCCCAAUUGUCAAUCAUUUGAACAUUUGGUGGAGGAAUGCCCUGCAAUUCCAACUGAAAGGGAAAUGUUUAGAGAUCAAGCAAAUGUUGUUGGACAAUUCAGGCCUAAUAACAAUGCUCCUUAUGGAAAUACCUACAACUCAAGUUGGAGGAAUCAUCCAAAUUUCUCAUGGAAGGCCAGAGCAACUCAGUACCAACAGUCGGAUCCACCAUCUCAGCAAUCUUCAAGUAUUGAACAAGCAAUGGCUAAUCUCAGCAAGGUAAUGGGAGAUUUUAUUGAAAAUCAAGAAGCCACUAAUGCUCGAGUCGAUCAAAAAAUUGAUAGAGUGGAGAGUAUGUUGAAUAAAAGGAUGGAUGGAAUGCAAAAUGAUAUGAACCAAAAGUUUGACAACAUCCAAUAUUCAAUUUCAAGGCUUACAAAUUUGAAUACACUGCAAGAAAAGGGAAGAUUUCCUUCUCAACCUCACCAAAACCCCAAGGGUGUCCAUGAAGUGGAAAGCCUAGAGGGAGAAUUAUCACAGGUGAAAGAUGUCAAGGCCUUGAUCACUCUAAGGAGUGGUAAGAAAAUUGAGCAGCCAAUACCCAAGCCACAUGUUGAGAAACAAGAAGAGAUAAAGAAAAGGAAAGAAAUGGAAGAUAAAGGGAGUGAGAUCAGUGAAGAAAAGAAGGACUCUGAUUCAACAAUGAAUGCAAUUCCAGAGAAAGAGCUUCUGAAGGAAGAAAUGCUGAAGAAAUCAACUUUUCCACCUUUUCCUCAAGCAUUACAUGGGAAAAAGGGGAUUAGAAAUGCAGCUGAAAUCCUUGAAGUCUUGAGGCAAGUAAAAGUUAAUAUUCCACUGCUGGAUAUGAUCAAACAAGUUCCAACAUAUGCAAAAUUCCUAAAGGAUUUAUGUACUAUCAAGAGAGGGUUGACUGUAAACAAGAAAGCCUUCUUGACUGAGCAAGUAAGUGCAAUCUUACAAUGUAAGUCUCCUUUGAAGUACAAAGACCCUGUAAGUCCUACCAUUUCAGUCAUGAUUGGAGGAAAGGUAGUGGAGAAAGCCUUGCUAGAUUUGGGAGCAAGUGUGAAUUUGCUUCCUUAUUCUGUCUACAAGCAAUUAGGUCUUGGAGAGUUGAAGCCAACAGCAAUCACUCUAUCUCUGGCAGAUAGAUCAGUGAAAAUUCCAAGAGGGGUAAUUGAGGAUGUAUUGGUUUAAGUAGAUAAUUUCUACUAUCCAGUAGAUUUUAUUGUUCUUGAUACAGAUCCUACUGUAAAGGAAGCUAAUUUAGUUCCUAUCAUCCUUGGAAGACCAUUUUUUGCAACUUCAAAUGCAAUCAUCAACUGCAGGAAUGGGCUGAUGCAACUCACUUUUGGUAACAUGACACUGGAUCUCAAUAUUUUCUAUAUGUCUAAAAAGCAAAUCACUCCGGAAGAAGAAGAAGGUCCAGAAGAGCUAUGUAUAAUUGAUACUUUGGUAGAGGAGCACUGCAAUCAACAUAUGCAAGAAAAGUUGAAUGAAAAUCUUGAGAAUAUUGAGGAAGGUUUUUCUGAAUCUCCUAUUGUGCUUGCUACUCUACAAAGUUGGAGAAAGAUAGAAGAAAUUCUACCUUUGUUCAAUAAGGAAGAGGAGGCAGCUGUUGAAAAAGAAAUUCCAAAACUCAAUUUGAAGCCUUUACCUGUGGAGCUGAAAUAUACAUAUCUUGAAGAAAACAACCAAUGUCCUGUUGUAAUAUCUUCAUCUCUGACCAAUCAUCAAGAGAAUUGUUUAAUGGAAGUUCUCAAGAGGUGUAAGAAGGCAAUAGGAUGGCAAAUAUCUGACUUGAAAGGCAUUAGUCCUUUAGUUUGUACUCAUCAUAUAUAUAUGGAGGAGGAAGCAAAGCCAAUCCGUCAAUUUCAAAGAAGGUUGAAUCCUCAUCUACAAGAGGUGGUGCGAGCUGAAGUGCUGAAGCUACUUCAAGCAGGAAUCAUUUACCCUAUAUCUGAUAGCCCUUGGGUGAGUCCUACUCAAGUGGUACCAAAGAAGUUAGGGAUCACAGUGGUUCAAAAUGAAAAAAGGGAAGAAAUUACUACACGCCUCACUUCAGGUUGGAGGGUGUGUAUUAAUUAUAGAAAGCUGAAUGUUGUCACCAGGAAGGAUCAUUUUCCCUUGCCAUUUAUUGAUCAAGUGCUGGAGAGAGUCUCUGGACAUCCAUUUUAUUGUUUUAUGGAUGGAUAUUCAGGGUAUUUUCAGAUUGAAAUUGAUUUGGCAGAUCAAGAAAAGACCACUUUUACAUGUCCAUUUGGAACAUAUGCUUAUAGAAGAAUGCCUUUUGGUUUAUGCAAUGCACCUGCUACAUUUCAAAGAUGUAUGUUGAGUAUUUUCAGUGAUAUGGUGGAGCGAAUUAUGGAGGUUUUCAUGGAUGACAUCACCGUAUAUGGAGGUACAUUUGAGGAAUGCUUGGUUAAUUUGGAAGCAGUUCUUCAUAGAUGCAUUGAAAAAGAUCUGGUGCUGAACUGGGAAAAAUGCCAUUUUAUGGUACGUCAAGGAAUUGUCCUUGGCCAUAUCAUCUCUGAAAAAGGCAUUGAAGUUGAUAAAACAAAGGUGGAGCUUAUUGUCAAAUUACCAUCUCCAACAACUGUAAAAGGAGUAAGGCAGUUCCUUGGCCAUGCAGGGUUCUAUAGGAGGUUUAUAAAAGGUUUUUCAAGUCUUUCAAAACCUCUUUGUGAGCUGUUAGCUAAGGAUGCUAAGUUUAUAUGGGAUGAAAGGUGUCAGAAUAGCUUUGAUCAAUUGAAGAAAUUUUUAACAACAACUCUAAUAGUGAGAGCCCCUAACUGGCAAUUACCUUUUGAACUAAUGUGUGAUGCCAGUGACUUUGCUAUAGGAGCUGUGCUUGGCCAAAGAGAAGAUGGGAAGCCCUAUGUGAUUUACUAUGCAAGUAAAAUACUAAAUGAAGCUCAUAGGAACUACACAACUACAAAGAAAGAAUUGUUAGCUGUGGUAUUUGCUUUGGACAAAUUUCGAGCUUAUUUAGUGGGGUCUUUCAUUAUUGUGUUUACUGACCAUUCAGCCUUGAAGUAUUUAUUGACAAAGCAAGAUGCAAAAGCAAGGUUGAUUAGAUGGAUUUUUUUGUUACAAGAAUUCAAUCUCCAAAUCAAAGAUAAGAAAUGAGUGGAGAAUGUAGUAGCUGACCACUUGUCAAGGUUAGUUAUAGCACAUAAUUCCCAUCCCUUGCCUAUCAAUGAUGAUUUUCCUGAAGAAUCACUCAUGUUCCUAGUGAAAACUCCUUGGUAUGCUCAUAUUGCUAAUUAUUUAGUAACUGGUGAAAUUCCAAGUGAGUGGAAUGCACAGGACAGGAAGCACUUCUUUGCCAAAAUUCAUGCUUAUGAUUGGGAAGAGCCCUUUCUCUUUAAGUAUUGUGCAGAUCAGAUUAUUAGGAAGUGUGUCCCUGAAGAUGAGCAGCAAGGGAUUCUAUCUCAUUGUCAUGAGAAUGCAUGUGGAGGCCACUUUGCCUCUCAGAAAACAGCCAUGAAGGUAUUGCAAUCAGGGUUUUCUUGGCCAUCUCUUUUUAAAGAUGCCCACAUCAUGUGUAGGAGUUGUGAUAGAUUCCAAAGGCUUGGAAAGCUAACAAAAAGAAAUCAAAUGCCUAUGAACCCCAUUCUGAUAGUUGAGUUAUUUGAUGUAUGGGGCAUUGACUUCAUGGGACCUUUCCCAAUGUCUUUUGGUAAUUCUUAUAUUUUGGAGGGGGUAGAUUAUGUUUCUAAAUGGGUUGAGGCAAUCCCCUGUAAACAAAAUGAUCACAGGGUGGUUCUCAAGUUUCUUAAAGAGAACAUUUUCUCAAGAUUUGGGGUGCCCCAGGCCAUAAUUAGUGAUGGAGGUGCUCAUUUUUGCAACAAACCUUUUGACGCUCUGUUAUCCAAGUAUGGAGUGAAGCAUAAGGUGGCUACACCUUAUCAUCCUCAGACUUCCGGGCAAGUUGAGCUAGCUAACAGGGAAAUAAAGAACAUCUUGAUGAAAGUGGUGAAUUCCAACAUAAAAGAUUGGUCUAUUAGGCUUCAUGAUUCAUUGUGGGCAUAGAACAGCUUAUAAGACUAUUCUUGGGAUGUCUCCCUAUCGUCUUGUCUAUGGCAAAGCAUGCCAUCUCCCUGUGGAAGUUGAAUACAAGGCUUGGUGGGCAAUAAAGAAGCUGAAUAUGGAUUUGAUCAAGGCCGGAGAAAAGAGAUUUCUAGACCUUAAUGAGAUGGAGGAAUUAAGAAAUAAUGCUUAUAUCAAUUCCAAAGUUGCAAAACAGAGGAUGAAGAAGUGGCAUGAUCAACUCAUCUCCAACAAGGAAUUUCAGGAAGGGCAAAGAGUUUUGAUGUAUGACACAAGACUCCAUAUCUUUCCUGGAAAGCUCAAGUCAAGGUGGAUAGGCCCGUUCAUUAUUCACCGAGUAUGGUCCAAUGGAGUGGUGGAAUUAUUGAAUUCCAAUGGCAAGGACAGCUUCAAAGUCAAUGGAUAUCGUCUCAAGCCAUUCAUGGAGCCAUUCAAACCAGAAAAGGAGGCAAUCAACCUCCUUGAACCUCAAAAAGCCUAAGUGAAAAAGGGUUUGCUGGACGUGGUUUUACCACAGUCCAAAAUUUUUGUAAAUUUUGUAAAUUUUCAAGUUGUUUCCAUACUUUUGAUCUUAGUUUUCGAUCUUAAAUCAUGUUUUUAGGUGUGUUUUAAUCGUUUUGAAUGAUCCCAGGUGGAAGAAAUUUCAAGGAGAUUGAAAAGAAAAAAAUCGGGUCGAAAUCGGAGCCAAAACAGAGGAAAAACAGGGGAAAAACAGAGCUCUGCGAAAUUUCGCAAAGUGAAGGAAACUUCUGCGAAAUGAGCAUUUUGUUGCCAAACCAUUCCGCAACACUGUAGAAAUCUCUGCGAGGCUAUUUCGCAGCUGCGAAAGUGAAUUUGGCACACGAGUGCCACUUCGCAGUACAGUAGCAUCCAUUUCGCAGCUGCGAAACGCAUUGCGAAGUGGAAAAGCGUGAUUUCGCACCAAAAGUCCCAUUCCGCAGAGUAUUUCGCAAUUGCGAAAGUGGUUUUGGCACACGAGUGCCACUCCGCAGCACAGUAACAUCAAUUUCGCAGCUGCGAAACUCACUGUGAAGUUGCUGCGAAAAUGGCAUUUUGUUGCGAAACUUAAACUGACCCUUAGGCUUCCGUUUUUCCUAUUUAUACCGGUCAUUUGAGCUGCGAAAAGGGUUUCAAAAAUCAGAGCACCAUUCUCGCAGCCUCUUCGUCUUCUUCAGUGAGCCUCGCAAUCCAAACCCCCGGUCAUCCUCUCAGAUCAUCUACGUCGGCCAAAGUUCGGUAGCCCAAAAUGGCGCGAACACGAGGGGCUAAGUCUUCAUCUCCUUCGAACUGCAAGAAGACGCUGUAAAAGGAGCCACCUCCAGAUUCUGCUCCAAAGCCUUCGCCGUCGAGACCAAUUCCACCUCCGGUGAAGCCCGCGCCACCAAAGCUGCCGGCAAGACGAUACCUUACCAGGUCAGGAGGUCGGCCAUUGCAGAAGAAACCCAGGGUGGAGAGCUCAGAACCCAUCGAUUUGACUGAGCAAUCUCCAGAGCCUUCACCAAUUCCAUCACCGGUUCAAACUCCAGUGCCGUCUCCGGUUCCCUCGCCAAGUCCCCUACCAGUUCCAUCGCCAGUACCAUCUCCGGCGCCGCAAAAAAAAUCUCAAGAGCCCCAAGCGCCACUUCCCGAGCCCAAAUUCAAGCUGAAACAGCUCUGGAAGAAGUAAUUAGGAGGCCAAUGCUACCUCAGCCCCCAAUUGAAGGAAACUUGGAUUGUAGAGCACGGGCAUUUCAUUCCGAACUUUGCUUCGACUUACCGGCAUUCAGAGUGAGGCCAGAGCUUGCCCAAUCAUUCCAGCUGCUGAGGAGGUAUCAUAUGGAGCAUCUUCUAGCUCCAAGAUACUUUUUCUACCCCCGGAUAGCCACGGAUUUCUACCAAUCUAUGACAACCAAAGAGGUCAGGAAUCCAACUUUGAUUCAUUUCACUAUCGAUGGGAGACAUGGUAUAUUGGGAGCACGACAUAUUGCUGAAGCCCUGCAAAUUCCUUUUGAGCCAACCCAAUUCGAUAAUUUUAGAGCUUGGGCAAAUCCUACUGAACUAGAGAUGGUUCGCACCCUUUCCAGAGGAGCUGCAAAUCGAUCACAUCUGCUGAGGGGGGAGCUUCCUCCAAUUAUGUUUUUGAUUGAUGCCUUUUUGAGGCAUAAUAUCUAUCCAUUGCAGCAUUGGACCCAAAGAAGGGGAGUCCUCCUGGAAGCUCUUUACAAGAUGUCAGAAGGAUUUUUCUUUGGGCCUCAUCAUCUGAUCAUGGCAGCCCUUCUCUAUUUUGAAGAGAAGGUGCACAGAAAGAAGCUUCAAAGAGCUGAUUGCAUUCCCCUCCUCUUCCCAAGGCUGCUAUGCAAAAUUUUGGAGCAUUUAGGAUAUCCCUCUGAGCCUCAGCUGGAGAGAAAGCUAAUAUGCCGUGAGCCAUUCACUCUUGAUAAAUGGAACAAUAUGACGGCCUACAAAAUUGAUCAGCCUGGGCAGCCUCAGCCAGCUGCAAGGAGAGCAUCCCCAAGACAUAUACCCGAAUGUAUAACAGUUGCUGCUCCUGCCAUUCCUAGAGCUCCUCCAGCUGCACCUGCUUCAUCUCAGCCAUCCACAUCAGCUGAGCCGAGGAUGGCUAUUCCUAUAUCUGAAUAUCGAGAGUUGUGCCGUGCAUUGGAGACUCUUACAGCUUCUCAGAGCAGUCUUGCUCAAGAGAUGGCAGCCAUCAGAGCAUGCCAAGAGCAGAUGUUAGCCACUCAGGCUCAACAAGCUGCCAUCUUAAGGCAGCUCCAAGUCCAUUUCGAUCUACCACAAGCUGUAGAGCCCUCCACUGAUACUCCAACAGAGCCACACCCUCAUCCUUUAGAGUCUCAUCCUCCUAAGCCCCAAGUCCCAGCUGAUACACCUGCUGAGGAGGCAGAUCCUUCUGCCUAGUCCCAGCACCACCCCACUCAUCAGACUAUAUUAGAUAUCUAAUAUUUUUAUGUAUUUCGUUUUUUUUAGUUGAAAAGAAGUCCCAGUAUUUUGGUACUAUAUAUGGGAUUCCUUGUGUUACUUGUCCUUGGCACUAUACUCGAAUGAAUUGAAAGUAAUACAAGUUGAAUAUUUCUUGUUAAAAGUCAGCAUUAAGUUAUUCUUAUUUCCUUUUCUCACAUAUUCUAUUCUUUUUGAAACAUGUGGUUUUCCCCAAUCAAUAUUCGAAUUUGAUUUCAGCAAGGAGGUACCACUUCCUCCCUUUAAUUACAGUCACUCAUAUCACAUUGAGGACAAUGCUCAGUUCGGUUGGGGGGUAUGAGGAAGGAAGUAUUCUAAAUCUUUUUGGUAUUGCAAUUAUAUUGGUUAAUUAGUUGUAGUUUUUACUUUUUACUUUUGUUACUCUAUUUUCCAUGAAUUUUGAGGAAAAAUUUUCAAAUUAAACCAAGAGAAAUUGAACUGUUGUUUUUCACUUGACUUAGAGUAUGGAUUAUGCUUACUAAAGUGGUUCAAUUGUUGAAGCUUCUAUUGAAAUUGAAUUUAGUUCUUCCACUUUAAGCUAUUCACACACAGUGCACAUUAGUUUCCGAUUAUAAGAUGAAAAGCUAUUUCCCUCUUGACUUAGGACAAUUUUGAGACUUGGUAUAUUUGACCUCAUUUGAUAAAAAUUGGAACACCCUGCAAAAGGCCAAUGAGCCUUUGAAAUAAAGAAAGUUGUUUGCUUGCCUUGAAACCCGAGCAAGGUCUGAGGGGUAUAUGGUGAAAAUCUUUUAAGCCUGGUGCCCUAAGCCUUAAUUGGUUGGGAGACACCGACCUCAAUGCUCGUUAUAAGGGUGAAUAGGUAGAGUUAGCAUAUGGUAGAUGCUUGGGUAUUAGAAAUUCAUUCUUAAAAGUCCGGGGAAAAAUCCGAGGAGUUAGUGGUUGAAAGAUCCUUAAAGCUUGGUGCCCUAAACCUUAAUUGGUUGGGAGUCAUCGAUGGACCCCCAUUACAUGGACAAGUCAGAAAGAGUACCCCAUAAAGCUACCCUUGAAAAAAAAAAUGAUGAAAGUGUGUUCUUUUCUUAUUGAUUAUGGUCAGAUUGCUAAAGUUUUGAAAAGAGAUAGGUUGGGGGGAGAGACUAGUUUAGCAUAUUAUUCUCGGAAGCUAAGGAACCAAUACACAUAGAUUUUUGUGGAAGAUUAAAGUUUGAUUCUUAGGAAGUGGAAAUGAUUUUAAAACUUCAGUUUGCAUAAUGCACUCCCUUGAUUGACAGUGUUUAGCAUAGUUUGUUAUGACUCUUGUUGAGAUUUGGGUUUGUAUUUCUUUAAUGCUUCAUGUGAGAAUUAGAUCAUCAUGCCACUUGAGAAUUAUUUUCCUUUAGCAUGAUGUUGUAAAUUUUAGAUUAGUUUGCUAUUUAUUUUCAUUUUUCUCUCCUAUAUUGCUAAGGGACUAGCAAUAUGUCGGUUGGGGGGAGUGAUUACUACUCAAAAAGUGCUAUUUGAUAGCCUAUAAUUAAUCCUUUUAAACACUUUUGAGUAGUAGUUUAGGCCUUUUAACUCAAUUGGCAUGUUAAGGAUCAUUUAAAGCAAUUUUAAUCACUUUGUGCAAGUUUUGGUGUUUUUGUUAGUAUUUUGAUCACCAAAGCAAGUCAAGACUGAGGAGAGCUAUGAGGAGUCUUGGGCAAAGCUUAGAAGUCAUUUGCCAAGAGUGAAUCCGGAUUGAAAGGAGAAAAAAGCAAAGAGAAUCUGCCAUAAAGCAUAUUCUUGAUGACAGUCGUAGCAGCCACUUUUGGAGCACUUUCUNNNNNNNNNNNNNNNNNNNNNNNNNNNNNNNNNNNNNNNNNNNNNNNNNNNNNNNNNNNNNNNNNNNNNNNNNNNNNNNNNNNNNNNNNNNNNNNNNNNNCCUUUAGCAUGAUGUUGUAAAUUUUAGAUUAGUUUGCUAUUUAUUUUCAUUUUUCUCUCCUAUAUUGCUAAGGGACUAGCAAUAUGUCGGUUGGGGGGAGUGAUUACUACUCAAAAAGUGCUAUUUGAUAGCCUAUAAUUAAUCCUUUUAAACACUUUUGAGUAGUAGUUUAGGCCUUUUAACUCAAUUGGCAUGUUAAGGAUCAUUUAAAGCAAUUUUAAUCACUUUGUGCAAGUUUUGGUGUUUUUGUUAGUAUUUUGAUCACCAAAGCAAGUCAAGACUGAGGAGAGCUAUGAGGAGUCUUGGGCAAAGCUUAGAAGUCAUUUGCCAAGAGUGAAUCCGGAUUGAAAGGAGAAAAAAGCAAAGAGAAUCUGCCAUAAAGCAUAUUCUUGAUGACAGUCGUAGCAGCCACUUUUGGAGCACUUUCUGAAGUCCAAAUGAUGCAUGCUAUAUACCAUUUCAAAGAUCAGGAAGUCAACAAUCCAAUGCUUCAAACGGUGUGCAAUUCGGAGUUGAAACGAAGAAGUUGCAGCCAUUACAAGCCAAUCACUCCGAGCUGAAGGAAGCAUUUUGCAAAGUGCUGCGAAAUCACCCUUUUGUUGCGAAGUGAUUUCGCAGCAUUUUUGUACAGUAAGGUGUUUCUCCUUCUGACGAUGCAUGAUUUAUGCCGCGAGAAGGAAGCUAGGAACCUCAAGGUGGAAGCCAACUUCGCAGCCCUGUGAAGAUAGCUUGGUGUUGCGAAGUAAUUUCGCAGCCCUCCUUGAGUGUCUGCGAAAUCUCGCAGACACCAUUUUUCUCCUGCGAAAUGGUUCCUGAAGCCUCCCGAUAUUUGCUACCGACAUUGGGAGAUAUUGUCCAUUAGAUUUUUGUUGUCUAAAUCCCAAAAUACUCCUUGUAAACCUCCAAUUACAUGAUUCCUUAGUUUUUAAGUUAGUAAAAAGACUAAAUAUCUUUGUAACAAUUAGUUUUAUAUUAUGUUGAUAUAUAUACCUCUCGAGAGCCUGUUCUCAGAGAGGAAUUCCUUCUGUAAAAGUUUGGGUAAGCAAGUAAAGUCUAUUUUCUUUCUACUGUCUUACCUUCUCACUUUGUAUUUUCAUUUUAUUUCUAAGUUAUGAAUUCUCUGAAGAGUUUUCCCCAGAGAAUGAGUAACUAAACCUCUAAUUCCUUGGAGCUAAGGUUGCCGGGGAAGGUUCCAAGUGCAAGAAUGCAGAGCUUUGUGGUUUUAGCUUUUAAUGAAGAGGAAGUGAAAUCCUUUAAUGAUUUCUAUGUUUUUAGUUAACUUAAAACACCUUAGAGUCACCUGGGCCAACACUUGGUAAGGCAAGUGAUUUCCAACCAUGGAAAUGCACUAGUUUACCUCUUGCGAGCCUUUGGUAGGUGACUUCAGGGUAGGAUUUUCUGGAAUUACCAACACUUGGUAAGCUUUUGGACUCCUAGGAGACAUCCAUUAGUUAUCUCUUGCGAGUUUGUGAAGGGAAGUCCAAGGUUAAAGAUCAUCUUGAAUGGUAAGUGCUCGUGAGAGGCAUGAACCAUUGCAAGUUACAUCAGUGAGAGAAUUAAAGUGAAAUCUAAUUGAAGGAGUCUCUGUACAACACCGGUUAGAGAAUUGACUAUAUGUUGAAUCUCUAACGCGAGGAAAUGAACCAUCUGACCGGAGCUAUGUCUUUUGCAUGAGGAACCACCCUAGUGAACCUAACUCUCCAGGGAAUGCUUUUCUUCCUAAAUUAUUCCAAACUUCUGUUAUGUUAGUUAGUUUAAGUAUAAACCUUUACCAAUCAAAGUUUGUGUUUUACUUCUUAAGCUAACCGUGAAAUGAAACAAGACCAAUUCACUUGGAAUUGGUAUCAUUGAUUGCUUGUUAAUCAUUCCCAGUGAACGAUCCUAGAGCCACUAUACUAUAGUAGCUUUUUAUUUGCUACCCUAGUGUAUGGUGUUAUAGGUAUAAAUUUUGUUGAUCACUCCCUCAUCUAAGGAGCACCAGCUGGACAUGGAUCAGCUGAGACACCAAUUGGGCAUGAAUCAAGUUGCAUGCUAAACAAGAUCAAAUCACAAUAAAGGAGAGUUAGGGUGCGUACCUGAGCCGUUCUUCAAGCGCUAUCAUAAAACAUAAACGGUUAAUUUAAACAAUAUGUCAUCCAACAUGUAUUUUAUUGGAAAUAAUCAAACAAUGAAACAUGCAUAUCAGGACACUCAAGCAUUAUUAGACAUAAGUAUUAUUUCACAAUGACAAGCAUAUUCACAAAAUUCAGAAAGUAGAUGAUAGAAGACAUACCUGGAUAGCAUAGAUAAUUUGUAACGUGCUUCCUCAAGUUGUAAGGGGUUAGAUAAUAAAUAAUAAAAUAUAGAAAUCCUAGCAUGCUCGUUAACUAAUUAUCAUAGCAGAAAUUAUCAAAGUAUAUGAAGACAAUAAUUAUCACACUCAUCUUGUAUACAAUUUCUAAAAAAAAAAAGAUAGACAUAAUUUCAACAAGUGACAAAUAUGGCAACAAAAAUAAUUUUUGAAAAGAUUUUUUUUAUGUAGGGGUUUCACCAAUUCCCCAAAUUGAUAUACACGAAUUUAGCUCAGAAUUAUCCCAUUUAUGUGGGACCACAAGCUUUGAUUCGUGUCUUUGUUCAAAACCAAAAUUUUUGUUGAAAACCGAGAAGGAUGCAAACCGAACAAGAUAUGGUUGCAUAUCAUUUUUAAAUAAAAAAAAAAAGGAGAUUUUGAUCCUGAGGACUCUAAUGAGUUUUUGAAAUAGAUUUUUAAAAUGAUUUUUUUUGAGAAAAGUAUUUUAUUUUAAAAUAAAAGGAAUUAAUUUGGGAAAAAUAAAACAUAAGAAAUAAAAUACCAAACAAAACAAAAAUGAAACCUCAAAGUAAAAUUUUUUAGUAAUUGACAAAAAUGAUAAUGGUGAUGGUAGAGGCCAAUCUUCAUGAUUUUCCAAUGGCCUCAGAAAGAAAAUCAAAUUAAAUAAAGGAUCACUAACAGGCAAGACAUUCUAAAUUAGACAAACUAACAAAGUAUCAAUUCAUGAACUAACCGCUAGGAUUUUAAAAGCAUAUAAGCUAAGAUAAGGAUGAUCAUGAACUAACAUUAAUGAUUUUGAAAUAAAAACUAAAAAGGGAUCAAUUCGGGUAAGGAACUAAAAUUAUAGAAGUACCUAAACUAAUUAUAACGAGUUUGACUAAAUUAAACUAAAAACAUGAACUUUCAAACAUAGAAUUAAUUUUACUAAUGAACCAAAGCAAACUAAAAAUAUGUAUUUUUCAAGCAUAGAAUUAAUUUUAUUGAUGAACCAAAAAUUAUAAAAGUGUCUAAACUAAAUAGAUGAAUUAAAUUAAAUCAAAGUACACUAAAAACAUGAGCUUUUAAAUAAAGAAUCAAUUUUACCAAUAAACUAAUAAAACUAUAAAAACACAUAAACUAAUUAAAAUGAAUGAAAUUAAAUCAAAGAAUACUAAAAAUAUGAACUUUCAAACAUGGGAUCAAUUUUUACUAAUGAAUUAAAACUAUAAAAACACCUAAAAAUAAUGAAUAUAAAUUAUUAAAUCAAAGCAAACUAAAAAAAAACUGAAACUUUCAAACAUGGGAUCAAUUUCAUUAAUGAACUAAACUAUAACAAAUAUCUAAACUAAAUAUAAUGAAUCAACUUGAAUUAAAACAUCCUAAAAACGCAAACUUUCAAAUAAAGGGUCAAUUUUAUCAAUAAGCUAAUAAAACUAUAAAAACACAUAAACUAAUUAAAACGAACGAAAUUAAAUCAAAGAAUAUUAAAAAUAUGAACUUUCGAACAUGGGAUCGAUUUUUACUAAUGAAUUAAAACUAUAAAAACACCUAAAAAAUAAUGAAUAUAAAUUAUCAAAUCAAAGCAAACUAAAAACUGAAACUUUCAAACAUGGGAUCGAUUUCGUUAAUGAACUUAACUAUAACAAAUACCUAAACUAAAUAUAAUGAAUCAAAUUAAAUUAAAACAUCCUAAAAACGCAAACUUUCAAAUAAAGGGUCAAUUUUAUCAAUAAGCUAAUGAAACUAUAAAAACACAUAAACUAAUUAAAACGAACGAAAUUAAAUCAAAGAAUAUUAAAAAUAUGAACUUUCAAACAUGGGAUCAAUUUUACUAAUGAAUUAAAACUAUAAAAACACCUAAAUAAUGAAUACAAAUUAUUAAAUCAAAGCAAACUAAAAAAAACCUGAAACUUUCAAACAUGGGAACAAUUCUAUUAAAUGAACUAAACUAUAAAAAAUAUCUAAACUAACUAUAAUGAAUCAAAUUAAAUUAAAACAUCCUAAAAACGCAAACUUUCAAACAUAGAAUCAAUUUUAUCAAUGAAUUAGAAUUAUGAAUAAAAUAAAUUAAUAAACCAAAUCGAAACCUAAAUUGUACCUAAAAAAAGAUUAAUUAAUUAAACUAAGAAAUCAGAAUCAAUAACAAAACUAAACUAAGAUGUGAAUUAAGACAAAACUAAUUAAAUUAAACUCACAAACACAUUUUAACUAUCACAUGGAUUAAAACAAAAUUAGCAUGGACUUAUGAAUUACGAACAAAAAUAAUCAAAACAUAUUUCAAAAACUCACCUGUAUUAACAAAAAAAUUUGCCUUUGAUGCGUUAAGGUGGCUCCCCUCUUCGUGUGGAUCUCUCUGCUCCUCAAAAAAAAUCCUCUCGCCUUUCUCCUUCUCAAGCCAAAAAUCCUCCCCUUAUUUAUAUGGCAGCCCCUCUUUAUAUGGCUGCGUGAGGAUCUCCAAAAUUCCCCUUCGUAUAGCCAGCAUGUAGCGAUCCUCUUCUUAUGGGAAGUGGGGAUUUUUUUAUGGCAGCCUCUCCAUCAUUGAAUAUUCUAUUUCCUUUUUUGAAUGCAUGUGGAUAUGGGAAGUGAUGUAUGCGUGACUUACCUAGCAAUUUCUUCAAGGAUGCAGCCCAUGUCUUGUUGGAGAAUGGUGCGGCCUAUGUGUUUCUCUUAAAGUGGGUUCAGAUUUUUGUUUCUUUUUAUCCAAUUGUCCACACCAUGCUCCAUAAAAAAAUCUGAUGUUCACCACUCAGUUCCCGAACCGCGUCCUCAUCAAUCUGGUGUGCGUUGAUGUUUCAACCUAAGGUCCAUACAUGGUAUUCUCCAUAUGCGGGCAAAGUGUUGGAGAAUUCCAUGGUCACUCUCCAUGGUGGGUGAUCAAUCCCAAAGUGGACUGUACGUCCAUUGAAUUGCAGCUCGUGCAGGUUAUGGACUGGCAGCAGAAUGAAGCCUUCAUCCAUGCGUACUGCCUUGUCUCUCCUUACAUUUGUAAGAUGCAGCCCACUCACUUUGAAUGAGUGGCAUGCAUGGUUCUCUUCAAGAUACCGUGGAGAUCUUAUGGAAAUUGGGAUGUGGACCCCUCAAAAGUUACAGGCGUGGGGGAUGCUUGCGCGUGGACUGGUUGUCUUCAACUCAUGAUGCGUUCCAAACGACCAAAAAAAUGCCCACACAUGCGUACUGGUUCUUCCUGUCGAGAUGGCGGUUAAUUCCCUUGCUUUUUCGUGGAGAAUCCGUGGUGAUCCCAUCCCUGGGUAUGAAAAUCUUGAAGCUUCCAAGGAAUAGGGUCUAAUGUAUGUGGAUAAUUCGUCCCACGAUCCUCUUGUUCCUGCCCAAAAUGGUGCUCCUCAUGCAAAACAAAAUAAGAUAAAAUUAUAAUUAAAGGAAAAGACGAGAAAUUAAUGAAAGUCAUGAAAUUGGUAAUAAAAUGAAAUAUGAUUAAAAGAAAAUGAAAGAGAAAAUCAAAUAUUAGAUUGUACAAUUCUGUCAUUUGAUAAAGGGGCUAUAUGCGUAUUUUAAAUCUAACAAUUCAAACAAUUUUUCAUUAAGUAAGUAAAUAAGUAAAUAAAAAUAAAUAAAAUGAAAUAUAUAAAGACAAUUAAAUACAUGAAUAAGUAAAUAAUAAAAAGUAAAAGUAAAAAUGAAUAGACAAAAUAAAUGUAAUUACCAAAUGCAUGCCAUAAUAAUAAUAAUAUUAAAAAAAAUAAAUAAAAUAAAUAAAUAAAUAAAUAAAUAAAAAGAAAUGUUGAGCCUCAAUGAAAUGUCUAAAUGGACCUGUUCUGAAAAAGGUGUCUAAGUGACCUAAGUGACAUGUGUGUAAAUGAGGAGGUGUCUCGGUGCGAGUCAAGGUGAAUCUAGGUGGGCCUAGGGUGGUGUCUAAUGGGUCAGGUGUAUCUAAAAGUUAUCCUAAAAAAAAUAGCAAUAGCCUAAGUCUAAAUUAGGGUUGCCAAGGGUCACAAUAAAGGGUCAGAUAAUCCCUCGACCGAAAUCUCCGAGGUGACUCAGAAAAAGGUAAGUUGUACGAAUAGUAAUGGGCCACCAAGGAGCAUUAAAAAUGAAUUUAAAGACAUGUGCUAAAGGAACAAAAUUGAGGGUCUACAAUGACACAUUAUAAAUUUGAUUUGGUUGUAAUUUAUGUUGGACAAACGAAGUUGUGUAAAUUUUGUCAUAUCAUGACAGUUGCAUAACUAAACAAUGACACUAUGGGAUAAGUAGGAAGUUGGACUAUUUUUGGAGAUAAUGAUAACAAUAAUUAAGUUGAUUGCGUCAUUAAACAAUGGCACUAUGGGAGAACAUGUCAUGAAGCGCUAUGGAAAAUAUAGGGGAUUAGAAAGAAAUUGCACACAUUAGUUAUGAUGAAAGUGACAAUUGCAGCAUCUCAUGUAAUAUGAAAGUUUUUGAGUUAAACUGAUUGUAAUUGUAUUCGAUUUGUACAAGGAUAAUUAAAACCUUCAUUUCUGAUUGUAAACAUAUGUUCAUUGUUAUAGGAACUAAUAUAAUUGGAAUUAUACAUAGAUUUUAAUUGGUUUAUUAUAGAUUCCAUAAUAGGGUACAUUAGGUGUUUGGACUAUAAUAUAAUAUGUUUUAUUAUUUAUUAUUCGACCCAUGUUUUGUCAUUGCAUUGCAUUUGUAAAUUGAUUUAUUGAAGUUUUAGUUUGUAUUGUAUAUCAGCUUUUGAAGGCCAUUGCAAUGUGAUUGGUAAUUAUUAGAGCAAAAGUAGGUGUUACGAUGGUAGCAUAUUAGGUACUUUGUGCUGAAGUGUAUAACCAAUCGCAAGGAAGGAGGCCUUCAAUUGGAGAAGUGCUUGUUUUUGGUGAUCAAGAUAGGAGAGACAAGGCAAGUUGAAGAAGAAGGUGAAGAUGUAGAACUGAAGUAGAAGGCUUGGCUUGGCUAUUGCUGAGUUCAUUUCCUUCUUUGUCUAGUGAAAUAGUAUUAACUAUUGGGGAGAAUAUGCUUAAUGAAAUCAUAGAUGGUGGGUUCUCAAAUGUCAAUUGUCAAUUGUUUAGCAUCUUCCCAGGAUUUUAAUUUUCCUUCUACUCGACUGGAAAAUCCUAUAACAAGGCCAACUUAAGCAUAUAAACUCAUCCAAUGUCAGAGUUUUCCAUUUUCUAUAACUUUGAUCUUCCUUAUGCUUAAUGCAUGCUUAGAAAGGGUUAUUUGGUUUAUAUAUGGAAAAUGCCAACCUCUUUUGUAAACUAAUGUUUUCAACAUUGCUUACUCAUCUAGAAGGAGACAAGCAAACCAACUCAAUAUUAUAAGUUGGGCACAUCACACAUUGUUUGUUGAUUGUGUUAUCAUAUUCCCAAGCUACCUAGAAAUUCAUUAUCUAUCAAUCCUAUUUCCCAUGGCACAACCUUUGAAGACAAUAAAAGAUUUUUUCAAAAUCAGUUAUCAGUGUCUUAUUCUUGUUUUCAAUGCAUCACACUAUUGAUGAGCAUAAAUAAUGUCUUAAGCACUUCCAUGUUUCUGACAUGUUUCUUCUUUAGCUUAUAUUGUGAAAUUUAUACUCAAUUUUCUCCAACACUAUAACAACCCUAAUUCUUUUUCGUAUAGUAAUAAAGUUCUUCUUUACAUAUGGUUUUUCAUAUUGUAACAACACUAUAACAAUGCUUUGAGGAUUGUAGUUCUCAUGUUGUAAUUAUCCAAUAUAAUAAUUCAAGAUUCAAGAUGCAUUACAUAUAGAAAUUGGAUUGUAUUCGUUCCAAUUAAUACGAUUAAAGUACUCCAAUUUGGUAGGCCAAGAAUUACCAUCCAAUUGUAGUUUCACAUAACAUAGAACUACUUACAUAAAAGGACAUAAAUAGUAUAACUCGAAUCUAAUUGGACAUGUAUUCGGGUAUGCGCAAAAUGUUUUCAUGCUCUGCCAUUGACAAAUCCUGACCAUUGUCUUGUGCAAAUUGGAUGCAAAUGUGUAAUAAUGACUCACAAGCUCGAUGAUGCAUCAUUUGAUUAUUUUCUAUGCGUAUCUCGACUAAUGCAUCUUCAAAUGAAAACAUUUUUUCAAGAUGCAUUUGAACUGAAAUUAAUGGGGGAACCUUAACUCGUAGUUGUUGUAAUUCGAUGACUAAAUCAGUUUAUUCCCGCACCCUAUAAGCCCACUCUCUAUGCAUUAUUCAUAAUUGAUCAUUGAAGCUAGCAUCAUGUGGAACAGUUAAGAUGUUGUUAACUAGGAUCCAAUUCCUUUUUGAAUCCAUCCUCUUAUGAGUGAAUAAAUCGAAUGAUGGCAAAGGAAAUUGGUAUAACAUAGGAGAUCCUUGUUAUUAGGUGAUAUUGUAAAUGUCAUCGAUAGAGGUCUAUAUAUAUAACAAAUGCAGUAAGAAACGUUAAUUUCAUUGAAUCUCCAGUGUAAUGAAGAAAAGAAAAAAAGAAAAAGAGGAUGGGUUUUCACAGUACUCUGUUAGAUGUGACUACACAAACAUAUUUUAAUGAUAAGACAACGAAGUUCUCCAUUUCCCAAUGGCAAUAAAAAAUUUAAUCAUUACAAUUGUAAAAGAAAUUGGUACACAUGAGUAUUAAUUUAAAUGACAACAGAAAGUAUUCUUAUAGGUUACCAUUCUGAAAUUGAGAAGACAACACAAAAGACUUAUCUGAAGUUGACAAGAUUAGACUAAAGUACUUUAAAGGGCUAACAAAUAACUUUUGAGAUUGUACACAAUUGUGAUGGAAAUUGGUGAACAUGAGUGUUAAUUUUAAAUGACAACAAAAAGUACUAUCACAGGUUGCCAUUGAUGCAUGUGCCAUUUUGAAAUUGAGAAGACAACAUAAAAGACUCAGUUGAAGUUGACAAGAUUAGACCAAAGUACUUUGAAUGGCCAACGAAUCACUUUCGAGAUUCAUUGUACGCAAUUUUUAUGGAAAGUGGUGGAUAUGAGUGUUAAUUUUAAAUGAUAACAGAAAGUACUAUCAUAGGUUGCCUUUGAUGCAUGUGUCAUUCUAAAAUUGAAAAGACAACACAAAAGACUCAUCUAAAGAUGACAAUGACCAAUGAAUCACUUUCGAGAAUCAUUGUACACAAUUGUCAUAGAAAAUAGUGAAAAGAUGAGAUGAUAUGUACAUAACAAAGACAUGACUGAUAAGUCAUUUCAACACAUUGACAAUAUAUAAAGCUAACACUAAGGAUAGGGAAAGAAAAGAGAAUAAGAUAUGGGAUAUAGAAUCUUACAAAAUAUGAGCACAUAUAGUGCCAUGUUACCAUAGUGUAAAUAAGGGAUUCUACAUCGAACCUCUUAUGACUAACAAGAAAGUGGAGUGCUUAAUUUUGCAUCAAUUACACCUAUCAUCUUAUAGCUUUUAACUUUGGUAUAAAACUUCUUCAUCAUUCGAUAGUAAUGCACAUUGUCAUUAACUUUCUCGUAUUAGUCACUUACUAUAGCAUCUAUUUAUUUGAAAGUUAGGAAAAUGAAUUUUUAACUGUCUUAAGUUGUUUUUGAAGAGUUUGGGGCAUAUGCACACUUCUUUGGCAAGUUCAAUAGUUGUUGCAGGUGAUGGACAAUAGAAGGGGUAAACACCAUCUUCACUUGGGGAAAUAUUACUGGCUAAAGGAUAUAUUUGAGCUAUCAGGCUAAUAUUGGGCAUUAAGAGAUGAUAAUUUCAUGUACAAACUAAAGCCAUCAGACAAGUAUUUGGAUGUGACCAAUGUGCACCAUGGAAAGUAAGUGGAAACAUCAGGUGCGGGAAUAAACAAAUCUACUCUAACAACUCAUUGUUUUAAGUGUACGUGUACCAUGUAGAAAGUCGUUGUCUAUCCGUCAAUUCACAUCAGUUUAUCUGAAGCACUUAAUAAGAUAAUAGAGGAAAACAACAAGAUGACAAUUUGAAAGAUGGGGUAAUAAUGUUAGAAGAGGCAAGCAACAAAGCACUAGCAAAUGGUAAAAAAAUCAAUGAAGGGGAACAAGCAAAAAUUCUAUCUCAACCACAAUCAAAUUAGAUUUUGAAAUCUCUGAUGAGGAGUAGUAACAUAUAUGAAGGAUGGAACCUAAAUAAAGCCUAUGUAACAUAUGUAAUAUUGUACUCCGAAUUUUAGGAUAUUUGUUGCAACUUUAGUAAGCAAAUGCCUAAUAAUUAAUGAUCAAUUUUGUUGUUAGCGUCCCAUUAUUAGCUGACCACCCCAUCGUAUAACAUUCAAAUUAGUGUGACAUCUUGUUAGUCUUACAAUCAAUUUUAAAUAACAUUCACAUAUUGAAUGUCAUGGCAUAUCAAAUAUAUUCGUUUUGAACACAUUGUAGGUAGAGUAGAAUUUGGUUAGGAAAAAUUAAUAAAUAUUUUUUUGAAUUUACUAAUGAUUCACAUUUUUUCACAUUUUUUGAAUAUGUCAUAAAGAAAUUAAAUAAUAAUAAUAAUAUUUUGCAUGUCAUAGCAAACUGAAUUGAAUAUAUUCAUUCUAAAGAUCUUUUAGAAUAACCUAAUGGGACGUUAUAAUAUAGGUGAAGAACACUUUGGUCAUAGGAUAUUAUUAACUUUUACCAAUUACUGAAAGCGAGGGGUCACAAGAACACUAUUUAUUUGAAAAUUUACUUCACAAUGACACUUUUAUCAAGCAUAUGUAUUUAUAUUUAAAACUUUCAUAUAGGUCUUGUACUUUUCUAUCUGUAUUACAGAUAGGCCGUCAUGUCAAUAUUAUGACUAAGCCCUCCAACCAAUCUUCAAACUAUAUAAAUGGUAUAACCUCAACUUUAACACCAUAUGCUAGUUUAAAGCACCAUGUAAAGAACCUUCAUUCUAAACAUAUAUCAACCAUAUUGUCUAGGUAUGUUUGAAGGCAUAAAUUUUAUAUUCCAUUUCUUCAAUGUUUUAAGCAAAUAUGAAACAAAGGCCUCAUCCAUAGAUUGUUUAUUUGGUUGUAUCAGUAUAAAAAAAUACAUGGCAAACAAAGACAAGAUCUACAUUGUUUUUGUUGGUAGGAGGUCGGGUGUAUACACAACUUGGCCUGAAUGCCAAGUUCAAGUCAUUGGUUAUAAGGGUAACAUUUAUAAAUCGUAUAGAACUCAUCAUGAGGCUAUAUUGGCAUGGGUGAUGUACGACCCUUGAUGGAAAAAACUUGAUGCACCUAUUGAAUCCCCUAAGCCUAUAGAGUGUAACUAGGUUAUUAGUCAACUGGUAGAUGACUAAGUACUAAAGAAGGCUAAAGAUCGGAAACAAAAUUUCCUUGCUCCUUUUGUCCUCGGAUGUGUUGUAACAUUCAUGAUCAUGUUUGUCAUUCAAAAGUUCUUUAGGUAUGCUCAAAUGUGGUGCGACUAAGCUACAUGUUGUACUUGUAUUACGUGUCUUAAAUGCAAUGGUACUCUGGCCUUUCAUCCUUCAUUAUUUAUUUCAGUUUUAAAACAAUACUAAAACAACAUAAAACAAAAUAAGAAGUUACAAAUUUUGGAUGAUGAAAUUUAAGGGGGAAAUGAGUGAGCAAGUUCUUCAAAAUUCUUUAAAAUCCUUCAAGAUGGGCUACCUUGUACACCCUUGUACAAUUAGCACACGUACCUUGUACACUUAGUGUAAAUGCCUUAUACACUUGCAUAUUUACAUACACCUAUAAUGCAAUGUGUGCAUAUGGGUGAGUUAACUAUGUUUCCAUUGUCAUGGCUCAAGAAAAGAGGUAAAAAAAUGAAAUUGAACCCAACCAUGUAUCCUUAAUCAUCAUUUAUGAAUACAAGGUGAUGGAAUGAAUGUGUAUGAGGUCAAAUAAAUGCAUGGGUUGCACAUCAUCAACACAUAUGUGUGAGGAAUGUCUCUCAUCUCACCCUUGGAAAAGGGAAAUGAGUGAGUCAGUUGCUCAAAAUCAUUUGAAAUUCUUUGAGACAGGUACCCUUGUACACCAUUGUACAAUUACCAUAUUUGCCUUAUACACUUAAUGUAAAGGCCUUGUAUAGUGGGAGAAAUUCCAUACACUUACAACACAUGAAUCGGUAUGGGUGGGGGAACCAUGUUCCAAUGUCAUGACUGAACAAAUUUUGAACAAAUUUGAUGCCAAAUUACGGCUCUAUUCAUCAUUAUUGUGGUAAGUAACAUGAUGAACAUGUACAAACUCACAAAAAUGAAUGGGAUGAGUGUGUGAUCAAGUAAUGUGUGUGAUGAAUGUCCCUCAUCAUUAGAAAAUGGAAAUGAGCAAGCAAGUUCUUCAUAUACCUUUCAAAUAGUUAUGGAUAACUACUUUGUAUACCCUUGUACAGUUAGCACACAGACCUUGUACACUUAGUGUAAAUGCCUUGUACACUUGCAUUCACAUACACCUAUAAUGCAAUAUGUGCAUAUGGGUAGGUUAACUAUGUUUCCAUUGUCAUGGCUUAGGAAAAGAGGUAAAAAAAAAAAAAUGAAAUUGAACCCAACCAUGUAUCCCUAAUCAUCAUUUAUGAAUACAAGGUGAUGGAAUGAAGAUGUAUGAGGUCAAAUAAAUGCAUGGGUUGCACGUGAUCAACCAAUAUGUGUGAGAAUUGUCUCUCAUCCUUGGAAAAGGAAAAUGACCGAGUGAGUUCCUCAAAAUCAUUUGAAAUCCUUUAAGACAAGUACCUUUGUACACCUUUGUAUUGUUAGUACAUUUGUCUUGCACACUUUGUGUAAAUGCCUUGUAUAGUGGCAUAAUUUUGACAUAGCUACAAUUAAACGUGUGCAUAUGGGUGGGUUAACCAUGUUCCAAUUUCAUGCCUGAGGAAAAAGAAGGAAAAUUAAACCCAAAUUAUCUUAGUAUUCAUCAUUAGUGUGGUAGGUCAUCCAAUGGACAUCUACAAGGAGAAAAAAAAUUAAAUGGGAUGAGUGCGUGAUCAAGGAAUGUUUGUGAGGAAAGUCCCCCAUCCUUACAAAAGGAAAAUAAACAAGCCAAUUUUUAAAAAAUAUUUCAAAUCCUUCAACAUAGGUACCCUUGUACACCCUUGUGCAGUUACCAUAUUUGCCUUGUACACUUAGUGUAAAUACCUUAUACAAUGCCAAAAAUUUGACAUAGCUACAACUGAACGUUUGCUCAUACACGGGCUAACCAUAUUUGCAAUGUUUUGCUUCAUCGAAUGGGGAAAAACCUAAGUUUAAAUUUGUUUCCCAACUAUUAGUCCACGAUUCUUACAAAAUAAUCAUAUAAGCAAAUCAGUGAAUGAUGCAAAUGAAAAAACCUUCUACUGACUUCCUACAUGCAGAACAUUUGAUAUUGAAAAACAGUUUUCCCUAUUAUUAUUCUCCUACUUAAACAUAAAGGAGUUGCAAUCAUACAAUUAAUGGGGUCCCAAACAUAAAGAAUUUUAACAAAUAUGGAUGUCAUAAUUCAUCCAUAAACCUAAUAAAAACACCCUCAAUCCUCCACAAACCUGGGUUCCAAUUCCAGAAAUUGUACUAACCCGAAAACCACUUCAACGGAUGGAGCAUAUUUUAAUGUUCAAAGGAGGUCAUUGUGAAUAUACCCUACUACCAAUGCUGGAACAACUUUAGAUCUUGAAGGGAAUGCUUGCUUUUGAAAUUCAUUUGACCCAAAGGAAUUGUGAAGGAAUUGCAUGAUCUUCACAUAGUCUUCUUCCCCAGAGUCACCCUCUCUUUCCACAAACCAUAUCCAAAUCCUCUCUCUGAAUUUAUUUUAUUCGACAAUAGACCUAGGUCAUAGCCAACGUACACAUUUUAAUGAGAUCUGACAUGGUAACUUCAAUUGACCAAUUAUGAAACCCAAAUUUUACAAACAUCUUAUAUGGAAUUUUGAAGGGUAUAUUUGUUUCUUGAUACUUCAUAUCCUCUCUCUUAAUUAUGCAACUUAUAUGGCCCAAAGGUUAAUUUUUCAUUACAAAUGACUAUGCAAGUUCUUCAAAAGCAUUUGAAAUCAUUCAAGAUAGGUAGCCUUGUACAUACACUUGUACAUUUAGUACAUUUGCCUUGUACACCAAUGAAUGUGUACGAAGGGAAAUGAGUAAUGUCUGUGAGGAAUGUCCCCCUUAGAAAAGGGACAUGAGCAAGCCAUUUUUUCAAAAGGAUUUGAAAUCCUUCAACAUGGGUACCCUUGUACACCCUUGUACAGUGAACACAUUUGUCAUAUACCCUUAGUAUAAAUGCCUUGUACAGUGGUAAAAAUUUGAUAUAGCUACAACUGAAUGUGUGCAUAUGGGUGGGCUAACCAUGUUCGAGUGUGAUGCCUGAGGGAAAAGGGGGAAAUGAAACCCAAUAUAAGUUCAUAUUCAUCAUUAGUGCAGUAGGUCAUCCAAUGAACAUGUAUGAAGUAAUAAAAUUAAAUAGGAUGAGUGCCUGGUCAAGGAAUGUGCGUGAGGGAAUGUCCCUCAUCCUUACAAAAUGGAAAUGAUUUUAAAAGGAUUUCAAAUCCUUCAACAUAAGUACCUUUGUACACACUUGUACAGUUAGCACAUUUAUCAUACACUUAGCAUAAAUGUCUUGUACAGAGAAAUAAAUUUCAUACAACUACUACUGAAUGUCUGCUCAUGGUUAAUUAUGUUUGCAAUGUUUUGGUUCAUAAAAUAAGGAAAAACUGAACUACUAGUCAUCAUAUUAUUAAUCUUCUACUCAAACAUAAAGGAGUUCCAAUCAUAUAAUUAAUGGGGUUGUGCUUUGGAUCAUAGCAGAAUAAUUUUCACAAAUAGGAAUGUCAUAAUUCAUUGCUAAACCUAAUAAAAACACACUCAAUCCUCCAUCAGCCUAGGUUUGAAUUCCAAAAAAUAUCCUUACCUCAUAAUUCUACUCCAAAAUGGCAUAUACCCUAUUUAGCAUAAUUUCAACUUCACAAAAGGUUGUUGGGCCACUGCCAUCAUCACGAUCAUAGUUGUAGUCACUUUAUAUCUUCACCAGAGUUCUUCCUUUUCUCCGUUUCAUGUGAUGGACCAACCUCACAAUUAUGACAACCAUCUUCUCUACUUUCAAGAUACAUUUGAUCCGAUGGAUAGCUAUUAUGGAGGAAUUGCAUCAUCAUCAGAGAAUUUUCUUCCCUAAAGCUCAUCGUCUCUCUCUGUGAACCAUACCCAUUUCUUUUCUCUAAAUGAUAAACCCAGCAAGCAGAUUCUAAAGUGAAAAUUUUAAGACAAGUGACAUGACAUUUUUUAGGAGAUCUUCUCCAUAUGAUUGACUGUAAGUUUCUUGAAUUGACUUGCAUUGUGCUGCAUUCCUAUGAGCCAAGAUGGAUAUGAUCAAAGCCUCAUUUGUCUUCCACCUUGCAUCCAAAAACACACUAUUAUUAAGAUCAAAAUCUUUUGAAAAAAACCCAACACGAGGUCAAAAUGGUUACCUUUCCCGAAACCCUAUACUGACCUAGUAAACAAAGAUCCAACACAUCAUUAAAGGAACCAACAUGAUCAAAUCAAAAUGUGAGAAAAUAAAUCAGACCCCCGAUCAUUUGGAUAUGGGAAUGAUGAUGAUAAAAUACCUGCAAAGGCUUUUUUGAGUUGCUCACAAUCCUCAACUACUGAAGGAACCGAUUGGGGGACUGUCCGAGCCAACAUUGUGUGAGUAUGUUGUUUACUGAGGGAGAAAAAGGGGUAGAGCGGUUGUGACCCUUAUGGCCUUUAUUUCAGAUUUUUAAGAUAGGUAAUGUGGCAUUUUUAGUUUACCACUAGUGAAACACAUUAAUUUACAAGCAUCCGAGUUGGAAAUUUGAAAGUUAUAUUGGUCUCUUAAUAUUUUAUAUAAUUUUCAUCAAUUAUAUAAGUUAUAUGGAUCAAAACUUAAUUUUUAGGUCCAAUUGAAUUCAAAACACAAUUAUUCAUUUCUUUAAUACAAGACCACAUCUCUAAUCCAAACAAAAGAAAACAAAUUCAAAACAUUUCUUUCCAACCACACAGCUCAGUAAACCCAUAUCACUUAAAGCAAACUUAAGAAAACACUCCUCUUAUAUUUAAGAAUACAACACUACUCAAUAGCCUGUGAUGUUCCCCUUUUUAUUCUAUACCAAACUUCUUUCUCAUUCACAUGACAAGGCCAUGGGACAUGUGUGGUCUUCGAGAGAAGACCCACACAAGAUGUUCCCCUUUUACUCUAUACCAAACCUCUUUCUCAUCCCCAUGACAAAGCCAUGGACCUUGUGUGGGUCUUCGAGAGAAGACGACACACUCUCCUUUUCCUUGCACCUCUUGGUCCAAGCGAUCAACUUGGGGCACUCCGCCUCUAUGCUGAAGUUACCAAAGCUCUCAUAUGCAUAAAACCAGCAAGAGAAGGUCACGAGAGCCACAUCCACAAACCCAAUUUUUUCACCACCGAAGUAAGGCUUCUCUCCAAGCUCGCCUUCCAAAAGCUGAAGGCACUCUAUGAAUUCCUUCUUGGCUGUUUCCUGCUCUUCUCCUUUGGUAGACCAUACCUUCCUUCCAAGUCCAUAGAGCUGUGGGGAAAUAAUGGAGUCAAAGAGAUAAAGAGUUAUUUUUUGUAGCGUUUCAUCAAGUUUCAACUUUCUGUAUAGUUGGGACAAGUUUAUUAAGGACCCUUCAGCAUAGAAAUCUCAUAUACUAGUAACAAAAAUGAAGGGCCGGUGGAAGAAAAAUAUCAGAAUCAGCUGAAAGAAUAUAUCAUUUGCUAAAGUUUUUCCCCUCAAUUUGAGUUGUAGAAAAUGAGAAAAAAGAGAUCAAAGAAACAGAACAUAUAUUAAAACAACCGUUGUACAAAAUGUUGAACAACAGGAUAACAAAAAACCAAACAGUGUUCUUUAAAAUUCUGGUUUAUGUAUCCCCCUUUCUUGGGGGAAAAGGUAUUCUUGAGAUAUGCUUUUUUGGAUGGAACGAACAGACUUCGGAUUCAACAGAACAAAGAAAUGAAAACCCAUAGCAGAAAUGCAAAGUAGAGUCUUGCUGAACAAACAGCAAGGAGAAUCAGUAAAGUUCUAGUUUGGGACCCUAAAGCCCACAAAAUUUAAUAUCAGAAGAGAAUGCGCUAAGAAACCCAGCAUUUUGGACAAAUCCCUCACCAUAAUCAAAAUCUGAGUCAAUCGCCAUGAAUCAAUGGAAAAGAAUGCUUUAAAUCAACAGCAAAGACAUACCUUCUUGUCUACGUAGUCCGCCCAGAACCUGGCCUGAGCUCUCUGGUAUGGGUCACUACGCAAAAGCGGAGAUUUAUCGUGCCAAACCUCAUCAAUAUACUGAACUAUUAUCAGAGAUUCACAAAUGGGCUUUCCAUUGUGGAUCAGAACCGGGAUUUGCUUAUGAACUGGAUUCAUCUCAAGAAGCAGAGGGCUCUUGUUCCUCAGGUCCUCCUCUUUAUAUUCAUACUUGAGGCCCUUCUCUGCCAGGGCAAGUCUGACCCUCAUACCAAACAUGCUAGGCCAGAAAUCCAACAGGAUAAUCUCGUCUCCCAUUGCUACUACUGUGAUUGAUAAGAUUCAAACUCUUUGUAUUGAUGAACAACACAGGGGAAAUUGUUGAGUAUUUAUAGCAAAUUUCAGAGAGUGGGUUAAACCCCUGGGUACUUCUAGCCUUCUAGGAGUUGGUGAUGCUCAAUAAUUCCUUACCUCAGCUUGCAUUUUCCUUUCUAAAUUACAUUCUUAUCUCCGUUUCGUAUCUAUCCAGCAUUUGCAAAUUACGCAAACUUUUGUUGUGGGAUGAUGUCAUUGCUUUCGUCAGCCUUGUCAAUUAAGUACACUGGUCCUCUGCAUAAUUUCCCACCACAAAAAUGAUAUUGCAAGGAAAAAAAAUGAUAUUGUAGGGAAAAGAAAAUACAGCUUGCAUCUUUUUGGAUGGACAAGUCAAUAUUGGUCCCUUCCUAGUUUUUAGAUUCCUGAAAUUAAAUAAAUAUUUUAAACUUUAUGUUUAUUGUAACUUUUUAAAAUUUCGGUGAUGAUUGUGCUUUUAUUUAGAUCUAAAUUUGUUUUUAAAUUUGAAUAAAUUAAAUAUUGCUAAAUAUUUUAAUUUUUUUUAUAUUUUAAUUAUUACUAAAUGUUAUUAAAUAUUAAAUUACUUAUCUUUUACAUUACAAAAAUAUUUAUAAAAUAUAAUAUUUUAUUUCUUAUCAAAUUAAUUUUCAAUUCAACAUAUUUUUAAAUAUUUAUAUUAUAAUUUAUUAGCAUAUUAAAAGUUUUAUAAUAAUUAAUUAUGUAAUUGAUAAGAAAUUGGUAGUCUGAUGACAAGUAUAAUUAGACUUGUUAGAAACUAUUAGAAUUUUUCUAAGUUUGUAUAUCUUUGGAUUUGAAGACUUGUGAUUGAAAUGUGGGUUCCCUUUUGUUAAAUUAAUUCAUUGAUUUUUGUAAUUUUAACUUUGAAGGAGUAUCAAAUUUUAAUUUUAUAUUUUUUAAAUUAUUAAUUCUAAUAGAAAUUUAGAUGAAUGUGAAUUAUGCUUUAGAAUUUUGAUUAAAAAAAUCUUAUUAGAAUUGAUAAUUAGCUUUGUUUUUUUAUAAGGCUGAAUUUUUAAAUUUUAUAUUAAAUAGUUUUCUAAUUUAAUUUUUUUUGUCACUUAUUUUUAUUUUUGAAUGAGUAAUUAAUAAUAAUUUAUGGAAUUGAAUUUGAUUAAGAAUGGGAUUAAUUAUGGGGCAAAAAUAGUGGCAACAUGUGGGGAUUUGGAAUUUUGUAAAUUUAUUUUUUAUUAAUUUCAUUUUCGAGCAAUCAAUUUAUGAGAAAAUUUUUAAUCUAAUUUUUCUUAAAAAAAUUAAAAUUUAAAAUUUAAAAAACAAAUAUAUAUUUGAUUUUUUUGUGAAUGACAAAAUUUUAAUUUAUAAUAAAUUUAUUUCUCACUCAAAUUAUAUAAAAUUAACCUAGUUUAACUAUUUUUUAAAAUGAGUUAUCUUUUUUUUUAUUUUUUAUUUUAUGGAAUUUAGUUUAAAUUUUUGUGAAAAAAUUGUAUUUAAGCAAGUACUCUAAAUUAAUGAUGUGUAAACUUUUACAUUUUCCCCAUAAAAAAUCAAAUAUUAUAUUUAAUCCUAGUCUUUCCCGACUCCUAUAAAUAGGAGACUUAGGUCAAUAAAAUGGAUGCCUCAAAGUUAGUCUUUGUAAAAGAAAACUCUUAUAAGUUUUUAUAUAAGAUUGUAACAUUAAAAGGAUAAACUUAUUACCAAAAAAUAUCUUCUUUCUCACCUCAAAGAUAUGUGAUAAAAUUCUACUUUUAUUUUAUUUUCUAUUUAAUUUAUUUUUUAAUGAAGAAAAUAGAAAAUAUUUUUUAUAGACAAAAAUUAUGAAAAAAUUACAACUAGAAGUUAUAAAAAAAAAAAUGUAAAAUAUGUAUAAUUGUAUAGCCAGAGGUUAUAUGAGAAAUUAUAAAGUUACAAAAAUAUAAAGAAAAGCUUUAAAUGUAAUUUCUAAUUUCUUUUUAAUUAUAAUGUAUAACCGAAAGUUACAAACUUACACAUUUUUGUUAUGUAUAUAAUGAAUAUUUCAUAGUUUGAAGGUAUCAAAUUUACAUAUUUUUGUUAUGAUGCAAAUAAUCCAUAGCCAAAAGCUAUGAAAACUAUCGGUUUGUAAUUUUUAUUAGUUAAUACUACAUGAUGUUGAUACACUUUUUUUACCAAAUUUAUAAUAAUCCUAAAGCGAUAAAAUAUAACAAAAUCUUAAAUCAUUAUAUUUUUAUUAACAAAUAUUAACUUGAUAAAAUAUUGUUAGAUAAUUUUAUUCAUUUAUUUAUAAUUAAUUUUAAUAAAUUGAAAUGUUAUUUGAAUGAAAUUAUUUGGAAUAUAAUUUUUAGAUAAUGUCAAAUCUUACCAAGUUUGAGUUUGUUACAUUCAAUAUUUUGAGCAAAACUAUUUAUUUUGGAUUCUGGAUGCUAAAUUCACCUAAAUGAAAUGAAUCUUGAAAAGACUAUUAAAUAAGGAAAUGAGGCAUCAUCGCAAGAUCGCACUAAAGCUUUAAUAUUCAUUCAUUAUCAUAUUGAUGAAGGAUUAAAAGGUGAAUAUCUUACGAUCAAAGAUCUUUCAUCCUUUGGAAUAAUCUAAUGGAAUGAUAUGGCCACCACAAGAUUAUAAUUCUUCCAAAAGCACGUCAUGAUUGGACGCACUUAAGAUUGCAAAAUUUCGAGUCUGUCAAUGGCCACAACUUGACUUUAUUAAAAAAUUGUUCACAAUUAAAUUUAUAUGGAAAAAAAGUCACUAAAGAAUAUAUGCUUGAAAAGACAUUUACCACUUUUCAUGUCUCGAAUGUACUCCUAUAGAAACAAUCUUAAGAACAUCAUUUCACUAAAUAUUUUGAAUUAUUUUAAUGUCUUCUUAUGAUUAAAUAAAAUAAUGAACUUUUACUGAAAAAUCAUCAAUCUCAUACUAUUAAGUCUAUGUCAUUGCUUGAAGCAAAUGCCACAUCCAUCCAAGCUCCUAGACAUUGACUUGGACAUGGACAUGAACAAGGCCAAGGACACAAUCAUGGCCAUGGUAAAUAUAAUUCUUGGUACCAUGGUGGUUAUAGUCAUUAUUAGAAUAAAAUAAAACAAUUCAAACCAUCAAAAGUUGAAUAAUUUUGAGAGACAACGUAAAAAGGGUAUAUAAUGACAAAGCAAACAUGUUAGUAAGAAUGAAUGCUAUAGAUGUGGUAUGAAAAGACACUAGUCAUGUACUUAUCAUAUUUCCAUAUGUUAAAAAAAAAUAAAAUUGUACAGAGGUUUUAGAAAUGCCCAAUCGGGUAAGGAAAGCGCCAAACAUUCCAACACUUCCAUAUGUUAAUAUUUAGACCCCUAAUAAGGAUGUAUAUAGUCAUGGUUCGCCUUAAAAAAAUCAUAUGUAUGUUUCUUAAGGAUGCAUGUAGGAUUUAGAAAUGACCUAUGAAGAACAAGAAGACCUCAAAUUCAUUAUGAGGCUUUCCAUAAGUUAAUAUUUAGACCCAAAUAAGAAUGAAUAGAAUCAUUGUCCACCUUAAAAAAAAAAAAAAGUAUGUGUGUGUGUGUGUGUGUGUUUUUUUUUUUUUUUUUGUUGAGAAUUUACAUAGUUUUCUUAAGGAUGUAUGUAGGCUUUAAAAAUGACCAACAAGGAAUGGGCAUAUCUCAAAAUUAUUGCAAAGCUUUCAUAAGUUAAUAUUCAAACCUAAAUAAGGUGAAAUAAAGUCACAAUCCACUUUAAAAAAUUUACAUAUUUUGUAUUUUUAAGAAUGUACAUGCUCUCCAUAAAAAUAUAUGUAUUUUUUAUUAAGGAUGUUCUUAGGGUUUAGAAAUGCUUAACAAGGUAGGGAAAGGCCUCCAAUUCAUUCUCAGGCUUCCAUAAGUGAAUACUUAAACCUAAAUAAGGCCAAAUAGGGUAAUAGUUUGCUUGAAAAAAAUGUAUGUAUUUUUCUUUAGAAUAAUAUAUAUAUAUUUGUUAAGAAUGUAUGUAUUUUUGUAAAGAUUUUCCUUAGGGUUCUACCAUAUCGAACAAGGUUUGGGAAGCUCUAAAAUGAAUUUCGUAGUGUACAUAAGUUAAAUCUUAUACCCAAAUUAAUGUGAAUGAGAUCGUGGUUAAUUUGAAAUCAAAUGUACAUAUUUUGUGGGAAAAAAUGGUAAAAGAUUCUUAUUCAAUCAACUAUUACAAUCCUAAUUUAUAUCUUAUUGUAGACCCCCAUGUUGGGGUGGAUUUUAUGUAUUUUUGUUUUGCCAAGUGUCCAAAUUUCAGGGAGCCACGUGGAGCUUGAAGAUUGGCCAUCAGGUAGUGCAUUUGGCCGUUGGGAGAGAGCUGGUUGUAGCCAUCAGAAUGCUACACGUACGGAGAAUAUUCGGUAGGAGCGUGUAUUUUGUUUUGGAGGAUAGCAGGCCGUUAGUGAGGGCAUUGGUGCAGGAGGUUCUCUGGCAAAUAGGAGGUGGGUGCUUUUUGGUGCAGGUGCGUUUUAGACGGAGAGAGAGGGGAGGCAGGGUUAGAGAGAAGAUAUUUUGGAGGAUGUUGCUUUGAGUGAGGAGCUCGGAGGAUAGAAGUUUGCUUGAGAGGAAAGGCAACUGAAAAGGGAAACAGAAAAAAAGAAGAGGAGCGUUAUAAGGUACGUCUGCUAAGCCACAUUUUUUAUUGCCAUUGAAAUCUUUUGGGUUGAGGUUAUUAUGUUAUAAUAUAUCUGCUCUUUGUUCUUCAUGAGAAAUUUGAUCUAGAACGAACUAAUUCUUCUUUUGCUCUCUUUCAUGUGUUUGAGUGAUAUCCUUGAAUCUUGUUUCCAUCUUUUUUUUUUUCACCCACACAUAAGUCCUAUGACUUCAAUAUAAGAUGAGGCUUGGGUCAUUGUUUUCUUGGGUUCAUUUUAUACUCUGUUUUGGUCCUUGCUUCAUUGUUGUUUGCUUUCUAUUCUCGGUGGCCACUCGUACACCCAAGGAGAAGAGUCUUGGCUAGCACGGCUUUUGGUUUUCGUAUGGACACAAUUUGUGAAUUUGGGGAGAUGUUGUUAUAUUGCUCAUAGAAUCAUUGGAAUGUUCUGCUCAGAAUGGGUGAUUGCCAUAUUUAGGGAAGCUACUCCACAGUUCCUCUCCUAUACCCACGCGCAUGUUACUUUGGCCAUGCAUGGCUAUAUUCUCUCUUUGUAUCGAAUAUACAGCUCUCCUCGCUAUUCAUAUUUCGUGCUCAACCCGGUAUCAUCCUUCGACGCUGGUUUCAUGGACUUCAUAAAUAAGUCAUCUGUCACCGACCCCGUAGCCCUAGCUCCGUUCUCCUUCUCUCUCUCCCCGUCGGAUCCAAUCAAGGGAUGCCAUCUCACUGCUUCUCUUUCUAACCACUCCUCGAUCCUCAUCUCCUACUCCACCAGUCCUCAAUCUUCUGCUCUACAAUGGUUGACGUCGCCUUAGACCUUCAAUAAGACGUAUCCAUUUAUGUACACCCAGUGUCAGUCUAUUAAUGCCCGUUCGGUCUUCCCCUGCCAGGAUACACUCGUAGUGAGGAUCAAGUACGCGGCGCGGAUCCAUGCCCCGUACCAUCUGUUUGUGGUGGUGGCAGCGCGCUAUGUGGAAUGGCAGUCACCGUACCCUGGGGAGGGUGGUGGAGGAGUUUGUGAUGAAGCAGGCGAUGCCGCCUUACCUAUUUGCCUUCGCGAUCGGGAGGCUUGGGCAUAGAGAGGUAGGACCAAGGAAAUUUUUGUACGCUGAGGCAAUGACCUCACUAUUGGAUGGAGUAGCACGGGAGUUCGUCGGGACGAAGGCUUAUGUCUGCUUACUGUGGUCGACAGUCAGUGGAGUUAAACUCCAUUACAUUCUUAUUUGAUGGUCACCGACUCCUUGGAGAGCAGACUCCAGAUGAGCUUGAAAUGAAGGAUGGUGAUGAAAUAGAUGCAAUGAUGCACCAAACUAGAGGGGUUACAUGGAUGUAGAUAUAUAAUAUAUGAGAAAAGCAUGGCAAAGAGAGCUAGGGCCUUCUUUGGGUUGCUCUUUAUGUUGUUAUGCCUGAGCUGCCUGCUAAAUCAGUAGCUUGGGUUCUAUAGGGCGGGCUUUCUGUAAGUACUAGCUCCUCAAUGGGUUUCAAGAAAAGCUUGGGUUGUUAUUUUACCAUGUGGAUCACGUAAGCCUACAAAGCCUUUCAAAUUGGGGCUUGCUAUAUAUUUUAGCUUGCAGGAUGCCCAACCACGUACUAUUAUUACACUGUGGAAAGCCCAUAUGGAUGAAGCAAAGUUUGAAGAUCCUGAUCCAGCAGUGAUAAUUCUUGAUAACUCCACCAAGACCCGUAUUAAACUUGCACCUGAGAAAAGAAGCGACAGAUAUGAGCACCCUUCCAGAAUAGCUCCAUCCUUGCUGUAUGGCUUACAUGGCCAUUUUGGGCAUGCAACUUUAGGUUGCGUGUUUUCCUUCAUUUUUUUCCAUUAUUAUUAUUUCCUCAUUUCAGAAUUUUAAGAUAAUUCCCUAUACUCCCAUUUUACAUAUAAUUUCCUGGAUUCUAGUUUUCUUUCUUUAUUUUAUUUUUCCAAACUCCAUUUGUAUCAAAUAAUUUAUUUAUUUAUUUUUCAUCUUUAGGUUUUUUUUUUAGAAUCACUCAAAAUCUCAUUUCCAAUAAAAUAGAGCCACCAUCUUUCUUUCUGGCAAACCAUUUUCACGCCUCCCCUGUUUUUUUUUAAAUAUUUUAAAAUAAGCAAGAAUUUAAUUCUGUAAUUCCGAAUAAUGGAAUUUAUGGAAUUAAUUCAUGCAAAAAUAAACGGGCUUUGGUGGAGGCCCCACAUAAGUGAUUUUAUAAUUGAUUGAUUGAUUGAUUUAAUUACCAUGCAUAAUUGACUUUUUUCUGCUUUAUAACACGGUCGAAAAUAUUCCUUAAUUGUGCACUAACUUCAUUUCUUGAUAGCGCAUUGUGGCUCAUCGCCCAGGUACGUAUCUAUUCUCAUUCUGGUAUUUCUAUAUGCAUGUUUUGAUUCUCACACGUGCAUGAUCACUCUGAGUAUUCAUUGAUUCCCUUAUGAAUUGCCACGAUUGCUUCAUUUUAUUAGUAGAGACCCGACUUUAGGGACUUAGAAGGGUGCUACGGUCUUUAUCGUACCUUCUUGAUAAGUAACUUGACCCUUGAACCCGAUCCGAUUUUUCAUAGACACCUUUUCCAAAAUAAUGAGUCACACUUAGGGUUUUUCUUUCUUAUUUUGUUUACCCUCUAAAAAUAAAACAAAAAUAAGUGGCGACUCCAAGUCAAUUGUUAAUAAAUAAAAUCAAUUUUUUUCAAAAAUUAAAAUCGAGCUCGCCAUCGAGUUGAAAACGUGUGAGCCGAAAUACGGGGUCCACAAAAUGGCGACUCCGUUGGGGACCAUUAGAGGGUCAAGCUUGAACUUAAGAUGAAGCAAACAUGGCAUUUGACGAGUCGAUCAGUGGGUACCUAUUUCUUGAUUUCACAUUGAGAGUUGUUGAUAUCAUUGGAUGUAUGCUUGGUUAUUGUACUCAUUUGGGACAUAGGCAUGUUGAUUGUUUAUCUUGAUUGAAGAUUUCGAUUGUGGCAAUUUUUCCCGUGCUUCAUUGCUAUAUUUGUUUGAGACAUUGACAUACUAGAUUGUUGUCGAUUGAUUAUCUUGCCUUGCAUAGCAUAGUGACUUUGAUUUUGCUAUGUUUGUUCUGAUCACCUCACAUGUAUAGACUCACCAUUGUAUCUCAUUCACUUUGACAUGAUUGAUUCUCUUGGUUGUAUAUUAUCUUGAUUAUCAUGGAGCAUGCUAUCAUUGCUAGAUAUUCUUCUCGAUUAGCUUGUGUGUAGAUUUGGAUGAUAUAUACCUGUUUUGCAUGACUGUCUAUUGCAUGACUUCCUUCAUCCUGAUGUGACUGCAUGAUUUGCGUGUCUAUGUGGGACACACACUUAUCCUUUUAUUUCCGAGUCCCUAGUCUCGGUCAACUUUGUUUUCUGAGGUCUCGUAUUUGAUACGAGACUUGUUGCCUUGUUUGCUCUUCUACUGAGCUAGUGAUUAGGAAUAGGGUCUAGUGAUGGGCUAUAUCUCUGUUUGGGAGCGUUCUGGAGGUGGUCGACAUAUUGAUGCUGAUUGGAGUCCGAAGUUUGAAGACUUGUAUAGCCCAGAGCUAGAUUUUAGGAUAUUUAUGUGGCCAGUGUGUUUUCUUUUAGUUUCAUAGGAUUGUUGGAUGCACCCAUACCAUCACUGUGCACACUAGUCGACCAUUGAGCGUUGAGAGUUGUGAGAGCUUUCACCAUAGGACCCCCCCGAGAUGUCGAGGUAGUGCAUGUGUGGAGGUGAUGACCACUUUGCAUGGAAGUGCCCUGUCACUUCGGAGGUGUGUAGAGGGUUACGUACAGCCGGAGGGUACGAUCGCUUCUGCUAGGGAUAUUUUAAAGUCCACCCGUAUCCAUUUAGAGCCACCUUGACCUCAUAGGUUGAGCCGUAGAUCCUUCGAUUAGGACUCCCUUCCUCACACGUGGGUGCAUCUGAGGGCUUUCAGAGCCUUUGAGGUCAUAGUUUGGAUUCGACAUUCCCUCUUUUUAGUCCCCAGUUGAGUGCUCAGAGAUCGGUUUGAGUUUGAGUAUCGGUUGGGUCACCUUUGUCCUGUCACCUUGGUUUGUGUUUUCACUCAAUGAGUUUGUCGUGCUUUCUCCCUAGGGACUUCGUCUUUCUUUCUUGGCUCGACACACCCUCUCCCUUUGUUGACACUCACUCGAUGCUUUGGGAUAUGUUCAUUGAUCAUCUUUUUAAACUGUACACCUAUCAUGGGCUCAGUAUCUCAUCCUUUGUUUGAUCCUAGAUUCGAUUUUUGACUCGAUGCUUGUAUUUUUAUUACGGAAAUGUGAAAGGCACAUUUUUACAUUCACAUUUUUUUGAGAGAGUUACCUUGAUCACCUUAUUAUUUUUCUCUUAUGGAGCUCGGGUUGAAAGUUGAAUUAAAGAUAUGUAUUUAUAGAUGGAGUAUUGAUCUUGUGAUACUGUGUUUUUCACACCUCUUUCAUCUUGGAUUAUUGAUGGGAAUUCUCUAGUCACAUUUGUAGCCAUCAUGCAGUGGACACCUUUAUGACUCUAGAGUUCUCGUCAUACAUCCAGAUUUCGGAUUGCCACCUCAGGACUAUGUGUUUGCACGUUGUAUUGCUGUCUUUUAGAGUUCUAUCUCGUUUCCUUCAUCCAUUUUGUUUGCAUUUUAGGGAGUCAGUUUAGGAGUCGGUUGAGUCUGGAGUCACAUUCUUAGAGGAGAGUUGGAGGUCGAUUGAUCAGAGCAGAUUCAUAUCCGAGUUCAGACAGUUCAGUUGAGAUGUCGGACGAGCUAGCUUCCACACUUGCUUCCAUUCAGGAGUUCAUAGCCGGAGUCAAUAGACGCUUGGAUCAAAUAGAGAGUUCUCGCCAGGAUCCUCAUCCAGCUGGUAUGGUCACUGAUGAGACGGUUCCUCAUGCAUCUCAGAUAGCACAGACUCGUCUACCUAGGGUUUCACUUGGUACUCCAUUCCAUCUAGCAUAUCAUUAUGAGACCAUUCUGCCACCUAUUGUCAUAGUGGUGUAGACCCUCAAUUUUGUUCCUUUAGCACAUGUCUUUAAAUUCAUUUUUAAUGCUCCUUAGUAACUCCUUGGUGGCCCAUUACUACUCGUACAACUUACCUUUUUCUGAGUCACCUCGGAGACUUUGGUUAAGGGAUUAUCCGCCCCUUUAUUGUGACCCUUGGCAGUUUUGAUUUAGACUUAAGCUUUCCAUUCCUUUUUAGGAUGGUUCUUAAGCAUGUUUAGGUCACUUAGACAAUAUCCCGAUCACUUUAGGACACUUAGGUUCACCUUAGGCCCGUUUAAACACUUCAUUGAGGCUCAACUUUUUUUUUAUAAUCUCUUGAUCAUUAUUGCAUGCAUUUGAUGAUUAUAUUUACUUUGUUUAUUCAUUUGUUUAUUUGUUUAUUUAUUCAUCUAUUUAUUUAGUCAUUUUUUUAAUUUCUAUUACGUUUUUUUUUCUUCUUUUAUUUUUCUUUCUUUUAUUUAUUUACCUACUUGAUAGAGAAUUGUUAGAAUUGUUUAGAUAUUAAAUAUGCAUACGACCCCUUAUUGAAUGAUGGAAUUAUAUAAUAUGGUCUCUCAUUGUUCCCUUUCUCUUCUUUUAAAUCAUAUUUUAUUUUAUUACCAAUCUCAUAAUUUUCAUUAGUUUUUUUUUUAGCUAUUUAUUUAUUUAUUUAUUUUGUUUUGCAUGAGGAGGUGGAAUUACAUAAUCUGGGAUGAGUGGCUCUUGUGAAGAGAGAAAUAUGAAAUUAGUGAGGGCUAUCACGUGAGGAAGGGGCGUUUUCUUGAAUUCAGCACCAAUAAGAGAAGUCCAAUGCUUGUUAAACAUGAAAAGUAUUAUAAAUACAAUAUUGGGGACAACAGGAGCCUGGGGGAAUCUCUCUGAUUGUCACGUUCUUAGAUGCAAGCUGCAUUGCAAUGCCCUAGAUCCUUCCAAGAAAAAGCUAUUUAGACUUCAUGAAAUUUUUAAGAGCUUACCUACUGUAGCAAUCAAGAGACCUAAAAGCAGUGGAGCUUGAUGUGGACCGUUUUAUUAAGGACAUGGAAUCAGUAAUGAGGCGUCCAGUUCAUGAAGAUGUCACAGCUGACGUUGACUCUGAAGGAGGCCCGUCAUCUGACAUGGAUUUUGAUGAAUCUGAAGGUGACAACAAUGUAGCAUAUCCAUAUGAGGAUAAGAGGUGUGCGAAGGCUUGGUGCUACUGCAGUGGACAUGCACCAUGAUGCUCUUGGGAUUGUAGAAGCGUAUUGGGAAUAAAACCAUGGGAUUGACACCGCCAAGGAUGAUACGCAGUCCACGCAUGAGAAGAAGUGGACAUGUAGUCUACCAUUAGCGUACAACACGCAUGAUCAGUUCCGGGGAAUGGAGGGCUCCACAACACGGCCUGUAGCUUCUUUCCUUUUCUUUCUUUAAAAAUGAGCAGUCAUCACAUCGAAGAGAAAGGGGGAGCCAAUAAACUAGUCAUCUUUCAGCACUAUAGAAUUGAGAAAGUAAGAAUCUUCCACCUCAUAUUAAAUAAUUUUCAAAUCCGGAAAGAUGCAGCGUAUAAGGAAAUAUUGUGGCUGAAUAAGAGAUCCUUUGGGAGGACAAAAUAAGAAACCUCGUACACGGAUGGUGGUGCAUUCCAUAUCAGCAGUCAUACUUUCCAUACUGAAGAGGCCAUCCACGCGCAUUAAAAGAGGAAAUAAAAAUUCCCAUAAGGGGAGGCUGCCAUAUAAAUAAAAAAAGGAGAGGGAAGGCACAGGGGACUUUUUCUCGGGAGGGAGGAUUUUUGGCUUGAGAAGGAGAAGUUUGAGAAGAGAUAUUAUUUUUCUGGGAACAAAGAGAGGUCUGAAGGAAGAGGAAGGAGGCAGCCACCACACAUUGACCAUUGAGCACUAGUAGCCGCACCACCAUAGAGGGAUUCUAGAGAAGGUAAAUUAGAAUUUCUAAGGAUUUUAGUUUUAUUUUUGUAUUGGAUUGAAAGUUAGAGUUUUUAUGUAUUAAUUUUGAUUUUUUUUUUUAAUCGGAUGAAAAAGUUAGAAUGUAGUUAGUUUGAUUGUGAUUCAUUGUCUUGGUUUCAAAAGUUAGGUUUUGUUUAGUUUAAUUUUAAUUCAUUAUGUUUAUCUCGAAAAAUUAGAAUUUUUGUUUGAUUCAAUUUUUUAUUCAUUGAACUAGAUUGAAAGGUUAAAAUUUUAUUUAAUCUAUUUUUUUUAUUCCUUGCGUUAUUUUGAAAUGUUUGAAUUUUGUUUAAUCUAGUUUUGAUUUUUUUAUAUUAGAUUGAAAAGUAAAUUUUUGUUUGCUUAGUUUUGAUUCAUUACUUUGGUUUAAAAGGUGAGAAUUUUUUGUUUUAUUUUAAUUUUGAUUCAUUAUAUUACAUUGAAAAAUUAGAAUCUUUGUGUAGUUUGGAUUUGAUUCCUUGCUUAGUUCGAAAAGUUAGAAUUUUGCUUAGAUCGGUUUUAAUAGAUUUAAUUUUAAAAGUCAGUUUUUUUAUGAGUCAGCUUUUUAUUUAGUUCAAGUGUUUUAUAAUUUUUUUAGUCUAUCAUUCUAAUUGAUCCUAUGUAAUAAAGUUUAUGUUUUUAAGUUUAUUUUGAUCAUGUUUUGGUUCAUCUUAUUUAGUUUAGAUAUUUUAGAAUUUUAGCUCAUUAGUCUAUUUGAUCCCAUCUAAUUAAAUUUAUGUUUUUUUAAAAAAAAAUUGUAAAAUCAUUUUUCUGAUUCAUCAUUUUUAGGAUUUAAGUUGAUUAGUGAAAUAUUUGGUUAAUUCUUGGUUGAUCCACUUUUAGUUUGUAUGUUUUCCAAAGUUUUAGAUAACUAAUUUAAUUAACCCUAAGUCGUAUUAUUCAUGUUUUGAGUAUACUAAUCUUCAUUCUUGGUUUAUCAAUAUUUAGUUCAUGCUUUUUUUUCUAAUAGGUUAAUUAGUUUAACUAAUCUUAUGUUAUUUUGCUCACGUUCUAAAAUUGAUGAUUCUAGUUUUUGAUUAGUUAAUAUGUUUUAGAAUUCUAUGUGCUUGUGUUACUAUAUUCACCUUAUUAUAAUUACAUGUUUAGGUGUUUGGUUGAUUUUAAAUUAGUUCUUGAUUGUUUAUCUCAAUUUAUGUGUUUGAUUGAUCCUUGUAAAUUCCCGAUUAAUAUUUCGUUAGUUUUAUUUGAUCUAAAGUCGUUUGGUUUGUUGCUUUGGUGAAUAUUUAUUAAAUUUGAUUUUUAGAGGCCAUUGGAAAAUCAUGAAGAUUGGCCUCUACCAUCACCAUUAUCAUUUUUGUUAAUUACUAAAAAAAUUUUACUUUGAGGUUUCAUUUUUGUUUUGUUUGGUAUUUUAUUUUUUUUCCAAAUUAAUCCCUUUUAUUUUAAAAUAAAAUACUCUUCUCAAAAAAAUCAUUUUAAAAAUCUAUUUCAAAAACUCAUUAGAGUCCUCAGGAUCAAAAUUUCCUUUUUUUUUUUAUUAUUAUUUAAAAAUAAUAUGCAACCAUAUCUUGUUCGGUUUGGCAUCCUUCUCGGUUUUCAACAAAGAUUUUGGUUUUGAACAAAGACACGAAUCAAAGCUUGUGGUCCCACAUAAAUGGGAUAAUUUUGAGCUAAAUUCGUGUAUAUCAAUUGGGGAAUUGGUGAAACCCCUACAUAAGAAAAUCUUUUCAAAAUUUAUUUUUGUUGCCAUAUUUGACACUUGUUGAAAUCACGUCUAUCUAUUUUUUUUAGGAAUUAUAUACAAGAUGUAUGAGAUAAUUGAUGAUUCUGUAUACUGUGAUCACUUUUGCUAUGCUAAUUAGAUAACGAACAUGCUAGGAUUUCUAUAUUUUAUUAUUUAUUAUCUAACCCCUUACAACUUGAGGAAGUACGUUACAAAUUAUCUAUGCUAUCCAGGUACGCUCUCUUCUCAUCUAUUUUUUUCAGAACUCUAUGGACUUGUAUGUCAUUGAUGACCAUAUCCAUAUUUGACGUGAUUCUUGAAUGUCUUGAUAUAUGCCUGAUUUGCUUGAAUAAAACAAAUGUUGUGUGAUGUAUCUCCAAACUAAUCUCUUAUGUUUUAUGAUAGCACUUGGGAAGCCGUCCAGGUAUGCAUUUUUAACUCUCCUUAAUUGUGAUUUGAUCUUGUUUGAUAUGUUAUGUUUUUGGAAUCAUCUAGCCUACUUAGGUAUCCAUGAUCAACCAUUUGAUUGCCACGCUUCCCUUAACUUAGUCAGUAAAGACCUCUUUAGGGCUUAAAGGGGUGCUACCUCCUAGAGGUACCUUCCCGAUAAGUAACCUGAUCCCCGGACUUAGACUCGGGUUUUUCAAAGACACGUUUUUCCAAAACUUAUGGAGUCAUUUUUUUUAGGGUUUUAUUUCUUGUUUUAUUUUCCCUUCAAAAAUAAAAAUAAAAUAAGUGGCGACUCCAACUUUUUUUCAAAAAUCAAUUUUUCACAAAUAAAAAGCGAGUCUCGCCGAUCGAGUGGGGACCCACGUGAAAAAUGUGGGUCCACAAAUUGGCGACUCCGCUGGGGACCUUGAGGAUCAUGCUUGAACACUAGUUGAGGAAAAUGUGGCGUUUAAUUGGUCGAUUAGUGGGUACCUUUUUUUUUUAGGCAAGGUGAUUCGAUUUGUUUGCCUGUUUGGCUUGCUAUCUUAACAUGUUUGAUUGCCUUGAAUGAUCACUUGAUUGCUUGCUCACUUCAGCAUGAUUCACUCUCACAUAUGCUAGAUAGGACUUUGAUUGUUUGAUAUUUAUCUGCUUCGCAUGACUGCUUGUUGCAUGACAACCCUUUCUCUUGCAUGAUCGUAUGAUUGCUUGUCUUCGUUCAUUAUCUCACUUUAGUUCUUAAGUUUUUCGGAUGCACCCACAUCCUUCACUGUGCACUUUAGAUUAUCCUUGAGCGUUGAGAUAUGAGAGAGCCUUCACCAUUAGGAAACCCCCUAGGAAUGCGAGGAAGUGCAUGUGUGGAGGUGAUGACCACCUUGCAUGGAAGCACCCCGUCUCCUUGGAGGCGUGCAGAGGGUUGCGUACCACCGGAGGGUACGAUCGCUUCUGCUAGGGAUCCUUUAACCCACCCAUUUUAUCAUAUAAAGCCACCUCAACCUUGUAGGCUAACCUAGACCCAAUUAAGAAUUCACUCCUACACGUGGGUGCAUCUGUGGACCUUCACAGCUGCCUUGGUCACAAUUGGGUUCAGUUAUCCUCUUCAUGGUCUCCUUUUGGUGUGCUCAGAGAUUGGUACAUGUUUGAGUCUUAGUUGGGCCACCUUUCUGCAUUGUGAUUAGUGUGUUUCCACCUCUUCUGAGCUUCCUUCAUGUCAUUUCUCUUUCCGCGCCUUUGUACCUUAUAGGAAUGUUACUCGCUUCAGUUUGGAUUCGACUUUUUAUAUUAGAGUUGGAGAUAGAUUGGUCAAGGUUUCAAAGCAGUCAGGUAUGGAUCUUCAGCAUGUUAUAGUUGAUCGAAUUAUAGUCACCAUGACUCUAUUCAAGAGACAUUAGUAGGUUUGAGCCAGAGGAUUGAUGGAUAGUGAGAUAGAUAGCAUCCAGUUCAGGAUGAGAUGUCGUAUGAUUCAUUACCAACCACCCCCACCACCCAGUUAUCCAGUGACAUUGUUGAGGGUGACUUCUUACAUAUGAUGAGUUUAGUGGAUUAUGAGUCAAAGAUUAUCAGAUGAGAGUUCUUAUAGAGGGCGUUAGUUUUUCUCAGAUGGGAGAUUUGAUUGACAUGAUUUUCUUCAUGUGAGCAUGAGAUGGACGUAUUGGAUGAUAGUUGGAUGCUUGGCGCAGAUUAGCCAGAGAUAGUUCACUCUCUUGAUAUGCUUGAGAUCUUCAUUAUUGAGAGUUCAGUAGAGAUUCAGUUUAUUUAUGUUGGGGCAUCCCGCUUAUGUUGAUGAUAUGUUUGAGGACGAUAUUAGCCCGGUUUUGGUCAUGGAGAUUCAUCUAUUCCAGGAGACCCUAUGGACUUACUUGGAGUACACCACUUGUCAUUAGAGAGUUGACCCUAGAGAGGAAAUAUGAUUGACAUAUCUGGAUAGAGACCAGUUCUCAAACCCCACCGACAUGGAUCAACUAAAGAAGCAUUACAUUUGAGACCAUGGUUGCAGGAUGGGUGGCCAUCAUUUUGGUCAGCCUUACACCUUAUCACCUUUAUUAAUAUAUUAAACCGUUGCUAACCCGUUGAGCCUCACGUGGUAUGUUAUAGCCUUAUUUCUUUCUUAUAGCCUUGAUUACCAUUUCUACACCCGGGUUGGGACCCUUUGGUGUAUAUGCAUGCUUUGCUAUGAAAGUCUCAUGAGCUUUAGACUUAUAGGCCUAUCUUCUCAUUCUUGUCAUCAUCUCCUUAUCACCCCGUUUGUUCUAUUUUGCUAUCAUCACAUUUCCAUUCUCUUUCUUGCUUUUAUCAUUAUUUGCUUCAUAUUAUCUAUUCUCUUCCUUGGGCUAAUGAUUUUUCACAUCUUAGUGCAAAGAGGGCAGUCAUAUCACUCCAUUCAUCCUAUCAUUUGGCAUUGAUUCGGAGAUUUUAGUUUGAGAGGUUGUCUCAUGGGUUGGGGUUCAUGUAUUCAUCAGUGAUUUGAGAGAGUUUAUUCAUUUCUUGUAUCUUUCCCAUUGGAGUUUGACUUAUUGAUGAUCAGAGCAUGCGCUAAAAAAAAAAAACAAAAAAAAAAAAAAAACAAAAAACAAAAACAAAAAAAAAAAAAGAAAGAAAAAAAAAGAAAAGAAAGAAAAAGCGCAAUGACAUGUUUGUGUAUGGUAUCUUGCUCCAUUGGGCACUUAUAUCACCUUUUGAGGUAUGUUUACUAGGUGUAUUUGUCAUUGUGGGUCCUUGUGAGAUGUUUAUAUGAGUUUUCACUCCUUGAGCCACUCUUGUUAUGCAUUUGGAGUGUUGGGGGUUCAUGUGAGAGUUCUAUGGUAUCCUAUGUUUCUUGGUCAUGGUUGAUAUAUAUUAGGUAUGAGAGAUGAGUAAUCUUUUUACUAGGGUCUCUGGAUCAUUGUCUUACCCACCACUCCAUCAUUGGUGAUAUGACUUUCUCUUAUUGUACUGAUAUGGAUUGAUCAUCAUUCAUUCCCCUUUCUUAUUGCCUUUGUAUCUCCUCAUCCAUUUCCAAAUCUUCGUUCCACUUUUUAUCCAUUUCCUACAUAUUGAUACUCAUUUUUGUUUUGAUACCUUCUUCACAUCAUUCACAUGUUUCAUUGAUGGUUUGACUACUCAUCUUUCUCUCAUUUCGCCAUCGACAUUUCCUUUGGUUACCUUUAGGUCCAUGGCUCAUGAGAUUUUUCUAUGCAUUACAUCUUAUACACGAGGGUAUGGGUUUGAUCAUUGGGUAUUUGAGCCUAGUUUCCCUUCAUUUCUUUCACCCUAUCACCCUGGCCUACGCUACGUCCCAUGUCUUAAGACCACCCUGAGACCAUGAGAUCAGAUGUUAUCUUUGACAGCCUCUACUUAGGUUGGUGUUUGGGAUUUGGUUGAUAUAUAUAGAUGUUGUCAUGUUUCUUCUUCUGGGAGAUGCUUCUUUGGUGCUUGGAGGUGAUUUGGUGAUGAAUGUGGAUGAUUGCUUCAUUUUAUGGAUGAUAUUUGAUGCUAUCCAGAUUUUCAUUCUACUGUGCAUCAAUUAUCUUACUAGGGCAUAUUCCCCUUUCAUUUGGUUGAGACAUGCCCCUAGUGGAGCACUUUCUUUGAGUCUGGGUAUUUUCACCGACCAGAGAUCCCUAGUAAGGUAUGUUGAGACUAUAUCAAUUCUAGUGGAGCAUCGUUGAGCCCCUAGUGGUUCCAUUCCCGGAGUACUUCUGAGAUAGACUAGUGGAUUAUUACUGAGUUGGAGGUAGUUUUCAGUGCAGUGUAUAGAUCAGGCAUACUGGGGCAUAUUUCCCCAUUUUGAGGUUACCAGAUUCCUAUCAGAUUCAGUCAGGGAUUCAUCAGAGACAUGUUUCUGAUUUUGAGAUUACCACAUCCCUCAUUAUCUUGGCUAUUCAUUUGAGAUUAGACUUAGAGUGUCCCCCUCGAGGCAUUGGUCGAUACUUCACUCUGACUUCUUAGUAGAUUAUUGUUGAGUUGAGGAUAGUUGAUUGAUGAUGUUGGAUUCAUCCUUUGGUUGUGCAUCAUAUAUUCACACUGGGGCAUAUUCCCCCCUCCUCCGAGAUUCUUAUCUGUUAUUGUAUACGGUACGAGGAUGGAUGAUCAUUGUUAGUUUGUUUACCUCACGACUUCGACAUUAGAUUAUCCACACUGGGGCAUAUUCCCCUCUCCUUGAUGAGAUUGUGUUUGGGCAGUGGUAUGAGGAUGGAUGAUCAUUGUUUGUUGUUUGCCUCACGACUUUGACAUCAGAUCUUAUACUAGGGCAUAUUUCCCCCAUUUUCUUUGAGUAUCCUUGAGAUUGAGACAAUGGCCAGUUCGGUUUUAGAUUGAGUACUAGCCCAGAGCUUCUGACGAUCGACUGUAUCAGGGCCUCCCUACAUGGAUUUGUUGAGAUAGAGGCGGAUCGCAUCAAGUUUCACCCGAGGAGUGUGGGUGGAUCCUUUAGCCAGAUGUUCAUGAGACAUAUUUGUUUUCGUCAUUGUUACCUUGCAGAUUGGAUUAUCCAGAUGAGCAGCAUUUUACGCACUUUGAGGUUUACUUUUAGAUGAGCCAUGAUUUACACUCUUUGAGAUUUACCUUUUGAGAUUCAUUGACAAAGCAGCCGCACCACCAUAGAGGAAUUCUAGAGAAGGUAAGUUAGAAUUUCUAAGGAUUUUAGUUUUAAUUUUUUAUUGGAUUGAAAGUUAGAGUUUUUAUGUAUUAAUUUUGAUUUUUUUUAAUCGGAUGAAAAAGUUAGAAUGUAGUUAGUUUGAUUUUGAUUCAUUGUCUUGGUUUCAAAAGUUAGGUUUUAUUUAGUUUAAUUUUAAUUCAUUAUGUUUGUCUCGAAAAAUUAGAAUUUUUGUUUGAUUCAAUUUUUUAUUCAUUGAACUAGAUUGAAAGGUUAAAAUUUUAUUUAAUUUAUUUUUUAUUCCUUGCGUUAUUUUUGAAAUGUUUGAAUUUUGUUUAAUCUAGUUUUGAUUUUCUUUUUUAUAUUAGAUUGAAAAGUAAAUUUUUGUUUGCUUAGUUUUGAUUCAUUACUUUGGUUUAAAAGGUGAGAAUUUUUUGUUUUAUUUUAAUUUUGAUUCAUUAUAUUACAUUGAAAAAUUAGAAUCUUUGUGUAGUUUGGAUUUGAUUCCUUGCUUAGUUCGAAAAGUUAGAAUUUUGCUUAGAUCGGUUUUAAUAGAUUUAAUUUUAAAAGUCAGUUUUUUGUAUGAGUCAGCUUUUUAUUUAGUUCAAGUGUUUUAUAAUUCUUAGUCUAUUAUUCUAAUUGAUCCUAUGUAAUAAAGUUUAUGUUUUUAAGUUUAUUUUGAUCAUGUUUUGGUUCAUCUUAUUUAGUUUAGGUAUUUUAGAAUUUUAGCUCAUUAGUCUAUUUGAUCCCAUCUAAUUAAAUUUAUGUUUUUUUAAAAAAAAAUUGUAAAUCAUUUUUCUGAUUCAUCCUUUUUAGGAUUUAAGUUGAUUAGUUUAAGAAAUAUUUGGUUAAUUCUUGGUUGAUCCACUUUUAGUUUGAUGUUUUCCAAAGUUUUAGAUAACUAAUUUAAUUAACCCUAAGUCGUAUUAUUCAUGUUUUGAGUAUACUAAUCUUCAUUCUUGGUUUAUCAAUAUUUAGUUCAUGCUUUUUUUUUAAUAGGUUAAUAAGUUUAACUAAUCUUAUGUUAUUUUGCUCACGUUCUAAAAUUGAUGAUUCUAGUUUUUGAUUAGUUAAUAUGUUUUAGAAUUCUAUGUGCUUGUGUUACUAUAUUCACACUAUUAUAAUUACAUGUUUAGGUUGAUUUUAAAUUAGUUCUUGAUUGUUUAUCUCAAUUUAUGUGUUUGAUUGAUCCUUAUAAAUUCUCGAAUAAUAUUUCGUUAAUUUUAUUUGAUCUAAAGUCGUUUGGUUUGUUGCUUUGGUGAAUAUUUAUUAAAUUUGACUUUUAGAGGCCAUUGGAAAAUCAUGAAGAUUGGCCUCUACCAUCACCAUUAUCAUUUUUGUUAAUUACUAAAAAUUUUUUACUUUGAGGUUUCAUUUUUGUUUUGUUUGAUAUUUUAUUUCUUAUAUUUUAUUUCUUCCCAAAUUAAUCCCUUUUAUUUUAAAAUAAAAUACUUUUAUCAAAAAAUCAUUUAAAAAAAAAAAUAAUCUAUUUCAAAAACUCAUUAGAGUCCUCAGGAUCAAAAUCUCUUUUUUCUUUUUAUUUAAAAAUAAUAUGCAACCAUAUCUUGUUCGGUUUGGCAUCCUUCUCGGUUUUCAACAAAAAUUUUGGUUUUGAACAAAGACACGAAUCAAAGCUUGCGGUCCCACAUAAAUGGGAUAAUUCUGAGCUAAACUCGUGUAUAUCAAUCGGGGAAUUGGUGAAACCCCUACAUUAGAAAAUCUUUUCAAAAAUUAUUUUUGUUGCCAUUUUUGUCACUUGUUGGAAUUAUGCCUAUCUUUUUUUUAGGAAUUGUAUACAAGAUGUGUGUGAUAAUUAAUGUUUUCAUAUACUUUGAUAAUUUUUGUUAUGCUAAUUAGAUAACAAGCAUGCUAGGGUUUCUUUAUUUUAUUAUCUAAUCCCUCAUGUCUUAUGGAAGCGCAUUGUAAGUUAUCUAUCCAGGUACGCCCCCCUAUCACCUACUUUCUAAAUUUUGUAAACAAUCAUGACAAUGUGAAGUAUGCAUAUGUUUGAUAAUCCUUAGGUGUUUGGAGGUAUGCUUGAUUCACUAUGAUUAAAUACAUGUUGUGUGUUAUACUUCUAUACCAACUCUGAUGUUUUAUGAUAGCGCUUGAGAAGCGGUCCGGGUACGCAUCCUAACCUUCCUUUAUUGUGAUUUGAUAUUGUUAACAUGUUAUUUUUUAAAAUCACCAAGCUUACUCAGGUAUCUAUAAUGAAUCUAUUAAUUGCCACAUUUCCCUUAACUUUGUAAGUAGAGACCUCUUUAGGGCUUAGAGGGGUGCUACCUCCUAGAGGUACCUUCCCAAUAAGUAACCUGAUCCCCGGACUUAGAUUCGGGUUUUUCAAAGACACGCUUUUCCAAAAAUUAUGGAGUCAUUUUUUAGGGUUUUAUUUCUUGUUUUAUUUUCCCUUUAAAAAUAAAAAAUAAAAUAAGUGGCGACUCCAACUUUUUUUCAAAAAUCAAAUUUUCACAAAAAAAAAGCGAGUCUCGCCGAUCGAGUGGGGACGCACGUGAAAAAUGCGGGUCCACAAGUGGCACCUCCCAUGAUUGGUCGAGCAGGAGGCCAGGGUUGAGAGGCUUGAGUCCAGGAUGAGACAGAUCAUAUUGCAGGACAGAGGUUUGACUUGGGAUGAUAGGGAUGGUAUACUGGCGGCUAGCUUGCCCGCCAAGUUUCGCAUGCCAGACAUUGAGCGCUAUAGUGGGAUUGGUUGUCCUAAGAUCCAUUUGAGACUAUACAGCACAGUCAUGAGAGCAUAUGGGAUAGAUGAUGCACAGCUUGUGGCCCUCUUUCCCAUGUCACUUAGUGGAGCAGCUCAGAGAUGGUUUGCUUCAGUUGAGUGUUCGAGACUCCUCACCUGGGAGGAUGUGGCUCAUGAGUUCUUGACUCAGUUCGCUUUUAGUGUUGACAUUGAUGUAUCCAUACGAGAGUUAGAGGCCACCAGGAAGAGGCCAGAUGAGUCUAUUUCUUCCUUUGUCACUCGUUGGAAGGAAAAGGUGGUUGGUAUGAUAGAUCAGCCUAAGGAGCAGGAUCAAAUUGAUAUGGUUCUUCGGAACUUAUAGCCGAGGUUCGCAAGACGUCUUGUGGCCAUCCCAUUUCAGGAUCUCAGGAGUCUGGUUCAAGCAGCUUUCAGUGUUGAGGAGGACAUCGCUCAAGGAUUAUGGACAGAUACUACUCCUUUCCCUGAUAGUAAGAGGAAGAAGUCGAUUGGAUCAUUUAGUAGAUCUGGAGAGGUUGACGCUAUUAGCUAUCAGCAUCGGAGGCCUGCACAUCACUCACUUUAUAGGCCUCCUAUAGUUAGAGCUCAUUUCCCUCAUCCGUAGUAUCAGUAUCAGUCGGAUUAUGUUCAGGAGCCUUACAUUGCACAGGCUAGCAUGCAGCCACGACCAUCACAUUCGAGAGCCGUUACUCAACCACCGCCUAGACCAUAUGCACAGAGGCCCGUGAGACAGUUCACUCAUUUGGGCAUGACCUUGACUAGAGCUUUUGAGAAGCUCAGAGAUGGUGGUUUGAUAGUUCCUUUGGCGCCACACCCUUUGCCACAUCCUAUUCCUCCACAUUUUCGCUCCUAUGAUCAUUGCUUGUAUCAUCAGAUUCGGGGACAUGAUACUGAGUGUUGUUCGGCACUCCAUCAUGUGAUACAAGACUUGAUCGAUAUGGGGUUGGUCAACUUGGCUGGGCCAAGUGUGUCCACCAAUCCUCUGCCUACGCAUUCUACACAUGCAGUUCCUCCUCUUCCUAGUCUUCAGUAGAUUGAUUUGGAUGUUGAUGGUACUAUUAGCAUAUGGUAUUUCGGGAUCUUCCAAGUUGAGGACUUGGUUUAGUUGGCAUGGGUACAUCACUGGGUAGUAGUUCGGUUCAGAGCAUUUCUCAUUCUGAUUAUGGUCAUUAUCAGAGUCAUUUCCAUUUUGUUGAGUCCAGUUUUUAGUUCAUCAGAGUUGUUUUUAUUUUUUUGAGUCCAUUUUGGUUUAGAGUCAUUGUUUUUAGUUCAUGUUGAGAGUCCGGUCGUUUGUAGUCCUUUUUCAUUUCACGCAUGAUGUACUUGUUGGUUCAUUUAGUGAUAUGAUAUUUUAUCUGAGUAUGUGGCAUUUUGCUCGUGAGUGUGCUUUACAUAGCUUGUGUUGAUGUGUGUUAUGUUUUCGAUAUGAAACAUCUUUUCACUUAUACAUCAUGAUCACUUUGGCCUGACCUAUCAUGGAGGAUAUUGAGUCUAUUGACCUAGGAUCAGGAGAUUGACCUAGAGAGUUUGAGAUUAUGACCCAUUUCAUCUUCUGAUCAGAGCAGCAUCAUAUCCAUUUUCAUACCCUGACUCUGUGGACUUGAUGACCUAUCCAUUUCGGACUUGACAUGACACCAUCCCCUGAUACCACUAUAUGACCUAGUCAUCCUCAUUCCCCUUAGCAUAUUACAUUACCAUUGCCUACUCUUUCCAUCAUUUCAUUUUAUCUGGCCAGAUAGAGUCCGAGAUGGUUAGACCUGAGGUGAGUUUUGCAUGAUGAUAGAUGGAUCACAAUGAGAGAGUGGUUUGACUGCUUGAUGAUAUUGAUGAGGUAGAGGGGUUGUCUUGGGGCAUCCAGAUUUGAGUUGUUACACAUGACUUCAGAGAGUAGGGAUGAUUAGAGAUGGUGAUUUUAUGAGAUGAUGGUGAGUGGCUUAUGAUGAUGGAGUGAGGUGAUUAUCAGAGGACAUUGAUGGUUAUCACAGAGCAUCAAUGGGAGCUUUCACACAAUUUCAAAGGAGUUGACAUGACUUUGUUGGACAGAUGCCAAUCUUUAGUAUUGGCCAUGUGAGAUCUUGAAAGCAAGAUGUUCGAGGUUGUGGUCAUAGGAUGGGUGGCCAUCAUUUCAUGAGCUCAUUUACCCUAUCACCCUCACAUAUAGACUUACCCGUUGCUAGCCCUUUGAGCAUCACACGAGCACAUAACCUUUUCUUUCAGCACCUCAUUUACCUAUUACACCGGGUUGGGGACCCUAUAGUGCUUGCAUGCUAUGAUUGGAUACGUCAUGAGUUCCAGACCUGACAUACAUAUUUAGGCCUCAUUCAUCACUCUUCAUUAUGAUAUUUUUCCACUUUGACAUCAUUUCAUCACUAUUUUCUGAUACCACAUAUCACUACUUGUGAUAUUCGUUCUCUGUCUUUUCUUUCAUCAUUGUUUACUCGACAUUAUCUUUGUUUCACCUUGAGUGGUGGUCUUUCACAAGUCAUUGCAUGGAGGAUUGUCACAUUCUUCCUCCUUUGUUCGCCUAAUGAGUAGUGGUUCAGAGAUCUUAUUUUUGAGAGGUUGUCUUGUUAGUGAGGAUUCAUGCUACAUUAGUACAUGGGGAGAGUUUAUUCAUUUGGCUAUGUAUUUCAUGGGAGAUCAUUCAUUAUUGAUCAGAGUAUGCGCAAAUAAUAAUAAUAAUAAUAAUAAUAAUAAUAAUAAAUAAAUAAAUAAAUAUAUCAUUCUUCAUUGGGCAUGUGUAUGGACGUGCCAGGUUGCUUCAUUGAGUUCAUGUGUUAGAGAGAGUUCAUAUGAGAGCUUCUUUCCGAGAUUCUAUCUUGUUAUAUUUUGGGUGAGUAUGAGUCGCCCAUUCGAUUUUUGUGAGACAAGCGAGCAACCUUUCUUUAGUAUCUCUGGAUCCUUGCUCUAUCCAUCAUUCCAUCUAUUUCAUAUGUGACUACUUUCCAUGCUUUGAUGCUGGUUGACCACCAUCACUCACUUUUAUAUCUCUUUGUUUUCUUCUACCCUUAUUUUAUCCCUCCAUUUCACUCCACCUCAUAUGAUUUCAUUCUAUUCUCAUCUUGCUUGAUGUUUGACAUACGUUUGGUACACAUACAUCAUAAUUGUUUAUUCGAUGUGUCCAUUCAUUUAUCAUCACUUUUCGUGUGGAGAUCCCUAGGUCCGGGACUCAUGACGUUUUCUACGCAUUGCAUCUCAUGUACGAAGGGUAUGGGGAUUAUAUCAUUGGGAUCUUUGAGCCUAGUUUCCUUUCAUUUCUUUCACCCUAUUACCUUAGCCUACAUUACGUCCCGUGUCUGAAGACCACCCUGAGGCCAUUACUUUACAUUGUGUUUGACAACUUGCACAUGGGCAAUACUCGAGCUUGGUCGGAGAUGAUUUCUCGAAGCAUGAUGGAUGGGGAGUUGAGAUGGCGAUUUACACUGGGGCAUACCCCUCUUACUAGUGAUGGAUUUUCAGUGAUGACGUUAUCUACACUAGGGCAUACCCCGCUCAUCAAUGACAUUUUCUUUUGGGAUGAUACCUUGCACUGUGGCAUAGUCAGUUCGUUUCGUCACUUGGAUUAUGAUGGAUUAGGAGUUGUGGGAUGACCCUAAACUAGGGCAUAGCCAUUUCAGAGAGCGUUUUUAUUGAAGAUACAGUCACUCUACUCGAUACUCUGCAUUGGGACACACUCUACUCAUUGAUGGUUGAUUAAUGAGAAAACGAUUUAUUUUAAGGCGUAGCCCUCUCAUUGGUGAUGGAGUUUUUUUUUUUAUUGGAGCAUAAUCACUUUAGGGGGUUUAUACUGGGGCAUAGCCGCCUCAUUCACAUUCAUAGAGCCCGGGGAUUCUGAUUCAUAUGGAUUAUGUUGGGAUGUUUACGUUUUGGCACCAGGAGUAGAGUUUGAUCGAUUCGUUAACCCGUACUAAGCAUGGUCUUCCUCAGCAGUUCGAAUACACUACUUUACAUUGGGGCAUAGCCGGGACGGAGAGUAUUUUUCAUUGGAGCAUAGUCACCCUAUUGGAUCCUUUACACUGGGGCAUGUCCAUUUUUUGGAAGGAGAUCAGAUUGAUUCUUGACGUUGGAGCAUCUGACGAGUGAUAUGGAGAUCAUUGGAUUAUUUCAUGUUGUCCUCGUUUCAUAUUGGGGCAUAGCCACCUUGUUGGAGGUUUUGACAUCGAGACUCGACUUUCUGUUUGUGAUUGUUGCUUUCGAUGAAUUAUGGAGCUAUUGACGCCUUGGGUCUAGCCUUCUCAGCAUACUUGGAUGAUCUCUGAUACUUACAUACCUUUCAUCUCGUACUCAGACAUUUCACCUGGAUACUCUCAUGCCUUCUAUCAUACCAGAGCUUGAUCAUCACCUUCUUUCAUCCUACACAUCCCACCGUGACACAUGACCUCACAUCUCUCUCGAUUAUGAGGAGAUGUAGAUCAGUCCUCGAUCACCUUGGUUGUGUUUUCAUAUAUCUUUUGGACUUUAGGUUCAACAUCUUCCAUGAGGGCAGAGCUUGACAGAUUGUUGACUUAUUAGUGACGAUGCUUUCAUUUUGAUAGUUGGCAUGUUGGGUGUUGUUUUGCUCUCUCUUCGCAUUUUGAGCACUAGUCAUUAUCUGUUUUAUUCAUCAGCUAUUUUUAUUUAGUCAGCAUGGUAUCACGAUUCAUGGUCCUGUUUGGUAUUACCUAUUUGAGGUUGGACAUUUUCAUUACAUGACAGAUGAACAUAUUUCAGAGCACAGUAGUUUUGGGGCAUUGUGUAUCCCAGUUUGUUCACCAUCACAUACUGGGGCAUACCCCUCUUCCUUAGGAUCAUCGGACCUUCCAUAGGUUUCUUGCACUUUUUGAUCUAGUUGUUGACCCCCGAGAGUUGCAUAUUGGGCAUACCCCCCUUUCUUAGGAUCAUCGGACCUUUCACAGGCUUUAUGAUCUUUGGACCAAGUUGUCGAUCCUCAUGAGUUGUCAUACUGGGGCAUAUCUCCUCCAGCCGAGUUUGCUUGCAUCAUUAUCUGAGUUAUCCUCUAGCUUUAGGCCACUUGAUUAGAUCCUUGUCUUGUUAGUUUUGAGUUUGAGUCGGGACCGCACCUAUAUCGAUCGACCAUUUUCCUAUCUGUUUGAGUUUAGUUUGAGUCGGGACCACACCUAUAUCAAUCGGUCAUUUUCCAUGUCAGUUUACGUUUCGGGGCCGCACCUAUAUUGAUCGGCCAUGUUCCUAUCACUUUUCGUGUUCAGUUUAAGUCGGGACUGCACCUAUAUCGAUCGGUCAUUUUCCAUGUCAGUUUGCGUUUCGGGGUUGUACCUAUAUCGAUCGGCCAUGUUCCUAUCACUUUUCAUGUUCAGUUUGAGUUAGGAUCGCACCUAUAUCGAUCGGUCAUUUUCCAUGUCAGUUUACGUUUCGGGGCCGCACCUAUAUCGAUCGGUCAUGUUCCUAUCAAUUUUUGUGUUCAGUUUGAGUUAGGACCGCACCUAUAUCGAUCGGUCAUUCGUCGUGUCAGUUUGAGUCAGGGUCGUACCUAUAUCUUUUGGCCAUCUUCUUAUCAGUUUGAGUUUUCGAGUCGGGACCAUACCUAUAUCAAUCGGUCAUUCAUCGUGUCAGUUUCAGUUUGAGUUUUCGAGUUGGGACCGCACCUAUAUCGAUCGGUCAUUUGUCGUGUCAGUUUGAGUCGGGGCUGCACCUAUAUCAAUUAGCCAUCUUCCUAUCAGUUUGAGUUUUCGAGUCGGGACCGUACCUGUAUCGAUCGGUCAUUCGUUGCGUCAGUUUCAGUUUGAGUUUUCAAGUCCGGACCGCACCUAUAUCGAUCGGUCAUUCGUCAUGUCAGUUUGAGUUUGAGUUUUCGAGUCAAGACUGCACCUAUAUCGAUCUGUCAUUUUCCAUGUCAGUUUGCGUUUCGGGGCCGCACCUAUAUCGAUCGGCCAUGUUCCUAUCACUUUUCGUGUUCAGUCAGAGUUUGGGAUCACACCUAUAUCAAUCGGUCAUUGUCUUAUCAAUUAGAGUUUGGGGUCGCACCUAUCCUUGUCAUGUUAGUUCAGUCUCUGGGACUGCACCUAUAUCGAUCGGUCAUUUUUCGUGUCAGCUUGAGUCAGGGCCGCACCUAUAUCGAUCGGGCAUGCUCCUAUCACUUUUUAUGUUUAGUUUGAGUCGGGACUGCACUUAUAUCGAUCGGUCAUUUUUCGUGUCAGCUUGAGUCGAGGUCGUACCUAUAUCGAUCUGCCAUGUUCCUAUCACUUUUCGUGUUCAGUUUGAGUCAAGACCGCACCUAUAUCAAUCGGUCAUCAUCUUGUCAGUUCGAGUUCAAUUAGAGUUUUGAGACCGCACCUAUAUCGAUUGGUCAUUGUUUUGUCGGAUUGAGUUGAGUCUUGUUUGAUUUUGAGUCACCAUCAUUCCGUGUUUUUUACGUUCAGAGUCAUUUCUCCUCAGAUGCGUCAUUUAGAGUCACAGUUCUUAGCAUUCAUAUCCACUUGCAUUGUACAUCUUACCUUCAUGGUUUUGCAUUUUUCCUCAGUUUUCCUUACUUCGUUACUAUGUGCUUAUCGUAUAUUCAUCAUAUAGUUCACAUAGGGCAGUCUUCUUUAAGCCUAGCCUUUUCUGUACUUUGGGGUGGUUCGACUUUACUCAUCUUUGUUUUGGUUUUUCGAGUCGCUUUUGGAGGCAUCUUAGAGGAAACCUGAUCCUUAGUACGACUUCAGAGGCUUUUUUUGGGACAUCUUUUCCUUUUAGAAUUAGAGCCUUUGUGUUCUCCUGCUAGCCUGAGUGAGUUUGCGUUUCACUAGUGUCCCUAAGGGGGUCUCCUUGGUUCUUCGGUAGAGUUCACUUCAUUCCACUCACUAUUCACACUUGCUUUUCAUUUCAGUGUUCAUGUUCCUCACACUUGUGAGCUCUACCGAAGAGGGGCAUAUUUGUAGACCCCUAUGUUGGGGUGGAUUUUAUGUAUUUUUGUUUUGCCAUGUGUCCAGAUUUCGGGGAGCCACGUGGAGCUUGAAGACUGGUCAUAAGGUAGUGCAUUUGGCCGUUGGGAGAGAGCUGGUUGUAGCCAUCAGAAUGCAACACAUACGAAGAAUAUUCGGCAGGAGCGUGUAUUCUAUUUUGGAGGAUAGCAGACCAUUAGUGAGGGCAUUGGUGCAGGUGCUUUUUAGACAGAGAGAGAGGGGAGGCAGGGUUAGAGAGAAGAUAUUUUGGAGGAUGUUGCUUUGAGUGAGGAGCCUGGAGGAUAGAAGUUUGCUUGAGAGGAAAGGCAACUGAAAAAGGAAAUAGAAAAAAAAAAAAGAGCGUUCUGAGGUAUGUCUGCUAAGCCACAUUUUUUAUUGCCAUUGAAAUCUUUUGGGUUGAGGUUAUUAUGUUAUAAUAUAUCCGAUCCUUGUUCUUCAUGAGAAAUUUGAUCUAGAAUGAACUAGUUCUUCUUUUGCACUCUUUUAUGUGUUUGAGUGAUAUCCUUGAAUCUUGUUUCCAUCUAUUUUUUUUUCACCCACACAUAAGUCCUAUGACUUCAAUAUAAGAUGAGGUUUGGGUCAUUAUUUUCUUGGGUUCGUUUUAUACUCUGUUUUGGUCCUUGCUUCAUUGUUGUUUGCUCUCUAUUCUCGGUGGCCACUCGUACACCCAAGGAGAAGAGUCUUGACUAGUACUGCUUUUGGUUUUCUUAUAGGCACAAUUUGUGAAUUUGGGGAGAUGUUGUGAUUACUACUCAAAAAGGGCUAUUUGAUAGCUUGUAAUUAACUCUUUUAAACACUUUUGAGUAGUAAUUAUUGCCCUUUAACCCAAUUAACAUAUUAAGGACCUUUGCAAUCACUUCUAAUCACUUUGUGUAAGUUUUGGUGUUUUUGUUAGUAAUUUGAUCACCAAAGCAAUCCAAGAUGGAGGAGAGUUAUUUGGAAUCCAUGGUAAAGCAAUGGAAAGCUCAGGAACAUGAAGAAUCAGAGCUUUGAAGCCUUAAAGUCCUUUGCCAUAACCAAUCCGGAAUGCAAGGAGGAGAAGUAAAGAGAGAAUCUACCUUGAAGCAUUCUUGAUGACAGUAAUUUCAGCCACUUUUGGAGUACUUCCUGAAGUCCAAUUUAUGCAUGCUUUAUGUCGUUUCGAAGAUCGGGAAGUCAACAAUCCAAUGCUUCAAACGGUUUGCAAAUCAGAGUUGAAAUGAAGAAGUUAGAGCCAAUGGAAGCAUAUCACUCCAAGUUGAAGGCCAAUUUCGCAGGGCUGCGAAAUCAGCCUUCGGCUGCGAAAUGAUUUCGCAGCCAUCUUGUUCGUCUGCGAAAUUUCGCAGCCAUUUUGUGCGCCUGCGAAAUUCUCCUGAGUGCUUCCAGAUAUUUGCGACCAACGUUUUUUGAUAUUUUGCUUCAGAUAUUUGUUGUCUAAAUCCCAAUUCUCUCCUUGUAAUCCACCAAUUAGAUGAUUCCUUAGUUGUUAAGCAAGAAUACAGGGGUAAACAACCUGUUAUAUAUUGUUUUGUAAUUUUCAAUUUGAGGACGGUCGGGGAACUUUCCCCAGGAGACCAACUUUUGUAAAGUUUACACUUAGCUAAAUACGAAAUAUCUUUUGCUUUCUUUUUCUCUCUACUACUUUCUAUUUUCUUAGUAGCCAAACAUCCUUGGAGGAUGAAAUCCCCAAGGAUGAGAGGCUAAAACCUUUUAGUUUCUUGAAGUAAUGGAUGCCAUGUGAAGCUCCCGUGUCAGGAUGGAGAUUUCCAAGCCAUGAAUGUAAGUAGCUGAGCGUCAUAAAUGUUUUCAUUCAAAGUAAAGCUUUUAAUCCCUCUGACUUGCUUUGAAUGGCCAAUACUUGAUAACCUUUUGGUCUCAGUGGAUUCUUAUUGUUAGAUCCAUUGACGUUCAUUAGUUAUCUCCUACGAGCCAUUGUAUUGCAAGUCGAGGAGAUGACCUAUAUCAUUAAAAGAGCAUUUAUGAGGUUCAGCUACCCUUUUUGUAAGUUUUGAAGGACUAAAACUCAGUUGUUAAACACAUACCGGUUCAGGAAGUAAGCAUCACCUGAGUUGCUUCCUCAACUCGAGGUGAAAAGUUCCAAAAUCUCCAUUUUUACACCGUGAGUUAAGCAUGGCUAUCCAAAGCUUUGAGAAACUUAUUUUUCUAUCUUUUAACCUAUUUGCAUGUUAGUUUAGUUUACAACACUUUCAUCUUUUUAUGUUUUCAUCUUAACCUAAUUUUUAUUAAGAAAAGUUCACUCCAUCCUCCGAACUUCAUCAGUUAAAGUAAAAACCCUUCCCAGUGUUCGAUCCUAGAGCCACUAUGCUAUAGUAGCUUUGCUACUUUAGUGUAAGGACGUUAGGUAUAAAUUUUGUUGAUACCCUUACAUGCCAAGCUACCAAGAGUCGGGUUGUCAAAUGGCGCCGUUGCCGGGGAAGGUGCUACUUCACUGUGAAUAUAUCAGCCGGAGGUAACUUGUGAGACUUCUCAUGAGUAAGGUGAAUUCUAUCUCAUUUUUUUUUAUUUACUAACUUUUUAUUUUAAUUUUAGAACAUUUUUAACUUAGUUUAGAUAAGUUUCUUUUAGCUUUUAACUUUCAUUUUUAGUUUAUUUUUCAUACUUUGUUUUUCCUUCCACAUGCUCUGUUUUUUUUUUCUUUUUCUUUGUUUUGUUUAUUUGUUCUGUUCCAACUGAAUCCAUGCAUGCCCUAUUGGAUUCGAGACCAAGAGGGAACCCUGGUACAAGUUGAAGAAAAGAGCCUUAGUUGAAUAUCAUUUUUUUUUUAGAAAUGGAAAUUCCAUAUGAAGAUCAAAGCUCUCAUUAUGAUCAUGAGAAGGACAAAUUUGCAUACUUAUCCAUGAGGGAUCAGAUUGAAUUAGGGAAAAGGCAAGUUCAACAAAGCCAAUGAGGUAGUAAGUAUGCUUUGAAUGAAGACAUGAGCAUGAAGGCAAAGCUAGCAUCUAUGGCUAGAAGGAUAGAAGAGUUUGAAUUGAGGUAUGUGCAUACUGAAGCACAACCACAAGCCAUGCCAACUUCAUUUGAGUAUAUAAACCAUCCCAACCUUACAACCCAACCUCAACCUCAACCAUCAAUGAGUACAUCUUCAUUGGAGCAAGCCAUUUUGAAGUUAAGCAAAGUCAUGGAGGACUUUGUAGGUGAGCAACAAAAGAUCAACUCUCAUCUUAAUGAAAAGAUUGAUAAUUUGGAAAGUUCAAUAAAUAUAAGAAUGGAGGGGGUUUAUAAUGAUCUAUCACUAAGGAUAGAAAAAGUUCAAGACUCCAUUGAGAAGCUCACCAAUCUCGACAUAGCAAGGGGUAAAAGGAAGCUUCCUCCUCAACCCCACCAUAACCUUCAAGGAACCAAUCCAAAAAGAUCAAGGAAAGUGUUGAAGAUCGACACUUUGGUGGGGGAUUGCUAUGAAAACUCUAUGGACCAACCUUCCAUUGAAAAUCAUAAGGUUCAAGAUGAUAAAGGGUUACCUGAACCCUUUAAAGCAUCCACUUCUCCAAGGAAGAGAAGAGAAACGAAUUCCCUUGGACCAAAUGGGAAGGAUGCCAAUUUUGUUUGGGAUCCAGGGGGAAUUUAGCAUGAAGUGGGUGUGUGAGUGAGGAUGAGCUAAAUAGUUCAUCUUCUUUUUUGGGGUACAUGCUAUCAGCUUCAAUAGAUGUAGCUCCAUGGUAUGCACACAUUGCCAAUUACUUGGUCACGGGAGAAAUACCAAGUGAAUGGAGCUCUCAGGACAAGAAGAAUUUCUUUGCCAAGGUCCAUGCAUAUUAUUGGGAGGAACCUUUUCUUUUCAAGUAUUGUGCGGACCAAAUUAUAAGGAAAGUGUGUGCCUGAACAAGAGAAGCAUGGGAUCCUAUCUCAUUGCCAUGAGAAUGCAUGUGGAGGCCACUUUGCCUCUCAAAAGACGGCAAUGAGAGUUCUUCAAUCGGGUUUUUGGUGGCCCUCACUUUUUAAGGAUGCCCAUGAGGUAAGUAAAGGAUGUGAUAAGUGCCAAAGACUAAGCAAGCUUUCAAGGAGAAUUUGAACCCCAUCUUGAUAGUGGAUCUUUUUGAUGUUUGGGGCAUAGACUUCAUGGGACCUUUCCCUAUGUCUUUUGGCCACUCCUACAUCUUGGUAGGAGUUGAUUAUGUUUCAAAGUGGGUUGAAGCUAUACCCUGUAGAACCAAUGAUCACAAAGUGGUUCUCAAAUUCCUAAAAGAAAACAUCUUCUCGAGGUUUGGAGUGCCUAAAGCAAUCAUCAGUGAUGGAGGCACUCACUUUUGCAACAAGCUCUUUUGGCCAAGUACGGAGUCAAGCAUAAGGUAGCUACACCUUAUCAUCCUCAGACGAGUGGCCAAGUAGAGCUAGCCAACCGGGAAAUUAAGAACAUCUUGAUGAAGGUGGUGAACACCAAUAGGAAAGAUUGGUCUGUUAAGCUCCUUGAUUCCCUAUGGGCGUAUAGGACGGCUUAUAAGACUAUCCUUGGGAUGUCACCAUACCGUCUUGUUUAUGGCAAAGCUUGCCAUCUUCCCGUUGAGAUUGAGUUCAAGGCAUGGUGGGCCAUUAAAAAGCUCAACAUGGAUUUAACUAAGGCUGGGCUAAAGAGGAGUUUGGAUUUGAACGAGCUUGAGGAAUUGAGAAAUGAUGCCUAUCUCAACUCAAAAAUAGCUAGGGAAAAGCUAAAGAGAUGGCAUGAUCAGUUGGUGACCAAGAAAGAAUUUUUCAAGGGACAAAGAGUCUUGCUAUAUGACUCUAAGCUUCACCUAUUUCCGGGAAAGCUCAAAUCAAGGUGGGUAGGGCCUUUUGUCAUCCACCAAGUACACUCACAUGGAGUAAUUGAGUUACUCAACUCAAAUAGUGCAAAGACCUUCAAGGUCAAUGGCCAUCGUCUCAAGCCAUUCAUUGAGCCAUUCAAGCAAGAGAAUGAGGAAAUCAACCUCAUUGAGCCACAGAAAGCCUAAUCAGAAAAGGGUUAGAUGGGCUUGGUUUCACCAAAGUCCAUAUUUUUGUUUAAGUUUAUUAAUUUGAAAGCUUUAUUAAUUCUUUUGAUUUUAAUUUUGGUCUAAAGUUUUGUUAAUUAUAUGUAACUUCAUCUUUUUGAAUGAUCUUUUGUAGGAGGAAUUGCAAAGAAAAUGAAGGAAGGUCCCAGGGGGCCAAAAGGAGCUUAAAGCUAUGAAAUUUUAGUGGUCUGCGAAAUUUCGCAGCCCAAAAUAGGCCCCUGCGAAAAAGGCCAUCUGCUGCGAAAUCAUUUCGCAGCCCUUACAUGGCCUCUGCGAAAUCAAGGUUUGGCUGCGAAAAUGGCCCUCCGCUGCGGAAUAAAUUUCGCAGCCCAACACCCUCCUCUGCGAAAAUUUUCGCAGCUGCGAAACCACCUCUUGGCACUCGUGUGCCAUUUCGCAGCACAGUAACUCCAUUUCGCAGCUGCGAAAUGGCUGCGAAAUCCCCAAAGCGUGAAAUCUCCAAUUUUCGCAGCCAAAGCCCUAUUUCGCAGGGUGUUUCGCAGCUGUGAAACCACCCUUUGGCACACGAGUGCCAUUUCGCAGCCCCGUACACUCAUUUCGCAGCUUCGAAAUGGUUGCGAAAUCCUCCAUGCCUUAAAAUCCUUCAGCGCACACACCCUGAAGCCGCACCCCUGUUGGACACAUUUCGAAGUACUUCCUGAAGUCCAUUUCAUUCAUACCAUAUCUCGUUUCAAAGCUUGGGAAGUCAGGAGUCCAUAGCUUCAAACGGUGCUCAAUUUGGAGUUGAAACAAAGAAGUUAUGGUCGUUUGAAGACUGUGCAAACAAUGAGCUGAAAUGUUGCAUCUGCACCCCAUUGGACACAUUUUUGAAGCACUUCCUGGAGCUCAAAUUUUUCAUACUAUAUCUUGUUUUAAAGCUUAUGAAGUCAGGAGUCCAGUGCUUCAAACGGUAUGCGAUUUGGAUUUGAAACGAAGAAGUUAUGGCCGUUUGAAGACGAACGCGCAAAGCACCAACGGAAAUUUCGCAGCCAAAGCCCCAUUUCGCAGGUGGUUUCGCAGCUGCGAAACACCCCUUUGGCACACGAGUGCCAUUUCGCAGCCACCCAAUCCCAUUUCGCAGCUGCGAAAUGGGCUGCGAAAAUGGCACCCGACUGCGAAAACUCCAUUUGGCUGCAAAAUGAUUUCGCAGCCCCAUAGCUACCCCCUGCCAAAUCCUCCAUGUGCUGCGAAAAUGGCCUUUUGCUACCAAAUGAUUUUCAAACUUCCAAAUGGCUAUGAAAUGAUCUCCAAGCUUCCAAAUGGCUACGAAAUGAUUUUCAAGCUUCAAAAUGGGCUGCCAAAAUGUUUCUAUUUUUUCCAUGGGCUGCGAAAAUAUUUUUCUUUUUUCCCUUUGGCUGCAAGAUGAUCUCCAAGAUACAAAAUGACCUUCAGGCUAUAAAAAUGACUUGCAAAAUAAAGAGAGGUUUGCAAAAACACUUUGCAAAGCCAAGGGAAGUUGUGAAAAUGCGAAGAGAGCCCCGCAACCAUGCAUCUAAAGAGGAGAACCCUUUCACUGAGAUCACACACAAAGCCUCUCACUCCAUUUCUGACCUCCUUAAACCAUCAGAGCCCAUAGCUCCAGCUGAAGAGACUAUGCCACCUAAGGAGACUACUAGAACAGAGGCCAAAGUCCUGAUCCAACCCAUUCAAGAGGCCACCACAGACGCAUCAGCUCCACAUGACCCUACCACUACUUGAUCAUCUUUUUAUUUUUUGUAUUUACAUAUUAUAUUAGUGUAAAUAAUUUCAUAUUUUGAUGUCUUAUAUUCUGGGAUUGGAUAUAUUACUGAUGAUACAUCAUAUAUAGACAUCAUUUUUGUUUAAACUUAGCAUUUUUCUAUUUCCUCUACUCACUAACUCUUAUGUUUUCUUUGAAACAUGUGGUUUCUCCUAUACGACUCAAACUCCAUGUCACUCAGGAGGUACCACUUCCUCCCUAUUUUUCAAUCGCUUUUGUCACAUUGAGGACAAUGUUCAGCUUGGUUGGGGGGAGAGUUGAGGAAGUAAGUAUUGUUAAUAAUGCUAAGUUAUUUUGGUAAUUUAGUUGCUUUUCGCUUAAUUUUUAAAUUUUUUAAGUUUUUUUUUUCUCUACUCUCCAUGGUUAUUAAGGAAAAAUUCUCAAAAAUGAAAUGGGAGAAAUUGAUUUUUUGUCUUUUUACUUGACUUAGAGUUUGUAUUAUGUUUAUUAAAGUUAAUGAAUUGUUGAAGUUUCUAUUGAAUUCAAGCUUAUGUCUUCCGCUUUAAGCUAUUCACACACUAUGCAUAAUAGGUUCCGAUUAUAAGAUGAAAAACUAUUUUCCUCUUGACUUAGGAAAAUUUUAGACUUGGUACCUUUGACCUUAUUUAAUAGUGUUGGGACACCUUGUAAAAGGCCAAUGAGUCUUUGAAAAAAAAAGAAAAAAAAAAAAAAAGAAAAAUGUUUGCUUGCCUUGAAACCCGAGCAAGGUCUGAGGGGUAUAUGGUGAAAAUCUUUAAAACCUGGUGCCCUAAGCCUUAAUUGGUUGGGAGUCACCGACCUCAAUGCUCGUUACAAGGGUGAAUAGGUGGAGUUUAACAUACUGUAGGUGCUUGGGUAUUAAAAAUAUAUUCUCAAAAGUCCGGGGUAAAAUCCGAGGAGUUAGUGGUUGAAAGAUCCUUAAAGCUUGAUGCCCUAAACCUUAAUUGGUUGGGAGUCAUCGAUGGACCCCCGUUACAUGGACAAUUUAAAAAAUAAUACCUUUAAGCCUUGUACUCCUACAAUGAAAAAAUUGUGAAAAAAGAGGUGCGUUCUUAACCUAUUGGAGGUUGAUCAGUUUGCUAAGCUUUGAAAAAGAACUAGGUUAGGGGGGAGAGAUUAGUUUAACAUACUAUUUUCGGAAACUAAUAAAUAACACUUAGAUUUUUGUGGAAGAGUAAGGUUUGACCCUUUGGGAGUGGAAACUCUUUCAAAAGCUUAAAUUUGCAUAAUGCCUUCUCUUUAUGAAUUGUGAUUGAACAAGUUAUUUGAUAACUCUUGUUGAAGUUUGAGUGUUAUUUCUUUAAUGUUCCAUGUGAGAGUUAGAUCAUCAUGCCACUUGAGAAUUGUUUUUUGAUCAGCAUGAUGUUGUAAAUUAUAGUAAUGUUUAUUUUUAUUUUUCUCUCCUUCAUUGCUAAGGGACUAGCAAUAUGUCGGUUGGGGGGAGUGAUUACUACUCAAAAAGGGCUAUUUGAUAGCUUGUAAUUAACUCUUUUAAACACUUUUGAGUAGUAAUUAUUGCCCUUUAACCCAAUUAACAUAUUAAGGACCUUUGCAAUCACUUCUAAUCACUUUGUGUAAGUUUUGGUGUUUUUGUUAGUAAUUUGAUCACCAAAGCAAUCCAAGAUGGAGGAGAGUUAUUUGGAAUCCAUGGUAAAGCAAUGGAAAGCUCAGGAACAUGAAGAAUCAGAGCUUUGAAGCCUUAAAGUCCUUUGCCAUAACCAAUCCGGAAUGCAAGGAGGAGAAGUAAAGAGAGAAUCUACCUUGAAGCAUUCUUGAUGACAGUAAUUUCAGCCACUUUUGGAGUACUUCCUGAAGUCCAAUUUAUGCAUGCUUUAUGUCGUUUCGAAGAUCGGGAAGUUAACAAUCCAAUGCUUCAAACGGUUUGCAAAUCAGAGUUGAAAUGAAGAAGUUAGAGCCAAUGGAAGCAUAUCACUCCAAGUUGAAGGCCAAUUUCGCAGGGCUGCGAAAUCAGCCUUUGGCUGCGAAAUCAGCCUUCGGCUGCGAAAUGAUUUCGCAGCCAUCUUGUUCGUCUGCGAAAUUUCGCAGCCAUUUUGUGCGCCUGCGAAAUUCUCCUGAGUGCUUCCAGAUAUUUGCGACCAACGUUUUUUGAUAUUUUGCUUCAGAUAUUUGUUGUCUAAAUCCCAAUUCUCUCCUUGUAAUCCACCAAUUAGAUGAUUCCUUAGUUGUUAAGCAAGAAUACAGGGGUAAACAACCUGUUAUAUAUUGUUUUGUAAUUUUCAAUUUGAGGACGGUCGGGGAACUUUCCCCAGGAGACCAACUUUUGUAAAGUUUACACUUAGCUAAAUACGAAAUAUCUUUUGCUUUCUUUUUCUCUCUACUACUUUCUAUUUUCUUAGUAGCCAAACAUCCUUGGAGGAUGAAAUCCCCAAGGAUGAGAGGCUAAAACCUUUUAGUUUCUUGAAGUAAUGGAUGUCAUGUGAAGCUCCCGUGUCAGGAUGGAGAUUUCCAAGCCAUGAAUGUAAGUAGCUGAGCGUCAUAAAUGUUUUCAUUCAAAGUAAAGCUUUUAAUCCCUCUGACUUGCUUUGAAUGGCCAAUACUUGAUAACCUUUUGGUCUCAGUGGAUUCUUAUUGUUAGAUCCAUUGACGUUCAUUAGUUAUCUCCUACGAGCCAUUGUAUUGCAAGUCGAGGAGAUGACCUAUAUCAUUAAAAGAGCAUUUAUGAGGUUCAGCUACCCUUUUUGUAAGUUUUGAAGGACUAAAACUCAGUUGUUAAACACAUACCGGUUCAGGAAGUAAGCAUCACCUGAGUUGCUUCCCCAACUCGAGGUGAAAAGUUCCAAAAUCUCCAUUUUUACACCGUGAGUUAAGCAUGGCUAUCCAAAGCUUUGAGAAACUUAUUUUUCUAUCUUUUAACCUAUUUGCAUGUUAGUUUAGUUUACAACACUUUCAUCUUUUUAUGUUUUCAUCUUAACCUAAUUUUUAUUAAGAAAAGUUCACUCCAUCCUCCGAACUUCAUCAGUUAAAGUAAAAACCCUUCCCAGUGUUCGAUCCUAGAGCCACUAUGCUAUAGUAGCUUUGCUACUUUAGUGUAAGGACGUUAGGUAUAAAUUUUGUUGAUACCCUUACAUGCCAAGCUACCAAGAGUCGGGUUGUCAUGUUGUUAUAUUGCUCAUAAAAUCGCUGGAAAGUUCUGCUUAGAAUGGGUGAUUGCCAUAUUCAAGGAAGCUACUCCACAGCUCCUCUCUUAUACCCACGCGCAUGUUACUUUGGCCAUGCAUGGCUAUAUUCUCUCUCUGUAUCGAAUAUACAGCUCUCCUCGAUGUUUAUAUUUCGUGCUCAACCCAGUAUCAUCAUUUGACACUGGUUUCAUGGACUUCAUAAAUAAGUCAUCUGUCACCGACCCUGUAGCCCUAGCUCCGCUCUCCUUCUCUCUCUCCCCGCCAGAUCUAAUCAAGGGUUGCCAUCUCACUGCUUCUCUUUCUAACCACUCCUCGAUCCUCAUCUCCUACUCCACCAGUCCUUAAUCUUCUACUCUACAAUGGUUGACGCCGCCUCAGACCUUCAAUAAGACGUAUCCAUUUGUGUACACCCAGUGUCAGUCUAUUCACACCCGUUCGGUCUUCCCUUACCAGGAUACACUUGUGGUGAGGAUCAAGUAGGCGGCGCGGAUCCAUGCCCCUCACCAUCUGUCUGCGAUGGUGGCAGCACGCCAUGUGGAACGGCAGUCGCCGUACCCUGGGGAGGGUGGUGGAGGAGUUUGUGAUGAAGCAGGCGAUGCCGCCUUACCUAUUUGCCUUCGCGGUCGGGAGGCUUGGGCAUAAAGAGGUAGGACCGAGGACGAGAUUGUACACUGAGGCAAUGACCUCACUAUUGGAUGGAGCAGCGUGAGAGUUCGCCGGGACGGAGGCUUAUGUCUGCUUACUGUGGUCGACAGUCAGUGGAGUUAAACUUCAUUACAUUCUUAUUUGAUGGUCGCCGACUCCGUGGAAAGCAGACUCCAGAUGAGCUUGAAAUGAUGGAUGGUGAUGAAAUAGAUGCAAUGCUGCACCAAACUGGAGGGGUUACAUGGAUGUAGAUAUAUAAUAUAUGAGAAAAGCAUGGCAAAGAGAGCUAGGGCCUUCUUUGGGCCGCUCUUUCUGUUGUUAUGCCUGAGCCGCCUGUUAAAUCAAUAGCUUGGGUUCUAUGGGCCGGGCUUUCUGUAAGUACUAGCUCCUCAAUGGGUUUCAAGAAAAGCUUAGGUUGUUAUUUUACCAUGUGGAUCACGUAAGCUUACAAAGCCUUUCAAAUUGGGGCUUGCUAUAUAUUCUAGCUUGCAAGAUGCCCAACCACGUACUAUUAUUACACUGUGGAAAGCCCAAAUGGAUGAAGCAAAGUUUGAAGAUCCUGAUCCAGUAGUGAUAAUUCUUGAUAACUCCACCAAGACCCGUAUUAAACUUGCACCUGAGAAAAGAAGCGACAGAUAUGACCACCUUUCUAGAAUAGCUCCAUCCCUACUGCAUGGCUUGCAUGGCCAUUUUGGGUAUGCAACUUUAGGUUGCGUGUUUUCCUUCAUUUUUUUCCAUUAUUAUGAUUUCCUCAUUUCAGAAUUUUAAGACAAUUCCCUAUACUCCCAUUUUACAUAUAAUUUCCCGGAUUCUAGUUUUCUUUUUUUAUUUUAUUUUUCCAAACUCCAUUUUUAUCAAAUAAUUUAUUUAUUUAUUUUUCAUCUUUAGGUUUUUUUUUUUAGAAUCACUCAAAAUCUCAUUUCCAAUAAAAUAGAGCCGCCAUAUUUCUUUUUGGAAAACCAUUUUCACGCCUCCUCUGUUUUUUUUUUAAAAAAAUGUUUUAAAAUAAGCAAGAAUUUAAUACCGUAAUUCCGAAUAAUGGAAUUUAUGGAAUUAAUUCAUGCAAAAAUAAACAGGCUUUGGUGGGGGCCCCACAUAAGUGAUUUUAUAAUUGAUUGAUUGUUUGAUUGAUUUAAUUACCAUGCAUAAUUGACUUUAUUAUGCUCUAUAACAUGCUCGAAAAUAUUCCUUAAUUGUGCACUAACCUCACUUCUUGACAGCGCGUUGUGGCUCGUCGCCCAGGUACGUAUCUAUUCCCAUUCUGGUAUUUCUAUAUGCAUGUUUUGAUUCUCACACGUGCAUGAUCACUCUGAUUAUUCAUUGAUUCCCUCAUCAAUUGCCAUAAUUGCUUCAUUUUAUUAGUAGAGACUCGACUUUAGGGGCUUAGAGGGGUGUUUCGGUCUUUAUCGUACCUUUCCGAUAAGUAACCUAACCCCCGAACCCGAUCCGGUUUUUCACAGACCACCUUUUCCAAAAUAAGGAGUCACACUUAGGGUUUUUCUUUCUUAUUUUGUUUACCCUCUAAAAAUAAAACAAAAAUAAGUGGCGACUCCAAGUCAAUUUCUAAUAAAUAAAAUCAAUUUUUUUCAAAAAUUAAAAUUGAGCUCACCAUCGAGUGGAAAACGCAUGAGCCGAAAUACGGGGUCCACACUUAUAUUUACAAAGAAAUUUAAGGAAAAAAAUAAACUAAUAAUCCCUAUAAAUCAGGACAAUCCUUAUAAAUUAGAUAUUAUUCUUCCUAAUCUAAUUUACAGCUAUGCACACUUUCCUAAUCUAAUUUACAACUAUAGAUUGCAUAAAUAUAUGCAAGAGACCUCAAAUAGGAAAAUUCAAAUUUCUAAUACUCUCCUCAAGUUGGUGAAUAGAUAUUAUCUAUGCUCAACUUGCUAUAAUUGCUUGAAAUGUUGUCCUCACAAAUAGAGUGCAAAUUAACCCACUUUCUAACUUUUCCUUUAUGAAAUGUCUAUCAACCUCAACAUGCUUUGUUCGGUUACCAAAUAAUAAGCAAUGUUUAUGGUUAAUUUGUUAUCGUAAUACAACCUCAUGGUUCCUUCCCAUUUAAUUCAUAGGCCCUCAAGAAUAAUUUAAAGCCAUAAUAACUCACAAAUUCCUUAUGUCAUAACUCUAAACUUUGCCUUUGCACUAGACCUUGCAACAAUGGUUUGUUUUUUACUCUUCCAAGUCACUAAGUUUCCUUCAAGAAAAGUGCAGUAACCUGAUGUUGAUUUCUUGACUACCAUUGAUCCAACAUAGUCGGCAUCCAUAUAGGCUUUAAAGAACAAAUCUGUACAUUUUCUAAAGAGAAUUCCCAUUCCUGAGCUACCUUUAAGAUACCGUAAAAUCCUUUAGAUAGCUUGUAAGUGGAACUCCUUCAGAUUGAGCAUAAACUGGCUUACUAUACUCACAACAUAGGUAAUAUUCAAUCUCGUGUGUGACAAGUAAAUCAAUCAUCCCACUAAUCUUUGAUAAAUACCUUAAUCCACUUCUUUGUCUUCCAUUGCUUCCCUAAGCUUAUGAUUUGCUUCAAUUGGAGUCUCUACCGGUUUACAUCCAAGCUUUCCCAUCUCCUUAAGCAAUUCAAGGAUAUAUUUGUGUUGUUAUACAAAAAUACUUUUUUUUUACCGUGUCACUUCAAUUUCCAAAAAACACUUUAGUUUGCCUAGAUCCUUUAUCUCAAAUUCCUUUACAAGACAUUUUCAAAGUGCCCCUUUUUCUUUUGAAUCAUUCUCGGUCACGAUUAUGUCGUUAACAUAUACUAGUAAUGUUGUAACUCUCUCUUAAUUAUAAUGUUUAAUGAAUAAAGUGUGAUCUCUUUGGCUCUGUUUAAACUCUAGAAAUAACAUAACUUUUAUAAAUCUUCCAAACCAUGCCCUACAAGAUUUUUUUCAAUCCAUACAAUGCCUUUUUCAACCUACACACCUUAUUCUUAUCUAAACUUCCCCAAAAUUAGGAGGAACUUCCGUAUAGAUUUCUUUAUCAAUUUCAUCAUGGAGAAAGGUAUUCGUUAGAUAAAAUUGUUGUAAAUUCCAAUCAAAAUGAGCUACCAGUGAUAAUAAAUUUUUUACCACAUUCAUCUUUGUUACCGAUACAAAAGUUUCUUGAUAGUCCACUCCAUAUGUUUGUGUGUAUCCUCUUGCGACCAACCUUGCUUUAUAUCGUUCAAGGGAUCCAUCAACUUUGUAACUGUAAAUACCCACUUGCAACCCACUACUUUCUUCCUUUUUGGUAACUCCAUAAUUUCACAAGUCUCAUUCUUCUCCAAUGCUUCCAUAUCAACUUUUAUAGUUUGUUUCCAUUUCUCAUUACCAAGUACCUCGAUUAAGGUUUGUGGAAUUGGUAUGGAAUUUAUUUAGGUAAGAAAAGCUUUAUGAGAUGGUGAGAAAUUUUCAAAUAACACAAAACUGGACAAUGGGUGUUGUGUGUAUUUAUCUGUACAUUUCCUAAUGACAAUAGGAAGAUCAAUAUUGUCUACAUCAUCAUAUGAGUCAAGAGGAGCAAUAUAAUUGUGCACCUCAUUUUCGAGAGUUGGUUUGAAUGUUUGGACUUGCAUGGGUAUGGGUCUAAGUUCAAUCACCCUCCUCCUUGAAUAAACUUGUAGUGGUUUUAUGGCAAUAGGUUUUGACUCAUUUUCUUUUGUUCCAACAUCUAAAAUAGGGCGUGUUUAAACUAUUUUUGGGAAUUGUUAUAGCUAUUUAAGGUGUGUUGGAAAUUUCUGGACCUUUUUUAUGACUUUCAAACUCUUUUUGGGAUCCAUUUAAAGGUUCGAAUGGGGAAAAUUCUCAAGCAAGAACAGGUCCUUAUCUUCCAUAGAUAAUGUUUCCCCUGAAGAUAAUGAAUUGAAAAAUAUCCCUCUGUUUCUAUAAAAAUGACAUCCAUGGAAACAAUAAAUAAAUAAAUAAAUAAAAUUAUUUGGAGGAUGGAAACAUAUACCCUUUCUAUGUUAAUGAAUAUCCAACAAAGCCAUACUUUAAUGCUCUUGGAUCCAACUUUCCUCGAUGAUGAGCAUGAAUAUGAACAAACACAGGAUACCCAAACACUUUAGGAAAAAGCUUACUCGAUGUAUUGAACUGAGGAAAGAAUGUUGUAAACAUUUCCAUAGGACUCUUUAAACCUAAAACUUGAGAAGGAACCCUAUUUGUUAAAUGAGCAAUUGUAAGAACGACGUCUCUCCAAUAGGUUUUUAGAAUAAGAGAGCCUUAGUAACAUUUAAUAGUUGACCAUUUUUCCUCUCAGCUACUUCGUUUUGUUGGGGUGAAUUGACACAUGAAAACUCAUGAAUAAUUCUCUCUUUUUGAAAAUAAAAUGAAAGUGUUUGAUUGAAAUAAUCUUUUGCAUUAUCUAAUCUAACUUGUUUUAUUGACACCCCAAAUUGAUUUUUGACCAUAUUAUGGUAAUUUGGAAAAAUAAUGCUCACAUUUGACUUUUGUUUUAAAAGGAAGAUCCAAGUAACAUGGUUACAAUAAUCAAUAAACGAAACAAACCAAUGAGCUCCCGAAAUAAUAGGAACUCAUGGUGGCCUCUAAUAAUCACUAUGAAUUAAAGCAAAAGGAAAUGAUGAUCUUUUGUUACUCAAAGGAAAUAAGACACGAUGAUGUUUUGCAAAUUCAUAAACAUCACAAUGAAAAGUGUCUACAUCAAUAUUCUUAAAAAUCAAAGAGAACAUGACCUUAAGUAUAUUAAAUGAAGGUUGGCCAAGUCAAAAGUGAUAAAACCAAAUUUGCUCUUUAUUUGAAGAAAAUAACUUGAAGAAAAAAAGAGAGAGGUAGUUGAUUCCCAUUGUCAACAUUGCCACUACUUGUAUCAAGGUAGUAGAGUAUGUUCUUUUCUUUAGCAUGCCCAAUCAUCUUCCCCGAAACUCAGUCCUAAAAAACAUAAUGAGUAGGUAAAAAGAUAACACUAUAAUUCAUAUCUUUUGUGAGUUGAUCAUGAAUAGGCACAAGGUUGGUUGAAAGCUUAGGAACAUGUAAGACAUUAUUAAGACUCAAAGAAGGGUUUACAUUGACUACUCCUUGACCUACAACAGAAACUAAAGACCCAUCAACAAUAGUUAUUUUCUUAUUGCUAGGACAUGGAAUAUAUGUGCUAAAUUUAUUUAAUGAAUGUGUCAUAUGGUCUCUUGAAUCAAUGAUCCAAGAGCUUGAAAGGGAUAUACCUGAUGCACUAAAAGCAUGAGAGAAAGGAAACUUACCUAAAUUUGUGAGAGAGCAAACACCCAUAAGUUUUUCCAAUGAACCCAAUUUUUUUUUUCAACUUUUUAAUGUCCUCUUCAUUCAAUUCUAAUCAAUCAUAACACUUCAUCAUCCUUCAUCUACUCGAAUAAUGAAGAAAACCUCAUUAAUGGAUGGAAAGUCUUCUUUUUCUCAAGAUUUAAACUUGAACUUGAUCAAAUUCAACAAUAAGGCCAUCAAGAAACUCAGAAAUCUACUCCCUUUCAACAAACUUUCUUAACAUUGUAGCAUCUUCGCUACAUUUCAUUUGAAGAUUUUGGUAAUAAUCCAUUUCUUUCCAAAGACUUUCAUGAGAUUAUAAUAUUCAAUCACCAAUCUUGUUCCCUACUUAGUCGUUGAAUUUUUUUUUUUGCUUAAUUUCAUAGAUUUGCGUCGCAUCACAUACCUUAGAAUAAGUUUGUCUUACUGUCUUCCAAAUCUCUUUAGCCAUGGUGAGGAACAUACAAGUGCCACUGAUUUCGGGUAACAUGGAAUUCCAUAACCAUGGAAUCCUUUUCCUCCCACUGGUUGAACUUCGGAUCUUCAGGCCCUAUGCUUAUGAUGAUUAGAUGACUUAGUCUGCCUUUCAUUUUCAAAAAGGUUCAUGCUAGUUGAGACCAUUGAAAAUAGUUUCAGCCAUUCAACCGAUACACUAAAUUGAUAUUCUAUAACUCUCCAAUGGUUUGAUGAGGCAAAGUUUCACCAAAAACCACUAUAGGUAUGGUAGAAGUCUCAAAAAUAUCAGACAUGGUGAAAUACUAGAAAUUGCACAUAGAACGAAUGAAAUAUGUAAAAAGAAAUAAACAAAACACAUAAUAAUGAAGGCUGAAAGAAUUAGGCUUGAAAUCUUCAACAGUGAAGGUUGAAAAACUUGAACUAAAAUUAGCAAUUAAGGCUGAUAAAGAAUGUCAAAGUGGCUCUAAUACCAUAUGGGAGAAAAUGGUAAAAGAUUCUUAUUCAAUCAGUUGCUACAAUCCUAAUUCAUAUCUUAUAAAUUAGAGAUUGUUCUUCUUAAUAUAAUUUAUAGUUAUACACACUUUUCUAAUCUAAUUUACAACUAUAUAUUACAUAAAUAUAUACAAGAGACCUCAAAUAGGAAAAUUUAGAAUUCUAACAUAUUUUUCUUAAGGUAUACAUAUUUUUUUAAAGAAUGUACCUAUACUUCUACAUGUGGAACGGAGUUUUGGAAGACAUAAAAUACAUUCUAAGGCAUACAUAAGUCAAAUCUGAGAUCCAAAUUAAGCUGAAUUGUGUCAUGGUUAACCUCAAAUCAAAUGUAUGUAUUUUUUUUAAAGAAUAUAUUUAUUAUUGUAAAGGAUGUACUUUUUCUUAAGAAUAUACCUAUUUUUGUAAGGGAUGUAUUUAGGGUUCUACUAUACCAAAUAGAGUUUGGGAAAGCAUCAUGAGGCAUACAAAAGUUAAAGUUUAGAUCCAAAAUAGGUUGAAUAAGGGAAUGAUUUGACUCAAAUCAAAUGUAAAUACUUUUCUAAACUUUUACUUAUUUUUAUAAAACAUGUACGCAAGGUUAUAUCAUGUUAAAUAGGGAGGAAGACCUCAAAUGCAUUCCAAGACCUACUACAUAAGUGAAAUCCCACACUCGAAUUAGGUCAAAUGAGGAUAAGAAUCUCAAAUGAAAUGAAAUGUACAUAUUUUUAUAUUGGAUGUACUUAUUUUUCUAAAUGUACUUAUUUUUUUUAAAGAUAUAUGUAUUUUUAAAAAUAUAAAAAUUAAUUAAAUCAAUGUUAAAUAAAAUUUUUAUGAAAAAAUAUAUUUUAUUUUAUAUUUUAUGUCUAUAAAAUAGUUAAAGAUUUUAAUCUAAUAAAAAGUUAGAACCAUGAUCAAUUUAAAAUCAUAAGAAAACAUUAAAACGAAUUUUAAUAUGAAAGUUCAAAAAUUAAAAUUAAAAUAAUAUUACCAAAAUAUUUUUAGUUUAUUUGCAAGUUAUAAUAUUUACAUGCCCUAUCAAUGUCUUAUUAAAUUUUUUUAGUACAAAAUGGAAUAGGAGGUGAAUAUUCUUUUAUUUCUUUAAUACAACAAAUACAAACCAAGCAUCACUCAAAAUCUUCUUCCUUUCUCUCGAAUAUGAAGUAAGAUGAAGCUCGUGAACUUGUUCAUAUAAAAAUUUGACAAAGGUGACAUGAAGGCCAAAAAUAGUUGAGGGGUUGUACAAGAGCACAUAGCACUUAAAAAUUCUCAAAAAUUGCUUUUAUAAAGUUUUUGAGCAUAUCUGGUCAUUUCAUUAAAAAAUAAUUUUUUGCUUUUAAAAAUAGAAAAAUUAUUUUUAAAAAUUUAUAAAAUUGUUUGACAAUUGUCAUCUAUUUGUAAUUUUUUAAAAUAAAGUGAAAUAGAAAACAUAUUUUAGAAAACAAGUAGAAAUUAUUUUCUCCAAUUUUUAAAAAAUAUAAAGGAAUUAAAAAAAAACUAGAAAAAGAAAAUAAGAUUGAAGAUGAUAUCAUUCUUCUUUAUCCUUCUCUACAAUCUAAUAUCGAUACUGAAAAAUCUUCAAAUAUAAUAUUUCUUUAAAUUAUAUGUAUUUUUAUGAAUUUCCUUUAAUUUAAUAAAAUUUUCAUUAAUAAAAUGAAUUAUAAAUCAAAUUAUACUUUAUACAUAAAAUUUAUUAAUUUUUGAAAAUAAUUCAAAAAUCAAAAAUCUAUUUAAGUAGUACUAGAAAAUCAUGAAACUCACUAACAUUAGAAAGUCAUAAACCAAAAUUUUUUUGAAUGUCUUGACUAGUUAUCCUUUGCAUAUAAUCACAUUAAUUUUUUUUUCACUUAGUAAAUAAACUCCAAAUCAACUUAAUGUGUUGAAUUUAUUAAUAAGUCUUAGUAAUUUUUAAAAAUAACUUGAAACUCAAAUAGUGAUCCAAUUAGUACCAAAAAUUUAUGGACAAAAAAUAGUGAUCUAAUUAAUACAAAAAAUUUAUGGACAAAAAUUGAUCUUGAAUGACUAUUGUUUCCAAUUUUGUUUCAAUGGACAAAUAAACUCAAAAUGAAACAACACUUAAUGUGUUGAUUUCAUUAAUAAAUUUAGUAAUUUCUAAAAAUAACGUGAAACUCAAAUAAUGAUAUAAUUAAUAUUAGAAAUUUAUGGAUGAAAAUUAGUUUAGAACAACUUUAUUAUUUUUGUUUUACAUGGAAUCAUAUUUUUCUGAUUUUAUUUUACUACACAAAUAAACUCAAAAUUAAACCAAACCUAACAGUUUAGUAAUUUUUUUAAAAUAACUUAAAACUCAAAUAGUGAUUCUCUUUUACAUGGAACUAUAUAUAUUUGUUUUACUAGGUAAAUAUAAUCUAAAUUAAACAAGACUUAAUGCGUUGAAUUCAUAAUGAAUUUAAAAUUUUCUAAAAAUAAUUUGAAACUCAAAUAAUGUAUCCAUUAAAACCGGAAAUUUAUGAAUAAAAACUGGGCUAUAAUGAGUCUUUUUUUUUUUUUUCUACAUAUAAAUUUUUUCACUAGAGAAUUAACUUCAAAUCAAGUGAUAUUUUAUAUUGAAUUUAUUGAUAGGUUUUAUUUAAAAAAAAAAAACUAAGUUGCAACCUAGUAAAUAGAUCUAAUCACUAUGAGAAAUAAUAUACAAAAACUAAUAUAUUAUAAGUCAUAACUUUACUAUUUUUCUUAUAUAUUUCCUCGUUAGCUAAAUAAAUUCUAAAUUAAAUGAGAUGUAAAUAAUAGUUAAAAUUUGUAAUGAAUUUUUUAAUUUUAAGAAUAAUUUGGAAUUUAAAAAACUGUACCAAUUAGUUGCAUAUUAAAUCAAAUUAUUUUAAAAUAAUGUGUUUGUAAUUGAGUAUUAAAUGUGUACAUGUAAUAAAAAUUUUGGCUCAUAUAUAUUAUAAAGAUGUUAAUCUUUUAUUCCUUAUUUAUUUUAAAUAAAGUAUUAUUAUAAAGUAUUAUUUUAAAUUAUUAUUAUUAUUCAUUUUAAUAUAAAAAAAUUAAUUAUGCUUUUACAAAUAUGUUGAUAUCCAUAUGUUUUUAACAUAUAAUAAAAUAUUAUUUUUUUAUUAAAAAAUAUAAUUUUUAUUUUAUUAUAAUAUUAAUUUUCAAGUUUUACUAAAAUCUAUUUAUGUUUUAAUUUCUUUUUAUAAUUACAAACUAAUUUCGUUUUUAAUAAGACCUCAAUUAUAUUAAUUAAAUUUAGAAUAAUUUUACAAAAUCAAAAUAGAAAAAUUAUUUAAAAAAAAAAAAACCCAUUUUAAAAUAACUUGCCAAACACCUUUAUUUUAUAAUGUUUUAAACAUUUACUUUCUAUAUUUAACAUAAAAGCAAUUUUUUAAAACAAACAUUAUGGAACGUGGCUAACUUUUUUUCUCUCUUUUCUUUUUCAUUUUCUUGUUACUUAAAAUGACCGACAAGGAAGAUGAAUUAAAUGAUUGAAGAAUAUCUUUUGCCAAACAUAUAAAUUAAAAAAAGGGUAAUUUAAAAAGCGUGCCCUAACCUAUUCCGUGGCCCAUGAUUUCUUUAUGGAGAACGAGUACGUUAGCAUAAGAGGCAAGAGGCAUGUCUUAUCCAAUUUGUUUUAAUACUUGUUUAUGUGACAUGAACCGACGGAAUACAAGAACACCUCUCUAGUCCANNNNNNNNNNNNNNNNNNNNNNNNNNNNNNNNNNNNNNNNNNNNNNNNNNNNNNNNNNNNNNNNNNNNNNNNNNNNNNNNNNNNNNNNNNNNNNNNNNNNAAAAGANAUAUUUUUUUUUAUAUUUAACUGGUCUUCCUUGUCGAUCAAUUUAAGUCACAAGAAAAUGAAAUAGAAAAAAGAAAAAAAAGUUCAGUCACGUUCCAUAAUGUUUGUUUUUAAAAAUUACUUAUAUGUUAAACAACAAAAAAUAAUUUGUUUAAAAAAAAAAUAUUAUAAAAUAAGGUUGUUUGGUAAGUUAUUUUAAAAUUGGUUUUUAUUUUUUCAAAAAAUAAUUUUUUAUUUUGAUUUUAUAAAAAUAUUCUAAAUUCAAUUAAUAUAAUUGAGGUCUUAUUAAAAAUAAAAAUAGUUUUUAAUUAUAAAUAAAUUAUAAAUAAAUAGUUUUUAGUAAAACAUAAAAAUUAAUAUUAUAAUAAAAUAAAAAAUUAUAUUUUUUUUAUAAAAAAUACUAUUUUAUUAUAUGUUAAAAAAAUAUGGAUAUUAACAUAUUUGUAAAAGGAUAAUUAAUUUUUUUUAUGUUAAAAUGAAUAAUAAUAAUAAUUUAAAAUAAAUAAGGAAUAAAGAUUAACAUCUUUAAUAUACACAUUUAAUACUCAAUUACAAACACAUUAUUUUAAGGGAGAAUUAUAUUUUCAACCCAACAAGGCUUAGUAAUUGAGGGAAGGUACUUCCAUCACCCAUAAUUAAAAAUGAUUCGAGUGAAGUGCAUAAUUGACACUGAUGGUUUUUGCUCUAUUUUGUGACAUAUGUGAUAUAUUUUGUAUUGGUCAUUGUGCACUAACCCCAUUUCAUGAUAGCGCAUUAUUACUUGCUGCUAAGGUAUUAUCUCACUCCCAUUUUGUCUAUUCUCCAUGCAUGCCUUGUUUCCAUUUGUAUGACUAUUCCUUGGUAUCCAUUGGUUUCCUUACCAAUUGUCACACUUGUUUCACUUUGAUUAGUAGAGACCUCAUUAUAGAGCUUAGAGGGGUGCUACGGUUUUUCACUGUACAUUCCCAAUAAGUAACUUGACCCCCGAACCUGACUUUGGUUUUCCACAUAUUGUCUUUUCCAAAUAAGGAGUCGCACUUAAGGUUUUCUUUCUUAUUUUGUUUUCCCUUUAAAAAUAAAACAAAAAUAAGUGGCAACUCUAAGUCUUUUCUAAAAAAUAAUUUUUUUUUUCACAAAUAAAAAGCGAGUUCACCAUCGAGUGGAAACACAUCGUGCAAAAUGUGAGGUCCACAAAAUGGCAACUCCAUUAGUGAAUCAUGAUAAAAUAACAAUAAACCAUCAGCUCAACAUGCAUCUCGCAAGUGAGGACAAUCGUGCGAAUUCAUGAAGAUAUAUAAAUCUCAAUCGAAACGAAAUAUGCCCCGAUGUGGCAUUAGAUGUGUGGUAGGUCGGAAAAUCAGACGACAUCAAAUCAUCCAUCAUCAAAUGUGUAAUUCCAGUCAUCCAUAUCCAUAGCUAAAUUAGAUCCAAACAUAAAAAAGGCGUCUCCUAGAAGAAGAAGCAUGAUGACAUCUAAAUAUCAACCAAAUCUCAAACAUUUGUCUAAGAAGGGGUUGUUGAAGACGACACCUGAUCUCAUGGCCUCAGGGUGGUCUUAAGACACAAGACGUAAUGUAGGCUAAGGUGAUAAGAUAACAGAAAUGAAGGGAAACUAGAUCCAAACACCCAAUGAUCAAAACCCAUGCCCUUAUGUGUAUAAAAUGCAACAUGUAUAGAAAAAUCUCGUGAGCCAUGGACCUGAGGAUGCCUAAUAUGAACAUAAUAACAAUAAUGAGGCAAUCAAGAAAAUCAAACUGAUAAUGAGACUCAUAAGAAUGAUGUAAAGAAAGUAUCAAAUCCUGGAAUAGGUCACUAUAAGAAAAGAACAAUGGGUGAAAUGAAGAGGACAAAUCAGAAGUAAUAACGAGGAUGAUGGCGAAACAAUGAACAUAUGAAAAGGAGUGAUGAUCAACUCAAAUCAAACAUAAAGGGAAGUCACAUCAACAAUGAAUGUAAUGAUGAAAGGGACAAUGACCCAGAGCCUUUAGGAGAAGAUUGCUCAUAUCUCAUUCUAAACAACAAAUGUGACAAAGUGAAAACAAAGAAUGUAGGGUCUUGGAAAGCUCACAUACGAACUCUCACCUACAAACAUACUCGAUAAAGUGACCCUCAGAUAUCGAUAUACAUGCUCAAUGAUGGAGAAUGCUAGGCACAUACACACAUGCACUUAUUAUUGUUAUUGUUGUUGUUGUUAUUAUUAUUAUUAUUAUUAUUAUUAUUAUUACUAUUUUACAUAUAUAAAAAUGUGCAUACUCAUAACGUAAACAAAUAAGCUCUAAAAAUGAGGUAAAAAAAUCGAUAGACAUACUCUCAAAUGCUAAUGUAGCAUAAACUCUCUCUAAAAAGAUGAUUUUCUCAAACUAAGGAUCUUUGAAUCAAUGUUUGUGGGAUAGAUAAUGGAAAUGAUGUGACUAUCUUCCAUGUAAUGAACCAAGAAGGAUCACCACUCAAGGUGGAAAAAAGGUAAAGCAAAAUAAGUAGCAAAUAAAGUAGAGAAAAAAAAUGGAGAACAUAACCAAUGAGAUGUGAUGAUAGAAAAAAUAAUGAAAAGGAUGCACCCAUAGGCCCAAGGCUCAUGAAACUCCUAAGUGAAACAUGCAUACUCUUAAGGGCCCUUAUCUCGGUGUAGAAAUGUAAGCAAGGCAAUAAGAAAGAAAGGCUCUAAUGCAUAUGUGAGGCUUAAUGGGCUAGUGACGGUCUAUAUGUUGAAAAAAACAAACAAGAUAUAUGGCUAACCAAAAUGAUGACCACCCAUCCCACGACCAUGGUCUCAAACAUAGUACAUUUUCAACUAAUCUACGUUGGUCGACUCUGAGAAUUGGUUUCCAUCUAGAUCCAUCAACCAUGCAGCGUCUUUUAGGGUUAACUCCUUAAUGAUAUAAGGAUUGCUCCAACUAGGUCUAAACUUCUCUCUAGGAUUUUUGAUCAAUCCCUUAAUAACCAUCAAGACUAAGGUGGUGUUUGUUUUUUUACUUAAUUCUAAAUAGAAUCUUAAUACUUAAUAGUAUUAAAUAUUAGGUUGUUUGUUUUUGUAGUAUUUUAUUUCUAUUAAGUAUUAAAAAGUAAAAAAAAUCAUUGUGUUAUUUUUUCUAUUUAGAAAAAGCCACAUAUUUUGGCUUUUUCUAUUUAGUAAAAAGUUUAUAAUAAGUCAUGAAAAAGUAAAAAAAUAAACAACCUAAAUUCUAAAACUAAAUGGUUUUCAGCAAAAAGCCAAAAAAACAAACACCACCUAAGUCACCUCUCUAUAAUGGUCUAAGCUUGACCCGCUUCUUGAAAGCACGGGUCAUCUUCCUCUGAUAGGCAUGAACAUGGUCUGCUGCCUUAAGUCUUCUCUCAUUUAGGAGAUUGAGUUGGUUUAAUUGAGCAUGAGCCUAAUCUGCCAAUGAAAUUUAUUAUUCCAAUGCUACCCUCAAUGAACCCAUCUCUAUCUCAAUUGGUAGCACUGCCUCCAUACCAUACACCAAGGAGUAAGGUGUGGCUCCUGUAGAGGUAUGAAAAGAAGUAUGAUAAGCCCAUAAUGCAAAAGGGAGCUUCUCUAACCAAUCCUGAGAAGUCUCAACCAUCCUCCGCAAAAUCCUCUUAAUAUUCUUAUUCACAACCUCUACCACCCCAUUAGUCUACGACCUAUAUGUAGACGACCUAUGAUGUUGGAUACCAUAUCUUUGUAAUAAGGUGUCAACCUCUGCCUUGAAAUGUACUCCUCUAUUUGAAAUCAACUCAUGAGAGAUUCCAUAGCGACAGAUAAUGUGUGAUCUGAUGAAACCCCACAUGAUGUCAAUCUUGCAUAUGAGGCAACCUCCACCCAUUUGGUGAAGUAAUCAAUGGCAGCCAAGAUGAACUCAUGACCACUGGAAGACUUUGGUAAAAUCUUGCCAAUAAUGUCUAUACCCUAUACUAAAAAUGACGAUGGUGAAGUUAGUGCAUGUAAAUAUGAAAGUGCACUUGAAUGAGGUCCCCAUGCAUCUGACACUUUGGACAUAUUUGAACAAACUGGUAAUAAUUUGUCUUCAUGGUCAACCAAAAAUAGCUAGUCCUCAUGAUCUUACGGGCUAACAUAUGCCCUCCCAUAUGUGGUCCACAGACUCCCACAUGAACCUCUCUCAUCACUCGAUUGAUAGAGGCGUAGUUUAAGCAUAAUAGUAACAUCCAUUAGCGGAUCGUAUGUACAGUGUCUCCCCACAAAUCACAAAUCGGGUAGCUAAUUGUCUCAAUGCUCUCUUAUCCUUGGUCGUAGAGACCUCAGGAUAUGUGUCAAAUCUCAUAAACUGGUAUAUGUCAUGAUACCAAGGCAAGCCAUCAUCUAACUUUGCCUCGUCAAUCAUAGGUCCAAGUAGCUAAGGCAAACGACGUUAAAGUAGAUCUCAACUUGAUUAGUAAAAGGCAAACGACGAUAUCAGCAGGAAUAUCAAUCAUGGACGUUAAAGUAGCUAAGGCAUCAAUAAAUUGGUUCUGCACUCUAAGCAGAUGUGUAUACCUCAAAUCAUCAAAUCUUCCAACCAGUAGCUCCAAGUAUCCAUGGUAAGGCCUAAGUUUCACAUCUCUAGUCUUUCAAUCACUCUGAAUCUGUCUCAAUACUAGAUUGGAGUCACCAAAUACCUUCAUCCAUCUAAUCCUAAGCUCAAUGAAAUUUAAUUCAUGUAUAUUCAAAACCAAAAUUCAUUUUAAAUUUUCUUUUUCAAACUAUGCGUACCGAAUAAAAUUGGUUGCAUGAAUUUUUAGAAAAUUGAAUUUUCAUAACCUAAGAAUGUCCAAGACGAAUUUGGAAAAUUGAGAAUUAAUUUUUAGAAAGGUAGAUUGAUAAGAAUUUUGAAAUCACUAACAAACACAAAUAAUCACAUAAAGUCGCACAACCAAAAGAUAAUUCUUAAGGAGACAAAGUGGUGUGUGCCGAGGGUGAGUGAAGCAUGUUGACUUGUGUGUGAUGACAGUGAAAGUGUGGCUGAUGUUAAAGCUAUGCAUGCCUUUCUUUAUUAGUUUAGCUAGCGUAUGUUCUCCAAAAUUCAACUAGCGAUGUUGGUCUUCACAAGCUUAUGCAAAUUCUCAAAAUUCAGCAAUUUGAUGUGUGCUUGGGCUAGCAAUCUAGUGGUUUCAAAAUCUAAUGGUGUGAUCAUGUGCUUUUUUAUUUUCUCCUCACACCCAUGCACUAUCAACUUACCUCUCUACCAUUAACAAUCGUACACAAUCAGUUUGCCUUCCCAAAGUUCUAACGACUUCCCUUUAAAAUUUAUGAUAAUUAUUUUAUUCCCAUCAAAAUUCAAUUAUGUCCACUAACUGCUACCUCUCUAAUACCUUCUCAUAUUCUUCCCUUCAAGCCAAAACCCUGCACUAAAUCUAUGUGACUCUCUAGAACCUUCUAUCAAUUUUAUUUAUUUAUUUACAAACUGUGCACCAAACAAUCUUCAUUCUAGAAAAAACCAGCGCUCACACCAAUCCCCACCAUGUCCACAAUCAACUCAGGCAUUCCCUAUGGUGUGUGUUUGGAGCCCUUUUCAAAGGUACAAAAUUGUUUCUCUUUUAUGGCAGCAUGCCAGCGUGAAUAGAGAUGCCCUCUAACAAUCAACAAGAGAAUAGUUCCUAAGCCUUCCCGUCAAGAUUUUUCUCAAUCCACAUAAACGGUAAUUGUCUGCACUAAUUUCUAAAUACUUAGCCCCUCUGAUUAUGGGUUGAUGAACACCCAUUUGAACAUAACGACCACUUUCCCUACCUCAUGUACAAUUUUGCAGUUCCCUUUCUCUAUAAAUACUAGAUUUGGACUAGAUGUGACACUUGGCAGGCCCAAGGGCAUGGACCAGAAGCAAAGGAAAGCAACAAAAAAUAGGGCACAUAAGGGUAAAACAAAAUGAACUAACAAAAGCCACAUUUCAUACGUAAUCAACAAAUCAAGAAUAGGUAAUACAAACUGAGAGAAGUAAUAUGAUUUUAUGCAUGAAGUUGUUGCAUGUUGAAAAUCUUAUAGUGAACAGUGUUUCUUCUCCACUAUAGCCCCUAUAAUUAGGGCACAAUUUGCAAGGGGAAACUCAACCAACAUUAGAGCACUUGCAAUAAAUGAGGAAUAUGGAGUUGAAAGAGUGGAGAAUCACCUGAUUUGUCGCUCGAUGGUGGAAUUUGUAAGAGAAGAAAGGAGUUUCAGUGCUUAUUCUCUAUUAUAAGAGUCACAAAAUGGAGAUUCAAAAAUGAUUUCCAGUUUUUUAUACUCAAGAUCUCACAUUAGGGCUUGGAAACGCACUGUGCGACAAGAUUUCCAAUGUCAAGAGCCUCAUCUGGAGUCAUUGAUCGAUAUUGAUUGUAGUUAACUUGGCUCCAAGGGUUUGUCGGGGUUUUGCAAAAAUGGAGGAAAUGUUUGGCGUACUAUGAAGUCGUGGGUGAGAAUGGGAAAUAUGUGAGCCAUAUAUAAAAGUGUUAUUUUGAUGUCACUUUUAUAGAGUGCCAAGGUAAAAAUAAAUAAUAAAGACACUUAUAAAAAACCUGGUGCUAUAGGAAGCAUCGUUAUCCUUCAGCAUAAAGCGCCAUGGUCUAACAUUUUCCUUUUAAGCGUCAACUUCGACCACUUAUUUACUCAAUUGCCCCUCUAAAAGCCAAGUAAUGAGAUUUUUUUGAAAGCGCCAAGGAAUCAAGCGCCAUAAAUUGUGUUUUUUGUAGUAGUGUGGAGGUCUUCCUAUACCCUAUUUAACAUAAUAUAACCUUGCGUACAUGCUUUAGAAAAAUAAGUAAAAGUUUAGAAAAGUAUUUACAUUUGAUUUGAGUUGAAUCAUUCCCUUAUUUGACCUAUUUUGGGUCUAAACUUUAACUUAUGUAAGCCUCAUGAUGCUUUCCGAAACCUUAUUUAGCAUGGUAGAACCCUAGAUACAUCAUUUACAAAAAUAAGUACAUUCUUAAGAAAAAGUACAUCAUUUACAAUAAUAAGUAUAUUCUUAAAAUAUAUAUAUAUAUAUAUACAUACAUACAUUCAUAAGGAAAAUACAUACAUUUGAUUUGAGGUUAACCAUGACCUAAUUCAACCUAAUUUGGAUCUAAGAUUUGACUUAUGAUGCCUUAGAAUGUAUUUUAUGCCUUCCAAAACUCCGUUCGACAUACAUUCUUUAGAAAAAUGUGUAUACCUUAAGAAAAUUAUGUUAGAAAUAUGAAUUUUCCGAUUUGAGGUCUCUUAUAUAUAUUCAUGUAAUAUAUAGUUGUAAAUUAGAUUAGAAAAGUGUGUAUAAUUGUAAAUUAUAUUAGGAAGAACAAUCUUUGAUUUAUAAGGAUUUACUUGAUUUAUAAGGAUUAUUAAUUUUCUUUUCCUUUAAAUUUCUUUGUAAAUAUAAGAUAUAAAUUAAGAUUGUAACAAUUGAUUGAAUAAGAAUCUUUUACCAUUUUCUCUCACAUGGUAUUAGAGCCACUUUGACAUCCUUCAUCAGCCUUCAUUGCUGAUCUUAGUUCAAGUUUUUUAGCCUUCAUUGUUGAAUAUUUCAAGCCUAAUUCUUUCAACCUUUAUUGUGUGUUUUGUUUAUUUCUUUUUACAUAUUUCAUUCGUUCUACCUGCAUUUCUGGGAUUUCACCAUGUCUAAGAUGUAUGAUAUUUCUUUUAAAACUAAUUUCAUAAUUUAAAUUAAUGAUUUUAAAAAAUUAAAAUGUUAUAAAAAUGAUUUUUAUUUAUUUUUAAUUCCAUUUAAAUAUGAUUUUUUAAUCUCUACUAUUAUAUUUAUAAGGGCAAAAUAGUAAAAAUAUAUAUUUCAUUUAGUUUACUUGUAAUGAACAAUUCAAACAUGAUUAAUUUUAAUUUUAUUUCCUAUGUGUUAAUUUAGGUAGGGAAGGUCUUAAUGGCAUAGUUUGUUUGUUUUUUUUUUUAAAUACCGAUAAUCGUCCUAAUGGCAAGUUCAAGUUGUUUAAAAAUCGUACAAAACAUAUUAGGAGCCUUGUACACCCUGUACACUUAACACAUUUCCUUUAUAAAUUAGUGUAAUACCCUUGUACAGUAAUGCAAAUUCCAUAUCCCUUCUAAGUUAUGUGUCCAUAUAGGUGUGUUAACCAUAUUUUCAAUGGUUUGGUUGAGAAAAUGAUGGAUGACUUAGGGUCAAAUUUUUUUUCCCAAACAUCAUUAUUGGGGAAAACAUUGGAAUUCCAUGUGGGAGUUAAAUAAAGUACAUGACAUAGGUAUACAAUCCUUCGGUGACAAGGAAAAUAAAGGAGUGACUCAAAAUUGAUUGAAAUCUUUCAUAAAGGGUAGUCUUGUACACCCUGUACACUUAGUAUAUUUCCCUUCUAUAGUUAAUGUAACACCCUUGUACAAUGACACAAAUUCCAUAUCUCUCAUAAGUUAUGUGUCAACGUAGGUGUGUUAACCAUGUUUCCAAUGGUUUGAUUGAGAAAAUGUUGGAUGACUUAGGGUCAAAUUUUUUUCCCUAAACAUCAUUACUGGGGAAAGUAUUGAAAUUUCCAUGUGAAAGUUAAAUAAAGUGUAUGACAUGAGUGUACAAUUUGUGGGUGAUAAGGAAAAUAAAAGGAGUGGUUCAGAAUCUUUUACAAAGGGUAGCCUUGUACACGUGUACACUUAGUGUAAUACCCUUGUACAGUUCAUGUAAUACCGUUGUACAGUAGCACAAGUUUCAUAUCCUUCCUCCUAAGUUACACAUAGGUGUGUUAGCCAUGUUUCCAAUGGUUUGGUUGAGAGAAUAGUGGAUGGCUUAGGGUCAAAAUCUUUAUCCCAAACAUCAUUACUGGGGAAAGUAUUAGAAUUUCCAUGUGGGAGUUAAAUAAGGUGCAUGACAUGGGUGUACAAUCUGUAAAUGAUAAAGAAAAUAAAUGAGUGGUUCACAAUCGAUUAAAAUCUUUCACAAAGGGUAGCCUUAUGCACCCCUUAUACAGUUAGUGAAUGCCCUUAUAUAGUGACGCAAAUUCCAUAUCCCUAUAGUGAAUGUGUGCUUAUAGGUGAAUUAAAAAUGACUUUAGUAGUUUGGUUAAGAAAAUGACAGAAAACUUAAAUUCAACUUUUUGUGUGAAUAUAUUAUAUUAUUGUGAAAAAAAAAUACACAAUUGGCCGAUUCCUUUGUUUAAUUGUGAACAAAUUAUAUUUUUAUUUUAUUAUUAAAAUAACUAAUAGAAAAAUAAAAUAAAAAAGAAUAAUUAAUAAAUGAAAUUUAAUUCUUUUUAUUAUUUUCAUAUAAAAAUAGUACUAAACAAGGUUUUCAAUUUUCAUUUUUAAAAAUAGUUUUUGUUUUUUUUUAAUUAAAUGUAUUUUCAAAAAGAGACAAUAUAGAAAAUAAAAAUUUUAAAAAUAUUUUAAAACCAAACUCAAACAUAAUCUAUAUAAUUUUUAACUACUUGUUUUCAUCUAAAAUGAGUAAAUAUAUCAUUCAACCCUUUUAUAUAAGAAAAAAUCAAUCUCUACUAUACUAUGUAUUGAUAUAAUCCACUACUAAAAUUAGGUUAUAUGAAAACAUUUUAAUUAGAUAUUUAAAAUAAAAAAUCUUCAUCCAUCAUCUUUCUUUCUUUUUCUUUUUCUUUUUCUUAUUUUGAUAAAUUUUCAAUUAAUUCAAAUUAUUAAAAAAAAAUCCUUAGUAAACAAAUUUGCAACAUUUCAUAUAACUUAUUACCAAAAGUCAUCUUCAAAAAGUUAUUAAAAUAAGGAAGGAAGAAGAUUAAAAGAAAAUUUAAACUUUUUAUUUUAUAGUAGUAAAAAAUAAAUUUUAAAAUACUUUUUAGUAAAAAGGGAAAGAAAAUAGUGAAUAUUUUUAUUUUAAAUAGUAUUUUAAUCAUUAAAUUAUUUACUUCUAAAAUGUAAAAGAUAAUUUUUUUAUUUAUUUAAAUUAACAUUUUUUGAGAAAGUAUUUUCCAAAAUAGUUUUUGAAUCAUUAAUAUAAUUUUUGUUUAUUUAUAAUUUUAAAAUAGAAAAUAAUGUUGAUUUUUCAAUUAUUUAUAAAAGAGUUUUAAAAAAAAAUGGUUAAAUAAAAAUGAAUUUGUUAAUAGUGGCAUAUGGAGAGUUGUGAAAUGAAGACAAAAAUGAGUUAAAAGGAUAUUUUUGUCAAUUACUAUUUCAUAUCCUUGAAAUCAAUUAUGGGUGUUAGGAAUACCUUACAUCAAUCAUCAAAUGCCGGCACAAUUCUCCCCUAGAUCUAUAUUGACCAUAGAUUUUGUAUGCUAAUACUAAAUAAAAUUAAAAUAUAUUUAUCACAUAAUUUUUAUGUUUAUGUUAUAUUUUGUUUUAAAUUUUUGUUAGAAGAAAUCCUAUUAUGACAACAAUAACAGAUGAGAAAAAAACCAAACAUAAUACAUAUACUUCACUCUCAAAUGUGGGAGACAUGUCACUUUGUUGUUCCAAAAUUUCCACUAUCAUAAAAAAUAAAAAUAAAAUAAAAAAAGUGUGAUCUCACCUUUUACAUGUCUCCUUUAUCAUAAAAUCAGAAUAAUUGAAUGUGGUUUUGGCUUCACCAUGGUUCUAGAUUUUUUGCUUGAUUAAAAUUUUUAAUUUUCUGUUUACAUCAAAAUAAAAUAGAAAUAUAUUUUUCAUAAUAAAAUUGUAUUAAAUAUUUUAUAUUAAUUUUCUUUUAGUUUUAAAAUAUUAUUACGGCUCUCUGCUCUUAAAAAAUAAAAGACAAAAGAUUUAGUUUCAAUUUGGUAACUAUUUUCAAAAAUAAUUUUUUUUUUUUAAAAAAAAAAGAAAAACCAAGAAAACAUGUUUGACAACUAAAAAAAAUAUGAAACAAUUUUUUUUUUUAUCUUAAAAACAAAAAUAUGGUAUUUUUUGAAAACUUCUUUUAGUCGUUUUCACUUGGUUUUUUAGGGCUAUUUUUUUUAAAAAUAAGUAUACAAAUAUGGAGAAUGAUUAAAAAUAAAACACUACAUAUAAAAUUUAUUGUUAAAAUGUAUUUAAAAACAUAGAAAACAAGUUAAAAAUAUUUCAGGUUUCAAAACAAGCUUUUGGUCUACAAAAUAUCAAAGACCAAAUUUCAAAAACUAUUCCGAAAAACUAUUUUUUAAAAACGCUUCCUAAACAAAGCAUUAAUAACUCACUUUUGCUUCACCAAAAUUUGAAAAAAAAAAUUAAAAUUUUAUAUUUCAUUAAUUUUAGUUUGAAAAAUAAAUAAUUGAUUUAUUAUUAAGGAAAAAGGUUUACUAGUAAGAUUAAAUGUUUAUAAAAUGUCAACCAUUAUAAGAUAAUGAAAUUAAUUUUAAAAAAAUAUACAUCUAAUAUGUAAUUCUAAUUUGUAGAAAAGAUUUUUUAAUCAAUCCCCUCUCUAAUAUUAAUUUAAAUUUUUUUAAAUUGUGUAAAAUUAUUGUUAUAAAUAAAUUUUUCUUUAACGUAAGGAUAAGGCCACCAAGUGUUUGUUUUUAUUUAUUUAUUUAUUUUAUGAUUUUUUUUCUUUUUAAAUUAAUGGCAAUUUUUUUUUUUUUUUUUUGAGGUGUUAUACUUUUUUGGGGUGAGUAGUAUGAGAAAAUAAGGUUGAUCUUAAUUAGGAAAACAUCUAAGAUGGGGGGAGCGGGGUUGAAUUGAGUUUUUAAAAAAUCUUUUUUAAACACAACAAAUUCAAGAAAAAGAAGCACAAAUAUAAAGAGAUAAAGUUAGAGGAAGCAAACAUAGAUUUUAUAGUGGUUCGACACUCCUUACUUAUGUCCACUCCCCUCAAGCUCCUAACUGAGUGAGAGUUCCACUAUCCUUGAAGCUUCAACCAAGCUUCCAACGUCUUUACACUUGGAUUCCGAUUCCAAUGGCUCUUACACAAUCCUUCAAGUAUUCACUAAUUUGAAGCUUUCUAUUCACAUGAUCUCACUUAAAAAUAAUGAAGGAAACUCUUAACCUAACUUAAUAAAGGCUCAAAUACAACCGAAAUGCUAGGAAGAAUGACAAGAGUGCACUAAAGAGUAUGCAAGUAAGGAUUUAAUGCAUCAAGGAGAGAAUGAGAGCUUUUAAGAGAAAAACAUGUAGUUAAACAAUUGAAUUCAGGUGUUCUCAUGUUCAUAAAUGAAGUAAAACUCUCAAUUUAUAAGUUCUAACCUCGGGAGCCAAAAUUGCCAAAAAGUUAGCCUUGACUGGUUAAGUUAGAGGUCAACUGGUUGACUAGUCAUUGGGCAAUAAAUGUAUGGUAGGUGACCGUCAAGCCUCAACCAGACCUUAACUAGACCUCAACUAGGAAAACCUGCCAUCGAUCGGGAAUGCAUAGCUAUUGGAAGAGAGAUAAUACUUUUUGCAUCCCUCAAUCGGUCUUCAACUAGGAAGGCUUAAUUGAUCGACUAGUACCCUAACCAGUUGAGCCGGUUGGAUAGUCCCAUGAUUGAUUUACCUAUUUUGGUCUGAAAACCUAUUUUUUUUAUAUUCCUUUUAUUUUUAACACUUAGGCAAAGUCUUUAAGAGUAUUAAUAGAUUAAAUUUAAAACAAUUUGCAUAAGGUUUGUAUAAGAAAACUUAGGUUUUAAUGGAAAUUUAAUUUUAAUUAAUAAACCAAGUUUUUUAAAAAUGCAUAAAAAGAUAUGAAAAUCCUAAGUGUAUGCAUUCAUUUAUCUUACAUAUGUUUCUUAAGAUUAGAAAGCCUUCUAUAUGUUUCAAUCUUGUAUCCAUUGGAUCCUUUGAUAAGUUUCUUGGAUAUCCUUUUGAAUUUCCAAACUAAAACUUGAAAUUCUUUUAAUUUAAAAUAAUUAACAACUUAACCAUGGUUUGUUAUCAUUAAAACAUGAUUAGGAGAACCUUUGGGCUAACAUAGUAUGUUAAUGAGCCUAUUUAUUUUUCAAAUUUUUUAUAUGAUUAUUUAAUGAGAUUAUUGUUCAAUUACUAUGGAUGCAAUUUAGGGAAGACAAAGACCCUAAUUAUUUUAUUUAUUUUUAUUGUUUGCAACCUUAAUGAAUUAUUUUGAGUUAUGUUAUUUAAAUUUUUGGAUUAAUUUUAUAUAAUAUAUUAUUGUGACAUUAUAAUAUAAAAAUAAGUAAUAUAAUUAUUUUGUUACCUUCAAUUCUAUUACUAUAGCUAUUUGAUAGACAAUAUUAAUUUAGUAAUGUUAUUUUAAUAGUUUAAACCAUAGGAAAUAUAAUCUAAGCUUAAAAUAUUAAUAUUUAUGUUUUUUAAAUGAUAUAUAAUGUACUUAUUUUUCUAAGGAAUGUAUUUAUUUUUAAGCUAAGAUGUACUUAUUUUCAAAUAGGAUGCACUUAUUUUUUCCAAUGACGUACCUAGUAUCAAAGCAUGAUAGAUGAGAUGUGUGAACAUCAUAAAUGCAUGCCUAGACCUAUAAAAAUGGAUGAUCUUGUCCAAUAUCUUGUUCGAUAUGCUUUGAUAAAAGGUACAUCGUUGGCAAAAAUAAAUAUAUCCUAUUUGAAAAUAAGUACAUCUUGUUUAAAAAUAGGUACACCAUAUGUAUAUCAUGCAUGUGACUCAUUUGCUCUAAUUUGGACAUGAUCUUCCAUUUUUGUAGGCCUAGGCAUGCAUUUAUUGACAUAAGCUAUAUUGGAAAAGGGCUUUCACUUUUAUGGGCCUUGGAAUACAUUUGAAGCUUUCAGACAUCCCAUUUUGCAUCCUAGAACCCUAGGUACAUCAAUUGGAAAAAUAGAUACAUGGCAUUGAAAAAUAAGCACAUCUUCACAAAAAAUAAGUACAUCUCAUUUAAACUAUAUACCUAACGCAUUUGUCCUAUUUUGGACAUGAGCUUUUACUUUUAUAGGCCUCAAGAUGUAUUUAAGGUCUUCCCAUAUCCCAUUUUGUAUCCUAGAACCUUAGGUACAUCCCUUGGAAAAAUAGGUACAUUGUGUUAAAAAAAUAUGUACAUCUUCUGAAAAAUAAGUACUUUGCAUUUAAAUUGUAUAACUGACUUAUUUGGCCAAUUCUAAGUAUGAGUUUCACUUUUAUAGGUCUUGAGAUGCAUUUGAGGCCUUCACACAUCCCAUUUCACAUCGUAGAACUUUGGGUAUAUCCUUAGGAAAAAUAAAUACAUCAUAUAGCAAAAUAGUACAUUCCCUUAAAAAAUAAGUACAUAUUAUUUUCAUUGUAUGGGUGACUUGUUUGGCUUAUUCCUAUCAUACACUUUCACUUUUAUAGGUCUCAGAAUGCUUUUGAGGCCUUCACACAUCUCAUUUCUCAUUCUAGAACCUUGGGUACAUCCCUUGAAAAAAUAGGUUCAUCUUGUUGAAAAAUGAGUACAUCAUCUUAAAGCAUAAGCACAUCAAAUUUACAUUGUAUAACUGAUUUAUUCUACUUCUUAUACACAUUCAUUAUUUAUUUGAGUUAUAGGUUCAAGUGACUAAUCCUGGAACAAGCAUAAAGCAUAAUCAAGUUGCUUAACUUUACUUAUGUAGUACUAGUUAAGCACGACACAUUAUGGUAUAUCAUUCAUGAAUAUGAAUAGGUAUAAGACUCAUCAUUCAUUCUAUAGGAAAAAGGGUACAUUUUAUUAACACUAUGUACGCAAGUCAUUUGAUAGUAAUUAAGACAACAUGUAUGUUCUUUGUCCUAUCACGCAUUAAAAAAAAAUUAGUUUAGUUUUUAAGAUCAAUUUCAUUAUUAUUUGGUUUCGAUGUUAUGUAGCUAUUUUUUUCCUAUGGAUGUACAAAAGGUUCUAUGAUAUACUAAUUUUUCCGUGUCCAAAAUAGGCCAAAUGAAUAACUUAAUGUAAUGUAAAUGCAAUGUACUUAUUUUUUAAGUGAAUGUACUUAUUUUUUAACACGAUGUACUUAAUUUUCCAAUGGAUGUAACUAUGGGUUCUAGGAUGUGGAACAAGAUAUGGGAAUACCUCAAAUGCAUCUCGAGGCCUGUAAAAGUGCAAGCUCAUGUCCAAAAUAGACUAAAUGAGUCACCUAUACAAUUUAAAUAUUUAAGAGGGCGUAAUUAAUUUUCAACACAACGUACCUAUUUUUCCAAGGGAUGUACCUAGGUUCUAGGAUGCUUAAUGAGAUAUGGGAAGACCUUAAAUGCAUCUUGAGGCCUAUAAAAAUAAAAGCCCAUGUCCAAAAUAAGGAGAAUGUCACCUUUACAAUGUAAAUGCAAUGUACUUAUUUUUUAAGUGGAUUCACUCAUUUUUCAACACGAUGUACUUAUUUUUCCAAGGAAUAAACUUAUUUGCAACACAAUGUACUUAUUGUCUAUGUAGGACGCCCAGAACUUGACCUGAGCUCUCUGGUAUGGGUUACUAGGCAAUAAGGAUGGCAACGGGGCGGGUUUUUUAGGGUACCCGUCCCGCCUCGCCCCUAAUGGAAUGGGGUUUAAAUUUAAUAAACAGGUUUAGGACGAGUAUGAGAUUUUUUUUAAAAUUCGUGGCAGGUUCGGGUAUUGCCCAAUCCCGCCUCGUCCCACCCCGUUUACAUAUAAAAUUAAUUUUAAAAUUAAAUUUAAUUUAAAAUUUUAUUUUACUAUUUUUAAUAUAUAAAUAAUAAUAGAAAAUUUUAAUAAAAUAAGUUAUUAAAAAUAUAAUAAUUUUAUUAUUUAUAAAUUAUAUUUAUUUUAAUGUAAUUAAAAAAAAAAAAAAAGCUAAACGGGGCAGGGCGGGUUGGGUUUGGGAAUUUCCCAUACCCGCCCCGCCCCGCCCCGCACCGUUUAAUUUUUUAAAUGGGACGAGGAUGGGAGGGACCCGUCCCGAACCCGCCCCGUUGCCAUUCCUACUAGGCAACAACGGAGAUUUAUCGUUCCAAAGCUCAUCAAUAUACUGAACUAUUAUCAUAGACUCACAAAUGGGCUUUCGAUUGUGGAUCAGAAUUGGGAUUUUCUUAUGAGCUGGGUUCAUCUCAAGAAGCAGAGGGCUCUUGUUCCUCGGGUCCUCCUCUCUAUAUUCAACUGUGACCCUAAUACCAAACAUGAUAGGCCAGAAAUCCGAGAAGAUAAUCUCGUCUGCCAUUGCUACUACUGAUAAGAUUCAAACUCAAGCAUUGAUGAACAACACAAGGGAAAUUGUUGAGUAUUUACAGCAAAUUUCAGGGAGUGGGUUAAACCCUUGGAAACUUCUAGGAGGUGGUGAUGCUCAUUAAUCCCUUAUCUAAGUUUUCAUUUUCCUUUCUAAACUAUAUUCUUAUCUCCGUAUCUCUCCAAAAUUCCUAUAUUUUCAGUUUAUUUAUUUAUCAGCCAAGUAUUUUUAAUUAAAUAUAAUGCUUUCAAAAUUUUUAAAAAAUUAGAAAAUUAUACUUCAAUCAUUUGUACAAAAAUAAUUUAAUUUUAAAAUUAUUAUCAUAUUUGAUAAUUUUAAUUUUACAACUUACCUUUAAAUCCAAAAAUAUUAUCAGAUAGAAAGAAAUUUAGUGUUUAUUUUUGUAAUAUCUGCAUUCAAAAAAAUAUCAGCAGAUUUAUUUAUUUUUUAAAAUUUAUUAAACUUUAAUUUUAUUCCAUAGGAAAAUUCUAUAGAUUUUUAAAAAAUAAUAUUUCUAAAAAAAUAUAAAUAUAAAUAUAAAUAAAUUACAUUUUAGUUGUUCAAUAAAGAAUGCAAUCGUGGGUUGACACUCAAUGUGAAGAAAAUAUGAAUAAAUAAGAAAAAAUAAAAUAAAAUAAUAAAUAGAGUUUAUGAUAAAAUGAAAAAUUUUUCUCAAUAAGAGUGAAAAAAAAUGACAAUGUUUGCUUUGGUAUGAUUGGUAGACAACGAUAGAAGUAAAAUAAAUAAAUAAAUUAUGAAGUGUACCAUGGAGGAAAAAAAAUUAAUUAGGGUAGUUGGGAAAAAAAAAUAUAUGUUGAUGUAUUACUAUAAAUUAGGGAUAAUAUAUUAAAAAGAAAAGAAUAAAUUAAUAGGAUAUGAUGUAAAAUUCUUGUUACGUUAGAAUAGGUUUUUAUUAGUGAGAUUUAUCUUAUUUGUUUAGGCAAAUUAUAACUUUAAUUAUAAAGAAAUUUUAUUUUGUGAAAAAUAUUAUUUCUAUUAUGUAUUAUGAUAUCUCACCUUAUAAGUUAAGAGGGGUUGCGUUAUUAACUUUCAUUGCCUAGUUGUAUGAAGAUUGGACAAUCUAGUUAAUUGGGGCAAUUAUUGAAUUUGUUGUACCCUUUGAUUGGCUAGUCUCUUUUAACUUGAAGGGUCAUAUGUUUCCAAGGGUCCCAUUAGUUUCGAGAAAAUUUAUUCAUGUUUAAUAUGUUGAGCUAAAGUUCACUAUCUUUGCCUUUUAAAACCCCUUUCAAAUAUCCUAGAUGUAGAGAUAAUAAUACAUUAGGGCCAAGGGUUCUUAUUAGUUUUUUUUUUUAAGAUAUAUAUAUAUAUAUAUAUAUAUAUAUAUAUAUAUAUAUAUAUAUAUAUAUAACCUUAAAGUCUUUGUUUAGACAUGUUGAUUUAGAUUAUAUGUUAUGUUUUAAUUUUCAACUUGACUUGAACUAAAUUAGUAUUUCAUAGUUAUGUGAAUCAUUAAACUUCUAUAUUAGAAAGAUAGCUUUAGCUCUAUGAUUUCACUCUAAAAGGAGUAUUUAUGACUUUUGUUCACUUUGACCAUUUAGUCAUUUUUCUAAAUAGUAAUUCAUUCAUACUAAUAUGUUCAUGUAUUAUUGUAAAUCAAGGAUAAUGUAUUAAAAAGAAAACAAUAAAUUAAUAGGAUAUGAUGUAAAAUUCUUGUUACAUUUGAAUAGGUUUUUAUCAGUGAGAUUUAUCUUAUUCGUUUAGGUGAAUUAUAACUUUAAUUAUAAAGAAAUUUUAUAUUGUGAAAAAUAUUAUUUCUAUUAUGUAUUAUGAUAUCUCACCUUAUUUAAGAGGGGUUGCGUUAUUAACUUUCAUUGCCUAGUUGUAUGAAGAUUGGACAAUCUAGUUAAUUGGGGCAAUUAUUGAAUUUAUUGUACCCUUUGAUUGGCUAGUCUCUUUUAACUUGAAGGGUCAUAUGUUUCUAAGGGUCCCAUUAGUUUGGAGAAAAUUUGUUCAUGUUUAUUAUGUUGAGUUAAAGUUCACUAUCUUUGCCUUUUGAAACCCCUUUCAGAUACCCUAGAUGUAGAUAAUAAUACAUUAGGGCUAAGGGUUCUUAUUAGUUUAGUGUUUUUUUUAAGAUAUAUAUAUAUAUAUAUAUACACCUUAAAGUCUUUGUUUAGACAUGUUGAUUUAGAUUAUAUGUUAUGUUUUAAUUUUCAACUUGACUUGAACUAAAUUAGUAUUUCAUAGUUAUGUGAAUCAUUAAACUUCUAUAUUAGAAAGAUAGCUUUAGCUCUAUGAUUUCACUCUAAAAGGAGUAUUUAUGACUUUUGUUCACUUUGACCGUUUAGUCAUUUUUCUAAAUAGUAAUUCAUUCAUACUAAUAUGUUCAUGUAUUAUUGUAAAUCAAGGAUAAUGUAUUAAAAAGAAAACAAUAAAUUAAUAGGAUAUGAUGUAAAAUUCUUGUUACAUUUGAAUAGGUUUUUAUCAGUGAGAUUUAUCUUAUUCGUUUAGGUGAAUUAUAACUUUAAUUAUAAAGAAAUUUUAUAUUGUGAAAAAUAUUAUUUCUAUUAUGUAUUAUGAUAUCUCACCUUAUUUAAGAGGGGUUGCGUUAUUAACUUUCAUUGCCUAGUUGUAUGAAGAUUGGACAAUCUAGUUAAUUGGGGCAAUUAUUGAAUUUAUUGUACCCUUUGAUUGGCUAGUCUCUUUUAACUUGAAGGGUCAUAUGUUUCUAAGGGUCCCAUUAGUUUGGAGAAAAUUUGUUCAUGUUUAUUAUGUUGAGUUAAAGUUCACUAUCUUUGCCUUUUGAAACCCCUUUCAGAUACCCUAGAUGUAGAUAAUAAUACAUUAGGGCUAAGGGUUCUUAUUAGUUUAGUGUUUUUUUUAAGAUAUAUAUAUAUAUAUAUAUAUACACCUUAAAGUCUUUGUUUAGACAUGUUGAUUUAGAUUAUAUGUUAUGUUUUAAUUUUCAACUUGACUUGAACUAAAUUAGUAUUUCAUAGUUAUGUGAAUCAUUAAACUUCUAUCUUAAAAAGAUAGCUUUAGCUCUAUGAUUUCACUCUAAAAGGAGUAUUUAUGACUUUUGUUCACUUUGACCGUUUAGUCAUUUUUCUAAAUAGUAUUUCAUUCAUACUAAUAUGUUCAUGUAUUACUGUAAAUAAGGGAUAAUGUAUUAAAAAGAAAGAAUAAAUUAAUAGGAUAUGAUGUAAAAUUCUUGUUCCAUUAGAAUAGGUUUUUGUCAGUGAGAUUUAUCUUAUUCGUUUAGGUGAAUUAUAACUUUAAUUAUAAAGAAAUUUUAUAUUGUGAAAAAUAUUAUUUCUAUUAUGUACUAUGAUAUCUCACCUUAUUUAAGAGGGGUUGCGUUAUUCACUUUCAUUACCUAGUUGUAUGAAGACUGGGCAAUCUAGUUAAUGGGGCAAUUAUUGAAUUUAUUGUACCCUUUGAUUGGCUAGUCUCUUUUAACUUGAAGGGUCAUAUGUUUCUAAGGGUCCCAUCAGUGUGGAGAAAAUUUGUUCAUGUUUAUUAUGUUGAGCUAAAGUUUACUAUCUUUGCCUUUUAAAACCCCUUUUAGAUACCCUAGAUGUAGAUAAUAAUACAUUAGGGCUAAGGGUUCUUAUUAGUUUAGUUUUUUUUUUAAUAUAUAUAUAUAUAUAUUAUACCUUAAAGUCUUUGUUUAGACAUGUUGAUUUGGAUUAUAUGUUAUGUUUUAAUUUUCAACUUGACUUGAACUAAAUUAGUAUUUCAUAGUUAUGUGAAUCAUUAAACUUCUAUAUUAGAAAGAUAGCUUUAGCUCUAUGAUUUCACUCUAAAAGGAGUAUUUAUGACUUUUGUUCACUUUGACUAUUUAGUCAUUUUGCAUGUUUUACCUUUCUAUUAGAUUUUCAAAAUUAACAAGGUCACCCUCGACCUCAAGGUAAUUUGGGUGUUACAAAGAUGUAUAAACACUCUCCUAAUAAAUUAAACCAUGUAAUUCACAAAGCUAGAAAUUAUAUCAAAUUAUUUAAGAUAUUAAUGGUAAAAAAAAAAAAAAAAUCAUAGCUAAAAAUGGAUCAAUCCUACAUAAAGCUUAAUCAAUCUUAAAAGAUGGUACUAAAAAUACCUAGUAAGAAAGGGCCACCCAAGACUCCCAAAUCUUCUUUUAAAAAAAUGAUAACCAUUAGUUUGGAAAAACCUAACUGAUUCAAUUUCAUCCAUCCAUUAUCCUAACUACAUACUUAAUCUUUAAAUGUUUUUAACACAUUGAUUUUCAUCAGGCAUGUUAUUUAAGGAAGGAUUUGGAAAACCCAAAUUGGGAAUACAUUUAGGAAUUUUUUAACCAAAAUUAUCAACCUAAUUGAAACUCAUUGGAUAAGUCUCAAAUUCUUAUAUUUUAUAUAAAAGUUUGAUUUCCAUUUUUAAAAACAGAAAAUAACAAGUGUAUCCAAAUGAGCACUUAAGAAUUUAUUUUUUCUUUAUAAAAUAAAUCAAUCAUAAAAAUUAUUCUAGAAAUAAUUUUGAGAAGCAUGAAAACAAUCCAAAAUGUAUUCUAUCUAUGGUACAUGAUUAAAGAGAUUUCACAUUGGCAUAAUAAGAAAAAAUUGAACCUAUAUUAGGAAAUGUAAACUUACAACUACAUGAAGAAUCAUUCUUAACGCGUAAAAAUAAGGGAAAGAUUUGCCACGUCCUUGACUAAUUCACAAUGUUUUCAGAACCAGAUCGGUCAUUAAAUCAGAAAAGUUACUGGUUCACAGUUCAUUGGUCGGAUUGGCGGUCAAACUGGUGAUGUCAUAAAUACAUAUUUUAUAUAUUAUUAAAAUUUUUAAAAAUUAAUAAAUUCUAUCUAAAUUUUGAUAGCAUCUACUCUGUUUGUUAAGUUUUUUCACAAAGUUUUUUACCUGUAAAAGUCGUUAAUCAUCAUAUAUCAUAUCUAUAACACAAUAUAAGAUGUUAUACAUUCAUAAUGUCAAUCAACCCAAUUUUUAUCAAAUAGUCAAAGCAUUGCUACCCUUCAUCCAAAUAUGAGCAAUAAACCAACAAUGACCAAAUUAUUAAAGAGUUGUUAACAUAUUAUCCAUAAUAGAUAAUACAAAUGUCAACCACAACACUUAAAUAGUUACUCAAAAUAUAACAUGUCAAUGUUUGAGUAUACAAAGCACAUAAUAAAAAAAAAUUCUUUUUAAACACAAUAAAAUUAAGCUUAAGAAGCACACAAACAAAGAGAUAAGGUUAUACAAAGCACACUCAAAUUUAUAGUGGUUCAACACUUCCUUGCCUACAUCCACUCUCCGCAAGCUCCUAACCAAGUGAGGGUUCCACUUAUACUUGAAGCUUCAACCAAGCUUCCAAUCACUUUUUACACUGGGAUUUAGGCUCCAAUGGGCUCUUACACAACAUCUUCAAGUCGCUACUCACUUUAAGGUUUUAACACUCUAUUAACAAGUUUGAAUCUCUCAACCUAGCUCAACAAUGGCUCAAAUAGGUUAGGAUGAAUCACAAAGGUGCACUAAAGAAUAUGCAAAUGGAUAUUUAAUGCAUCAAUAAAAGAAUAAGAGCUUUUAUGGCAAGAAAAAAUAGGUAAACAGAUAAAUAAAGGUGUUCUCUUGUUCAUAAAUGAAGUGGAGCUUUCAAUUUAUAGCUUUCUAACCUCGGGAGCCAAAAAGUCAAAAAGCAACCUCGAUCGGUCGAGUUGGGGAUCGACCGAUUCACUAGCCAUUGGAGCAUUAAAUGCUUAGUAGGUGACUGUUACCCUUGACCGGACCUCGAUCGGGAAAAUAUAUCCCUCGAUCAUGAAAAAAGGGCUACUGGAAGAGAAAGAAGGUUUUUUACAUCUCUUGACCGAGAUGGAGUAACCGGUCGACCGGUUCACUAUUUUUUACCCACAAAAACCUAUCUUUUUCUAGUCUUUUUGCUUCUAGCACUUAGGCAAGGUCUUUAGGUACAAUAAUAUGCCAAUUUAGAAAUGUUUUGCUUAAGGUUCAUUUGAUAGAACUCAAAUUUUGAUGGAAAUGUGACUUUAAUGCAUAAACUGAGUUUUCAAAGAUGCAUGAAAUGAUAUGAAAAUCCUAAGUACACCCAUGCAUUCAUCUUACAUAGUUUCCUAUGAUUAAAAAGUCUUUCAAAAGUCUUGAUCUUGCAUCCAUUAGGUCCUUUAAUGAAUUUCCAAAUUAACACCUGGAAUUCUUUAUAGUUCAAACUAAUUAGUAACUUAACCAUGGUUUGUUAUCAUCAAAACACAAUUAGAAGAGCCCUUAGGCUAACAAUCUCCCAUUUUUUUAUGAUGACAAACCUUGGUUAUCUAGGAGAAGAAUAAUCUCCCCCUCAAACCAAUCAUGGAUCAACAAUCAAUAUUUAAGAACUUAAAAUCAAGAUGAUCAAGACAUAUUAGAGAGAAAGAGCUUAAAACCAAGAUGAUCAAGACAUAUUAGAGAGAAUUUGCAACAAGAAACAAUGUAAGUCAUCAAAUAUAUAGGCAUAUCAUAUAUCAUAAGUCAAAUGUAUCAUUGUCCAAUAUGUACGAUCUAAAAAAAAUGUAUGUGUGAGUCUCCUAUAUCUAGUUUCCUAGAUCUUAAAAUAUCUCUCCCUUUUGGAAACAUCAAAAAGGAAAAAAUGGGGGUCUCUAACGAAUCAAGGCAAAUGAGGUGGAGAUGGAAACACAAAACGCAGAUAAAUCAUCAUCUCUUCAUGCUAACUCUCCAAGCGAUCAUCAAUAUGAUCAAUCCUCUACUGGAGAUACUCAAACUGCGAAAUGAAAACAACCUAAUACUGAUCCAUACGAUCCUUUAUGGAGUAAAAACGUGUAUCACUAACCACAACAAGCUCCUCCAUGUGAGUGCCAAGAGAGCUGAUCUGAGCAGAUAAAUCCAUCCAUGGAGCAUGGUUAGGAACGAGAGGUGCUUGAGGAGGUGGUAUCUCAGUAUGGGUAGGCUCAAUGAAUGCAAGUCUAAAGUAGGAAGGUUUAGUGUAUGACAGUUGAGUAGAUGGACCCUCUAUAAAAGUCGGCUCAGUCAUCAUCGGCUCAAAGAAGGUAGUCUCAAACUGAACACCUCCGGUCAAUGAGGGAGUCUCUGUUUGGAGUGGGGCAAUGUUAAGCUUGGGUCUUCUCUACUGAUAGCCACUCUAAGGAUCUACUCCACCCUCCAUCUCUUGAAUCUCUUCCUUCUCUUCAACUUUAGGAUGUGCUUGUCACUAUCCCCGGGCCUGUGUUAGUGCUCUCUCUGCUUUUCUCACCCAAGAACCAUCUAGGGCCUUCUUAAAUUUCAUCAUCCCCAUGGACCGAUCAUCAUAUGUAUCAUAUGCACUAGGGGCCUCAAAAUCUGUCUCUUUACUCAGGUCAACGCCGACAUCCUUUAAUACUCUGGUAAGAAAACGGUCGUAGGGGAGUGCACGAAUUGUGCUCUCGCAACAUGCAAUCAUGUGCAUCAUCAUCAAAUAUCCCAAAUGGAUCCGUCUCCUAGUUAGAAUGGAAUUUAUAAGAAAUGCCUCAUAAUAAGAGACCUCAUCUCGGUGUCUACCCCAUGGUAAAAGAAUAGAGCAUGACAUAUGUUAAUGACUAUCAAGUUGUGAAUUGAGGAUUUGCCCAUCUUGUGGGCGUCUAGAAGUCCACAAAUCCUCUAAAUGGCCUCUUUAGGCUCAAAUCUCGGCAUAGUGGGCCAUGUCUUAGACUCAUAUACUAUGAGUCCAAUUGGAGCAAUAUCAAAGAUACGACAGAUUUCCUUUAGGUCUAGACGAAUCUCAACUCCUCUAACAGUAGAUGUGAUCAGGCAACCCAUGCCAUAAGUCACCCUCGAGUAAAAUGCUCGCACCAAUUUCAAAAAAAUCGGCUCAAAAAUAGUAAUAACCGACGACCAGCCCAUCCUCGUGAAUAAUCCCUCAAAUCCAAAGUGUUGAAGCUAGGGAAAGUUGAUGUUUCUCCUGGGAACUACUCAUCUCUGAGCAAAAUGCUACUUGUACCAUUGGUAGUCCUCCAUGGUAUUGAACAAGCCGAUGCCAAACAGUGCUUUUUGGCGUGCCUCUAGCUGAGACGACUCAACUAGGUACUUGCCUUGUGCCCUGGAGGCUACGAGCUCUCGUUUAGGGGCCAUAGAAGAAGGGAACAAAGCAAGAUGAAGAGAAAGAAUUGGUAGAGGCUCACACUUGAAACGCUGAUGAACGAAAAUGGAAAUGGAUCGGUGUUGGAGUUGAUUGUGAUGCACUGAAGGAAGAGAAAAUGACCCAAAAUGGAAACCUUAGCCUUCAAAGUCUUCAAAACUCUUCGAAAAUCAGGUCAAUAAGUCCGAAAGGCACUGAAAUUAGUCUCUAAAAGCCAAAACCAAAAAAACCCUGAAGAAUGGAGGAGAACAAUGCAUAAAAAAAAGUGCGGAAGCCUCUUAAAAUUCCCAGCCCUGAUGAACCGAUCGAUCGACUGAGGAUCAGUUAACCGUCUAGUCAACGCAGUUAAUGAUUUUGACUUUCCAAUUUUUGCACACUUUUUCAUUUUGUGAUCUCCCUACCCUUUUCAAUUAAAUUCCUCAAUUUUUGAUGCCUAAUGCCAAGGGAAUUUUGAUAAUGGUCAAAAAUUGACCAUUAUCUAAGUAUAUGUCUAUAUGAUGUAUAUGACAUGAAAUUUAUGCAAUCAUAAGGUAUAUCAUCAAGAAUUCAUUAAGCAAAAAUUUGAUCAUAAUGAAAUCACCCCUAGUUGUCUUCUAAUAUCAACAAUUUUUUCUUCACUUAGAGGUUUUAUAAAGAUAUUGACAAGUUGAUCUUUAGUGCUUACAAAUUCAAGUGUUAUGUCAUCUUUUUGUGCAUGAUCUCUAAGAAAGUGAUGUCUAAUCUCUAUAUGCUUAGUCCUAGAGUGUUGCACGAGAUUUUUUUAUAUACUUAUGGAACUAGUAUUAUCACAUUUAAUAGGUACAUGCUCAAAAAAUAAAUCAAAAUCUCUAAGUGUUUGUUUGAUCCACAUGAUUUGUGCAUAACAUAAACCGGCUGCUAUGUAUUCAGUUUCUACCAUUGACAAAGCAACUGAAUUUUGUUUCUUACUAUGCCAAGAAAUAAGUGAGUGUCCUAAUAAAUGACAAUUGCCACUAGUGUUUUUUCUUUAACCUUACAACUGGCAAAAUCAGCAUCCGAAAAACCAAUUAGUUCAAAGUUAUCACUCUUAGGAUACCAUAACCCUAUGUCCAUUGUCCUUUUCAAAUAUUUGAGAAUUCUUUUUACGACACUUAAGUGAGAUUCUUUGGGACAAGAUUGAAAUCUAUCACACAAGCAUACACUAUAUAUAAUAUCAGGUCUACUAGCGAUCAAGUAUAGCAAAGAACCUAUCAUGCCUUUAUACAUAGUAGAGUCAAUGGAUUUACCUUUCUCAUCCUUAUCAAGCUUGAUGGAUGAGCUCAUUAGAGUCUUCACUGUUUUAGCUUCCUCCAUGUUGAAUUUUUUGAGAAGAUCUCUUAUAUACUUUGCUUGAUUGAUGAAGGUUCCUUCAUUUAGUUGCUUGAUUUGAAGUCUAAGGAAGAAGUUGAGUUCUCCCAUCAUGCUCAUUUCAAACUCACUAUGCAUGCACUUAUCAAAUUCUUCACAAAGAGAGACAUUAGUAGGACCAAAAAUGAUAUCAUCAACAUAUAUUUGAACUAAAAGCAUAUCAUUUUCUUUGGAUUUUAUGAAAAUAGUUGUGUCAAUUUUUUCCAUUUUAAAACCAUUUUCCAAAAAAAAAUAAAAAUUGUUCAAUCUUUCAUACCAUGCUCUUAGUGAUUUUUUCAAACCAUAAAGUGUAUUUCUAAGUUUAAAAACAUGGUUAGGAAAGUUGAAACUUUGAAAUUCGGUUGGUUGUUCAACAUACACUUCUUCAUUUAUAAAACCAUUAAAAAAAAAACACUUUUCACAUCCAUUUGAUAUAAAAUAAAGUCUUUAAAACAUGCAAAGGCAAGUAGCAUCCUAAUGGAUUCCAACCUAGCUAUGGGGGCAAAGGUUUCUUUAUAAUCUAUCACUUUUUCUUGAUUAAAACAGUGGGCUACCAACCUUGCUUUGUUUCUAACAAUUAUGUCAUUUUCAUCAAUUUUAUUUUUAAAGACCUAUCUAGUUCCAAUAACACUUUGAUUUGAAGGUCUUGGUACUAAUUCCCAUACUUCACUUCUUUCAAAUUGAUUUAACUCUUCUUGAUUAGCAGUCAUCCAAUUUUUAUAAUUUAAAGUAUCAUUUAUAAUUUUAAGCUCAAUUUGAGAGAUAAAAGCUAGAUUAUUGCAAAUGUUUCUAAGAAAUGAUCUAGUUGUUACUCCACUAGAUGGAGGUUUCAGUUGCAAGUUGAUAUUUAAAUGUUAUAAUAAUAAUAAUAAUAAUAGGAUCUUGGGUUUUUUUUGGCUAAAAGUGAUAUUAAAAUAAUGAAAGAACCUAGAGAGAGAUUGGGUUCUACUAAGGUUUUGGGCCUUGGUGUAAAAGGCUAUUGGGCCUUUUGGGCUUAAUGCAUAAACAAUGGCCCAUUUUGAAUACUAAGGGUUGGGUUUCUAAUGAAGCCCACUAAAGUUUGGGUUUAAAUAUGGAUUGACCGGUAAUGGCCUAGAAAUAAAAUUUGUUGGGCCAUGGGGCUCAAUGUGGGCAUGUGGACCAAUUUAGGCCCUUUUUGGCCUGAUUUGAAUUUGAAUUUGAAUUUUAUUGGGCAUGGAAUUGAUUGUGUUUUAUUUGGAUUUAGGCACUCAUUCAUAAUUUGAAACCUUUAAAUUAUUUUUAAAAUUAUCAUGUAAAUUUUAUACAUGCAAAAUAAAUAAUUAUAUAUUGUUUUAUAUGUUUGUAGCCUAAAUUAAAGUUGUAGCUUUUAAUGCAUGCAAUUAUUGCCUAAAUUUGUGUUAGAUAUAUUAAAAUUAUAUCAUAUGGUUUUAAUGUCUAAUGAAACCAUAUGAUUUUAAAUAAUUAAGGAAUAGCCACAGCAUCCUUAAUUAUAUAAAAUUAUAUAUUAGGUAAAUAAGGAUCACAUUAUGGACAUUAAUUGUAAUUAAUUAUAUAAAUAUGAUGGAUUUUACCCCACAAGGUUUUCAUUAUGUUUAUAUAAUUAAUUAGGAUAAAAUAUUAAAAUUAAUUUUUCCUAAUUUACCCACAGGAGUUAGGAAGAAUUAAUUUAAUAGGUUUAUCAUAAAGAUUAUAGAUAGAAAAUAUCAAACUAUAUUCAUAAUAAAUUUCAUAAUUCAAUAAAAUAGUUUGAUAAAGUCUAUCAUAAAGAUAAUGAAUCUAAUUGAAUUAAAGAUUUAGCCCACAUGCAAUUUUUAAUAAAAUUAGAUUCAAUUUUAAGCAUGUUCUACAUUGGUAAAGCAUGAAUUUAUAUUAAAGCCUCAAUUUUUUUUUUUAAGCUUGUAAUCUUUUUGUGCAGCUUUACCUAGCAUAUCUGAUAUUCGUUGUGAAGUUCCCGAACUUAGGGGAGAUAACUUUAAGAUAUGGAAGGAGAUAAUUCUUCUUCAAUUAGGGUGCAUGGACAUAGACUAUGCCAUAAGGAAAGAUGAACCACAUAAGAUCACUGAUACCAGCAUACCUAAAGAAAUACUAUUAUACGAACGCUGGGAGAAAUCUAACCGCCUCAGCGUGAUGUACAUUAAGACAAAAAUUAGUGCUAGUAUAUGUGGUUCGAUCAAGCAACAUGAGAAUGUCCGCGAAUUGCUCAAGGCUUUUGACGAGCAAUUCAUCACUUCAGAUAAAGCCUUGGCAAGCACCUUGAUUAUGAAGUUCACAUCCCUGAAGCUCACCGGUAUAAGAGGUGUAUGCAAACACAUUAUGGAGAUAAAGGACAUAGUGGCUCAAUUGAAGAAGCUCGAGGUAGAAAUGUCUGAAUCCUUCUUGGUGCACUUUAUCCUUAACACUCUUCUGCCUCAGUAUGGACCUUUCAAAAUCUCUUAUAACACACAUAAGGAUAAGUGGUCUAUCAAUGAAUUGAUGACCAUGUGUGUUCAAGAGGAAGGAAGGUUAUUGAUGGAACAAGGAGAAAGUGCCAUGUUGGUGACGCAAAGGAAAUGAAAGAAAGAAAAAUCUCAAGCCAGUCAGGAAGGGAAGCAACAAAUUCCUCCCAAAUCUGACAUUAAGAAAGACGAAAAGUGUUUUUUCUGUAAAAAGAAAGGACACGUGAAGAAGAAAUGUCUGAAAUUUUAGAAAUGGCUUGAGAAGAAAGGUAACCCUACCUCAUUUGUUUGUUAUGAAUCUAAUAUGGUUAAUGUAAAUGUCAACACAUGGUGGAUUGAUUCUGAAUCUACAAUCCACAUUUCAAAUUCCUUGCAGGGUAUGCAAAACCUAAGAAAGCCAGUGACAAGUGAGCAAUUCAUCUUAUUUGGAAACAAGAUGGGCUCACAUGUGGAAGCAAUAGGGACAUGUUAUUUAAAUUUAAAUGGUGGUUUUGUUUUGGAAUUGCAAAAGACCUUUUAUGUACCAAGUUUCUCACGAAACUUGAUUUCAGUUUCUAGAUUUGUACCGUUUGGAUAUUCCUUUCAUUUUUCAGAAACAUCUUUCAGUUUGAUUUAUAAAUCUGAUUGUGUUGGGAAUGGUAUUUUGUCUUAUGGUCUUUAUUGCAUAUUCUUACAAAAUGAUACCACUCAUAAUUCAUUACAUGUCCAAACUGGCAUUAAAAGAUGUGUUGUUAAUGAGGAUUCCUCUACAUUGUGGCACCGAAGAUUAGGUCAUAUCUCCAUGGAUAGAAUCAAAAGGUUGGUGAAUGAUAGGGUACUUAGUACUCUAGAUUUUACUGACUUUGAGACUUGUGUGGACUGCAUUAAGGGAAAGCAAACCAACAAGUCAAAGAGAGGUGCUACUAGGAGUUUUGCCAUAUUAGAGAUCAUACAUACUGAUAUAUGUAGUCUUGACAUGGACUCUCAUGGUAAAAAAUACUUCAUCUCUUUCAUAGAUGAUUUCUCAUGAUACAUGUAUCUCUACAUACUUCAUAACAAAAAUGAAGCUUUAGAAGCCUUUAAAUUUUUCAAGGUAGAAGUAGAGAAACAAUGUGGUAAACAAAUUAAGAUCGUGAGAUCAGAUAGAGAUGGAGAAUAUUAUGGUAGAUACUUGGAAGAUGGACAAUCACCUGAGCCAUUUGUGAAGUUUCUUCAAGAACAUGGGAUUGUUGCCCAAUACACCAUGCCUGGUUCUCCAGACCAAAAUGGUGUAGCAGAAAGAAGAAACCAAACUUUAUUGGACAUGGUGAGGAGUAUGCUUAGCAGCUCAAAACUUCCUAAAUUCUUGUUGACUAAAGCACUUAAGAUAGCAGUGUAUAUAUUAAACCGAGUUCCAACCAAGGUUGUCCCAAAGACACCAUUUGAGUUAUUGAAAGGUUGGAAACCGAGUUUGCGACAUAUGCGCAUUUGGGGAUGCUCGUCUGAAGUGAGAAUUUAUAAUCCACAAGAGAAGAAACUGGACCCAAGGACUAUUAGUGGGUAUUUCAUUGGAUAUGCUAAAAAGUCUAAGUAGUACAAAUUUUACAGUCCAUCUCACAACACUAGGAUUGUGGAAUCGAGAAAUGCUAAAUUUCUUGAAUAUGACUUGGUCAGUGGGAGCGAUCAAUUCAAAAACAUAGUUUCUGAUAUUGAUCAUACAGAGUCUCAACCUUCCACUUCAAGUGAUAGAUUGUUUAUUAUUCAUAACACUCUUCAAGUACAAACGGGUGAAGAACGAACAAUCGCUGAAGUUCAACCAGUCAUUGAAGUUCCACAAGCUAUUGACAACAUUCCAGUAGAUCAAGUUGAUCAGGAGUUGCCUGACACUUCUGAACAACAAGUUGAACCUCAUACUUCCUUAGAAAAUAUUGGUGCAACCUUAAGAAGGUCUACUCGAACUAAAAGGUCAACAAUUCCUAAUUAUUAUGUAGUGUAUCUACAAGAAUGUGACUACAAUAUAGGAACCGAAAAUGAUCCCGAAUCUUUUUCACAAGCCAUGAGUUGUAAAGAAUCAGAAUUGUGGUACAAUGCCAUGAAGGAUGAGAUGAGUUCCAUGAAGUGCAACGAUGUUUGGGACCUUGUUGAGUUGCCUAAUGGUGCAAAAACCAUUGGUUGUAAAUGGGUUUUUAAGACAAAGAAAGACUCAUUAGGCAACUUUGAGAGAUACAAGGCCAAAAUUGUUGCAAAGGGGUUCACUCAGAAAGAAGGAAUCAAUUACAUGAAAACCUUUUCUCUUGUAUCUAAGAAAGAUUCCUUGCACAUUAUAUUGGCAUUAGUAGCCCACUUUGAUUUAGAAUUGCAACAAAUGGAUGUGAAAACAAAAUUUCUUAAUGGAGAGCUAAAGGAGGAGGUUUACAUGAAACAACCUGAAGGAUUCCCCUCUAGUGAUGGUGAGCAAUUGGUUUGGAAGCUUAAGAAAUCCAUAUACGGUUUAAAACAAGCAUCCCACCAAUGGUAUUUAAAAUUCCAUAACAUAAUUUCUUCAUUUGGUUUUGUAGAAAAUGUUAUGGAUCAAUGUAUAUACCUUAAGGUCAGUGGGAGUAAAGUUUGUUUUCUUGUUUUAUACGUGGAUGACAUCUUACUUGCAACCAAUGAUAAGGGUUUACUUCAUGAGUUGAAACAAUUCCUCUCUAAAAAUUUCGACAUGAAGAAUAUGGGUGAGGCAUCUUAUGUCAUUGGCAUUAAGAUCCAUAGAGACAGAUUUCAAGGUAUCUUAGGUUUGUCUCAAGAAACCUAUAUCAAUAAAGUUUUAGAGAUAUUUCGGAUGAAGAAUUAUUCACCUAGUGUUUCCCAUAUAGUGAAGGGUGAUAGGUUUAAUCUGGACCAAUGCCCGAAAAACGAUCUUGAGAGGGAACAAAUGAAGAACAUUCCAUAUGCUUCUGCAAUCGGAAGUCUGAUGUAUGCUCAGGUCCGCACAAGGCCUGACAUUGCAUUUGCUGUUGGAAUAUUAGGACGAUAUCAGAGUAACCCAAGUAUGGACCACUGGAAAGCUACAAAGAAAGUGAUGAGAUAUCUUCAAGGAACCAAAGAUUACAAGCUUAUGUACAGAUGGAGAAGCAAUUUAGAGGUUGUUGGCUACUCAGAUUCAGACUUUGCUGGCUGUGUUGAUUCACGUAAAUCAACAUCUGGAUACAUUUUUAUAUUGGUUGGUGGAGCUAUAUCUUGGAGGAGCGUUAAGCAGACCAUGACUGCUACUUCUACUAUGGAAGUUGAGUUCAUAUCUUGUUUUGAGGCUACUUCACAUGGUGUAUGGCUUAAGAGUUUCAUUUCCAGGCUUAGAGUUAUGGAUUCAAUAUAUAGGCCAUUGAGUAUACAUUGCGACAAUUCAACUGCAGUCUUUAUGGUGAAGAACAAUAAAAGUGGAAGUCGAAGCAAACACAUCAACAUUAAGUAUCUAGCCAUAAGAGAAUGUGUUAAAGAAAAUAAACCGGUUAUUGAGCACUUUAGCACUGAAUUGAUGAUCGCUGAUCCUUUGACUAAGGGCAUGCCGCCGUUGAAAUUCAAGGAUCAUGUAGUGAACAUGGGACUUAGUUCCCUUAUGUAGUUUCAAUUGUACAAACUCUUAUUAUGAUGUUUUCUCAUAUUGAUGUGCACUUUUAUUUAAUUUUGAGAAAAUUCAACUUCAUUGGACCAAGAAUGAACAUAGGGUUUAUUCAUUAAGUAAUAUUGCCACAUAAAGUAUAAUGUUAAGAAAUGAGUACACUGUAAUACAUGGAAGGUAACACUCAUUAAAUAGAGGACUUAUCACCAUGAUUCAUGUAUUUGUUACUUAAUGGGAUAAUUGAUGGAUUAAGAUAGGACAUUAGGUUAAAGGUGUGGACCAAGUGGGAGAAUGUUAGCUGAAUACACAUUUACCACUUGCUGAAUACACGUUCACCAUGUCGUCCAACACUUCAGAUGUGGUCUAGCACUUUGACCACGUCCUCCACCAUUACUCUUCCGUUGCGAUUAAGGAGCACAUUCCAGCAACUGCUCAACAUGGUGGCAAGAGCAAUGUGGUAUGAUGGAAGCCACGGUUAUAAAGAUUUUAAAAAUGGUCCCGAACUCGUCUGCUGUAAUUAUCUUCAGAAACACCAUCUAAAAAGGAGAUUAGAGUUUGGAAAUCUGGGUUUUUCAAAACCGAUUAUAGUAACACAUACAAUGACUAGAGGUAAGUAGACCAUUCUUAGUCUUUUAAGUUUUUAUUCAUGCUACAAAUUCAUUGGAAUCAUAUAUAUAUAUAUAUAUAUAGCAUGUAAACAACUUACAAUAACUGUGAAAAGGAACCCUUCAAUCUAGGGAUUUUAAAUGAAACAAAAAAUAAAUUUUAUAAAAUAUAACUUUACUAACUAGAGUACAAUUAUCUCGUGUACUUGCGAUGUUCUUUAAGUGACAUCUUUUAUAUUUUAUUGUUUGCCUAUCCAUAAAAAAACCAAUAAGCCUAGAGUAGAAUUUAUAAAUAUUUUCAAGAAUAGAAUAGAGGAAUUGUAAGAAUUGAUGGCCAAGUGACUAUUUGGUUCUCUUUCAACUGAUCAUUGAUAUAUGGAGAAUGAAGUGAACAUUAACUACAAGAUUAAAGCAUGAUAGAUGUUGUGGGAAAGUAGUUUUAGGUUGUUAGGUUAACAUUAAAGGGCAAUUUACCUAGAUACAGGCCUUGUACUAUUGGUGUCUACCCACAUAAAAUAAGCAUGCUAAAAUAGAGAUGUUAAGAUAGAUAAAUGGCUAGAAAAUGAAUAUGUUAGUUGAAACCUAGACGCAGGCAUCUAUUCAGGACAAGAGGGAAGAAGACCAUAUGACCCUAAAUUUAGAAAGGAGAUGAUCCUCAAUCUAGUUUGAUGGAUAAAUAGGAUUUGUGUAGCAGAACAAUUAUAAUUGGUAGAUAAACACUUUUUGUAGUUCAGUGCCUAGCUUUUCAACUGUUGACUUGUUUCCUAGGUCAGCUUUGUACAUUUGAUAGAAAUUUGGUUCGUAUUUUUCAUGAUGGAUAACUUGUAACUUUUAAUUACUCAUUCCAUUCAAAGUCAAUUGAUCUAAUAAUAGGUAAUAACACAAACAUAUUUGGUUACUUUUUGUGUAUUUUGUGUUUUUUUCUGUUAUAUUGACAAUUGCAAUGACAUGGGCUAAAGUGCAAUGGGUGCCUUAUCUGACCCUAAGAGAUGCUCACCUUAGCAUGACUUAGUGUUGGUCAAUUUUGAAUGUUUUUUUUUUCUCAUAAAGACAAGCAUGAAAAAAAAUAUAAAACAUUCUCUAAAAUCAUAAUAAUGCAUUGAAAAAAAAAACGAAAAUAACAAAUACAUAAGACACAGUAGUUGUUGAAACAUUUAACCUAGGAAUUAGAAUAUCACUUCUACUACAACUUUUAACUACCAUGCCAUAAAUCCUAGCUUCCUCAAUAACAUAUAUGAUCUUAUGCUCCAUAAUCUUCAUAAAACCAAUUCAUGUUCCUAUGAAUGAAGUACGUACCCUACUAGGUCUUUAACCUUACAUUGAUGAACUAAUUUGAGGUUCCACACUUUGUUCAUAGCAUCAUAUGCACCUAUGCUCAUGCACAUAUGACUCAGAACUACUAAUAGAAUAAAAAACUUACUAUCAUUAAAUCAAACUUAACGUUGAUUCAGAGACUUGAUUAAGAAAACCAAGUCCAAUCAAUACACUUGACAUUGUUCAAGUAAACCCUUUUAUUUAUUGAAGUUAAAUCAUGAUCUGAAAACAACUUUUGAAUAAGCACUUUUUCUUUGUGAAUGAAGAUAAGAGUUUUGAUUUUUAGUUCUUGUAAUGCAUAGGAGUUUGAUUGUUCAUAUAUUUUCAAUUUAUUCUUACAAAAAUUUAAAAAUUGACUUGGUAUGGGACUUGUAGUGAUGUUGUGUACAUUUUAUUUGAUGAGUACUUUUUCUGAUGUGGAAAUCAAACCCUGAGCCAAAGGUUUGGAAUAAUAAGGAAAAUAGUAGUAUAUAAUUUCCUUUUUCAUUAGAACUUUAUUUUCAUAUUCACAUGAAAAUCUCUAAAAGUUAUUUGAAGUUUGUUUCAGUUUGUAUUAUUUUGUUUAUUUUACUAAAGAAAUGCCAAUUUUGCUAGUGAAAUUUGUUAUGUGCUAUGCAGUUACAAAUUGGUGUUGAUGAGUAAUAUAAGCUAUCUAUUCUUUCACAUGAGACACAGGUUUAUGCUCAUAUUGAGGUAAGUGUGAGCCAAUGUUGAUUGAAUCUAACCCCAUGACCUUGGUUUACAAGUCUGAAGGGUAACAUGGUUAAUAAUAUUUUUUUAAAAAGAAUAUUGACACAUUGUAUUUCUUGGUGCCAUCAUAGAAUUCCAUUUAGAUACUCACUGUAUUCAAGCGCAUGAAUAGUUUUAAUUUAUGUCAAGAGGAGAACAAUUCAUAACCACUUAUAAAAGGCAAAUAGCAACUAAGCUUGUUUAUCUUGGAAUAAAAAAUGAGGGCCACUAGUGAGUAUCACCAAUAAAACAGAGUACUGAUGAAUACUACUAUCCAAAAAUUAUGUAAGGAUGGUGCAUAAUUUUGAUAUAUUCCAUCCCCAGAAUUUGGUUCAAUUGUCGAAAAAAUCCAUUAGUAUAAAAAAAGAAAAGCCAAGGACCCAAAAUUCACAAGUCACCUAUGUAUCUUAGAAUAAAAAACACUAUAAUAAAUAAGAACUAUUUCCAUUAUGAGAUAGGUUGCAACAAAUAUUAAUAGCACCCAAAAUUGACUUCGUAAAACGUAGGUUAACAGGAAAAAAAAUCUCUCUCCUCAUACCAAUGAGGAUUAAACAAAAUAUAGGAUUAAGCAAAUCUAGGGUGAGAUUUAGCGAGCCCACUAAUCUCAAAUAUCCAACUAUGAUUUGCAUGGAAGGCAAUGGUGGUAAGGAUCGAUGAGGGAACGAUAGACAGUGAACUGAUAUCGGGAGAGAGAUUAGGUCAAUGUAUUUGGGUUGAAAUCAAAUGGUCGGUAGAGAUGAAAUCAAGAGAAAAGAAAAUCGGAGAACCUACUAACCUCAAAUAGCCAACUACGGUCGACACGGAGGGCAAUGCCAAUAGGGAUUGAUGAUGGAACGAUAGAUGGUGAACUGAAAUUAGGAGAGAGAUUAUGACAAUGUAUUUGAGUUGAAAUCAAAUGGUUGGGAGAGAUAAAAUUGAAAGAAAAGGAAAGAAACACAAAUAUGAAAUAGAAGCGAGGGAGGAAAUUGAGAGGGAGAGAGGAAAACAACCAUUGUCUAGGGUUGAAAUGUUGAAGAAAGAGAAAAUUACGGUAAGAAUUCAAACUUGGAUUUUUAAAAUUUUUUUUAAUAGUCAGCAAAGGCUAUUUCUAGAAAUAUUAAAAAUUCAUAUCAUUCUUCUCAAUUUUGACACUUUCUUUGGGUCUUGGCCUUAAAUGGUUCACUUAUAUGAACCAAAGCUUAAUUUUUGGGCCCAGCUGGGUCCAAAACACAAUUAUCCCUUAAAGAAAUGAAAGUCUUUAACUAUCUUUCCUUCUUGUCAUGUCACAUAAACAACUAUUAAAACAAGUUUUAUCUAUAUAUAUAUGGGAUAAAAUAAUCUUGAAAGCAUGUGCUUCAAUUCUAAAAUCAUCAAACUUUUAAUAGUGUCCCUUAACCCUUUCAAAAGUUUCUUCUAACCUUUCUCUCAUCUUCACGUCAAUUACCACAUUUAAAUAAUUUUUUUUUUGACAUGAUAAGCCUAAGAGACUAUUCUUGUUGUUGUUUUAUUUUGUUUUUUUGUUUUUUCUUUUUAAAUAAAACUUUAAUAUAUGAUAAACAACCAUAUCACAUGUUUUUUUUGUUUUGUUUUUUUUUUUACUCCAUGAUAUCUCCAUAUUUUUGUUUGUUUUUUUUUUUUUAAUGUGUAGCUUCAUGAAAUUUUUCUUAUUUAAUUUUUUUUCACUAUUCCUUUCUUUAUAUUUAUUGAUUUUAAUUAUUUAUGGAUGUUUUAAUCACAAAAUAAUAAUAUACAAUAAAUAAUUAAUAAGAACAAAUUUAAGAUUAAAAUAAUUACAUAACAAACAAAUUUUGACACAUAGGACACAAGAUAUUUUAUAUUCCUCUUAAAUAAAAUAUUUAUUUAUUUUAUAAAUCUGAUUACAUUGUCAUAUUUUUUUAAUUAUUUAUAUUUUUAAAUUUUUUGAAACUUUCAUAUGAAAAUCAAAGUUAAUGAUCACGGUUUUAGUUUUCUUAUGCUUGUAACUUGAGCACAACUUUAACUUUCAUCUUCGUUAAAAUGUUUAGUAUUUUUAAUUAUGUAAGAUAAAAACUUCAUUGUGGUUCUAAACUUUUGUUUUGUUUAAAUUUUUAAUUUUUUAUUUAUAUAAAAUAAAAAAUAAAUAUAUUUUCUUAUAAAAGUUGUAUUCAAUAAAUAUAAAUAAUAAAAUAAUAUGACAAUACAAUAAGAUUUGUAAAUUAAAUAUAUAUGUUAUUUAGCAGGAAUAUAAAAAAUCUUAUGUCUUAAAUUUCUAAAUUUGUUCAUUAUGAAUUUAUUUUUGUAUUAAAUUUGUUUUCAUUAAUUAUUUAUUAUAUAUUUUCAUUUUAUGUUUAAAAUAUCCAUAAAUAAUCGAAAUUAAUAAAUGUAAAAGAUGAAAUAGUGAAAAAAUAGAAAUAAAAAAUUCAAAAUCAUGUGGCAUGAUUGGUUGCCAUGUGUCAAUUUUUCUUUCUAAAAGGAAAUAAUGAUAAGCUCUUUGACUUGUCAUGUCAAAACAAAAGAAAACAACAAAUUUUUUUUAUAGUUGGCAGAAAAUGAGGAGAUGAGGGUUAUAGGGUAAUUUUAUUUUUUUUCUAUUUUUUUUUAUGAUUUCACUAUUGAAAUACAUAUUUCUACGAUUAAUUUUUCUAAAAUAUAUGUACUUUAAAAUUUAAAAUUUAAACCUCUCAAAUAUUUUAUCUUUUUUAUAUGGUGCAUUAUUACAUGUUGUUUAAUGGAUUGAAUGUGUUAGAACAUGGUUUUUAAUUCACUUUUAUAACAAUUUUUUUAUAAUUAAUACACUUGGAAAAAGGUAUUCUUAAAUGAUUUAAUUUGUCUUCCUUUCUAGUAGCCAAUUUAACGAGAUAAAAAAGCAAAGGCUUUUCAAAAGCAAAUUUGAAGAACUUGGUCAAGUGCUAUGUGCAGUUGUAGGGCCCUCCCAAUGGCCUUCCCAUUUGGCCUUCAUGUUUUAUCAUUUUGUUCGGGCAAUAAGCUAACGAGCUUUGUCUUGCAAGAUAUUUUGAGACUUUGAUAUAUUGUUUUGUUCAUAUUGAUUGUAUUAAGGAGGUAAAAGAGUUUUUAACCACUAUUCCAUUUUGCACUAAAAAAUUUGAUAAAGACAUGAAAAUUGACUUUGUGUGUCAAUUAUUGUCAUGAUGCAUAUGAGAAAAUAAUGUGUCACUUAACUCUUUUGAGUAAAGUCUUGCCUUUAAGUAUUGAGAAAUAUUUGAUAAAUCAUAGGCAUUCUUUCUUUAUUGUUCAUUAAUAUGUGGAGUAGGUUGGCCUUUGAAUUAGUCAAGGACGUGGCAUGUCUUUUGCCUUAAAUUUACCCCAAUUUAUUUGACUCAAAACUAAAGUAGCAUUAAGAAUGAUACUUCAAGUGGUUGUAAAUUUACAUUUCCUAAAAUAGGUUCAAAUUUUGAUAAUUAUGCCAAUGUGAAAUCUCUUUAAUCAUGUGCCAUAGAUAGAAUACGUGUUGGAUUUUUUUUCAUGUUUCUCAAAAUUGGGAGAGCUCUAUAAACUUAGCCUCAUACUUCACCACUAACAUAUCACCUUGUUCCAAUUAUGAAAUCUUAAUCUCCUUCUAGCAUCAUAAAUUCUCAUGAAAAUACUUUUUGUUGAAUUCUUCCUCAAACUGGUCCCAUAAAGUUGGAUCCUGACCUCAUAUAAGUCUUUUCUCCAUUCUCCACCAAUGUUCUACCUCACCACUACCAUGAAAGAGGCAAAGGUCACCUUUUAAGUUUCUGAGUAACCUAAAACAUCAAAAUGCUUCUCAAUAUCCAAAAUCCAUGCCUCACCUUCUGAAGGAUUUGGCUCCUUAUUAAAGGAAGGAGGGCCCAUCUUCUUGAAUUACUCAAAUGAAUCCUCAAUGGAAGAAAAUGACCGACACUAUGUAUGUAUCUCAAUAGAUUGAGUCUGAGUCUUAGUAGCAUGAGUUUGGUGCUCAACCAAUCUAACCCAAGUACCUAAAUGUUGAGCUACCCCAUCAGUAGGCAAAAGAGGUGCCUCUAAGCCUUCAUUUGCCUUGGGUAUAGCAUUCUCAUUUCUAAUGGUCUUAAAAGGUACAAUCUCCCUUGAUGUAGGGCUACCAUGGGAGAUAUAACCUAGUCAUUGCAUGGUUUGAACCAAUUAGUAAUAUAAAUAAUACAUAAAAGAUUAAAACAAGAGUAGCAGGUUCUGAAACCUCACAAGAUCUAACUUAAACCUCAACCUAACUAAGAAGUCUAUAGGACCUUAUCUUGUUGCUUUGAUACCACUUUGUAACAUCCCUAACCUUGAGACCAAGGGCAACCUUGUCAAUUUUACACAUUCAUGCAAAAAUAACGAAAUAGUCAAAGUGAACAAAAGUUAUAGAUACUCUUAUUAGAGUGAAAUCAUAGAGAUAAACCUAUCUUGCCAAGAUGGAAGUUUAAUGAUUCACAUAAUUACAAAAUGUUCAUUCAAUUCAAGUCAAGCUAAAAAUUAAAAGACAACAUAUAAUUCAAAUCAACAUGUCUAAACAAAGGCUUUAAGGCUAAACAAAAAUACUAAACUAAUAAGAACCCUUCCUAGCCCAAACUCACUCAUUGCCAUCUACAAAUUGAAAAGGGUUCAAAAGCAAAGAUAGUAAGCUUUAGCUUAGCAAGGAAUAUAGUAACAAUUUUUUUUUUCUUUUUAUACAAAUAAAAGUAACGUAAUACAUAACAAAACUUUCAAACAUAAAGAACCUGAACAAUUUUUUACCAAACUAGGGUAACCCUUAGAAACAUGUCUUUCAGUUCAAAAGGCACUAGACAAUCAAAUGGUACAAUUAGGUCAUUGAUUACCCUAUUGACUAGAUUUUCCAAUUCUCAUACAAUUGGGCAAUAAGGGUCAACAACAACAGAAAUAAUGGUUUUCACAAUAUAAAAUUUCUUGGAAUGGUAUAAUAUUUUCAUGCCCUUUCAAAAAAAUAGUAUUGAAAAAUAUAUUUAAGGGUGAUAAUUUCUUAGCUAAUGCAAAUGUAAAAUUUGAAUUGAGAAAUAAAGUCGAUUAAACUUCAAAUUCACCUAAACAAAUAAAAUAAAUAUCAUUAAUAUAAACCUAAAUAAAUAUUUCUUACUUAACGAGAAUUUAUCACGUGCUAUUAAUUUAUUCUUUACUUUUGUAUACAUUAUCCUCAAUUUACAUUUCCAACUACCCUAAUUAAUUUUUUAUCUAUUUAUUUUACUUCUAUCAUUGUCCGUCAAUCACCUCAAAACAAACACACACACACAUAUAUAUAUAUAUUUCACUUUUACAUAAUAAAACUUUUUCAUUCUAUCAUAAAUUCUAUUUAUCUACUUUUUAAAUUUUCCUUUAGUCAUAAAUAUUUUCUGUUGAUAUAUUAGGAAUGCUUUCCUUAUAUCAUUUAGUGUUGAGAUAUUAGGAAUGUUUAGAUAUUAGGAAAGUUGAGAUAUUAGGAAUUUUGAGAUAUUAGGAAAGUUGAGAUAUUAGGAUAUUAGUUGUUAUUUUCUUAUAUCAUUCUUUCCUUGUAUCAUUCUUUCCCAUUCUUAAAAUGGUGAUUACCCUCUAUAUAUACUCUGUACAUGAAUGAAUGAAAGAAUGAAUGAAAAAACUACCAUUUAUCAAUUUGAAGAUGGUAUCAGAGCCAUGGAACUGAAAUCCUGGAUAUUUUGUCGCUAUGGUAGUCUGACAGUGAUCAACCAUCCUAAGACAAGCCCUAAUAUUGAUAAGUCAACCUUCAAAUGCACUCACUGCAAUAAGACUGGUCCCACCAAUCUGGAUAUCCCACAAUUUCAAAGCAACGACUCUUGGUAUGACCAAGAAAGCAAUGAGGAACCGAGGGUUUGAACCAUGGACCUUUAGAUCAUGUUUAGGCUAUCAACACUUUGUUAUUAAUGAUAAUAAUCGUGAUCAACGGAAGAAUGAUUCCAAGAAAACCUCGACUACAACUGUUGCCGAAAUAAAAACAGAGGCUAAUGUUGCUGAGAAAGCCUCUACAUUGGUAGCCGCUAUUGAUCAUGGUGGUAAGUUUUUAAAUACUUUUACACCUAUUAUUAAUAGUGCAUGGAUAAUUGAUUCUGGUGCUACAGAUCAUAUGACUUUUGAUUCUAGACAGGUUUCACCCCUUAGACCUUCCUUACAAAAAAUUGUUUCCACAGCCAAUGGUAACACAACCCCAGUCAUUGGGGAAGGAUCCUUAACUCUUACUGAUACUUUGAAUUUGGAUUCUGUUUUAGUUGUUCUAUCUUUAGAUUACAAUCUUUUGUCAGUUUCUCAAAUCACUGCAGCCUUAUCUUGUAUUGUCAUUUUUUGGCCUGAAUUUUGUGUGAUUAAGGACAUCCUAACAAGACAGAUGAUUGGUUGUGGUAUUAAGCGGGGAAAACUCUAUUACUUCGACUUGCAGUCAAAGGAUUCAAAUAAGUUGCAACAAGCCUUGAUGGCAGAUGGAUCUGAGGGGGAGAAGAAAAAGUCUGAAAUUUGGUUGUGGCAUCGACGUCUGGGACAUGCUUCCUUUGGUUAUUUAAAAAAAUUGUUUCCUAGUUUGUUUGCAAAGAGUGAUAUUUCUGGUUUUCGUUGUGAUAUUUGUGAAUUGGCUAAAAGCCAUCGUGCUUUAUUUUUGUUAAUUUUGAAUAAAAGUCUGUUUCCUUGUAUGAUUAUACAUUCUGAUGUUUGGGGCCCAUCCAAAGUCCCAACUUUGAGUGGCUCAUGUUGGUUUGUUACUUCUAUUGAUGAUUGUACCAGAAUGACAUGGUUAUGCUUGAUGAAGACCAAAAAUGAAGUGAACUUGUUGUUUAAAAAUUUUCAUAAAAUGAUUGAAACUCAGUACAAUGCAAAGGUUCGGGUUCUGCAUAGUGAUAAUGGUGGAGAAUAUCAAAGUUUUGAUCUUCAAAAGUAUUUGGAAGGACAUGGCAUCAUUCAUCAGACUACUUGUUCCAAUACACCCAAGCAAAAUGGAGUCACUGAACGAAAAAAUCGGCACUUGUUAAAGGUUGUUCGUGCUUUCUUGAUAGCAGCAAAAACACCGAUAUCUUAUUGGGGAGAAGCAAUCACAUCUGCCGCAUACUUGAUCAAUCGGGUACCUUCUAGCUCAAUUAACUUUCAAACACCUCUUCAAGCUCUUACUAAUGUCGUAGUUACCCCAACCGUCCUAAAUCUACCUCCUCGUGUUUUUGGUUGCGUGGCAUUUGUGCAUCUACACAAGCACCAACGCACCAAGUUAACUUCCCAUGCAUUGCAAUGUGUGUUUGUUGGAUAUGCAUUGCACAAAAAGGGAUAUCGAUGUCACUGUCCUCCAACUCGACAAAUGUAUAUUACAAUGGAUGUGGUGUUUCAUGAAGAUUCGAUGUAUUUUUCAUCUGAGUCUGAACUUCAAGGGGAGUACUAUAAGGAAAUUCAGACUCUCGAUUAUGAUUAUCAUAUCUCUCAGGAAGAUGAAUCUGGACAAUCUGAACUAGUGAACCAAGAAGCGGGUGAGUUGGAUAUGAGUGGUCAACAAUUUGGGUCCGAAGAUGUCUUCACUGAAAUACCAAAUCAUUCGUCGUCUGUUGAGGGUGUUCUUAAUUUGGAACCUAAUCCAUUCAUGAAACGGUUACCACACCGUCAUAAUAGAGGUAUUCCUAAACCCACAUAUGAACCUGAAUUGUCUACCAAAGUCAAAUAUCCCAUGAGCAACUAUGUGUCUAACCAUCAUUUGUCUGAAUCAAAUAAGUCAUUUGUAAAUCAAUUAUCUACUGUAGCUAUUUCUAACGGUGUGCAGAAAACCUUAGCUGAUCCAAGGUGGAAAGCAGCCAUGAAUGAAGAGAUGAAAUCAUUGCAGAAGAAUGAAACAUGGGAACUCGUAAAAUGUCCACCAGGAAAGAAGCCAGUUGGGUGUCGUUGGAUCUAUACUGUGAAGUACAAGGCAAAUGGUAGUAUUGAAUGAUUUAAAGCAAGAUUGGUAGCAAAAGGGUACACUCAAAAUUAUGGAAUUGACUACAUAAAGACAUUUGCACCUGUAGCUAAGAUCAACAUAGUUCGAGUAUUACUGUCUUUAGUUGCAAACCUAGAUUGGCCAUUACAACAAUUCGAUGUGAAAAAUGUCUUUCUGCUUGGCAAGUUAUCUGAAGAAGUAUAUAUGGAUCUUCCAUCAGGAUGCAUGAUGUCAGAAAAGCAAUGUCAGAAGGUGUGCAAAUUGAAGAAGUCAUUGUAUGGGUUGAAGCAAUCCCCGAGAGCAUGGUUUGGAAGGUUCACAAAGUCAAUGAGAGCUUUUGGCUAUCGUCAAAGUAAUUUAGAUCACACUUUGUUCUUGAAAAAGCAACAUGAUAAGAUUAUGACACUCAUCGUAUAUGUGGAUGACAUGGUAGUUACAGGAAAUGAUCCUGAAGAAAGAAAAGCUCUACAAAAUUAUCUAUCUAGGGAAUUCGAAAUGAAAUAUCUAGGUCAUCUGAAAUACUUUCUUGGGAUUGAAGUUUCUCGAUCAAGUGAAAGAAUUUUUCUGUCUCAAAGAAAGUAUGCCUUAAAUCUUUUACAGGAGACUGGAAUGUCGGGAUGUCAACCUGUUAAUACACCAAUAGAAGAAGGUCUGAAAUUGUGUGUUGAGCCUAAUCAAGUAUCAACCAAUAAGGGAAGAUACCAGAGACUUGUGGGGAGAUUAAUGUACUUAGCUCAUAUAAGACCAGAUCUUGCUUAUGCAUUGAGUGUAGUGAGUCAAUACAUGCAUAAUCCUGGAGAGCAACAUAUGAAUGCAGUCAUGCGUAUUUUGAGGUAUUUGAAAAAUGCUCCUAGGAAGGGAAUUUUGUUCACUAAAAAUGUUGAUCAUCAGAGUAUAGAAGUAUAUACUGAUGCUGAUUGGGUCGGUGCAGUGGAUGAUAGGCGAUCUACAUCUAGUUACUUUACCUUUGUAGGUGGUAAUCUUGUGACAUGGAAAAGUAAGAAGCAGAAUGUCGUCGCUCGUUCAAGUGUAGAAGCGGAAUUUAGAGGUAUGGCUCUAGGACUUUGUGAGGCAUUAUGGCUAAGACUCCUCUUGUAGGAUUUAGGUUACCUAUCUAGGCAACCAAUCCGAUUGUUUUGUGACAAUAAAGCCGCAUGUGACAUUGCUCAUAAUCCAGUACAACAUGAUCGUACAAAGCAUGUCAAGGUGGAUAGAUUCUUCAUUAAGGAAAAGUUGGAUGAUAAGAUUGUGGAAUUGUCUAAGAUUCGAUCAGAAGAUCAAUUGACCGAUACCUCACCAAAGCUGUCUCAAGUCAAGUGUUCUCAAAAUUUUUAAACAAGUUGGGCAUGUGUGACAUCUAUGCACCAACUUGAGGGGGAAUGUUGAGAUAUUAGGAAUGCUUUCCUUAUAUCAUUUAGUGUUGAGAUAUUAGGAAUGUUUAGAUAUUAGGAAAGUUGAGAUAUUAGGAUAUUAGUUGUUAUUUCCUUAUAUAAUUCUUUCCUUGUAUCAUUCUUUCCCAUUCUUAGAAUGGUGAUUACCCUCUAUAUAUACUCUGUACAUGAACGAAUGAAAGAAUGAAUGAAAAAACUACCAUUUAUCAAUUUGAAGAUUUUCUGCACAUUGAGUAUCCAUUCUCCACUGCAUUCUUUUACGGAACAAUUAAAAUGUGUUUUUUUAGUUUAUAUUUAUAUUUUUCCACUAAACCUCACUUCUUAAAUCUGUAGAAUUUUCUUAUGGACAAAUACUCACAUCUAUUUCAGAAUUUUAUUGUAUAUCAAUUUCUCUUAAAUAAUAAUAAAAACUCUCACCUACAAUAUUUUUGUAUUAGUUUAAGGUUAAAUCAAAGACCACAUUUAUCUUAUUACCAUUAAUUUGUUAAUUUAACUUCCUGAUCUUAUACAAAUCAUUAAUAAUAAUUUGUUUUACACAUCUACUCUAGAAAAUAGAAAUCCUGAAAUACUUACCUUAUAUUUUACUUUUUAGAGAGUAAAAACAAUCAAAAUUUCUUUUUAUGGUGAAAUCUUAACUUUUAUCUUGCCUUUUUCUCUUUGGUUCUCCUUGUUUUUGUAGUGACUCUAGAGAUUUGUUUUUUAUUUUUUAUUUUUUUAACCUAAAACUUCUCAAUUUUUUUUUUUUAUUAUUUUAAACCAUGAAAGUUAAAUUUCAUGGUUUGUAAUGCCCUUGGCUUAUGUUAGGGGUAUUACAAUCUAUUCUUGCAUGCCAUUUGGCUUGGUUGUGAAGAAAAAUUGAUAUAGUGAAAGAAGAGAGAGAAUUAUUCUUAGGAAAUCAUUUUAAAUUAUUAAAAAUGCAUAUUCAUCUUGUUUGGUGUAGUUCAUCGUUGAGAUUCAUUCACAUAUUUUUAAAAGAUAAAGACCUUUAAAAACUAUUUUAAAAAAUAGAUGUAUUAAAAAAAUUUAUAUUUUAAAAGCAAUUUUCAAGAAUGUAAGGUAAGUUCUUCACUUUUAUAUAACAAUUCUUAUAUUUUUUUGUAUAAGUUACAAUUCUUUUUUAUUUUUAAAAAUAGAAAGCAGAAAAUAUAUCCAAACAAGUACUAAAUAAUUUAAUUUCUCUUUUAUGAUAGCGAUUUUAAGAACCAUAGUUUUUCAAAAUCAAGUUUUGAAGAAUUCAGGUCAACACCAAACAAUUCAUGUUUGGCUUUGAUCAUGUCAUCUUUUGUGAACUUAUUUGAAAGACUUAAGAUUAUAGGCUCACGAGCUUGGUCUUAUUUCAUGGAUGAUUUUCAUUUUCAAGUUAACUCAUCCAUAACUUUCUUUUUGGGUUUGAGGCAAUCUCAAGAAAAAUAUAAUUUUUUUCCUCUAAAAUUCAUUUCCUAUUUUGCUUUAUGUUUAUUUUCUAUGAACUUAAGUCCUAUUUUGAAUAUUUUCUCUAAGUACAAAUUUUAACUUUUAUAUAGAACUUGAAGUCUAAUAAUGAUUUCCCAUCAACUUGUAUUCACAUGUUAAUAAAUUAAAAUCUAUUCAAACAUGAGAGAUAAAUAUCUCUCUCUCUCUCUCUCUCUCUCUCUAUAUAUAUAUAUAUAUAUAUAUAUAUAUAUAUAUUAAGAGCCUGUUUGGUAAUUUUAAAAAAAGAAAACAAUUUCGAAAAAUAGUUUUUGAGAAUAGUUUUUUAAAAUUGUUUUUUGAUUUUUGUAGAACAAAAAUCUGUUUGAAAACCUAAAAUGUUUGAACCAUUUUUUAACAUUUUUAAAUAUGUUUUAAAAUUAAUUUUUAGAUCUAAUGUUUUAUUUUAAUUAUUGUACAUGUUUGUAUAAUUAUUUAUUAAAACAGUCCUUAAAAAACAAGCGAAGAUAACAAAAAAAAUAACAAAAAGAUGUUUUUUAAAAACAUCGUAUCUUCUAUUCAUAAGAAUAGAAAACAGAAAACAGCUUUGAUUGUCAAACAUAGUAUUUGUAUUUUUUUUUAAGAAAUUUUCUUCCCAAAAACAGUUCCUAAAUAAGCCCUUAGUUUUCUAUAUAGAAAAACAAUGAUGAUUAUCUAUUAGAAACAUAAAAAUUUGAGAAAAUACACUGUGAUUGUGGUUAACUUUUUAGGAUCAUAACCAAUUAAAAGGGAAGGUUUUUAAUAUCCUCCUUAUGCUAGAAAAUCCAUUUAAGGUAAUUUAUUUUCUUAUUUAAUAAUGAAAUAUAAAUAAGUCAAUAAUUAGGUCAGCAGAUUUUCAAUGGAUAUGCAUUCAUAGAAAACAAAAUUUCCUUCCUUUUCUUUUCUCAUUCUUUGAAUUUAAAGCAAUUUUCUUUUCUUGUUUAUCAAAAAAUUAUCUAUUUAAUUAAGAAUAGCAUAAUUUAGGAAUAUGAAUUAAUUUGGUAACAAUCUUCUAUGGAAGCACAAUUAGUUCCUUUGAGGUAAUUUGAAAAUAGUAGAGUAGAAUUUAUAUAAACAUUACCUAUUUAGGUUACAAAUUUUCUUAACCGUAUGUAUUACCUAUAAAAACACAUGGUUUCCUUUUUAGUUAUUUCUUAUUUUAUAUCUAUUUAAAUUUUAAGAAUCUUAGAAAUUAACAAAAUAUAAGGUCCUCUCUCUUUUGAAAUUUUUUUGCACUCAAAGAAAACAUAAAUCAAACCCAUAUUUAUUGAGCUAAAAAUGACUUAUGGUAUAAAAGAAAUAUGAAAAAAAAUAUUAAUAUUAACUAAUAUGUAUUUCAAAUAAAAAUUAUCUCAUAAGAGUCUAUUUGACAAUAAUUUUAGAAAACGUUUUUAACAUUUUUAAGACAAUCAUUUUUUUUUUCAUUUUUAAGGUGAAGUACUGAACCAAAAAUUCUUUCUUCAUCAUCAAUCGAAUUCGCAACCUAGGAUUUUGUUUUAUCAUCAAUCCAAUCACCAUUUACGAUUUUUCUUUUUCUUAUCAAUAAAUAGAUCUCUUUAUUUGUAUGACUUAGACAUCAUGAAUUUCUCGAAAAAGUGAUUGGAUUGAUAGGAUUGGUAUGAUACUUAAGAAAUCGAUGAUAUCGAUGAGAUUGAUAUUCAAAUAUUUCUUCUUAAAAUGUAUUGAUUUGAUAUUCAAUAACAUGUUGAAAAUUUUUAUCAUUCAUCAUUUAAGUAUUAAAAAAGUUAAAAACGUUUUCUUAAAAUUAUUGCCAAACAGUCUCUAAGUUUAUCAUAUAAAAUUUUAAUUAUAUAUAUAUAUAUAUAUAUAUUUGCUAAUGAAAACAAAAAAAAUAAAAAUCGAACAAGGUUUUACAAAUUCCAGUUUGUAAAACAACGUUUAAAACAAAACAAAAAGUGGAGACCAAAGCUAUUUUAGAAAAUAAAAAUAGAAAAUGUCUCUCAAACCAAACGCAGCCUUAGGUUUUCUCUAUAUAAAUAUUAAGAAUUCUCCUUCCCUUUUUCAGUUGAUUCUGAUCGGAGUAGUAACAAUGGCAGACGAGAUUAUUUUGCUGGACUUCUGGCCGAGCAUGUUUGGUAUGAAGGUCAGAAUUGCACUAGCAGAGAAGGGUCUCAAAUAUGAAUACAGAGAUGAGGACUUGUUCAACAAGGGCCCUCUACUUCUAGAGAUGAACCCAAUUCAUAAGAAAAUCCCAGUGCUGAUCCAUAAUGGUAAACCCAUUUGUGAGUCUCAGAUAAUAGUUCAGUAUAUUGAUGAGGUUUGGAAGGAUAAAUCUCCAUUAUUGCCCUCGGAUCCAUACCAUAGAGCUCAAGCCAGGUUCUGGGCUGACUACAUAGACAAGAAGGUAUGUCUAUGCUGAUUGCCUCACAUUUUGAUUGUGGUCAGAUAUGUUGUUAUAAUUUUACUAUACAGACAAAUCAUGAUUUUUUAAAUUUUUUUUUCACAUAAUCUGAUAAUAACUGUGAGAUUUUUCUGUGUAACGGAAUCUGAAAAUUUUAUCAAACUAGAUAAGUUCGAUAGAAAUGCAGCAGAAAGGGGCAUUCUUCUGCCCAUAAUCUCCUUAUGAGUAAGUUUAAGGUGCCCCAUAAUAAUUGUUCAACUGCUCCAAUGCUCUUUUGUUGGGGGUUGGACCACAGUAGGUAUGGGAAAAGAAGUGAGGGGGAGAAAAUUGGAAAGGAUGGAAAAUGUUACCAAGGACAAUAAGAUAAAAAAGAGGUACGUUUUGUUUUAUGAAAAUUUGAGAGAAAGAAGGGAAAAAAAAAAAGAGAGAAAAGAAAAAGGAAAGCAAUGAGUAUUUACUUGAUUGCAUAUGAAUAAAAAGGAAAAAAAGUUAAAUUAUUAAGGACAGUAUUUUCUUCAAAUUUUUCAAUUAUUUUUUAGAGAAAAAUUGUACAGACUAAACUUCUAACCAAUAUUUUCAGAAUUGGAUUAGUAAUUGAAUUAGAAGAAUUAUCAGUUUAUGUAGUUGAACCGACAUAUGACAUCAUAAAUAUAUUCUUAUAAAUUAUUAAAAUAAAAAUAAUUAUACAUAUUUUUAAAAAAUAUAUAAAUAAAUUAAAAAUUAAUAAUAUUUCUUUUUUAUCUUAUGCAUACAUAUAAAUGUAUUUUGAAUGAAAUAUGUAUAAUAUUUAAAUAUAAAUAUAUUAAAAAUAAAAAAAUUUAUUUAAUUUUAACUAAUUUUAUCAUUUUUAAAAAUAUUAUAUUAUUUUUAUUUAAUAUUUUUUUUUUUAGCAAAUAGUAAAAUUCUUGCAUUUGUUAUAUAAAGCAACAAAUUGGAUGUAGCUUAAUGGUGUUUCAAUUCAUUCAAUGAUUUGAGGUCGAAAGUUCAAAAUUUUGAGGUGAAAAUAUUAAAAAUUUAAAUGGAAAUUGUUUAAUGGUUGGAUAGGUAGUUCUAGUCCAGUUGUUAACACACUUCUAACCCCACCCCUCUCUCUCUCUCUCUCUCUCUCCUUUUUUUUAAUUGUUUUUUACCCUUUCCUAUGUUAUUCAAGUCUAUUAUCUAUAAUCUAAUAUUUAUUGUCUAUUAUUUAUUAUUUAUUACAAGUCUAAAAGUACGACCUCCUGCUAAAACUUUUCUACCCAAACAUGUCUUUUCAAUUUCUGUUGGUUUUCCUAAUUUUUCUUCAGAAAAACCUAUAAAAAAAUUAAUUCUCUUUCAUACAUACAUGGGAGACCCAAAGUGAAACCCUUCUUCAUAAACCUCUAUAAAAAAUUUAAUUCCCUUCUAAAUAAAAUUGCUUAAUAUAUUAAAGAAACAACCCAUUAGAAACAAUUCUAUAUAUUUUACAUCAUCUCUUUCAUAUCCCACGAUCAUUCCAAAUUAUACAUUGCCCUUUAGAUGCCUCACCAUUCUUCCUGUGGACAAUCUUAACUCUCCCUUCUACAUGCAAGAUAAUAUCCAAAGUAGAAACAAUGCUAGUAGACUUAACACAGAGAAUGACAACCAAGUCUAAAUAGUGAAAACAAGUUCUUUUUUUCCCUUAUCCCUUUCCUUGUGCCCCUUAUUUUGGUUAAUAAUAAUAUGGAUGAAAAGUAAGAGAGAGAUGUCAAUUGCUUAUUAUAAUCUAUUAUUUAUUAGGCUAAAAUAGAUUUGGUUUCUUGGUUGAUUGAUAGUAGAAAAUAUCACUCGAGAAACCCUCACAUCCUUAAAGAUUGCACUUCUUGGGUUUGUUUCUGAUUUUCCUUAUUAAUUUAUUUAUCCAUUAACUUUCUUCUUUUGUAAUUCUAAAUCCCGUCUUUUUAAUGAUUGCCAAGAGGAGGAGAAAAAAUAACCAUCUUAAUAUGAGGUUUUUGGUUUGGGUUUGCUUUAUUACUUAUUUAUCUUCUUAAGAAAGCUUUUCUAAUUCAAAAUUUGCUUGUGCCCUCUAUUUUGGUUACUAAAGAAAAAUAAAUAAAAGAAAGAAAAUGACAUUUUUAGUCUCUUGCUUAGUAAGGUUUUCAGUCCACAAUGAGUGAAGCAAUAUCUUUGGCUUGCUUGUUCAAUAUCUUUUGUUUUGUUAUCUAGACAUUUUGCUUAAGUGAAAAUCGAUGUCUUUGAUGUCAAUGCUUUUAAAUUGCUUUACUCACUUUUUUGCAUCUAGGAAAGAGUUUUUUAGAUUCGAAAAUUUGAAUUUUUGAACUUUAUUUUUUUAGCAUCUAAAUGGGGUAUUUAACAAAGACUUUGAUUCCUAGCAUUUUCUUUUGCUUUGGAAUUUUUAUCUCAUAUGUCCACAUUUUUUUUGCCUAACACCUCUAGUAUGAAAUAGAGAAAAAAAUUAUAAAAAUUAUAAGGAUAGGUUCUAAUUCUUUUUUAACCCAUACUUUUUAUUGGUAGUCAAAAAAAAAAAAAUAUUUUCUUGUGUUAAUGUCACUAGGAAAAGGCAAGGAAAAAUCCUUUAAAAAAUGAAAAAAAAAAAAAAAAAAAACAGAUGGAAGUUUGAGAAAAAUAAAUUUUUAUAAUAAUUUCAUUUUUCCUUAAAUUUUUUAUGGAUGGUAAAUUUCAAAGAAAAUAAAAUUUAUAAUAUAUAUAUAUAUAUAUAUAUAUAGAUAGAUAGAUAGAUAUAGUAAAGAUAGGAGGAUUUAAAGAUUUUAAACAAUGUUUCAAGUGUUUGUUGUAUAUAAAAGGAAGCAAUUUUCUUAAUAGGAUUCUUUUAAACCAAAAAAAAAAAAAAAAAUUAUAGACACAUGCAUUUUAUAUAUAAUAUAGAGUAUAGAUAGAGAAUUUUCCUUUUGAAAUUAUACUUAAAAAAUGCUUAUAUUAGAAGUCAAAAUAUGGUUAGUGAAGGUCAGAGAUAGAGAAGUGCAAGAACAAAUAGCGUUUUUAAUAGGAGAUUUAAGAUUAUAGAAACUAAGAAAAAGAGUUCAGGUAACUUUAAGUUGUUAUCAUCACUAUGUUUGGCAGAUUUUUCUCAUAGAAUAACUAUGUUUUUGCAUAUAUUUUCCAUGCAUUUACUCUACCCUUAUUGAUUUAUUUUUUAUUCGAAUUUAGUGAAAUUAAUUUUCAUACUGUUUAUUCUUUUCUUUUUUUUUUAAUAUAUAUAUAUAUAUAUAUAUACACAUAUAUUUGUUUCUUAGCAACUAAAUAAAUUAUUCAUGAACAUAUGAUUAUGAUAUGAAUAUUUUCUCUUGUUUGAGCACUAAUACUAAGUUUGAUGAUCAAACUUGUUCAAUUGGAUAAUUCCUUUAAGAUAUUAGAUCUUGUUGCUUUCAUGCCAUUACUUCAUUUUUCUUCUUUUUACCUUAUUUACUUUUUGUGCUGUAGUGAGCUAAGUUAUGAAAAGAUGGUGAAAAAAAAAUGACCAUUAAAUGAUAUUUUUGCAAAAUAAUGGUUUUUUUUUUUUUUUAACUCUAAAAUUUUGUUAGCUAUGGAGACAUUUGCAUAUGGUGAAGUAUUGGAACCCAUAAUUCACAUGCACCAUCCACGUGCAUCACACGUGAAACCGUUCUAACAUAACAAAAAUCAAUUUUUACCUAUUUUUACUUUCCUCAAUACUUUCAAAUUAAGGAUCAAGGAUUAGACAUAACAAAAAUGUUCAAAUGUAAAUUUAUGGUUUUUCAUGAUCCUUAAAUUUGAUUCAUUUUUACAUGUAGAAUGAAUAAUGAAUAAAUAUGCAUGUACGUGUUUUAAAAUAAUUAUGAAAAAUUACAUAAGAGAUUUUUUUUUUUAUAAAUUGUUUCACACACAUAUAUAUAUUUUUAAUUAUAAUAGUGUAUAGGCUAAUAAACAAAUAAAAUAUUUAUAUCAUACUUUUAAGAUAAUACUUAAUUUCAAAUAUAUAUGAGAUACUUUUUAUUUAUUUUAAUUUUUCUUUCAUAUUUAUAAUAUUUGCAUUCCUUUUAUAUCAUGGGUCCUAAAAGAUAUUUUUUUUUUAAUUUAUUCCAUUUUUUGUUUUAAACAUUUUAGAAGUUUUCACUUUUCUUAAAAAAAAUUGAAAAUAUCGAAUUCGUAUUUUCAAUUUUUCUAUCAUCUAAACAUGUUUUUAGCCUUGAUUUCUCUUUUCAUUGAAAAAUGAAAAGAGAGAAUAGUCUAAACAAACAAUGCCUAGGAUUCCUAUCAUCCAAUUUGUUUUUUACCUAAUUGCAAGAUUCAAAUUGAGUGGUCAAUUUUUUAUCAUUAAGGAAAGAAAGCAAACUCAGGGUACUAAUUUACAAAUGAAAAGAGAAAAGAGUCUAAACAAACAAUACCUAGGAUUCCUAUCAUCCAAUUUGUUUUUUUACCUGAUUGCAAGAUUCAAAUUGAGUGGUCAAUUUGUUAUCAUUAAGGAAAGAAAGCAAACCCAAGGUACUAAUUUACAAAUGAAAAGAGAAAAGAGUCUAAACAAACAAUGCCCCGGAUUCCUAUCAUCCAAUUUGUUUUUUACCUGAUUGCAAGAUUCAAAUUAAGUGGUCAAUUUUUUAUCAUUAAGGAAAGAAAGCAAACUCAGGGUAUUAAUUUACAAUGUUACUAAGAGUAUGUUUGAUAGUGUUUUUCUCAAAGUAUUUUUAGUAAAAGUAUUUUAUCUAAACGUGUUUUAAAAAAAUUAUCUUCCAAGUGUUUCUCCAAAAACCAUAUUACAAAUGAUUCUACAAUAUUAUAAGUGACUUUUCAAAAUUUUAAAAGUGUUUCGUAAAAUUUGUCAAAUAUCUAUUUUUUUUAUAAAAAAAAAUUAGAAAUAUUUUUUUUUCUUUCUAAAAUCAUUGUCAAAUAGGCUCUAAAACCCACUAUUGAUGUAUAGCAUUACCCAUUCCCUAGAAAAUGUUUUUUUAUAUCAAAAUGGGAAGAAUUAACAAUCAGGACGUACUUGGAAUCCAUUCAUCUUUUAUAAAAUCAUAGUGUUUGUUUAUGAUAAAAUAAUUAACCUCCAUGAGACUAUAUAUGAAAUGCAGCUACACCUUCUUGGGAAAAGGUUAUGGAGAACCAAAGGAGAAGAGCAGGAGGCAAACAAGAAGGAGUACAUUGAAUGCCUUAAGCUAUUGGAAGGAGAGCUAGGAGAUAAGCCAUAUUUUGGUGGUGAAAAUUUUGGUUUUGUGGAUGUGAAUCUUAUGCCAUAUUUUAGUUGGCUUUAUGUAUUUGAGAUCGCUGCUAACUUCAGUAUAGAAGCUGAGUGCCCAAAGUUGAUUACAUGGGCUAAAAGGUGCAUGGAAAAGGAGAGUGUGUCCACUUCUCUUCCUGAUCGUCAGAAGCUUUAUGACUUCUUUUUACAAUUGAAGAAGUGGCAUGGUAUAGAGUAGAACAGUGAAAGCUAGCAUAUAAAAUGUUGGGGAGAACACUUAGGUUCAAUUCACUUGUGUGAAGUUGGAGUUUGUUUUAUUAAUAAGGAAGUGCUUUCUAAGUGUGAUUUAGAAAGAGAUGCAAAACAUUGGUAAAUCCUUUCUUCAUGUGUACUCAUCAAUAUUUACAUUGUUUUAUUAUUAUAUUAUUAUUAUUAUUAUUUGAGAUUUUUUUUCUCUAGAAACAUUAUAAAGUAAGAAUUUGAAAAAAAGAAAAGAGUUUAUUCUAGUAAUAAUAAGUUAAAAAUAAAUUCAUAUUCUUGAUAAUAAAUAAAUCAAUAAUAAAUUUGUAUUUAUUAUAUUAUAUUAAUAAUUGUUUAAUAUAAUAGAGAAUAAAAUUUGUUGUAAGAGUUUUUUAGAUAUAAAAUGUUUUGUAAUACGGUUGUAAUUUGAUAUAUAAUAUAAAAAUAAAUAAAUAAUGAUUUUAUAUUAAAUAAAUUAAUCAUAAUUAAAAUAAUUAUAUAUUAUUAAAUUUAUUAUUUAAUAAACAAUCCUGUUACUUUUCAAAUUAGUAAUUAUGAUUAAAUAGGAUUUGUUUGACAAUAUUUCUUCUUAAAAUUCUAAGAAAUAAAAAAAAAUAUUAAUCAUAUUUAAAUAGGAUUUUUUACACUAUUUUCUAAACUUUUAGGGAACUAAAAUUGUUAGAAAAAUUAGGCUAAUCCAACUUAUGGUAAUCACCCUAGAGGGGGGGUGAAUAGGGUGAUGGUCUCUUUUUGCAAAUUUAAACUAUGUGAAUGUAAGAGACAAAUAUAUGCAAGUAUAUAAUAAAACAAUAUAAAGACAAUUGCAUAUAAAGUAAAAGAGUAGAGAAGAGAGAAUGAAAACACAAGAUUUUAUAGUGGUUCGACGCAACCCGACCUACAUCCACUCUUCUCUAGUUUCAAUCCCAAGCUUGAGGUUCCAUUAGUUCAAGGCUUCCAAACCAAGCCUUCAAGCAAUACAAUUGGAUUAUGGUUCCAAUUCACCCUUUUGGACUUUUGGCUCCAAGCACCCUUUACAAUCCUCAAGAGAUACCCUACUCUUGAACAACCUCGAUCUCAAGUGAUAUCCCACACUUGAGAAUCUUACUCUCAAAGAUAUACAAAUAAUUGAUCUCACAAAAUCCUAGUACAAAAAAUUCAAGCUCAAAUGAUACAAGAAAACUAGGAUUGAAUGGUGCACUAAUUAUAUGCAAGUUUUAGAACAAUGGUGCCUCAAAACACUCUUCCAAGGCUCAAAUAUAUUCAAGAAAGGUUUGGGAAGUGUUAGCCCAAGGGUUCUCCUAAUUAGGUUUUGAUGAUAACAAACCAUGGUUAAGUUACUAAUUGGUUUGAAUUGUAAAGAAUCUAGGUAUUAAUUUGGAAAUUCAUCAAAGGAGCUAAUGGAUACAAGAUUGAGACAUUUGGAAGACUUUUAAUCAUAGGAAACAAAUGUAAUAUGAAUGCAUGGGUGCACUUAGGUUUUACAUUUCAUUUCAUGCAUUUUUGAAAGCUCGGUUUAUUCUUUAAAGUUACAAUUUCAUUAAAACCCGAGUUUGGUCAAAUGUACCUUAGGCAAAACGUUUCAAAAUUGGCAUAUUAAUUUACCUAAAAACCUUGCAUAAGUGUUAAAAAAUAAAGGAACUGAAAAAUAUAGGUUUUUGGGGCCAAAAGAUUGAAUCAGUCGAGGCACUAGCCAACUGGCUCAAUCGGCCAAGGAACCAGUUGACCGAUUGCCCUUGUACGGUCGAGAUCCAGUCGAGGAGUUUAAAAACACUCUCUUUCAUCCAAUAACUUUCUCCUUCCCGGUCUGAUCGAGGUUCGGUUGAAGCAACGAUAACCUGCUAAAGUAUUAAAUGCUCUAACGGCUAAUGAACUGAUCGACCCCCAAAUCAACCGGUUGAGGCUACUUUUUGUUUUUCUUGGCUCCCGAGGUUAGAAACCUAUAAAUUUAUAGCUCCACUUCAUUUAUGAUAUAGAGAACACUUGCAACCAAUUGUAUACCCACUUGUUCUUGCCUUAAAAGCUCUCAUUUCUUUCUUCGUGCAUUAAAUCUUCACUUACAUAUCUUUUAAUGCACCCUUGUGAGUCAUCCUAGCUUUGAUUUGUAUUUGAGCCAUUAUUGAGCUAGGUUGAGAGAAGAUCAUUCUUGUAAAUUGAGUAUUAGAGCCUUCAAGUGAGUUGAAUCUUGAAGGGAUUGUGUAAGAGCCUAUUAGAACCGGAAUCCAAGUGUAAAGAAGAUUAGAAGCUUGGUUGAAGCUUCAAGUUAGUGGAACCCUCACUCGAUUAGGAGAUUAAAGAGAGUGGACGUAGGCAAGGAAGUGUCAAACCAUUAUAAAAUCCGAGUUUGAUUUCUCUAACUCUAUUUCUUUAAUUUUUGCUUCUAUUGUGCUGGAAUUUGUUGUGUUGAAAAAGAUUUUGAAAAACCCAAUUCUCCCCCUUUUUAGGUGUUUUUAUCAUUUAAGUUUAACCCUUAUUUUCUCAAUUGGUAUCAGAGCAAGGCCUCUUGUUUAAGACUUAAUCGUCUAAGAGGAAAUGGGUAUUCCAUCAAGCUCAUCUCACACUGAAAUUUUUGCAAAACAUAGAGCUCCAUUUUUACGGGAACCAACUAUCCCUAUUGGAAAACUAAAAUGACUUGGUAUUUACAAUCAACCGAUUUAGAUGUAUGGAACGUCAUUGAAGAUGGCCCAACUUUUCCUACAAAACUAGUUGAUGGAGUCAUGGUUCCAAAACCCAAGCAAGAAUGGAAUGAGCUUGAUAUAAGAAAUUUCAAUUAAAUGCUAAGGCCAUUUUCACAUUGUAAUAUGCUAUGGAUAGAAAUGAAUAUAAUAGAACAUGUCAGUGCAAAUUGGCUAAAGAAAUUUGGAGAUUGCUUGAAAUAACUCAUGAAGGAACAAAUCAAGUGAAAGAGUCAAAAAAUAAUUUACUUGUUCAUAGCUAUGAAUUGUUUUUUUAUGAAAGAAAGUGAGACUAUUGUUGAGAUAAUCACUAGGUUCACCGACAUUGUCAAUGGUUUUGAAGCAUUGGGAAAGACCUACAAGGAAUCCGAAAAGGUGAUGAAGAUAUUGAGGUCACUCCCAUCAAAGUGACAUACAAAGGUCACCGCAAUUCAAGAAGCAAAAGACUUAACCAAGCUACCUAUGGAGAAGCUCAUAGGGUCAUUAAUGACAUAUGAGAUCAAUUUGGAAAAGAAGCUACAAGAAGGUGAAGACAAAAAGAAAAAGAGCAUAACUCUCAAAGCUACAACUAAGGAAGAAGAAGAUGUUGAAGAAGAAAAACCAAGUGAAGAAGAUGAUGAUUUAGCCCUCAUCAUAAGAAAGCUCAACAAAUACAUGAGGAGUGAAAGGUUUAGAGGAAGAAGGUUCACCUCUAGAAGAGAUCUUUCUAAAAAGGAAUCUUCAUUUCAUGGUGACAAGGAGAAAUGAGAAGAGAAAAAAGAUUUGGUGUGUUUCAAAUGCAAAAAACCGAGACACAUUAAAUAUGAUUGUCCUCUUUACAAAAGUGAAGCCAAGAGGAGAAUGAAGAAUGCAAUGAAGGCCACUUGGAGUGAAAGUGAAGAAUCAUCUGAAGAAGAAAAGGAGAAAAAAAAGUGGCAAGCAUAUGCUUCAUGGCAAUAGAUGAACUUGAUGAAGUAAACUCUAACUUUAGUAAUGAAAAUAUGCAUAAUGUUUUUGAAGAAUUGUAUGAGGAUUUUGAAAAACUUAGUUUGAAAAUUAAUUCUGUUAAAAAGAAAAUUCAAGAACUUGAAAAAGAACUUGAAGAAGUGAAAGAAAAAUUUUCAAUUGUUGAAAUUUCUAAAACUCAUCUUGAAAAGGAAAAAUGAGAUUUUGAGAAAGAAAAAUGAAUGGUUGACCUCCUCUCUCUUAAUAUUUUCUUGUGGACAAAAAUCUUUUGAAAUGAUUCUAGCUAGCCAAAAAUGUGUUUUUGACAAACAAGAGCUAAGAUUCAAAUCUUCAAAAAAAUCAAAAGUAUUUUAAAAACUAUUUUGUAAAAGAAUCUACAAGUACAAGUCCUUCCAUUACUUGCAACUUUUGUGGAAGAGGAGGGCAUAUUAGUAGUACAUGUCCUUUAAGAAAUGGUUCUCAAAAGAAUUCAAAUGCAAAAGCUAAAAAGGUUUGGAUUGAAAAAUCCAAGGUCACUAACCCUCAAGGACCCAAAAAGAUAUGGGUACCUCAAUCAACUUGAGUUUUAUUUUGUAGAGUUCAAAGAAGGAUAAGUGGUUCUUGGAUAGUGGAUGCUCAAGACACAUGAUUGGAGAUGAAUCUAAGUUUUCUUUCCUUACAAAGAGAAAUGGAGGAUAUGUUACCUUUGGAGAUAGUGCAAAAGGAAGAAUCAUUGGUCAAGGCAACAUUAGUAAUGGCACAUCCUCUCUUAUUGAAAGUGUUUUAUUAGUGGAUGGUUUAAAACAUAACCUUUUAAGCAUUAGUCAACUUUGUGACAAAGGUUUUAAAGUGAUUUUUGAAGCAUCUCAUUGCAUCAUCAAGGACAUUCAAAAUGAUAAAACCAUCUUCAUGGGCCAUAGAUGUGAUAAUGUUUAUGCUAUAAAUAUUUCAAAAUAUGAUGGCCAUGAUAGAUGCUUUUCAAGCAUGCAUGAUCAAAGUUGGUUGUGGCAUUGGAGGUUGGGACAUGCUCACAUGGACCUCAUUUCCCAACUCAACAAAGAUGAAGUUGUUAGAGGCCUUCCCAAAAUUAAUUUUCAAAAAGACAAAGUUUGUGAAGCUUUUCAAGUGGGAAAGCAAAUCAAAAACUCUUUCAAAAACAAAAACUUCAUUUCCACAUCUAGGCCACUUGAGCUGCUGCAUAUGGAUUUAUUUGGUCUCUCUAGGACACCAAGUCUUGGAGGAAAGUCUUAUGCAUAUGUUAUUGUGGAUGACUUCUCUAGAUACACAUGGGUCUUGUUUUUAUGUCAAAAGAAUGAAGCCUUUUAUGAGUUUUCAAAGUUUUGCAAUAAGGUUCAAAAUGAAAAAGGUUUUACAAUUACUUAUAUAAGAAGUGAUCAUGGGAGAGAAUUUGAAAAUAUUGAUUUUGAGGAAUACUGCAAUGAGCAUGGUAUCAACCACAAUUUUUCGGCUCCUAGAACUCCUCAACAAAAUGGGGUAUUUGAAAGGAAAAAUAUAACUCUUCAAGAAAUGGCUAGAACCAUGCUAAAUGAAAACAAUUUACCAAAAUAUUUUUGUGCCGAAGCAGUUAACACUUCUUGUUAUGUUUUAAAUAGAAUAUUAUUGAGGCCCAUUCUUAAGAAAACUCUCUAUGAGUUUUGGAAAAACAAGAAACCCAACAUUAGCUAUUUCAAAGUCUUUGGGUGCAAAUGUUUUAUAUUAAACACCAAAGACAAUCUUGGAAAAUUUGAUGCAAAAUCGGAUGUUGGAAUUUUCUUUGGUUACUCAACAUCAAGUAAAGCUUUUAGAGUUUUUAACAAAAGAACCAUGGUUGUAGAGGAGUCCAUCCAUGUUAUUUUUUUUUAUGAAUCUAACAAUUCUCUCCAAGAAAGAGAGAGUUUUGAUGAUGAUUUAGGUUUGGAGACCUCCAUGGGAAAAUUGAAAAUUGAAGAUAGAAGGCAACAAGAAGAAAUUGGAGAGGAUCACAAGAAAGAAGAAUCACCAUUGGCACUACCCUGUCCUCAACAAGUGCAAGGUGAAUCAAGCAAAGACCUUCCUAAAGAUUGAAAGUUUGUUAUCAACCACCCACAAGAUCAAAUUAUAGGUAGUCCAUCUAGUGGGGUAAGAACUAGAACAUUUCUUAGAAAUAUUUGCAAUAAUCUUGCUUUUACCUCUCAAAUUGAGCCUAAAAUUAUAAAUGAUGCUUUAGUUGAUGAAAAUUGGAUGAUUGCUAUGCAAGAAGAGUUAAAUCAAUUUGAAAGAAGUGAAGUAUGAGAAUUAGUACUUAGACCUUCAAAUCAAAGUGUUAUUGGAACUAGAUGGGUAUUUAGAAAUAAGAUAGAUGAAAAUGCCAUAAUUGUUAGAAAUAAAGCAAGACUGGUAGCCCAAGGUUUUAAUCAAGAAGAAGGGAUAGAUUAUGAAGAAACCUUUGCCCCCGUAGCAAGGUUGGAAGCCAUUAGGAUGCUGCUUGCCUUUGCAUGUUUUAAAGAUUUUUUUUUAAUGGCUUUAUAAAUGAAGAAGUAUAUGUUGAACAACCUCUUGUUUUUCAAAGUUUUAACUUUCCUAACCAUGUUUUUAAACUUAAAAAGACACUUUAUGGUUUAAAACAAGCACCUAGAGCAUGGUAUGAAAGAUUGAGUAAAUUUCUUUUGAAAAAGGGUUUUAAAAUGGGAAAAAUUGACACAACUCUUUUCAUAAAGACCAAAGAAAAGGAUAUGCUCUUAGUUCAAAUAUAUGUUGAUGAUAUCAUUUUUGGUGCUACUAAUGUUUCUCUUUGUGAAGAAUUUUCUAAGUGCAUGCAUAGUGAGUUUGAAAUGAGCAUGAUGGGAAAACUCAACUUCUUCCUUGGACUUCAAAUCAAGCAACUAAAGGAAGGAACCUUCAUCAAUCAAGCAAAGUAUAUAAGAGAUCUUCUCAAAAGGUUCAACAUGGAAGAAACCAAAAUAAUGAAGACUCCAAUGAGCUCAUCCAUCAAGCUUGAUAAGGAUGAGAAAGGUAAAUCCAUUGACUCAACUAUGUAUAGAGGCAUGAUAGGUUCUUUGCUAUAUUUGACUGCUAGUAGACCCGACAUUGUGUAUAGGGUAUGCUUGUGUGCUAGAUUUCAAUCUUGCCCUAAACAAUCUCACUUAAGUGUCGUAAAAUGAAUUCUUAGAUAUUUGAAAGGGACAAUGGACAUAGGCUUAUGGUAUCCUAAGAGUGAUAACUUUGAAUUAAUUGGAUUCUCGGAUGCCGAUUUUGCCAGUUAUAAGGUUGAAAGAAAAAUCACUAGUGGCACUUGUCAUUUCCUAGGACACUCUCUUGUUUCAUGGCAUAGUAAGAAGCAAAAUUUGGUAGCUUUGUCAACGGCGGAAGCUGAAUACAUAGCAAUCGGUUUAUAUUGUGCACAAAUUAUUUGGAUGAAACAAACACUUAGUGAUUUUGAUUUAUCUUUUGAGCAUGUUCCUAUUAAGUGUGACAAUACUAGUGCCAUAAAUAUUUCAAAAAAUCUCGUAGAACACUCUAGGACUAAGCAUAUAGAGAUUGGACAUCAUUUUCUUAGAGACCAUGUACAAAAGUGUGACGUAACACUUGAAUUUGUAAGCACAAAAGAUCAACUUGCCGAUAUAUUUACAAAACCUCUAAGUGAAGAACAAUUUGUUGAUAUUAGAACACAACUAGGGGUGAUUUCUUUAUGAUCUAAUGAUUACUUAAUGAAUUCUUGAUGAACAUACCUUCUAAUUGCAUGAAUUUCAUGUCAUAUGCAUCAUAUAGACAGAUACUUAGAUAAAUGGUCAAAUUUUGACCAAAAAAAAAUUCUCUUGGCAUUGGGCAUAAAAAAUUGGAGAUUUCAACUGAAAAGGGCAGAGGGGGGAUUAGAAAACAAGAAAAUGCACAAAAUGUGAAAAGUCAAACUCGUUGACCAUGUUCGUCGGGGCUAGGAAUUUAAAGAGACUCCCGCGCUUCGUUUUCUCCAUUGUUCUCCUCCAUUUCUUUAGGGUUUUUCACAUUUCUGCUUCCAGAGACUAGUUUGAGCAAGAUUUGGACUGAUUGAAUGCUUUGGAUUGGAUCUUUAGGAUAAUUUAAGGCUAGGGUUUCAGCUUUGGAGUGCAUUCUCUUCUUUCCACACAUCAUAGUCAACUUCUUCUCUUUUUUCUUGCACCUAGGGUUUUGGUUGUACUCGUUUCUCUCUUGGUUGUGCUUGUUUCUCUCUCUACCAAUUCCUUCUUCAGUUUUUUGCUUCUUCUCAUGGCUCCUAGGAGAGAGUUGACUGCCUUUAGGGCAUAGGGCAAGCGCCCAUUUGAGCCGUCUCAACCUGCUCAGACAAAGGCUCACCGAAAGGCAAGGUUUUACACUGCCCUAUUGAGCAAUGUGGAGGAUUAUCAGAGGUACAAGCAAAUGUUUGCUCAGAGGAAAGUAGUUCCAGGGAAAAGUAUCAAUUUAUCCCAACUCCAACAUUUCGAGUUUAAAGGAUUUUUCAGCCGGAUGGGGUGGCUACCUAUAGUGACUGUUUUAGAGCCGAUUUUUCUGACAUUGGUGAGAGCGUUCUAUUCGAGGAUGACAUAUGGACUUGGUGGCCCGAUUAUUUCCACUGUUAGAGGAGUUGAGAUUCAGCUGGACCCGGAGAGCAUCUACCACAUUUUAGAUAUUGCUCUAAUUGGAAUUAGGAUGUAUGAGUCUAAGGUUUGGCCCACUGUGCCGGGUUUCAAGCCUAGAGUGACCAUUUAGAGCAUGUACCAAUUUGUAGACGCCCAGGGGAUGGGCAAAGCAUUGGCCCAUAGCUUGACCAUGAGCAACAGAGUACUACACCACAUGAUCUACUCCAUCCUACUACUACAAGGCGAACACCGAGAUGAGGUCUCCUACCUUGAGGUAUUCCUCGUGGACUCCAUUCUAACAGGGAGACGGAUUCACAUGGGGUAUUCAAUAAUGAUGCAUGUGAUCUCAUGCUGUAAGAGUAUGACCCACGUACUCCCCUACGGUUGUUUCCUCACUAGAGUGUUCAAGGAUGUCAGGGUCAAUUUGAGCAGAGAGAUGGAUUUUGAGGCCCCAGCACUUACGAUACAUAUGAUGAGUAGUCUUUGGGGCGGAUGAAAUUUGAGAAGGCCCCCGAUGGUUCCUGGAUUAGGAGAGCAAAAAGACUACCAGCCUAGGCCCGGGGACAGGGAUAGGUGCUUCCUGGAGUAGAGGAGGAGACCGAGAUACGAGAAAUAGAGGGUAUAGUAGACCCUCAAAGAGACUUUUAGCAGAGAGAGCCUAAGCUUGACAUUUCUCCACUGCAGUCUGAGGGUGUUCAAUUUGAGGCCACAUUUCCUGAGUCGAUGAUGUCUGAGUCGACUUAAACAGCGGGACCAUCUUCUCAGCCAUCAUUCACUGAGCCUCCUCACACAGAAACACCACCUCAUCAGGCACCUCACGCUCCUGAUCAUUCGCCUUGGAUGGAUCUAUCUGCUCAUGUUAGCUCUCUUGGCACUCGUAUAGAGGAGCUUGUGGUAGUCAUUGAUAAUCGAUUCUACUCCUUGGAAGAUCACAUGGAUCAAUAUUAGACUGGCUUCAUCUCACAUUUUGAGAGUCUCGAGGCUUGCAUGGAUCAGCAGCAAGUUGCGGUUGAGCUUCUCCAGUAGAGGAUUGAGAGUCGCCAGGAGAGUCAACAUGAGAAGAUGAUGGCUUACCUACACUUUGUGUUUCCACCUCCACCUUCUCAGCCUUGAUUUCAUAGAGAUCCCCAGUCGUUUCUUUUUUAUGUUGCCAAAAAUGGGAGAUAUUUAGAUCUAGGAGACUCACAUGCAUAUCAUUGUCAUAUCAUUUGUUUGGAUUGGCUUAUAUGUUUAUGUUUGAUGUGCAUUUGACUUUACUAUAUAUAUGAUAUGCUAUAUGUUUUAUGAAUCACACCGUUUCCUACUGAAAAUUAGCAUGUCUUGAUUAUCUUUGUUUUAUCAUCAUAAAUUUUGAUUGAUUGAUCCAUGAUUGGUUUGAGGGGGAGAUUUUUUUUCUCCUAGAUAACCAAGGUUUGUCAUCAUAAAAAAGAGGGAGAUUGUUAGCCCAAGGGUUCUCCUAAUUAGGUUUUGAUGAUAACAAACCAUGGUUAAAUUAUUAAUUGGUUUGAAUUGUAAAUAAUCUCAGGUAUUAAUUUGGAAAUUCGUUAAAGGAUCUAAUGGAUAGAUCGAGACAUUUGGAAGACUUUUAGUCAUAGGAAACAAAUGUCAGAUGAAUGCAUGGGUACACUUAGGGUUUACAUAUCAUUUCAUGCAUCUUUGAAAACUCGGUUUAUUCUUUAAAGUUACAAUUUCAUUAAAACCCGAGUUUUAUCAAGUGUACCUUGGGUAAAACGUUUCAAAAUUGGCAUAUGAAUUUACCUAAAGACCUUGCCUAGGUGUUAAAAAAGAAAAUAACUAAAAAAAGAUAGGUUUUCAAGGCCAAAAGACUGAACUGGUCGAGGCACUGGCCAACCGGCUCAACCAGCCAAGGAACUGGUCGACCAGUUGCCCUUGCCCGGUCAAGAUCCAAUCGAGGAGUGUUAAAAACACACUCUCUCAUCUAGUAAAUUUCUCCUUCCCAAUCAAAACAAUGGUAACAUGCUAAAGCAUUAUAUGCUCCAACAGCUAGUGAACCGAUCGACCCCCAUCUCAAUCGGUUGAGGCUGUUUUUUGUUUUUCUUGGCUCCCGAGGUUAGAAACCUAUAAAUUGAGAGCUCCACUUCAUUUAUGAUAUAGAGAACACUCACAAUCAAUUGUCCACCCAUUUGUUCUUGCCUUAAAAGCUCUUAUUUCUUUCUUGGUGCAUUCAAUCUUCACUUACAUAUCUUUUAGUGCACCCUUGUGAGUCAUCCUAGCUUUGAUUUAUAUUUGAGCCAUUAUUGAGCUAGGUUGAGAGAAGAUCAUUCUUGUAAAUUGAGUGUUAGAGCCUUUAAGUGAGUUGAAUCUUGAAGAGAUUGCGUAAGAGUCUAUUAGAUUAGAAGCUUGGUUGAAGCUUCAAGUUAGUGGAACUCUCACUUAGUUAGGAGAUCGAGGAGAGUGGACGUAGGCAAGAAAGUGUUGAACCACUAUAAAAUGUGAGUUUGAUUUCUCUAACUCUAUCUCUUUAAUUUUUGCUUUUAUUGUGCUAGAAUUUGUUGUGUUGAAAAAGAUUUUGAAAAACCCAAUUCACCCCAUCUUGGGUGUUUUUCUCAUUUAAGUUUAGCCCUUAUUUUCUCAGGAAGGUUUAGCUUUUCAACAAUGAAAAUUUAGAGUCUUUUUAUAGAGGAAAAAAAUCAAACUAGCCAUUGAGAGUUCGACCGAUCGAGUUGGGGGUUAACCGGUUGACUAGCCAUUAGCAUUUAAUGCUUGAUAGGUGACCGUUAGACCUCAACCGGACCUUGAUCGGACCUUGAUCGGACCUCGAUCGGUUGAGGUGUGGGUUGACCAAUUUUUCAUUUGGUUGAACAACCAUUCUGGAAGAGAGAGAAGGUUUUUUGCACCCCUUGAACGGUUGAGCUAGUGGUCGACCGGUUAUUGUUCACACCAUUGACCAAUUGAACUAGGAGUCAACCUGUUCCUAGAGAGCUGGUGGUCAAUCAAUUCCUUAUCCGAUUCAACCGGUUGAGUCGUUUUUGGCUCAACAACCAACUUUUUCAACUUAAAACCUUUUAAACAAGUUUGAAAAACAUUUGACACAAGAUUUUAGUUGAAAACAUGAAAUCAUCCAAUUUUAAAAUAUUUUUUUAAAAAAAAACUCUUGGAUGAUUUUGGUGCAUAAGUAAAUAAUGUAAUGCAUGAAAAUCCCAAUGCACCAACAACCUUACAAAGAGAUCUUAUGAAGCUUGGGUCAUGAAAAACACUUCUCUUUGAGGUGGUCUUCUUCUUCAUGAUUUCUCCUUGGCUUGAUUUGUCUUUGUGAUUGCCAUUUUGGAAAUCGUCUUGCCUAGUCACACUUGAAAUAUAAUCAUUAGUUCUAAACCAUGUUUUGUUAUUAUCAAAACCGAGAUUAACCAAACCUUGGUUUCACAAAAAUAAUAAUCCUAUGAGGUGUUUGUUUGUAGAGAGAAAAAAAAUCCCAAAUAAUAAUAAUAAUAAUAAUAAUAAUAAUAAUAUAGUAAUAAUAAUAAUAAUAAUAAAAUAUCUAAAAGAUAGGGAAAUAUCUGUAUGGAGAGUCUAAUUGUCAAUUGAUUUGAAUAACAUGAUAAGUUAAAGGGGCAUUUUUGGGAAUGAUUGGAUAACUCAUUAAAAAAUGCAUAUAUUUCAAAUUAAUUUUAAAUAGAUAAAAAUAAUACUAAGUUUAAAAAUUUUGGAUUCUUUUUUCAUAUAUUUUCAUAUUAGUGAAUCAAAUCCCACUUUUCCCAAUUAUUAAUGUUAAUGAAAUGUCAUUUAACUUCUUUUGUCAAAUCUUAUCAUUAAGCAUGACAAACUAUUUGAUAAGCAAGACAUGCUAUGUAUAUUUAUGGUUAGUGGUGCUCUUUAGUUUGCCUCUUGGCUUGAUGUUAAGUGCUUGACUUUACGGUACCAUUAAUUGGAUGAAAAAUUUAGUGUACAAAUCUAAAAUAAAACUUAUUAGAUGCAAAAUGUAAUAUCUUAACAUUUCAUGGAGAUUGUGAGAUUGAAAAUUUUAUAGCAAAAGUAGUGUUUGUAAAGUCAAAAAGUCAAUUUUAUUGAAGAUAAUUUGUUAGAAAGAUAAGUUUUACCUAUUAUUAUAAUGAAUAUUUUUUGUUUUGAAGAAUUAAUUAUAUUGGUAAAAAUAUAGGUAUAUAAUUUAGUAUUAUUAGUAGUUAAAUUUUGUUAAGAUAUAGGAAAUUUAAUUUAGGGAAUAAAAAAAAUGCAAAGUUUGAAACACAAAUAAAUAUAAUAAUAAUAAUAAUAAUAAUAAUAAUAAUAAUAAUUUAUUUUUUGAAAAACAAACAAAAGAAAGGGAAAGAGAAAUAGUGAAAAGGUCAAAACCAUUUGAGAAAAAAAAAGGAAAAAAAAAGAGACAAAGAAGUUCAUGUUUAGUAGAGAGGUGAGACAAAAAAAGAAAAAAGAAAAAAAAAUUAAAAGGGAGAGUUCCAUACCAUGGAUCUUUGGAAGACCGUAUCAUAGAACAUGACCUAUUUUGUAUGAAAUUUUAGGAGGACGUUCUAUUUAUGUAGGAAACAUUGAUAUAAAGUCUAAUUUUAAAGUUAAUGGUUGGAUUCUUGAUUUUUGAUAGGGUGGUAUAUCCUUAAAAAAUUUAUUUAAUAUAUUUUAGAAGAAAAAAAAAUCAUCGUUAUUGAUGUUGUGGAAUAGAUCUACUUAUAUAAUUGUGAUGCCUACAUGUGAUUUGGUAUAUGAGUGUUGUUUAAAUUUUGUUUUCUUAGUAAUUUUAUGAAUUUUUUAUUGAUGUUAAUGAAAUAAUGGUAGAAGAAAAUGAAAAAUCAUUAGUUGAUAAUUUAAUUCAUAAUUAAUAAUUUCAAUAUAUAUGUAUGUAUGUAUUUAUGUAUAAUAAUGAGAAAUAGAAAAGGAUGAUGCAAAAAAGGCUUGGGAAAAGUAUUAAUAAAGAAUAAGGAGCAAGAUCUUUAAUGUAAAAGACAUAAAAAUUAACCUCGGAAAGACUCUGAAUGGAAAGUGUAUUUGGGUACAAACACAUAUCUUUAAGUGAAAUCAAGAGAAAAAUAGUGCAUUUUAUGAUUGAGUGUAUCCAUCUUCAUUUGCAUUUUCUAUUAAUUAUCAAGAUAUAUGUAUGUUAUAUAUUUGGAUUAAUGUUUAAAUGUCCAUUUUUAUUUUAACAUUUGAUUAUUACUUUUUAACAAUUUUGGCUAUAUUUGGUUGGCUAGAUAUGAUAGAAUAUGAUAUGUAUAUCUUAAGAUAUCAUACUCUAUUAGAUAGGAAAUGCAUAUAUUAGAAUAUGAUUUCUAAUGGGAUAUGAUAUAUUUGGAUAUUAUAUUCAAUAGACAUACUAUCCUAAGAUAGCAUAUCGAAUGGAAUAUGUUACAUUAUAUUAUGUUCAUAUUUAAUUUGUGAAAACAAAUAAAAAAUGGAAUAUAUGUUAUUUUUCAAUGUUUAAAAUAAGAAUUAUAUCGCAUUACAAUAUUUUUCUAUUUAAAAAAGUGAAAUUCCUCUUAUGUUUAACAAUAUUCAUGAUGAAAAUAUUUAAACUUUAUAAUUUUUUUUAUUAUGUUAUUCAAUAUAUAAAAAUAAUAUAUAUAGUACACAUUAAUAUUAUUUUAUCAUUCUUUUUUAGUUUUUUGACCAAAAUUUAAUUUAUAAUUAAAAAAAUUAAUUUGGAAGAUGAAUAUAUGAAAAAAAAAAUUGAUAAAAAAAAAAAAUGCAUGGGAUAUCGAUAUCCUAUAUGUUAGUAUAGGAUUAACAUAUACCAUGUGGAAGAGAUAUAAAAAAGAGGGUGGAUGAUAUAUCCCACCAUUUAUCUUAUCCCAUGUUUGGUUGAUGAUGUGAUAGGAUAAGUUAUGGGAUAGGAUAUAAUAUCCAUAUCUUAUCCUAUCAUGAUAUAUCCAAGCAACCAAACAUGACCUUUAGGUAUUAGACACCCUACUAAGCAACAUGGAAAUAUUCAUCCCUUUCUCUUUAAUAUUUUUUUUUUUUAAGAUACAAAUAUUAUUUAUAAGGACCCAUAGGUGAAUAUACCAAGGAGGGUUUUAGAAUAUCCUAGGAGAUUCAAGAGUUACUUAAAAAUAUUAGUGCUCACUUGUGUUAAACUUUUGGACAUGUAUUCAUUUGGUAAAUUUGGGUAAAUGUAAUAUAAUUACACUUUGGUUGGUUGUAAAUGAACUAUAGGAACAUUUUAUUUAGAAAUGAUUGUAGAGACUUGGACGAUUAUCUUAAGUUGGAAAUCAAUACCAUUUAUAAGCUAGUGAAACCUAAUGGUAGGAAAAAUUUAUUUAAUUGAAUUUUUAGUUUAGCGAAUUUUAUUGAAAAUUAAAUUAGGAUUUAUUCUAAGAUAAAAAAGAAAUUUUGGGUGUACAGGUUGACUGUUAAUUUGAGUAAGAGUAACCAUAAGGGUCAAACCUUUAACCUAGGGUUAGGGUCAAGUUCCAAGUCACUUAGAAUUUGGGUUAUAACAAUGUGGUAUCAAAGCCAAGGUUGCAAUAGUACAUUGGGGGUACUAUUUAUGUGUAUUAUUCUAUUUAUGGAUUUAUUUAUUUAUUAUGGACUUGUAUUUGAUGACCUUUUUGUGGUAGUGUUUGUUGAUGGAAGUAACAUGUGAUACCAUAAUGACUAUGAUGGUUAUGGCUAUAUGAAAAUUGUCAUAGAUAUUAAAAUUGUUAGAUUAUUUUAUGUGAAUCUGUUUUUGCUCACCUUGAAGUGUGAUUGGAUUAGGUCUUAUCAUAUAUUUGAAAAUGGUAGGAAAUACACAAAUCAUAACAAAGAGAGAUGAAAUGGAUUUAGUUAGAGCAGAAUUAAGAGAAGUAAUAAGGGAACUACAAGAAACUACUCAACUACUAAGAGGUUAGAGUUAGGAAAUUAGGGGUAUCUAGACCUAAGUAGAUUUUAAUCAUUCUUAGAGGAGAGUUCACCUAACUACGACAAUUAUGAGUCAAAUGGAGGCUAUGAAGAGAUUCAUGGUGAUGCAACCCCUAUAAUUUACUAGGGAACCAAAUGCUAUGGUGGCAAAAAAUUUGUUAAGGAGCAUAAAAAGAAUAUUAGAGAGUUUAGACAUUCCUAAAGAGAGAAUAAUGAGUUUGGUGAAGUAUAUGUUGAUGAAAAAAGUAGACCUUUGGUGGGAGACAAUAAAGAGAAUAUAUAACAAAUAAGUGAUGAUUUGGAGCAAUUUGAGAGGAUCUUUUUAAAUAAAUAUUUUUUGGAAGUGGCUAAGCAUGCCGAGAAUGAAUUUUGAGCAUCUCAUCUAGGGGACCAUGAUAGUGUUGGAGUAUGGGUCUUGUUUUUCUAGAUUGUCCAGAUUUUCUUUUGACAUGACUAGUGAGGAAACAAAGAAUGAAAAGAUCUUCCAAUAGGGAUUAAGGCCUGCUAUAAAAAAAAAAAAAUGGUGGUUCUAUUAGCUGUAAGGUACUUUAAGUUAGUCAAAAGAGUCUUGAUGGUUGAAUAAGAUAUAGAUGAGAUCAACAAAAUUCGAGACUAGAGGGGAGAUAGGAAGGAAAAGCAAAAAAUAGGGGAAAAAAAAUCCUAGAAGAGGCCUUAGAAUCAAUAGCAAAGGCAAUAAUACCAAUAGUAUGAUGGACGUCUAUCAUUUUAUGUUAGGAGUGAAUAAGUUGUUUAAAGGGUAGUAACCAUUUAUGGAGGGUUUGCUCAUUGAGAGGUGCAUCUUAGACCCAAUUUCAACCCUUAACAAAAAUGAACCUUACUUUUUCAACUUCCUUAAGUUCAAUUGCCUUACUGCCUAUCAUCCUAGUUACUGUCAUCAAUGUAGGGAACCAAAACAUCUACUACAAGUAGUCAAGCUAGAUCAUUUCAAGGGUCAAGUGUUAAAGGAAAAAAAAGACAAGAAUAAAUUAGAGUUUUUGCACUAACCCUAACAAAAUUGGAAAACGAGGUCAUUUUGGUGGAAAGUAUGAUUUUAAUCCAUAGAACUUGGAUGCAUGUUUUGUUUGAUGCGGGUACAAGACUUUUUUUUAUCUCUGUGUCUUAUGCAUAAGCAUUAGGGUUGAAAGGGUAGAAAACUUAUUAUACAUUAAGUCUCCUAUUGACAUGAAUUCUAGAGUUGACACAAAUGUAAAGGGUGUGUAAUCACCUUAGCGAUUGGAGUGCUUCAGGUUGAUUUGAGGGUUCUAGACAUGACUAUAUAUGUUGUUAUCUUAGGUAUGGAUUGGCUAGGAGUUUAUAUAGAGGUCUUAUUGAUUAUCAUCAUUGUAAGAUAAUAUUUCGUUUGCUAGAUAGAUUCAAGAUUUGUUUUGCAGGAAGUAUUAAUUUACCAUUUACACUGUCCAAUCCAUAUUAUCAAUAUGUGUUAAGGAAAGGAUCAAUAAGUUUUCUACCAUGUCUCCAUAGUAGGAAAAAUACCUAAAAGAACAUUAAAGAAAUUCCAACGAUGUGGAAGUUUCAUGAGAUAAUUCUAAAUGAACUGUCAAGUUCACCAAUGCAUAGAGUUUGAUUUUUGUAUCAACGUAUAUCCAAGAACAGAUCUUAUUUCAAUGGCACCCUUAACUCCUCUUAAGUUGAAGGAAUUGAAAACUUAGCUAGAGAAAUUGUUGAAUAAAACCCUUAUUCGACUAACUACAUCACCAUGGGGAUGUAGGGAAAUAUGGAUUAUCCAUUCUUUGGCCUUAGAUUAGCUAGGUGUAUGAAAAACAUUCUUUAAGUUUAUAGAUCUAUGCCCGCUCAACGGAAAACAUAGGUAUCAAAACAACCUUGAUAUAGAAGAAAAAUGUAUUACCUUAAAUGUAGAUAUUCCCAUAUCAAUUCUUAUAAGAGUAGAAAGCUCUAGAUCCACAUAAGAUCUCGUAAACUCAUCUUCUACUCGAUGCCUUUUUCUAAAUCUUGACAUAAAGGGAUGGAAAACUCUAAGAGGGUUGUGACUAGUGUUCUCUCUCUCUUUCUCUCUCUCUCAAAUGUACAAAAGAAAGAGUGAAUGGUAACAUCAAGUUCUAACCCCCAAAAGGUGGGUAUUUAUAAGCUUCUAGUGGGCUUAAGUGUCUUAAGCCCAAAUGUUUUCAAAAUUGGCUCGUUUGUUGUCUUAUUUUUUAUGUCCCAAAUGUUUUAGUAAAUCUAGACUUUUUGGCUUGUUAAAAAAUAUUUUGAAACUUGGAUUGUGUUUCAGACUUCUCAAAUAUAUCAAAGAAUUUUUGUUUUUUUGAAUAAGUCAUCUCCAAGUUUAUUAAAUAAAUUGGUUUUACAAAUCAAUCAUAGUUCUUUGGUUUUUAAUUAAUUUUGAUGUAUUUUUCUCUAUUCCAGACUUUUUAAAUAAGCUUGUAAGCUUUGCUUUUAUUCAAAGAUCAUUUGUCAAGCUUAUGAAUUAAUUCCAUCUUCUCAUGCUUUCUAUUUUGACCUAAGUCUAGAGUUGUGAAUUGUUUUUUAGAGUCUAGGUUAAUUGGUGCAUGUUUGGGCCCCUUGGAAUUUUGUAAUGUAUUCUAGGCAUCUUGAGCAUGUUGUAGAAUUUUUGUUUUGAUUUUUAUCUCACUUUCAUGUUUAUUGAAUAAUUCAAUCUUUGCAUGACUUGUUGUCCUAACCUGCUUUUGUGCAUGAAAGCUUGUGAACUAAUUACCUACUUGUAAGGAACACAUGACUUGGAUUUUUCAUGCACGAGAGAGAAUUUUUUAGUAGAAAGUUCAUGUGUUUCAAGAUCUUCUUCAUUGACUAUAUUUGAUGUGGGAACAUCUAAAUCAAAGGUAAAGUUUUCAAAACUGUUGGAUUAAUUUAUUGUUUUAAUGUAUAUAUGCUUCUGUUGCUAUUAGAUCUAGCAUCUUAGUAUGAUAGAUGCAAGCACCCUUGCGAUCCAAAGCUAGAUUGGAAUAGAUUUUUUUUUCCUUUUUUUUUCUAAAUAUCCCAACAAAUUCCUCUGAUAGGGGUCAUGUCGCACUACUCAAUAGACUACUAUUAUUGUAGUAUCCAACUAAUAUAUACACCAAUGGAGAAUGACUAGUAGACCACCGUCAAUAUGUCAAACACUCUCUAGUUAUUAGGUACAAGCUAAUCAAUGUCAUGAGGGCUAAUUCUAAAGUCUCUUGUGAAGCCGUAUAGUUGGGAAACUACAAUCAAAGUUCUAUAAAACAAUACCCAGUACAAGGCCUUUGGGAGACUUCCUUGUUUGAGGUGGAGUCAACAAAUAUAGUGUGGUAUGAUCGAUAUUAAUCGUGUUCUUAGUGAAAUUUCUUUUAAUUAAUUUAAUAAGAAACUCUAUUUUAAACUAUUUCUCUCUAAAGCUCAACAUAUAGUAAGCUAAACUUGGGAGAAAUCCCUAGUGCAUUGGCUUUUCUAAUGGCAGCUUUAUUUUUAAUAUUUUAUGCUUUUGGCUAAUAAUUGUUACUAUCUUUUUUAUCUUAGUACUGGUGCAAAGUCACUGUGUACAAGGGGUCCUAACAUAAAUUCACAAUCAUCUGAGUAAGAAAAGACAUAGGAGCAUUCCUAGGCACACCACACUCUACUUCAAGAAAUUUGAAUAUUUGGGGAAGAUUGAUAGUAACUCUAAUACAUAUAAAUCAACAUUACUAAAGAUUAAGAGUUUGUUUAGUAGUAAUUUUAGGAAGUGUCUCUAACAUUUUUAACAUUUAAAAAAUUUUAUCUUUCAAGUAUUAGAAAGACUAGAAACAUUUCCUAAAAUCAUUGUCAAACACACUCUAAAAAUGUAUUUUAACAAUGUUUUUAUUUGAAGUGUUUUUAGUAAAAAUAAAUAAAUCUCUAAAAGCGUUUUUAAGAAAAUCACCUAUUAAUUGUUUUUCUAUAAAACAUUAUAAGUGAUUUUCCUAUACUAUAAGUAACUUUCCAAUACUAUAAGUAACUUUUCAGAUUUUUAAAAGUAUUUUUAAAAUUUUUUCAAACAUCUAAUUUUUUUUUCUAAAACACUUUCUAUCUUAAAAGCGCUUCCUAAAACCCACUAUAAGAAAAAAGAUAUAUGGUGACAUUUAUAAUGAGUCACUAUAAACAUAGGGUGUCACUACAACAUAGCGUCACCUUAUCCACUGACACCAUAGAGAGUACCAAUUGGUGACGUAUUUGGAAGCGACACCAAAGCAGAUAAAUGGUGACACAUUCAGAAGUGACACCAUAUAUUUUUAGUGAUAUUUAAUUUGAUAUAGAGUUGUGUGAGAUAUAUAAGGUGUCAUAUUAAAUGCAUCACCUUUGAGUUAUAGUGUGAUGUUAAAUGCAUCACCUUUGAGCUAUGGUGUCGCAUCAUUGUAAAUGAUUAUAGAAAAUAUGGUUGUUUUUUGGUUAAUUAGCUUGUAGAUUUUUGUGAUGCUUAUUAAUAAAUAAGAUCAACUUGUGUAUAUUUUGUCCAUAAAUAUAAUAAUCAUAUCACAUUUAACUUAUAUUUUCGUAAUGCUUAUGGAUUAACCUGUAAUACAUUACAUCAUUUAGUAAUAUUUGUAUGUCAAAUGUUCACAAGAUGAUAGUACAUCAAACCCACAGAAACCAAAAAGAAAAGUGAAUACACAUUAAAAUAUGAUUUGGAAAUGUUAAGCAUUCCAACAUUCAUGUAUACCGGCAUUUCAUAUGCAUAAAACCGGCUAACCAUAAAAUGACACAAGAGUUGCAUCCAAAAACUCAAAAUUCUCAACACCAAAUAAAGUAACGUUUAUGUCCUAUAAUGUAUGGCAUAAGAGUCACAUCUAAAAAUCCAAAAUCUUGUUGCCUCUUUUUCCUUUCUUUUUAUUCUUCAUAAUGUCCUCCCAAGAGUGUAUACUCGCAUUUCAUUGUUUAAUGAGUUUUAGAGUUCUUAUUGAAAAUAAAAAUUAAUCGAUGUUAUAAAAAAUAAACAAAUCUAAGUACUAAUGUUUUCUUUUUUACUUUUUCCCAUUUUGAUAUAAAAAUAGUCCGUAAAUAAUAAGUAAUGUUAUACAAUACCAAUGGAAAAUUCAUAUAACAACUAAGGGACUCACCAUGCAUGAUCAUGAUAAUGAUCAACAUGAUUCAUGAUUAGUUAUAACACCAAAGUAGUUCAUUCUCCUCUAAUUUCAUCAAAUUCUAAUUGAGAAUAUGUUUUUUUUAUAAUCAAAAUGAAAUCAAAUGAGAAUAACAUUGAUAUCACAAUAAUUGGAAGUAUGAAACUAUGUACAAUUCAUUAAAUAAGUAAAACCUUUAAUACAAUAAUUGUAGAAUCAACAAGUAUCACUAUCAAACGGACUCUAAAUAACACUUUAAUACACUAGUAGAUCAAAUCAACAUUUUUAGCUAGAUCUAGUGUAUCCUUUAUGAAAUGUGAGGCAUUUUUCUAGAAAAAGUUCUCACAAGGAUUUGUUUUUACUUAUUACAAAAAGAUAACAUACUCUCAACAAUGAAGCGCAUUGGACAUAUCCAAUAUAUGGCUACUCCUAAGCAAUGAUUAGACAAAGUUGAGGCUAUUCUCAAACUCAUCUAUCUAUAUGACUUUUCCUUUAUAUAAAGAAUUUAGCUUUUAUCUAAAUUCCGAAGUUCAAAUGACAUUUUGUAUUUAUUUUUAUUCAAAUUUUAAAUAAAUUCAAAUUCAUUUAGACUUCAAUUAAAAUAAAAUAAAAAAAGUAACCUAAUGUAACCAUAAGUUAGAUCGAUAUUUUGCUAUAGAACAUUCUGAAUAAAUUUUUAAACAUUUCUCCAAAAAUUUAGUAUUAAUAAAAAUCAAGGAAAUUACAAAAUUAUUUUUAUGUACACUAGAGAUAAGGAGAGUUUAUGGCCAAUGAUAUAUGUGGCUAGAAAAACAAUAUAGGAUGGUAGACCAUUCGACCUUAGAACAUUCAAAGUUGAAGAGACUUUGUGAAUUAUUAGAUAUGGUAUAGUAGAUCAUUCUUCAUCCCUUGAACUCCUUUGUAUCUUAGCACAGAACCAGAAAUGGCAGAUGAAAUAGUUUUGCUAGAUUUCUAGUUAGCGUGUUUGGUAUGAGGGUCAAAAUUGCAUUAGUAGAGAAGGGUAUCAAGUAUGAAAAUAGAUAAGAGGACUUGAGAAACAAGAGCCCUCUCCUUCUUGAAAUGAACCCAGUUCAUAAGAAAAUCCUAGUCUUGAUCCAUAAUGGCAAACCCAUUUGUGAAUCAUUGAUAAUAGUUCAGUAUAUUGAUGAAGUUUGGAAUGAUAAGUCUCCAUUGUUGCCCACUAAUCCUUACCAGAAAGAUCAAGCCAGGUUCCGGGCUGAUUACAUUGACAAGACGGUAUGUCUCUUCUGCUAUUCAUUCAAAAUUAUAUGUAUCAGCCAGUUUAAGCUCAUUUUUGGACAAUGAAUUCUUGCUUAAUCUGAAAAUUAAUGUUAUUUUGCUGCUUACUUUUCAUGUCUUUUUAAUUAGUGGUGUUCCAUAAUGUUGAUCUAUAUUAUGUGGGAUUUCUUUGUGGUUGUCAUAUCUCUAAGGGUUUGCCUUUUUGUUGUAAUACGUGGCUCAUAUUUAAGCGAAAGACAUAUGGAGAAAGGGUAGUACGAUUCAGGGGUAUUUUUGGAAUUUUAUUCCUAAGGGUUAGUAUAAAUACCCUUUUAUGUAACCCUAAUUUGGUACAUAGUGAAAGUCAUUUUCCUUGUUCCUGUGGACGUAGGCAAUUUUCCAUACCACAUUAAAUCUACAUGUUCUUUUUUUCUCAUUUUUCCUAAUUUUUUCACCAUAAAUUGUUGCACGAAUUCCAACAAUUGGUAUUAGAGCGCCAGGUUCAAUUUCUGGGAUUUCUUCUAUGAAGUUCGAUGUGGUCAAGUUCGAUGGAUCUAGGAAUUUCGGCCUAUGACAGAGGAGGGUUAAUGAUCUAUUAGUGCAACAAGGUAUGGUGAAGGCGUUUUACGGAAAACAACCAAAAAGAAUGAAUGAUGUGGAUUGGAAGGAUAUGGAAGCGAAGGUUGCGACAAGGAUCAAGCUUUGUUUGGCUGAUGACGUGAUGUACCAUGUCAUGGAUGAAGAAUCACCGACGACAAUCUGGUUGAAAUUGGAAAAUCAGUAUAUGUCUAAGUCAUUGACGAACAAGUUGUAUCUUAAGUAGAAACUGUAUGGUCUUAAGAUGGCAGAGGGCUCAGAUCUAAGCUAGUAUGUCAACGUAUUCAAUCAUAUCAUUAGUGAUUUGAAGCAAAUUGAUGUGAAGUUUGAAGAGGAAGACAAGGCAUUGAUGUUAUUGAAUUCCCUUCUUGUUUCUUCUACGUAUGAAAAUCUGGUUACAACUAUGGUGUGAGGUAAAUAAACUCUUGAUUUGGAGGAGAUCACGAGCAUUCUUUUAGUAUUUAAUCAGAGGAAGAAAGCCAAUGAUUAGAGUUCUCAGGGUAAAGGGCUUGUGGCAAAGAAAAAUCAAGAAUGUGGGAGAAACAAGUUUCGGAGUGAAUCGAGUAAUAAUAAAUCUCAAUCUAAAUCCAAGAAGAGAAAGGACAUACAAUGUUAUAAGUGCGGAAAAAAGGGGCACAUGAAACGAGAUUGUCCAGAGAAAAAGAAAGGGGGCUCAGUAUUGGAAAAUAAAGAGAGUUCAUCAAAGUCUAUGAAUGUAGUGGCAGAAAAAGACUCAAAAAGUGGUAAUGGUGACAUGCUGUCGGUUUCAUCCAGUUCAAAUCAUCUUACAGAUUCGUGGAUCUUGGAUUCAGCAUGCUCUUAUUAUAUGACACCCAAAAAAGAUUGGUUUAACACAUACAGGUCGGUAAAUUAUGGUUCUGUUCUGAUGGGUAAUGACGCUUCAUGUAAAGUUGCUGUAAUAGGGAAUAUCAUAAUUAAAAUGUUUGAUGGUGUUGUUAAAACGUUGUGUGAUGUUAGACAUGUACCUGAUUUAAGGAAGAAUCUGAUUUCUUUGGGGACUUUAGACUAUAACGAGUUUAGUUACAAAUCUACAAGUGGAGUAAUGAAAGUGAGCAAAGGUGCUAUGAUAGUGAUGAAAGGUCAGAAACUAGUAGGAAAUAUUUAUAAACUGUUAGGUACCAUAAUUGUAAGUGGAGUUGCAAUCGCAGAGUCUGCGUCAGACAAUAUAGUUUUAUGGCAUAUGCGGUUAGGGCAUAUGGGUGAGCGUGGGAUGAUGGAGCUUCAUAAGAGAAAUCUGUUGAAGGGUAUCAAAACAUGUAAACUUGAUUUAUGCAAGUAUUGUGUUUUUGAGAAAUAAAAUAAAGUGUAGUUCAAGACAGCCACACACAAGACAGAGGGGUUUCUUGACUAUGUUCAUACAAACAUUUGGGGACAAGUAAGGGUAGCAUCAUUGGGAGGAAAUAUGUAUUUUGUGAGUUUUACUGACGAUUACUCACGAAAGGUUUGGGUGUACUUCAUGCGACACAAGUCAAAAACAUUUGCCAAGUUUAAGGUGUGGAAAGCUGAAGUAGAAAACCAAACAUGGAGAAAGAUAAAAUGCCUUAAGUUAGAUAAUGGUAUAGAGUAUACAGAUUCAAAGUUCACGGAAUUGUGUGAGCAACAUGAGAUUAAGAGACACUUCACAGUACGCAAGACACCACAACAAAAUGGUAUAGCAGAAAGAAUGAACAGAACGAUAGUUGAAAGAGCUCGAUGUCUCAAAUUGAAUGCAGGCCUUGAAAAGAAAUUUUGGGCAGAAAUAGUGAACAUGGCAUGUUACUUGAUCAAUAGGUCACCUAGAGCAGCAUUAGAUAGGAAAGUAGCAGAUGAGGUAUGGACAAGCAGUCUAGUAGAUUGUUCUGGUUUGAGAGUAUUUGGGUGCCCAACCUAUGUGCACAUUCCUAAUGAGGAGAGAUCAAAGUUUGAUGCGAAGUCUAGACAGUGUAUCUUUCUGGGGUAUCAGAAAUGGGUGAAAGGCUUCAAGCUCUGGGAUCCAAAGGCAAAUAAGGUGGUGAUUAGUAGAGAUGUAGUUUUUGAUGAGAAACCCAUGUUACAGUGUACUCAGAAAUGCAAGAAACAGGAACCAGAAAAUUGCAGCAGUAAUGAGCAGCUGAUACAUGUGGAAUUUGAGACUCAUGAUAUAGAGGAUCGAGCUUAGAAUACAGGGAAGUCUAGUUUAGAAGAUCAACAGCAUCAUAGUAUAGACAUAGACAAACACAGAUGUACUAUUAAGCCACCUACUAGGUAUGGUUUUGAAGAUUUAGUUUCUUAUACAUUGAUUACUAGUAGUGGGGAUCCUACUACCUUUCAAGAGACAAUACACAACCAAAAGAAAAGUAAAUGGAUGAGUGCUAUGGUGGAGGAGAUUCAGUCUUUGCAUGAGAACCAGACAUGGGAUUCGGUGGAGCUUCUAGAGGGUAAGAGAGCAAUAGGAUGUAAAUGGGUGUACAAGAAGAAAUAAGCAAUUUAAGAAAAAGAGGGUGAAAAGUUCAAGGCUAGUUUAGUAGCAAAGGGUUACUCACAAAGGAAAGGGAUUAACUAUGAUGAGAUCUUCUCUCCCUUGGUCAGACACACAUCCAUCAGGACAAUGUUGGGUUUGGUAGCACAUUUUGACAUGCAAUUGGAGAAAAUGGAUGUAAAGACAACUUUUCUUCAUGGUGAUUUGGAGGAGUUGGUCUAUAUGGUAUAGCCAGAAGGGUUUAUUCAACCUGGACAAGAACACUUGGUCUGUAAAUUGAGGAAAUCACUUUAUGGGUUAAAUUAGUCCCCAAGGCAAUGGUACAAGCGAUUUGACUCCUACAUGAUCAGGAUUGGCUACAAAAGAUGUGAGUAUGAUUGUUGUUUUUCUAUAAAGAGCUUAGAUGAUGAUUAAUCGUUUAUUUUUCUAUUACUCUAUGUGGAUGACAUGUUAAUUGCUGCAAAGAGUUUGGUUGAGGUCAAUAAGUUAAAGUCUUUGUUGAGUAAGGAGUUUGACAUGAAGGAUUUAGGUGCAGCCAAGAAGAUCCUUGGAAUGGAGAUUCACAGGGAUAAAGCUUCAGGGAGAUUAUGGUUAUCUCAGCAUAGCUAUGUCAAGAGAAUGUUAGAGAGGUUCAAAAUGGAUAAUGCAAAACCAAUAAGUACACCUUUGGCAAAUCAUUUUAGGUUGUCUACUAGUCAAUGCCCAAAGACAGAUGAUGAAGUGAAUGACAUGUCAAAGGUUCCAUAUGCAAGUGCAGUGGGAUGGUUGAUGUAUGCUAUGGUUUGUACAAGACCGGAUUAGGCACAUGUUGUUAGUGUGGUGAGCAAGUUUCUAUCAAAUCUGGGAAGACUGCAUUGGGAUGCAGUCAAGUGGAUUUUUAGAUACAUAAGGGGUACUACAGACUAUGGCAUCACGUUCAGCAAACAAUAGAGUGAUCCUUCAAUUAAGAGAUAGGUUGAUACAGACAGUGCAGGAGACUUGGAUGACAGGAGGUCUACCACAGGUUAUGUAUUCACCCUUGGUGGGGGACCUAUUUGUUGGAAGUCUAUGAUACAGUCUUUAGUUGCACUAUCUACUACUAAGUCAAAAUAUAUGGCAAUAACUGAGGCUACAAAGGAAUCAUUAUGGCUUACAAGUUUGGUUAAGGAGUUAGGUAUUCUACAAGGUGGAGUUCAAUUAUAUUGUGAUAGUCAGAGUGCCAUUUAUUUAGCAAAGAACCAAGUGUAUCAUGCAAGGACCAAACACAUAGAUGUGAGGUUUCACAAGAUUAGGGAAUUGGUUUCUUUUGGUGAAUUGUUACUUGAGAAGGUUCACACCUCUGAGAAUGCAGCAGACAUGUUGACAAAGCCUGUUACCACAUAAAAGUUCAAGCAUUACUUGAACUUGAUUAAUGUCUCCAGAUGCUAGAUAGGAGAUACCCUAACCUAUUGUCCCAGAUGGAGUUAUAAGCUAUGUUUUUUGUCUCCUAAGGGAGGGGAGGGGGGAGGGAGUUAAUAUUCGUCAAGGUGGAGAUUAUUGUAGUAUGUGGCUCAUAUUUGAGCAAAAGACAUAUGGAGAAAAAGGGGUAAAUGCAGGAGCGAAGUGGAGUGACGACAUUUGCCAUUCAAGCUUGUAUUUCUAUUGUUGUGGGUGAACGAUAGGUUGGGGAGGGUGCGGGAGCAACACCCCCGAUGGUACGAUUCAGGGGUAUUUUUGGAAUUUCAUUCUUAAGGGUUAAUAUAAAUACCCUUUUAUGUAACCCUAAUUUGAUACAUAGUGAAAGUCCUCUUCUUUGUUCCCGUGGACGUAGAUAAUUUGUCAAACCACUUUAAAUCUGUGUAUUCUUUCUUUCUCGUUUUCCCUAAUUUUUCACCAUAAAUCGUUGCACGGAUUCCAACACUUCCUUUUUUGCCUCUCCUUAUCUCCAGAGACAUAGAAUUCAUUAACAAACAAAUUUUUUCUAGCUAAAAUAUUUACCGGACUUGAAGAAUUUGGUAAUUUUAUUAUUUGACAAUAGAAUUUGGCAUUUAUGGAAAUAUUGAUAGAAGUAGACUCAUAUCAUUAUUUUAUAAAUUACCUUUAUUGUUGCAAUUCCAUGUUCUGUCACUCCGUGUUCUCUUUUAUUCUUUUCCUUGAUAAGACUGACCGUGAAAUGUAGAUAUACAAUCUUGGGAGCAAGUUGAUACGGUCAAAAAAAGAAAAUCUGGAGAUACCCAAGAAGGAAUUCAUAGAAUGCCUUAAGCUGCUGGAAGGAGAGCUUGCAGACAAAUCCUACUUCGGUGGUGUAAAGUUGGGAUUAGUGGACAUUGCUCUGGUGCCAUUUUGUAGCAGUUUUUACGCAUACGAGACCUUUGCCAACUUCAGCAUAGAGGAAGAGUGUCCCAAACUGAACUUAUGGGCUAAGAGGUGCAUGGAAAAGGAGAGUGUGUCCUCUUCUCUCCCUCACCAGCAGAAGGUCUAUGACUUUAUUUUGCAGGUGAGAAGACAGUUUGGACUGGAGUAGAGAAAAGUAUAAUAUCAAAGGAAAGUUGUUGUAUGAGUAAGCACGAAUAUUGAGGACCAUAUAAUCUUAUCCUUCUUGAUGAAAAAUGCAUCCACCCCUGGGCCAUAUCAAUAAUUCAUCCUACUUUUCAAACAAUGAUUCCUGUCGAUUGUCUUUACAUUCAAUGAAGGAGUGCAUGGGUAUCUGAAACCUUUCUUUGUAUGCAACUUGAUACUGUCCUUGUUGUAGGAAGGUGAAUGACUUGUGGGACAUGUGGGAGGCCAAGUCGCGGCUAAACAUGAACAUGAAAUGUGGACUAGGUGUUUUAUUUGAUAGUGAUUGUAGGGAGUUAUUUUAGCUUAAAAAAAUGUUUCUCAAAAAAAUUAGAUGUUUGACCAAUUAAAUUUUAAAAAUAUUUUUAAAAUUUUUAAAAAUUAUUUAAAAUAUUAAAAAAUCACUUAUAAUGUUUUUAAAAAAAAAUACUUUAUGAAUGAUUCUCUUAACAACACUUUUAGAACAAACGAUUUUACUAAAAACACUUUUAAUAGAGACACUAUCAAAUACACUUUAAAAAAUAAUUACGAAUUAAAUAUAUUUUAUAAAAAAAAUUAAUUACAUAUAUAUAUAUAAAAUAAAAUUUGAAGUGAUGUUUUUCCAAUAAAAUUUAAUUAUAAUUAUUUUAUUGUUAAUUUUUUGGUUUUAACAUUUUGUUCAAAGUAGGCUCUUAUUAUGUUCGGCCAAACAAAAAGGAAAACAUCACCCUUUAUUUAUCAGAGCCAGGUUUCGAUCCUGGGACCUGUGGGUUAUGGGCCCACCACGCUUCCGCUGCGCCACUCUGAUUUAUUUGAGAGGUUACUGAAACAAAAUAUAUUUGAUUAUAUUUUCCGUCGUUGAAUGUUUUGUUCAUAUCUGGACGCUGGUUUCUCUCUACACACUAAUCCCUUCAGUAAAAUUGAAAAUUUUGCCACUCUGUUUGGAUUAACAAUAGAGGGCUCCGUUAUUGGCAUCUCCUACUCGUCUCUCUUAGAGUAGGGGACGCGGAUUAAUACUAUUUAGGUUGAUCUAAGGUAGCCUUAGGUGCUUCUUCCAUUUGCUCUAUGGGAUCGAAAAUGUGACGGCAUCAUCAAGUGUAUAAUUGGCUUUUGUAUCAACCAACUUAUUUUCUAUAGAUAAAAUAACCUUCGAGUUAGUUGUCUUUUGGGGCUUUCGAUAUAGUGGAGUGAUAAAAAAAGUGAGUCCGCCAUAAAUGGUAGGAUCAGAGGGACGGUAAUCAAUAAUAAUGGAGGUUGUGCUGAGGAGAGUGACACAUCCAUAUCAUAAUCCAUGUCAAGAGUGGUGCAAAUGUAUGAUCGGAGGGACACUAAUCAAUAAUGAUGGGGGUCGUGCUGAGGAGGGCAACACGCUCAUAUCACAAUCCACAUAAGGAGUGGUGCAAAUAUAUGGUCGGAGGAGCCUCAUAGUUUCUGAGGAUCUUACUUGUCAAUGACCUUUUAAAGAUUAUAUCAUAUAGCAAUGGAUCACUUACCAUUGAAAAAUGCACCAUCAAUGUUACCUAGGGAGAGGGUAGUUGUUUGAAUAAAAAAUUCAAAGAUGAAAAUGUUAGAAUGAGAUUAUAUGUAUAAUUUUCAAUAUAUUACUAUUAUCUCAUCAUUUUAAUCAAAGUAUUUCCUAAUCUUUCCAGCCAUAGGGACUUGCCAAACCAUGGGUUUGACCUAACUCCUAGUUUGCCAUGCAUUAAGAGUGAAUCAAUCUACCAUGGAGGACAUGGAUCGUGGGCUAGCAAAGCUUGUUAUGGUGUGCAGUGCUGACAAAGGUUGAGCACUGGUGGACUACAAGCACACGCAUAUUAAGUUAGUUGGCCUUAUUGGACCAGUUUCUCCCCUAUGAUCUAAACGUGUCCAUUCAUUCCUCCAUGGUAUGGCCUUUAUCCUCUUGGAGCUUAAAAAUCCCAGUUAAUUAGGGCCCGUUUGGCCAUGUUCUCGGAUGCUUAUUUUUAAAAACUAUUUUUAAAUUAAAUGGCAAAAAAUAUAUUUUUUUAAUAUUUUUUGAAAAUAAGAAUGUUUGACAAUUAUUUUUAAAAAUAAAAAGUAGAAAACCUAUUUGGAUAAGUUGUUUUUAAAAGUAAUUUUUGUACUUUGAUUUCCUAAAAACAUUAUAAAUUCAAUUUAUAUAAUAUUAAUUAAAGUCAAUUCAAAUCUUAUUAAAAAUAAAAAUAAUUUUUUUAUAAAUAAUUUUUUUUAAAAAAAAUAGUUUUUAGUAAAAUAUGAAUAAUGAUAUUAUAAUAAAAUUAUAAAUUAUAUUUUUUUUUUAAAAUAUAUAUUCGAUUUUAGAAUAUGUUAGAAGAUAUUAAUAUCUUUGUAAAUUUUUUAUUAAAAAUAAAUAAUGAAAAAAAUUUAACCUUUUGACAUAUAAAUGUACCAACUCUUUCAUUAUAUGCACACAUUUAGUACUCAAUUACAAACAUAAUAUUUUAGAACAUUUUGAUUUAAUUUACCAUUAAUUAGAUUAGUUUUUUGAAUUCCAAAUUAUUCUUAAAAAUUAAAAGAUUCAUUAAAGAAUUUAAAUUAUUAAUUAUAUCUUAUUUAAUUUAUAAUCUAUUUACCUAGUGAGAAAUUUAAAAAUAUAGUUGCAUGUAGAAACGAUAAAGUCAUGACUCAAAACAUAUUAGAUUUGAUCUAUUUUCUUUUCGUAAUUAGAUCUAUUUUUUAAUUUCCAAUUAUUUAAAAAAAAUUAAAGCCCAUUAAUAAAUUCAAUAUAAAGUGUCGCAUAAUUUGAAGUUCAUUUUUUGGAUGAGAAAUUUAAAAAAAUAUAUAUAAUUAUGUGUAAAAAAUAAAUAAUAGCCAUAAUGAAGCAAUUUUAAUCCAUAAAUUUAUGGUAUUAAUUGAUUCACUAUUUAAGUUUUAUUACUAGACUUGUUAAUGAAUCCAAUGCAUUGAGUCUUGUUUAAUUUUGGGUUCAUUUACCUAAAGAAAAAAAAAAUAAUGAUUCUAUGUAGAAAAUAAAAAACAAAGUCGUUUUGGAUCAAUUUUUAUCUAUAAAUUUUUUAUAUUAAUUGGAUCAUUAUUUCAGUUUUAAGUUAUUUUUAAAAAUUAUUAUAUUCAUUAAUAAAUCCAACACAUUAAGUCUUGCUUAAUUUGGAGUUUAUUUACUUAGUGAAAAAAUUUGUAAAAAUGUAUUAUAUGUAAAGAAGAAAAUAACCAAGUCAUUUAAAACAAAUUUUAAUCUAUAACUUUCUAAUAUUAUUGAGUUCGACUUUUAAAUUCUCUUCAAAUUAAUUUUUAAAAUUAAUGAACUUUAUGCAUGAAGUAUAGUUUGAUUUUGAAUUAUUUGUUUAAUGAAAAUUUUUAGAGAAAUUAAAAAAAAAUAGAAAACUACAUGUAAUUUAAAGAAAUAAUAUAUUUGAAGAUUUUUUAUAUUGGCAUUAAAUCAUAGUGAGAGAAAAAAAAAUGAUAUAAUGCUCAAUUUUAUUUAUUUUUUAUGUUUUUUUUUUAAAUCUUCAUGUUUUUCCUUUGUUUUAAAAAACAAAUAAAAACAACUUCUACUUAUUUUCUAAAAAUUGUUUUCUAUUUCACUUUGUUUUUUAAAAUUGGAAACAUAGAACUACAGUCAAAUAGUGUUAUGAAUUUUUAAAAAUAAUUUUCUAUUUUUAAAAAGGAAAAACUGUUUUUUAAUCACAUGACCAAACAAGGUUUUAUUCUCUUUACCUUUUUCACAAUUUUCUUUUUUUACAUAUAUUUUUCUUUCUCUCAUCCUCUUGGGAGCAUGGUCUCUUGAAGAUUUAUACUUUAUACUAUUCAUUGUAAAUCAUAAAAGAAAACUUCUAAUAUCAUAAACAUGCUUACUUGAAUUUAAUUAAAAUAGAACAAUAGGAGUAUUCUUUUUAAAAAAAAAAUAAAAAUAAGAUUGAAAAUGCUAAGAAUUGUCUUCUAAAUAAUACCAUGAUUUUGAAAGAAAGGUUGAUUUUUAUAUCAAAAUAAAGAAAAUUGAUUAAAUUUUUUAACAUAUUUAUAUUUGCUAUGUUAUUUAAUGAUUAUUUUACCCUAAUCAAAGUUGAUGUUCAAUCAAGUUCAUAAUGAUAUUUUUAACAAUGAAAUCAAUUGCCUUUUUAAAGUGAAAAUUUUCUUAAUUACUCCUUUCAUUUUCUUAUUUGCUCUAUUCGAUUUCCAAGAAAUAAAGUAAAGAAGUUUUCAAAUCACAACAAUCCAUGACCUCAAUCUUUCUCUUAACCGGAUAAUUUAUUGUCCCAAUGGCACCAAUUGUAGUUGUGAUCCCGUCUUUGUCAUCAACCUAAAAGGGUUUUCUUUUCUUCCCUUUUCUAGAAACACUUGUACUAGUCAAUCUCUUCUUUGUUUUAUUUGGUUGUUGAGAAAAUGAGAAGAAGAUUGAGAAUGAAAUUUGAUUUUUGUGAUUGUUGUUGCCUUGGUGUUCAAAGUUUUGAAACUUAAGUCAAAUGAUUGUUCUUUACUUUGUUUGGUUGUUGAGAAAAGGAAAAGAAGAUUGGAAAUGAAAUUUGAGUUUUGUGCUUAUUGUUUUAAUCUUUAAAGUUUUAAAACUUGAGCUAAAUAGUUGUGCUCGUGUAGAUUUUUAUUGUAUGGAUUAUGAUUGAAUCAUGGUUAACAUAUUAGUGCACACAUCUAAGAACACGGAUAUGGAAUUUAAACAAUUAUAGACAAUAAUUGUACUAACUAUACAAGGUUAAUGAACUAACUUUAUAAGGAGUGUACAAGGCAACUUAUUUGAAGGAAUUGAAGUAUUUCUUGUCAACUUCCCUACUUCUUUCCCUCACCUAAAGGUUAUUCCCUUCUAAGAAAUACAUUGACACAUUACAUACCCAUCUCAUGCAUGUUUGUCAAUCCAUACAUUGAAGUUUCAAAUCCCUACUCUCAUUAAAUGUACAAGGUUUCAUCUUUGGAAGCAAUCGGUCUAUGGUUACUUUUGACCAAACCACUUGAAACACGGUUAACACACUUGUGCACGCAUCCAAGAAUAUAUCAACUUUUCUGGGGUUUUUCAGUAUAUUAUUUACAUGGAGAGAACACAAAAUAAAUAAGAAAAUUGCAAUCCUAUUUUUGUCUAUACAAAUAUCUCAGCAAAGAUCAUGCCAUACUUGUAUGGCAUGAUUCUAUAUUUACGUCUACAACUAUAUCCUUCCUAAGUUGGUUUCUAACAGCUCACGCUAACACUCUCCCUCAAGUUGAUGCAUACAAAUCUCUGAUGCACAACUUGUUGAGUGAGUUGUGGAGCUCUUUGCUUGAUACCACAUUUGCGAGUAUGUCUGCUAAUUGGUCUUCAGACUUCACAAAUGGAAAUCAAAUUAUUUUUGCUUUUAAGUUUUCCUUGAUAAAAUGUCGAUCCACUUCCACAUGUUUUGUACGGCCAUGUUGGACUGGGUCUUGAGAUAGUGCAAUAGCAGCUUUGUUGUCACAAAAAAGAUCCAUUUCUGAGGCAGAGGCAAAACCUAGUUCAGUAAGUAGUCUCUUGAUCCAGAGUAGUUCACACACCCCUUUUGUCAUUCCACGAAAUUCUGUUUUAGCGCUAGAAAGUGCUACCACCUUUUGCUUCUUGCUUCUCCAUGUAACAAGAUUCCCACCUACAAACAUAAAAUAACCUAAAGUAAAUCUUCUGUCUAAGAUAUUUCUAGCCCAAUCUGCAUCUGUAUAGACAUUAAUUCUUAAAUGACCAUUCUUUGAAAACAGAAGUCCUUUCCCAAGUGAGGACUUCAAGUAUCUUAGUAUCCUAAUUACCGCAUCCAUGUGGUCUUCACUAGGGUUAUGCAUGAAUUGGCUAACUGCGCUUACAACAUAUGCAAUGUCUGGACAAGUAUGUGAGAGGUAUAUGAGUUUGCCAACUAACCUUUGGUACUUCCCUUUAUCCAUUGGUGCUUGAUCUGAGUAUUUUCUAAGUCUAUGGUUUUGGACAAUUGGAGUAUCCAUCGGUUUGCAUUCCAACAUUCCUACCUCAGUUAAUAUAUCCAACACAUACUUCCUUUGGGAAAGAAAUAUUCCUUGUUUGGACCUGGCAACUUCAAUUCCCAUAAAAUACUUGAGUCCUCCCAAGUUCUUCAUCUCAAAUUCUGUGGCUAACUCCUUUUAUAGUCUAGUUAUUUCUUCUUCAUCAUUUCCUAUGAUAAUCAUUUCAUCCGCAUAGACUAUCAACACAGUUACCUUUCCCACUUUGUGUUUUAUGAAUAGUGUAUGGUUCGAGUUGCUUUGCUUGAAUCUGUAUUUCCUCAUUGAUAAACUGAACCGCCUAAACCACACUUGAGGUGAUUGUUUCAAUCCAUAUAGUGCUCAUUGUAGUUUGCACACAACCUUGGUUUCAAUAGAUGUCGUAUAUCCCGAAGGAAGUUCCAUGUACACUUCUUCUUCAAGAUCUCCGUGUAGAAAGGCAUUUUUACAUCAAAUUGAUGUAAUGGCCAGCCAAGGUUGGCUGCGAGAGAUAACAAUACCCUUACAAUGCUCAGUUUUGCAACUGGUGAAAAAGUUUCUUGGUAGCCUACCCCGUAUGUUUGUGUGUAACCUUUUGACACCAGUCUUGCUUUGUAUCUUUCAACCGUACCAUCUGCCUUGUGUUUGAUAGAAAAUACCCAUUUCCAUCCUACUGCUUUCUUCCCUUCAGGUAAUGGAACUAUGGUCCAUGUGUUGUUAUUUAGUAGUGUCUCCACUUCCUCUUUUAUUGCUUGAGUCCAUUGCGGUUCAGACAAGGCUUCUUGAACUCCAACUAGAAUUUGACUUGAGGAAAGUACAUAGAAAAAUGCUCUAAGGGGUUCGGAUAAUCUCUUGGUAGACACAUAGUUGGCAAUUGGAUACUUUGAUUUUCGCUUUUCAAUACCAGGAGAAUAUCUAGUCUGUGGCUUGCCACAAUUUUCCUUAAAAGGCAAUGUAUAUCCAGUAGAAGUAUUCAAGUCACUUAUAUUGGAAGGCAUGUCAAGAAUUCUUACCUCACGGAUAUUUUCAGGAGAUGGGUCUGCAUGUACUAAGGAAGGAGGAGGGGGAGGGGGGAACUUAGUUCAGUUGCUGAAGGCAUAUAAUUUUCUGAAGUUGUAUUUUGCUCUAUGGGUCCAUCUAGUCUUGUGGGAUCAAUCAACACUAGGCUUGGUACUUCAUCCACCAUAGUUUCACUAUUUGGCUAGUCAAAGUGCAACCAUUUCUGCUCUUCAUCUCGUGUCUCCCCCUGAAGAUAAGAAGUGGGGGUUGGGAAAAAAGGUUUAGACUUUAGGAAGGUGACAUCCAUAGUUACAUAGGUGCGUCAGGUAGAGGGAUCAUAGCACCGAUAACCCUUCUGAUGCACAACAUAGCCUAGGAAGAGACAACGACAAGCACACUGAUCUAGUUUGGUUCUUUGAUUUUUGUGAAGAUGUACAUAAGUUACACACCCAAAUACUUUAGGAGGAAACAUUAGGGUUGUAGGUAAAGAGAGGUGUGAUGCCAGAACUUGGAGCGGAGUCUUAAAAUUUAAGACUUUUGAGGGUAGUCUAUUGAGUAGAUGAACGACAAUGGAUACUGCAUCAGACCAGUAUUGGGGUGGCACAUGCAUUUCAUGUAGUAAAGCUCAUGCAGUUUCAAGAAUAUGGUGGUGCUUCCGCUCAGCUAUGAUAUUUUGCUGAGGGGUAUGAGGACACAAUGUCUCAUGAACAAGUCCAUGAUGUUCGAAAUAAGUACGGAAGCGCUAAUUAACAUAUUCACCACCAUUAUCGGAGCGGAGAACUCAGAGCUUAGAAGAAAACUAAGUUUGGAUCAUCGCAUGGAAUGAUUGAAACACAUGUAAUACUUCAUCUUUAUGUUUCAUCAAGUAAAGCCAGGUCAUACGGGUACAUUCGUCAACAAAUAUACAAACCAACAAACACCAGAACCAAUCGAGAUAUGGGAAAGACCCCACACAUUAGAGUGAACUAAAGCAAAGGGAAAAGUGCUUUUAUUCAUACUUAGUGGAUAGGAAGUCCGAUGAAUUUUGGCUAUAAUGCAGGUAUUACAUUUAAGGUCAGAAAACCUUGUAUUAGAAAAAAGAUCAAGUCGUAGAUGCUUCAGAUAAUCAAAAUUUGGAUGCCCCAAAUGUCGAUGCCAAAGUUAGAUUUUUUGUUCUCUCACAUCACUUUGUAUUUGGUGAACAUGACCUGUGCUAACAUAUUUCAUGUAGUAUAGACCCCCCCCUCCCUCCCUUUUUAGUACCACGCCCAAUUAUCUCCUUGGUGAGAAUAUCCUGAAGAAUACAAAAUGUAGGAUACAUUAGGACAACACAAUUUAGUUCUAUUGUAACUUGAUUAAUAGAUAGUAAUUUAUGUGAGAGCGAUGUAACAAGUAAUGUAUUCAAUAAUUGGAAUGAAGGAGACAAAUACACAGAUCCGACCCCUAUGAUAGGAGAAACAACCCCAUCAGCAUUGGCAACACUAGUGCGUCACGGGGAAGAUGUUGUAGUAAAGUCGAUAGCUGCAAAAUUCAUAUGGUCUGUGGCUCCAGAGUUAAGAAGCCAUGUACCACAAUCAACAUCAUAGAAGGUAACUAAAUUAGAACCACAGUUACCUAUAUCAGAGACGGGUCCUGCAUCCUGAGAAGACUCAGCCUAAGGAAUCAAGGAAAGGUGAGGUUCGAUUGACAUUAUAGCCACUUUGCCCUUGUUUGCAUCCGCACCAACUGAGUCCUUCUUUUUCUUUGCCUGCAACUUAUACCACCAAUCGGGAUAACCAUUUUUUUGAAACAAUUCUCACUUGUGUGGCAUGGGAGCAUUUCAUUCCAUCAGGAAUAGUUCAUGACUUAGAGGUUGUAGUGCAUUUCCCAUGGUUGGGGGCUACAACAGAGUUUGUGUUGGCUAAACUCAGUUUCAGCCCUUUGGUAGUCAGAACCACACCUGAGGUAUUGUCGGGAUCACUAGUGCUCAUGACUGCUUAUCGAAGAGCCUCUCUGUGAACAUGAGCAUAAGCUUGCUCGAUUAAGGGAAAUAGGCGCAUUUGAAGCACAUUGCUGCGGAUGUUGUCAAUGCGAUCAUCAAGACCAUCAAGGAAAGUGUAAACAUGAUCUUCUUGGAGUAGGUUGUUGUAGUGGUAGAUGUCAGUGGUGCAUUCCAUCAGAUUCGAAUGACAGAAAUCAAUUUCCCGCCAUAGUCCUUGUAGUUUAGUGUAGAACUUCUCAAGGGAUCCACUACCUUAUCAUAGACAAGUCACACAUCGCUGGAGUUCAUAGACUUGAGAAGUAUCGUUGCCAUCGAAAUAAGUUGUAGCAAUGGCAUCCCAGACCAAUUUUGCUGUGGGAAAUCAGAUGAAAUUGUCCAUGAGUGUUGGAUCCAUAGAGUUUAUCAACCAUUAUUUGACAAUGGAAUUAUCAGUACGCCAUUUUCGAAAUGAUGGAUUUGCCUAUGGCAGUGGUGGACAAUUGUCGUUGAUAUAACCUAGUUUAUCUUUGUCGGAGAUGUACAUCUCGACAACCUGGGCCAAAGGGUGUGGUUGGAACCUUCCAACUUGAUACCAAUUCGAGCAGUUGAGUUUUCGGUGGUUGAAUUCAAGACUUAGACUUUGGAUAAGGCUUCAGUCAUUUGGCUGGUAAGGGUGGUGAUGAUGGAGUAGGUAUGUGAUGGAGGAUCACCAGAAUUAGUGAUAAUGUCGAUGUCUAUCAUAGAUGAAGGGCAUGGAUCAAACAGACAAAACUAGAGUUUUUCCGAUGAAGAGAGCCAAAGAUCGAAUUCCAUGAUCUAAUACCAUAUCAGCUUUUCUGGGUUUUUUCAGUAUAUUAUUUACAUGGAGAAAAUACAAAAUAAAUAAGAAAAUUAUAGUCCUAUUUUUGUCUAUACAAAUAUCUUGGCAAAGAUCAUGCCAUACUUGUAUGGCAUGAUUCUAUAUUUAUGUCUACAGUUGUAUCCUUCCUAAGGUAGUUUCUAAUAGCUCGCGCCAACAAAAUAUAGAUGUAGAAUUUGAACAACUAUAUAAUACAAUUGUACUAAUUAUUCAAAGUUAAUGAACUAACUAUAUAUAUAAGGGGUGUGCAAGACAAUUCAUAUGAAAGAAUUUGAGUAUUUCUUAUCAACUUCCCUACUUCUUUCCCUCACCUAGGGGUUCUUCACUUCUAAGAAACACAUUAACACAUCACAUACUCAUCCUAUACACGUCUGUACACCAAUACAUUGGGAUUUUGAAUCUCUAUCCGGACUAAAUAUAUGGGUUUCCUCUUUGGAAGCAACCGGGCUAUGAAUUUCUUUUACCAAACCAGUGGAACAUAUGAUUAAUAUACUUAUGUAGAUGUCCAUGAAUUAUGAAUUCCUUUUAUCAAACCAGUGGAACAUAUGAUUAACAUGCUUGUGCACAUUUACAUGAAUUUGGAGAUGGAUUUUGGACAACAAUAUAAGACAGUUCCACAACUUACAAGGCCAAUGAACUAGUUGUACAAGAGUUGUACAAAACCAACCAUUGUGAAGGAAUUUGAGUGUUUUUUUACAACUUGUUGGCUUCUUUCCUUCACCAAAACACUUGAAACAUUUUUACAAAUGACAAUAAAAUAAAAAAAGCAAGUAUCAAAUUUUGUUUUCAAAUUAAAAAAAAAAUUCUAAUUAACAUAAAAAUAGAUUGUUAUUUUUUGAAAGAUAAAAUUAAAAAUAGAAAUAUAAUAUAUAUAUAUAUAUAUAUAUAUAUAUAUAUAUAUAUAUAUAUAUAUAUAUAUAUUUAUCUUUCACUUGAUUUGUAAAUAUUUUAAAAAUAAAUAGGAAAAUAAAAUAUUUUAAUUAAAUUUUAAGAUAAAAUUUGAAAACAUGAAAUAAUAAUUAAUUUUACAUAAAAUAUAAAAACUUUUAGAGGCUUAUAUUAAAAGAGUAAUGGUUUUAAAAAUUAAAAUUUUGAGGUAUUAAAAACUUUUACCAUCUCAAAUUUUAAAAAAUUUAAAUUUAAUUUUUAAGGAUAUAAAAUAAGCAUAUAUUUUUUAUAUAAGAAAUUUUAUUUCUUAAGUUAUAAAAAUUAUUAUUAAUUUCUAUUUUUAAAAACAAAAAAACAAGAAAUAUAUUCAAAAGAAACAUUUAUUCAAAAAUUUUAAAAUGCAUAGUAGUAAAAAAAAAAUUUAAUUUUAAGCUAAUAACAAAUAUUUCGAGAUUUUAGGGGUUUUGAGUUUUAAAAUUAUAAACCACAUUUGGGAUUUUGACAUAUUUUGGUCUUCUUCCCAUUAAAUAAUUGCCACUUCAUCUAUCUCCAUGUAUAAUUUUUUUAAAACUCUAUUAAGGGUAUUUUGGGCAUUUUUGGUUCACAAAUUAUGGAUAUACCCUUAAGGGCAUUUUAAAAACUUGCUCUAUCCCUUCAUAGCAAUUGUGCAAAAUUUUGUGGAUAUUUGACAUGUCUUUAGGAUUACCUAAGGAAACAUGUUUACUCAAACCCUUGUGAUAUCAUGAUAUCAAUAUUGAAUAUAUCUAUUGCCAUUAGGCUCCAUCAAUAGUGACCUAAUCUAUGGGAAAUAUACGACCACUUUAAGAUCUCACUCAUAGGUCAAAACCACUAAAAACUUUGGCAUAAACUCAGUAUCUUCUCAAGGUUGAGAACCCAUAUAAUAUGAUAGUUUGGUGAUAUCAUGACUACUUGAUAAUCAAUAUCAUAACUACCUGAUUGUAAAUAUCACGAUUCACCAUAGAUUUUGUUCAAUAUAUAACCGUACACACUAGUGAAUAGGAAAAUCAUCUGAAUGGUCAAGACCAGUCAUCCCUACAAUGAAUUAAGAGAUAGUACACUACAACCUCAAUUGCUUAAGUCCAUGAACUAACUAUGAACUAACUAUCUACUUGCAAGGAACUCAUGAUUUGGAUUUUCCGUGUAACUGUUAAAGCACCAAAGUCAUGUACAAUGCAAAAGAUAUCAAGUUAAAAUGCUUUAAAAGGGUAAUGCAUGACUAAGAUAGAUUAAUUGAGAACUAGAAUCUUAUUAAUAAAUAAUAAAUCCAUUAUUAUUGCAUCAUAUUAUAUUUUAAAGGUUCUAUCCUAAUAAGGUGUAUUUAAAUCAAACCUCAUAGGUCUAAGUAAAAUUAACAUUUAGUAAAUUUUAUAAAUGACUAUAAGAUGAUACACAAUUAUCAAACUCGAAUGGAUAGAAAAUAAUAGGACUUCUUAUUAUCAUAUUAAAAGUCUUUUCACUUAGCAUGAAUGUUUCUAAGUGUUAUAUUUCCUUUGGUAUAGUUUUGAUUUUGGUUGGAGAUAUAUGAAAAUUACUAGUGGAUAUUGGAUCAACUAUUUAUUACUUUUAUAGUUGGAGGGAAUAUAUAUAUAUAUAACAUUAGGUCACAUAUAAAUUAAAUUAAAAUUCUAAAUGAUAUGAAUUCAAAAGAAGAAUUAAUUAUAAAUGCCGGUACAUUUAUAAAGGGAAAUUUAAUAAUAUAUUUUUUUCCUUUGGAUGAAAUUAAAAAAAAAAAAAGAUAUAAUUAUUAUUAACAUCCUUAUUUGAUCUACAUUACUUAUUGGAAAGGUCCUAUGAAAUAUGUUAGCCCAAGGGUUCUCCUAAUCAGGUUUUGAUGAUAACAACCUAUGGUUAAGUUACUAAUUAAUUUGAAUUGUAAAGAAUCUCAGGUAUUAAUUUGGAAAUUCAUCAAAUGAUCUAAUGGAUACAAGAUCAAGAUGUUUGGAAGACCUUUAAUCAUAGAAAACAAAUAUAAGAUGAAUGCAUGAGUGCACUUAGGUUUUACAUAUCAUUUCAUGCAUAUUUGGAAAACCCGGUUGAUUCCUUAAAGUUAAAGUUUCAUUAAAACCCGAGUUUUAUCAAGUGUACCUUAGGCAAAAUGUUUCAAAAUUGGCAUAUUAAAUUACCUAAAGGCCUUGCCUAAGUGUUAGAAGAGAAAAGAAUAGAAAAAGAUAGGUUUUCAGAGCCAAAAAGUUGAACUAGUCAAGGCACUGGGCCAACCAGCUCAACCGGCCAAGGUACCGAUCAACCGGUUCCCUUUGCCCGAUCGAGGUCCAGUCGAGGAGUGCUAAAAAAAUUCUCUCUCAUCCAAUAGCCUUCUCUUCUCGGUCAAGGUAUCCUCCUUCCUGAUCGACCUCCGAUUGAGGUUCAGUCGAGGUCCAGUUGAAGCAACGGCAACCUGCCAAAGCUUUAAAUGCUCCAACGGCUAGUGAACCGGUCGACCCCCAACUCGACCGGUUGAGGCUGCUUUUUGUUUUUCUUAGCUCCCAAGGUUAGCAACCUAUAAAUUGAGAGUUCCACUUCAUUUAUGACAAGAGAACACUUACAUUUAUUUGUCUACCCACUUGUUCUUGCCUUAAAAGCUUUCAUUUCUUUCUUGGUGCAUUAAAUCUUCACUUGCAUAUCAUUUAGUGCACCUUUGUGAUUCAUCCUAGCUUUGAUUUGUAUUUGAGCUAUCAUUGAGCUAGGUUGAGGGAUUCAUUCUAGUAAAAUUGAGUGUUAAAGCCUUCAAAUUAGUUGAAUCUUGAAGAGAUUGUGUAAGAGCCCAAUGGAGCCGGAAUUCAAGUGUAAAGGAGAUUAGAAGCUUAGUUGAAACUUCAAGUAAGUGGAACCCUCACUUGGUUAGGAGCUUGAGGAGAGUGGGCGUAGGCAAGGAAGUGUCAAACUAUUAUAAAAUCUGAGUUUGAUUUCUCUAACUCUAUCUCUUUAUAUUUGCUUCUAUUGUGCUUGAAUUUGUUGUGUUGAAAAAGAUUUUGAAAAACCCAAUUCACCCCCUCUUGGGUGUUUUUCUCAUUUAAGAUUAGUCUUUACUUUCUCACAAUACCUCCUCAUCUUAAUUUAUCAAAACGAAGUUGAUUGUUGUUGAAAUGUUAAAAGUUUAUGACACAACAUUAUUGCAUCAUAUUAUCUAUAGGAAUUCACUUUAUCAGUUAAGAAAAGUGAAUUUAUAAAAUUACAAAAGUUGUAGAGUUAGAAUGAAAAAUUGUAAUUAUUAACUCACUAUUUUAAAAUAUGCUUACAAACGGAUGAAAGAGUGUGAUUUUGAAUCAUCUCUGAAUAUCUCUUCUAUGUCUUUCGCUUUUCUCAAAUUUUGGAGAAUCUAACAAAGGCUAGAAGGGCAAGUUUAUAAACUUUUGAAGAGUUUUGCGGUAGUGAAAUCAAAUGAGUCGAAAAGAAAUAUCUUCUUUAGUUAUUGAAUUAAUGUAUUAACACACUGUAAAAAUCAAUGGACAAAUCCUUCCUUGUCAAGGGUUUCUCUUUGGUUAUUCAACAUUUGGGAGGCAUUGCCUUCAAACUCUAAGUGGAGAAAUACAGUUCAAGAGCAUAGUGACUACCUCAUGAAUGUAGAUAUACCAUUAUUGGUGUCAUCUAUAGUUAUAAGCGUUUUUUACUUGAUUCAAGGGUCAAACAUAGUUGAUCAUUAUUUUAGAACUUAGAAAAAGUUUGUGUCGAAGUCAUAAUUAUUUGCUUUGGUUUCUGGUUUAUAUUUGGAAAUCCUGGUUAAGCAUAUUGAAUCCCAAAUUAUAUGUAUGAAGGAGGAAAUGAAAGAGGACAAGUUAUUAAUUGGUUCCCUAAAGUAUUUUCUGUGAGUCCUCUUGCUUAGAACAAGUUAUGAUGGAAGGUGUGGUUUCGCCAAGUCUAAAGUUUCAUCCACAAAUAUUAGCACUAUAAAGUGGCAUCCCCUACUUCUUGACCGGCAUCAACCCAAGAUUAUUCCCAAGGAUGUCUGACUUUGGUCACUCUUUGUGGGCUCUGGUCGACACCAUCCCAUCCUCUUCAAGGAAAGUUGUAUCAAUAUUAUUAUUAUUUUUAAGUUGGCAAUCAUGGUAACAGGCUUGAACAGGUUGACUACUUCGCCAGAAAAUAAAUGAAGGAAUUGCAAGCAAGGAAACCAGAUAACUGGGCAAGAGAGCGCUUUUCCUUCACUCCAGUGGAAGUGCGGAUUACAUUUCAUAUGCUGAAUUAAGGGGUUCAAAUAUUAAAGAAAACCACAAAGUUUCAACACAUGGUACGUACAUUAGUUUUUAUUAGGCCUCGCAGCCUGAUUUCUCACUUGAAAUUUAAGAAAAACAUGAACCCAGAAAGGGGAUCGAUUCUAUUUAUUUAAUUUGUCUCCGAUUAGUACACAGAUAAAAGUUAUUGCCAACACUGAAAUAAGGUUGGAGCUUGAAAACUUUUCAUCCCAGAGACCAGACAUAAAACACUACGUGGUUCACAAGUAAGAAGAGAGCAGUACUAGUCUAAGCACCGACAUCAGUCCUCAGAUUCAUUUAUUCAACUCUGCCGCUGACCCAUGACUAGGAAACAGUUCAUGGGGUUUUUUUAUUUAUCUCACUUCUACAUGACUAAAUACUAGCUAGCUUGCAGGCUGAUUACUAGUUGUUCAACAAGAAAGACCUCUCUAUCUGUGUGGAGAGGUACAAUGAAGCUGAGCCAUGAAUGGAUGAAACAAGCUUCUCAUCCACAUUACACUCUUUUUCUUCCUCCAUGAUCGUGUCCAAAAUUUUUGUUAAUUGGCGCUUGGUUACAGAGAUGAAUCGUGGGGGAGCAACCUCCAUAGUGAACCUUGUAUUCUGUGACUUCGCCAUUUCAUGCAUCGGGCAAUAAAAUGGUGAUAGGAUUCCACCAAAUACAGAACUAGAAAGUGCCUGAAACUGAACCCCAGAAUAAAGAAUGAGUAGGAAAGAAAAAGUAAGGGAAGCAGGCAUAGAGGACUCAAGGAUAAGAGGGAAAAACAAAUGGAAGAAGUAGAGAAAAGAGAGGAGUGAUGAUUUGUGUUGGUGGACGCUCAUUCCAGUGAAUUUAUAAGGCUGAAGUUGUGGUAGUAGGCAUUUUUGGGAAGGGAACAUAGCUAUCAUGUGGUCCAUAGGCAUGUGGGUUGAAUACGAUCAGACUUUAAGGCCCUUUUAACAUGCUUGGCUCAAGAACUGCUGGCUAUGAGGUUAAUUGCGUGUCCCACCUUUCCGCGGAAACACGAUUUCUAGAGGGGACCAAACCAUGGAGGUGACUCUCCAUGGUACUGCAUUGUCACUCCACUUCCACUUUUUCUUGUGAUUAAUGCUGAAAGGAUAAGUCAUGCAUGAAUAAAAAAUCCAUGUGCAAAUACUGCUACAAACUUUCUUUUCUCCAUCCGGUCAUUCAAGAGGUAUUUGCCAUUGAAAUCGACCAAAACUUUGUGAUGAGUUAACAGUCACGACUGCCCCUGUUGGUGAACCAAAAAACAAAAGCGUUUUGGUCUCUUUGAGGUGUGAUCCUUUAUUUCUCUUUUCAUAAGCCCCAAAUUCUGAUUUAUGAAGUAGCGUUUAUACUUCAGGGGCCAUGAAGCCAUGGAAAAAGUAUAGAUAUAAAUUACUGUUUUGUGCCGAUAAUCAAUAGUUAUGGGGGAUAAUUCUAUGAUCGAAACAUGAGUUGGGAGGUUUCAACUCAGUGGGCUUACCAGGGUGAGCCAUUUUCCAAACCAUGCGAAAUAAUCCGAUAAAGCUUACUCAUCAAGUUGAUCAGAAUGCGAGGGAAAAGAAACCAAGAUUUUUUUGUAAGAUUUGCUACCUGUAAGAUGAUCAAGCAUUUCCUUUGUGUUGCUUCCAAAGAUUUAAACAAGCUCACUAGCAUGAAGAUUAAUUUAAAUCAGUACAUAUAUAGGGAUAAGGAUUGUUAUCACAAUAUUAUUAAACUCAUGAUCUUGAAAUAUCAAUUGCUUAAGAGUGCUUUUGAUAGUAUUUCUACUCGAAGUGUUUUUAGUUAAAGUGUUUUCUCUUAAAAAUGUUUUUAGAUAAUCACCUAUCAAGUGUUUCUCUAUAAAACAUUACAAGUGAUUUUCUAACAUUAUAAAUAAUUUUUCAGAUUUUUAAAAAUAUUUUUUAAUUUUGGUCAAAUACCUUCCUUUUUUGUGUGUUUUCAAAAAUAUUUUUUAAACUAAAAAUACUUUCUAAAAUCAAUGUUAAACGAAUUCUAAAUCCCUCAAUAGAAUGAAAGUAGGAUAUAUAUAUAUAUAUAUACUCAGUUUUCAAAUUAAGAGUUUUUCAAAACAUUUUUGUUGGGGGGUGGAAAAUCUAAAAUUUUGAAUUUUGAGUUCAAACAACCAUUUUUUCUAAAAGUUUAAAUUCUUAGGAUUUGAGUCCGAAAUACACCUCAACAUUUCUCUUAUGGAUAAUCUCAUUUGGACUUUAUAAAUUGGAAAAAUAAAGCGAUUUAUCUUUUUUUGGAUUUAAUAAAUUAAGAAAAUCUUACCAAGGAGGUUCUGAUGUCAUGUUAAACAAUUUAACUAACAAUGUAUAACAUGUACUCUGACAUUUUCAAUACUGAUAAAAAUAGUAAUUAAGUUUCAUAAAUUCACACCCAAUUUCACUCUGAUACCGAAAUGGUAGUGGUGGGAAAUCAAUGGAGAAAUUUGAAGAUAAUGUUAGGAAUUUACAUGAAUCCAACAGUAGCUUCGAGCUCAAAAGGAUUACGACAAGUGUGAAUAAGAGUUCCUUAACCAGGAAAAUGUACUACCUCCACAACUUAAAUAUUUGUGAUUAAGGACAAGAGAAGCAAGAGAAUAAUCAUAGUGUUUGGCAUUGAAUCCCUGGUCAAGAACCUGCUUUCUAAUUCUCUUAACAAAUUUUUGGUCAUAAUGCUUGGCAUGCAUAUCCAUAUGGUCUAUUUCUAUUAUUUCUUGCAAAAAAAUGAUGGUAGUACUACCUUUUGGCAGCAAUUAAUGUCAGCAAAAGCUUGUGGUCUAGCUUCCGGUUGACAGAUGAGUAUCGGUAACAGGACCAUUAAUGAUACUUCACUGUAACUUGGGUCAGCACCAUUUUUUUUGUGUCUCAUCACAUAUCCAAAUCUUAUGUGUCAUUUCAUAUAUUUUUCGAAAAUGUCAUUAUAGCCUUACUCUAACAAAAUUUCUAUCUUACAUUUUUAGUUUAAUCAUGGCUUAGUGCUAGAAAAUGGCACAUUGUGAAUCACGAGUGAAGCUGUACAGUGGAAGAAAUGCAAAGUACUUUCUUCCACAAAUGAUGUUGCUAUAUCUUGGAAUAACGCCAUACUCCAAAUAUUCUUUGCUUGACCUUAUCUGCCUCAUAAAUUUAUUGAUGUAAAUGCUCAUGCCGUAUCUAUUAUGUGCUUCUCCGGGCAGAAAUAAGUAAACCCAAUAAAUAACUAUUCUAAUAUUUUCCACCUUUCUUUUGCCUUUUUUUUUUUUUUUUUUUGGGAAUAAUUAAAAAAAAAUUAUUUUUCACUUUAAUUUUAUUUCUAUGGAUCUAUUCCCAAAAUUCAAUACCUAAUUUUCAUUUUAAAAUGGAGGUGAUAUAAGUUUUUUUCCUUUGAAAUAAGAGGAAGGUGAUAAAUAGAACAUGUAAGGAUAUAAUGGUAUACGUGGAUGGAUAUCGAUUGUGAGAUUUCUCGCAUUAUCUUGUGGUUGGAAAUCAUUCUUGAACCAACACGGCAAGAUACAUAAUCAAGAGUAGGGGACCAGUACACCAGUUCAGUGAUCAGCUGUAAUUUUCCUUUCAAAGAGUUAAAUUGUAUCUUUUUCUAUCCAAACUGGCUUAAAACAGACAGAAGAGACCUUUAGUUAGGUGUCUUUCUCUCGCAAAGACAAAUAGCUUUCAAACAAGAAAGGGCUAUCCUCUUCUUUUCUUUAUAUAUUAUUUAUUUAUUUAUUUAUGGAUAUAUGUGGUUGGAACCGAGAUUAAAAUAUUUGAAUGAAAUUGUAAAAAUAUUAGACUCUACUAGGGAAGCGUUUUCAUAAAUAGUUUUGAAAAACAUUAUUUUAUGAUGUUUUAUAAAAUAAAAGGUUGUUGCAAAACCUAAAAUAUUUUUAACCUAUUUUUUAUAUUUUUAAAUAUGUUUUUAAAAUAACUUUUAUAUAUAGUGUCUUAUUUUUAAUUAUUCUUUAUAGUUAUAUAAUUAUUUUUUAAAAUAGUUCCAAAAAACAAGUGAAAACAACUGAAAAAAACUAAAAGAUGUUAUUUGAAAACAUCAUGUUUUUUUGUUUUUAAGAAUGGAAAAUGAUUUUUUGUUUUCAAAUUGUCAAAUUUAUUUUCCUAUUUUUUUGUUUUGGAGAACAAAAAUCUAUUUUAAAAAAUAGUUACCAAAUAAGGCCUUAGUGGUUAGAAUUUGCAAAAAAAUAUUAAAUAGAAAUUGAGAAAAAUAUUAUUAGAACAUAAAUUGAUCAAAGCUAAUAAAAAUAUUAUAAAAAACUUUUUUUAAAAUGAUAAAACAAGUAAUAACAUAUAUAAUGAGAUUGAUUUAUUAAAGAAAAUAAUACUUGUAUCAUAAAAUUUGUAACAUUUGUAAUAAUGUUGUAAACCUUCUAUUUUGUCCACAUGAUUUUGAUCAUGUUUGGUGCCUAUAACUUCAUUCCUUGCAUAAAUGUGCACAUUGGAUCCUCUUUAGUUUCUUUGUUCUCCACACUCCUUAGUAGUCCACUUAUUACUCGGCUUUGGCAUUGGCUUUCGAGAUACUUUUGGAAACCUUUUGGAGGGAAUUUUGGAUCUAUGGAGUGACUUGAGCAACAUCCUUCUUUUUUUUUUUUCUUUUUUUUCUUUUUUUUGUGUGUUAGGAGUUCCCUAAGCUCAAUUUAGGAGUGUUUUUAUGAGCCUUAACAUUAGGUUAUUGCAUUUUAGUAGCUUAGGCUUGGUUUAAGGGGGUUUUAAAGAGAAUUGGGCUUUAGAGGAGAUGAGGACAAGUGUCCAAAUCUCCACCACUCCUUACUUUAUAAAAGGGGUUCUUAUGUUAGGAUUAAGCUCCUAAAAGUAAGACGUGAUGUAACAAAGUCAGACUUCACUGUCCCUAGGCUAUCCCUUUUAUGCAUUAACAUUGAUUUGAGCAUUCAACUCAUUUUUCUUAUAUUGUACAUGACUUAGGUGCAUUAGUAGUUGCAUAAAGGAUAGAAGUCAUGGGUUCCUUGUAAGUAGAUAAGUUGUCUACAUUUAGUUCAUGGAUUUGGGCUAUCCAAUAGAGGUUGUAGUGCAACACCUCUUAAUUAGAUGUAUGAUUUGUCUUGGUCAUCAAAAUGAGUUUCUCAUGGUGAGUGCACCAGUGUAUGUAAUAUACACUAGAUAAGACCUACGAUAAAUCAUGAUGUAAGACGAUCAAUUAUUAUGAUUCACCAAACUACUAUACUACAUGGACUCUCAACCUUAAGAGAAUAUUUUUUGUCCCUUCUUGAAAUAAGAGAAAAUGUGAUAAAUAAAACAUGUGAGGUUAUAAUUAUAUAUGUGGAUAAAUAUCGAUUGUUAGAUUUCUUAUAUUGUCAUUUGGAUGGAAAUCGUUCUUGAACCAACACAACAAGAUACAUAAUCAAGAGUAGAGGACCAACACCAGUUUAGUGAUUAGCUGUAAUUUUCCAUUCAAAGUGUUAAAUUGUAUCCUUUCUAUCCAAACUAAACUAAAACAAAUAGAAGAGAUCUUUGGUUAGGCGUCUUUCUCUCACAAAAGACAAAUAGCUUUCAACCUCUUUUUUAUUUAUAUAUUAUUUAUUUAUUUAUUCAUGGAUAUAUAUGGUUAGAACCAAGAUUAAAAUAUUUGAAAUUACAAAAAUAUUAAGCUCUAUUGGGGAAGUGUUUUCAAAAACAGUUUUGAAAAACAAUUUUUGAAAACCAUUUAUGUUAUUUUAUAAAAAUAAAAGUCUAUUUAAGAACUUAAAACAUUUUUGACUUAUUUUCUAUGUUUUUAAAAAUAACUUUUAUAUAAAGUGUUUUAUUUUUAAUUAUUCUUCAUAGUUGUAUAAUUAUUUUUUAAAACAGAUCCUCAAAAACAAGUGGAAACAAUUGAAAAAAACUAAAAGAUGUUCUCUAAAAGAACUUUGUUUAAUGUUUUUAAGAAUGGAAAAUGAUUUUUUGUUUUUGGAUUGCCAAAUGUAUUUUUCAUUUUUUUUUGUUUUGUUUUUUUUUUGUUUUUUUUGUUUUUUUUUUUUUUUUUUUUGUUUUUAGAGAACAAAAAACUAUUUUAAAAAACAAUUAUCAAAUAAGGUCUUAGUGGUUGGAAUUUGUAGAAAUAUUGAAUAGAAAUGGAGAAAAAUAUUAUUAGAACAUAAAUUGAUCAAAACUAAUAAAAAUAUUGUAAAAAACUUUUUUUUAAAAUAAUAAAACAAGUAAUAAUAUGCAUAAUGAGAUUGUUUUAUUGAAGAAAAUAAUACAUGUAUGAUAAAAUUUGUAACAUUUGGUAACAAUGUCAUGAACCUUCAAUUUUGUCCCUAUAACAUAUAAUUUUGAUCAUAUUUAGUACCUAUAACUUCAUUCCUUGCAUAAAUGUGUGCAUAAGAUCCUCUUUAGCUUUUUUGUUCUUUGUGGUCCUUAGUGGUCCACCUAUUACUUGACUUUGGCAUUGACUUUUGAUCCAAUUUUGGAGACCUUUUGGAGGGAUUUUUUAUCUAUCGUGUGACUUAAGAGUCACCCUAGAUUUUUUUUUUUUUUUUUAUUAAGGUCCUUAAGCUUAGUUUAGGAGUGUUUUUAUGAGCCUUAACAUUAGGUUAUUGCAUUUUAGCAGUUUUGUCUUGGUUCAAGGGGGUUUUUAAAGAGAAUUGGGCUUUAAAGGAGAUGAGGACAACUGUCCAAAUCUGCACCACUCCUUGCCUUAUAAAAGGGGUUCUUAUAUUGGAAUUAAGCCCUUGAAAGCAAGAUGUGAUGUAACAAAGUCAGAGUUCAUUAUCCCUAGACUAUUCUUUUUAUGUAUUGAACAUUCAACCCAUAUAUCUUACAUUGAAUAUGACUUGGGUACAUUAGGAGUUAUGUAGAGGAUAUAAGUCAUGGGUUCCUUGUAAUUAGAUAAGUUGUUUACAUUUAAUUCAUGGAUUUUGGCAAUCCAAUUGAGGUUGUAGUGCACCACCUCUUAAUUGGAGGAAUGACUUGUCUUGGCCGCCAGGAUGAGUUUCUCAUGGUGAGUGCACUAGUGUAAUUAAUGCACACUAGAUAGGACCCAUAGUAAAUCAUGACGUAAGACUAUCAAUUGUCAUAAUUCACCAAGCUACUAUACUACAUAGACUUUCAACCUUGAGAUGAUAUUUUUUCUCCAUUCUUGAAAUAAGAGAAAAGGUGAUAAAUGGAACAUGUGACGUUGUAAUUAUAUAUGUGGAUAAAUAUCGAUGGUUAGAUUUCUUGUAUUAUCAUGUGGAUGGGAAUCAUUCUUGAACCAACAUGAUAAGAUACAUAAUCAAGAGUAGGGGACCAACACUAGUUCAAUGAUCAAUUGUAAUUUUCCAUUCAAAUUGUUAAAUUGUGUCUUUUUCUAUCCAAACUCAACUAAAACAGACAGAAGAGAUCCAAGAAAAAGACAAAUAACUUUCAAAUAAGAAAGGGGUGACCUUUUCUUUUAUUUAUAUAUUAUUUAUUUAAUUAUGGAUAUAUACAUGUGUGUGUGUGUGUGGUUGGAAUCCCAAGAUUAAAAUAUUUGAAACUAUAAAAAUAUUAGGCUCUAUUGGGGAAGUAUUUUCAAAAGCAGUUCUGAAAAAUAAUCUUUAAAAACUAUUCCAUGAUGUUCUAUAAAAUAUAAGUCUAUUUGAGAAUUUAAAAUACUUUAAACAUAUUUUCUAUGUUUUUAAAUAUAUUUUAAAAAUAGCUUUUUAUAUAGUGUUUUAUUUUUAAUUAUUCUUCAUAGUUGUGUAAUUGUCUUUUAAAACAAUCCUAAAAAAAUGAGUUAAAAUUUUGAAAAAACUAAAAUUUAUUCUAUGAAAACACUUUGUUUUUUGUUUUUAAGAACAGAAAAUGAUUUUGGAUUGCUAAAUAUGUUUUCCUUUUUUUUUCUUUUUUUUUCUUUUUUUUGAGAACAAAAUACUAUUUUAAAAAUAAUUACCAAAUAAGGCCUUAGUGGUUGGAAUUUGCAGAAAUAUUGAAUAUAAAUUAAUCAAAGCUACUAGUUGUAACAACUUGCACUCAACUGUGUAUAUAUUGUCCACUUAGACCUAAAUGAGCUUUAACGACUUUAAAAUGUGCAAAGUUAAGAGGAGCUAUACUUAUAUAGCACUAGGAACUCUCCCCCUUUCCUCCUCCCAUCCAUUCAAUGUGGGAUAUCAUAAUCAUCCCCUCAUACAGACAUAACAUCAUCAUUAUGUCCCACAAGAUUGUAGGGCCAAACAGAUAGACACAUCGGGUUAGGGAUCAACUCUAAUACCAUUUGUUGGCAUCUUAGAUCUAAGCAAUUGAAGUAAUACCAAUUUUAUAAAAAAAAAUUGAUCUUUAAGGUUAAAAUGCAAACCUUUAGAUUUAGAUGUUCCCAAACCUUGAAUCCAAGUAUUGAAGAAUCAAAUCGAUGUAGUCAAAAAUCUCGUAGACUCAAGAUUUUUCGCUCAAUGGCUCUUCCUUGAUCUUGACACACUUCCGAUGUGGGGGAAGAGGAGAUAGGGGGUGAUGACUCUCUUUCUCUCUAGAGAUGGAAAACAACUCUAUGGAAAAACUAUGGAAACCCUAACCACUAAGGGGGUAUUUAUAAGGUUUCUCGGUGAACUUAAGUUAAGCCCACUAAGGGCUUGAAUAACUUAAUCUAACUCAAAAUGGGUUCUAAUUAAUUAAUUAACUCAAUAAGACCUACUAAUUAAUCAAUUAGCCCAAUCUAAAGGCCUUGUAUCACUUAACCCUAUGCAACCUUACGUAAUUACCAAAACGCUUUUAUGCACAAAAGUGAACCUAAAGCCAACCCAACCCUCAUAAAUCGUGCCACAAGGUAUAUGAACUUGAGUAGGGACCAUAAGGACCCAUAAGACAAUACUAGCUCCCUCAAAAUCCAAUUAUAAAGUUGAUUCAAUAUCCCACUAUAGAUAAUCAGUUGCAAUCUAGUAACUUAUGUAAACAACAACAAGACACUAAGUGCUUAGAUCCAUGACCUACUAUUCAUUGCUUUUAGUCUCCUUAUGAACUAGUGCCCUAGUCUAAUAAGGUAAAAGUUAUCAAUCUUUCAAAACUACCUCUACUAUCCUUGAAUUAAAAAUCCUCCUAUUGUGUGUUCAACUUACAUGUCUUAGCUCUCAAAGAGCCUGUGUCAAGUUCCACUUAAAGAACUACUAUGACCAUAGGUUACAUGAACACACCUCCUUAGGAUCACCCAAUAUGACACUUUGUCUCAAUCUCAUGAGAUAUUAAGGUGCUUCUAUUGAGAAUACCUAUUUUUAUCAGCUUCCAUCAACAAUAACUCAAUCCAUAGGGAAUAUAUGAUCAACUUACAAUUUCACCCAUAGGUCAAAUCAAUUACUAACUUAGCACAAACUCAAUAUUCUCUCAAGGUUGAGAGACAACAUAAUAAAGUAGUUUGGUGAAGUCAUGACUACUUGAUAUCCUUAUGUCAUGACUUAUUGUAAGCCCUAUCCAAUGUGUAACCAUAUACACUAGUGCACUCACCAUGAGAAACUCAUCCUGACGGCCAAGACAAGUCAUCCCUCCAAUUAAGUGGUAGUGCACUACCACCUUCACUACUACAAAAAAAAAAAAAAAAAAAAAAAAAAAAAAAACAAGUUUAUAGUCAUAGCCAAAUCCCACUAUUAAACUUAGGAGAAAACAUGACUAUAAUAUUUAAGUGUGAACAAAGUCCACUGUGACAAAGUGUGACCAUUGAGAGUGCAGAUAAAUCAUAUAGUUGCAGUCACGUGUAAAAGUGCAACUGAAGGUAUGAAAUUAUAAUCAUGGCCAUGUUUAUUUCUAGACUAAAGGUAAUAUAUAGUCGUGACUACUAGUGUCUGUGAGUGUAUGGUACUAUUUAAAAUUAUGGUGCUAUAAACAGGAGCUGUUAUUUUAUACUAGUGUAUAGCUUGAUGUGGAUGUGACUUCUCCUUGCCCACUAUUGUAGGUUGAGUCUUUAAUAAUUUUUAUUAAAAUUCCCAUUCAUUGCAGAGAUCCUACUACCUUCAACUUUAUACUUUUAAAAUUCUUAUGCAAUAAUGAUAGCACGUUUUAAUAUUAUAUAUAUAUAUAUAUAUAUAUAUAUAUAUAUAUAUAUAUACUGAUAGAAGUUAUCACAAAAUUGCAUAUUUCAUAUAUAAAAUUACAUAUAUAAAAACUCAGUUGAAGCAACAAAAUUUCAGAUAUAACUACAAAUAUCCAAAUUACAUUUUCUCCUUGCAAGUAGAAAAGUUCAUCAUCCUACUUUAAAACAAAGAACUUUAACUUUAAAAAAAAUAAAAAAAUUAUUUCCUCUAAUACAAAGUUUUGCUGCCAACUAAAAUUGUGGAUAAAAAUGCUUAAUUCAUAGAUAUGCUGCUAAAGUCUUUGAAUAUUUCCAAAUAUCAAUGAUAAUCACCUUUCCUGCAACAUCCGAACUCUGAAAUUACUUUAAAUAUCAAGACACUCAAAUGAAACAAACUGCACCAAAUUCAUAUAUAUAUAUAUAUAUAUAAAUAAAAUGGGCAAAAGAAUCAUAUAAAAGUAGGACUGAAAUUGAAAAUAAUAAUAAGAUUUUAUACUAUUGAAGAAUAGAACAAAUAAAAAUAAAAAUGUUUCCCAAUAGUAUGAGAUGUACACCUUGGUUCCAUCAACAUAGUGAGGCAUCACUCCAAUCUUUGCGUAGUCUUCCUUAUCAUACUUUGGUUAAUCUACAUAUGAACAUGGCUACCCCAUAAAUUAGGAAAACUUUCAUGAAUUUUAGCUGUUGGGGAGUUUUCGAAAAUUUACAUGUUAAACUCCCUAGAUUAGUCUACUUAUGCCUACUGUAAGGGGAUAAUCCAUAAUUACGUUGUACCUCAUAGCUAUUAAAAGAGAAAGAAUGACCUUAAGGAAAUAGGAGGAAGAAAAGAAAGGGAAAAAAAAAAAAAGGCCUUUAUAUACUAGAUGUUUGCCCAUUCUCCUUUGGAAAUUGAACCUACAGAAGCAAUUCCUAGAUAAUAAUAUUUUUAUAGUUCAACAAAGAUGGUAACAAAGACGACAAACUUACCUCUACGUAACCACUAUCUCGUGGACGAAAGUAGCUCUAUUGAACUUGAGAUCUACCUUAUGAGAUAGUUUAUUUCAAUCCACUAAGACCAAUUGAAUUAAGUCCAUUAAUAUUAGCAUAUCAACUAUUAGUGAUAUAUUGGCUCUUGUUGAAAACUUGGACUAGUACCGACAUUAUAUAUUGAAUCAAAUAUAGUAUAUGCGAGAGACAACUCCAGCCACUACAAAAGGAUUCUUUCCAUCUAUCUCGAUGAUAACUAGUUCCCCAGUUCUUGGAGCUUUAUGCAUCUCUAGAAAUGAGUGAAUUAUAUAAAAUGCAAAAAAAUAUAAAAAUAAAUUAAACUUAAUCAUGGACAUGAUAUUUUCUUUAUAAGAGAUAAAAUAAAAGGACCUUUAGAUGGCUAGUGAAAGGUCGGUUCCAAGCUCCAUUGAGAUCCCACUCCUUCAAGGUCUUCAGAGUAAAUAUGCACUACAAGAAAUUUGACUUUUUGUGAAGGAAUAGAGCCAACCACCGUAACAAAUAUAAGCAAUAAUGGAUUAAAAAAAUAUACACACAAUGGUCCUCUUAUUCGUGUAGUUUAGGUUAUUAUUGUGACCCUGCACAUACAAGUUUUAUGUCGUUUAAAUUUUCUAAAAAUCAAACCUAACCUAAAACAUACUGAAAAUUUCACUAAACAUAAAAUUAUGAAAAACAAUCUCAUAAAUUAACAUUGACUUCAAAUUUUAGGAACAAUACGAGACUUUUAUUGCCAAUUCGCAAAAUAUUUCUAUCUCAUAUAUGGUUGAAUGAGCUUCCUAAAUAAAUGACAAUGAGAAGUUUGAUGCUCAAGCCAAGCCUCCGUGCCGACCAAUGCUACUCAGUGGACAUGACAUUGACCACUGACUCAAUUGCUCCACAACUACACACGAGAGCAGUGCAAGAGUAAGGUGAGAAUACCCUACUCAUCUAAGCCUAUUAUGAUUAAAAAAUAAAUAAAAUUAAAAGUAAAUUAAAUAAAAUUCAGAAAAAGAAAAUAAGAAAGCAUUCUGGGUUUAAUAAAUGGAAAUUAAUUUGGGCACUUAGAGAUUGAAAUCACUUGGAUUAUCAUUGAAAUUACUAGAGAUAGACAUGCAGCCAAAGCUAGCAAGAUGCCUACUGCUUCAUGAGUUGAGGACUAUUGGGAUGUUGGCAUGGCAUUGCCAUGAUGGUGUAGUGUGGACUUGGAUUUUUCACAUGCAUCCCCACUCAACGGUGAGACUUAUUUUCUUAAUGAAAAACUUAUUUUUAUAAAAUUGGAAUCACCACUCGACGGUGAGCAAAACAUUUCAAACAAUCACAAAGCAAAUCUUCAUACAUUAUCAAAAAUUAGUUUGAGGUUAAGAGAAACAUUGACUAUCACAUAUGACAUAUAAAUAACUCAUUAUUAAACUCAAACUAAUGUACAAGAGAACAAAAAUAUCAAAAUUAGGGACUAAGAUAAGACAUAUAGCGAAAUGGGCAAAACGGUAGCAUUCACAAAAAAAAAAAAGUCCUAAAUAAAUAUCUAGAAGUAUUAUUUCAACACGGAAAAAAUCAUACAACAUGCUUAUUAUGUUUACAUUAAAAAAACACAAGCUAAAACCAAGUCAAGAUAUGUAAAACGAUACCAUAUUAAAUAACAAGAUAAGCACUAUACAAGAAAUUUAUAAUACAAUCAAAACAUGAAGGUUUUAAAAACAAAUCCUAAAAAAAAAAAAAAUCUAAAAUGUGAAUUUAAUAACAAAAACUUUCAAGGAACAUCUCCUACAUGUCUAGUUUAUCAUCUUAGUGGCCAAACAAUUUAUUGAAGCCUCAAUUAAUUUCAAUUUAUAAAAAUAUCUCAAAAGGUUUAGAAUUGGACAGAAUUCAAUAACAUGCAUAAGUCGAUUUUUUAACCAACCUACAAGUUCUAUAAAAUCAUACAAAACAUCAUGCGACAUAUUCAGAAUGUCUAAUUUAAAAAUAAUAAUAAUAAUAACAAUAAUAAAAGUAAUGGCAAGGCUAGAAGGCAUGUGGUUCAAUUUUUAAAAUAAACAAACUAUCCCUCUAUCAAAUUGGGACAAUGCAGUAGGUGCAAGAAAGGAAAAUUAUAUCUUUUAAUUGAGAAAACAUUUUUCAAUAUUUUAUGUGUUUAAAUUCAACUUUCAAGAAGUCUAGAAUGAAGGAAAAAUAUCAAAAUAAAUUUACAAAGUCACCAAGUAAUUUAAAAACAUAGAAAAAGUUUGAGUGUCCAAAAUUGGGUAAAAACUGAACACACUAAAAAAUGAAUUCAUAACUUCCAUUUGGAAAAAGCUUUAACUCAAACAAGAUUCUAAAAUCAAGUUCAGAGAGUCUAACAUAUCAUACAAUCAUGGGAAAAUUUUUAGGAACAUCUUAAGUUAGUUAAAUCAAAAUUUUAUUUCAGAUGCACUACAAAUACAACAAGCUAAUAAUAAAAGGUUUUUUUUGAAAAAUAAUUGUAUGUAGGAGUCUCACCAAAUCCCCUUUUGAUAUGCACAAACUUAGCCUAUGUAUUCCUAAGCUAGCAUGAGUAUUGAUAAUCUCACCAAAGCCAAGAAUUAUCGCAUCUAUUUAGGACCACAAGCUUGGAUUCAUAUUCCACUCAACAUCAUAUUUUUAUUGAAAACAAAAUGAUGCAAAUUGAAUGAGAUAUAGUUGCAUAUUUUUGAAAAAAAAGAUAUUUUGACCCCAAGGGUCCUAAAUGGAUUUUUUAAAUGGAUUUUCAAUGGGAAUCUUUUGAGAAAAAACUUUCUUUUUAGAAGAGAAAAGUUGCAUUUUAAACCAUAAAAGACGAGGAUAAAAAAAAAACCAAGUAAAUCAAGAGAAACUAAAAUCACAAAGGGAAAUUUUUUUACAAUUAACUAAACUGAUGUGGUGAGAGUGGAGGUCAAUCUUCAUUAUUUUUUAGGAUCUCUGAAAAUCAAGUUUGAUCAACAAAGCAACAAAAUAGUAAUUUUUAAUUCAAACAAACUAAUAUGAUAUCAACCAAUAAUUAACAACUAGGAUUCUAUAAGUACAUAGACUAAGAUAAUAUCAAUUAAGAAUUAACAUUAAUGAUUUUAAAACACAAGCUAAUAAUGUGAGAUUGAUCAAAUUAAUAAACUAAAAUUCUAAGAAAUACCUAAACUAAUGCAGGAUCAAUAAAAAAACUAAAGCAAUAAAUUUUAAAACAUGAGCAAAAUAAUACUAUAUCAAUUAAACUAAUUAACUGAAAAUUAUGAAAAGCACAUAAACUAAAGAAGAUAACUCAAAAUCCAAAGUUAACAAACUAAAGGCAUGAAUAUGGUAACUUGUGAUAAACUAAACUAAUCAACUAGAAUUCUAAUAGACAUAACUUAUUAUUUUUCAUCCCAUAUUUCGUGUCAAAUAUCAUAAACUAAAAUAAGAUGAAUCAAAACUAAAGUCAACUAUUUUAAAGCAUGAACGAAAUAAUAUGGGAUCAAUUCAACUCACUCACUAAGAUUCUAAAAAAGAAAAAAAAAAACUAAAAUAUGAUGAGUCAAGAAUGAAAACUAACGAUUUUAAAACAUAAGCAAAGUAACAUAGGAUCAAUAAAUUAAUUAACUAGAGUUCUAAAAAAACAUGUGAACUAAAAUAGGAUCAAUCCAAAAAUGAAAACAAACCUAAAACAUGGAUAUAAUAACAUGAGAUCAUUUAAACUACAUACCUAAAAUUCUGAAAAACACAUUAACUAAAAUAUGAUCAGUGAAGAAUUAAAAUUAACAACCAACUUGAAACCUAAACAAAGUAACAUGGGAUCAAUUAGAUCAAUUGAAUACAAUUAUGGAAACUAUAAACUAAAAUAAGAUGAGUCAUGAAUUUAAAUUAACAAACUUAGAAACGUGAAGAUAAUAACAUGAGAUCAACUAAAUCAAUUAACUAAAAUUCCAAAACACACAAAAAAAAUAUCGAUGAAUCACGAAUUAAAAAUAAUAGACUCAAAGCAUGAAAUUAAUAACAUGGAAUCAAUUAAAUUAAUAAACUAAAAUCCUAAAACAACUAAACUAAAUAAGUUGAAUCAAAACUAAGAUUUAUAAUUUUAAAACUAAAAUAUCAUAACAUGGAAUCAAUCAAAUUAAUUAAUGAAAAUUAUAAAAACUUUUCAAACUAUCUAAAAUGAAUCAAACUUGAUUAAAACAAUUUUAAAAAAACAAUUAAUCUAGUGAACUAAAAUUUAAAAAAAAAAAAUCUAAACUAAUUAAAAUGAAUUAAAAUAAAUUAAAUCACAAGUUUCAAAAUAAAAACUUCAUCGCAUAGAAGCCAAUUUACUAAGAUUAUAAGGAGCACUUUGUUAGUACAUUGGGUCUUUUUUGUAUAUUGGCAAUUUUGUUCCUUUUAAUUUUGGUCAUAAAAGUCCUUUUACAUAGUGACUUGGUCUCCAUUGAAGAUCAAGGUUGUUGGUCGUCCAAUUAGGAAGUUACAAGUACAUCUAAAAAGGUUUGUCUUGUGACAAGUUAGGCUCCUAUGAGAAAUAGAGAUAAUUGAUUUUGUUUUUGAACUUGAAAUAUUUUAAAUUAAUGUUUUGAAAAACGGCAGGACCUCUCAAGCGGCCUAAAGCGCUCAAGCAAUGAAGACCACUCAAGUGAUCCUUCAGUUGGCUCAAGCAAUCAUGCUGAAUUUGCUGAAAUUUUUUCAUGCAAAUUUGAUUUAGAACUAUUUCAAAACCGAAAUUAGUUGUUUGCCUAUAAAUACCUCAUUAUAACCCCUUUGAGGGUAAGAGAUUUUAUUUUCUUUAGAGAGGAUUUCUUUGGAAAAAAAAAGCCUAACGAGCCACAACAUUCAUGAUCUCUCAUUCAAGGAUUCAAUCUUUGAAUCUUGGGUUGAAGACCUUCAUUCCUUCAGCAAGGCUAAAGUGUAUUCACUAAAGCAAUCAAAGGUUGUUGCGUCGUGUAUCAAGUUAUAGGUAUUGGAGAGUAAGUCUUUAAGAUAAAGCAGUUAGAUAAAUCUAUAUAACUUGAUCUCAUAUAGUGGAUUUAGAUUAACGGUUUUAGAUCUCGUGGUUCUUUAUCUCCAUAGUUAAUGUGGGGGUUUUCCGCAUAAAAAUCCGUAUGCUUCAUUGCUUAUAUUCUUGAUUAUCUUGUUUGUAUUACCUAUCUUUAAUUGAAUUGAUAAUCUCUAACUACUAGUAGGGAAGAAGUUGAUAAUGCAUAUAAAUCUUUAUUUAAAUUUUUAUAUACACCCCAUCCACCUCUCUUCAGGUGUUACCGUACCAGACUUCGAGGCUUUUUCACACUCAAACUAAAUGAAGGGGAUCAAAACAAAUGAAAAUGUGAACUAUAACACAAAGGAUCGGUUAAACUAAUGAUUUAAACUAAACUAAAACAAAAAAAAAAAUUUUAAAAUUCACCUUCCAGAAUGCCUACGUGAAAAUCAAAGCGAUGAUUGUCCUGGAAGCAAACUGUGAAUGCUCCACUCAACGUGCGCGAACUAUCUGUCUUUGAGAACCUUUUGUCGUGGCUUAAUGAACCUGAAUUGCAACCUGUAUAUAAAGUGAACGUGGUUGUGGACUGUUUGCAAAGAUCCCCCAAAGUGGCCUGUUGUCGGUGCGUGUCUUCUUGGAGAAUAACCACCAACUGUGUGUGCUGUGAAUUUUCAACUUAUGGUACCACCCUUCCCUUCAGAAUGCGUGCCUUUCCUUCAAAGCGACCUGGUGUUUUUUCAUCCCCUUGCUAAAUGGCAGCCCCUUUCCGUGGAACCGGGUGCAUGGAGAGAACAAAAAGUGCCAUGGGGAUUCUAUCCAUUGAAAAAAAUCUGCAGCCCUUUCCCAGUCUCAAAGUCGCAACCCCUUUUCUUUUCCAAACUGAUGUCCUCCUCUUUCAAAAGAAAGAAUCCCUUUUCUUUUUAGAAAGUGGCCCCCAUCAUCCUAUGCGUGUUGUCAGUUUCUUUUUUAAAAGAAAUCUAUGCAUCACUUUCCUCAUCUAUCACAAGGCAGCCUGCACUUUUUUGAGUAAAGAAACCUUUAUGUGCGCUGUAUGAAUAUCUCUUUUCCUUUUGCAUAGACUGUGCAUCUUGCAGAAGAUCGAUGGGUGUGUGUUGUCCACAUGCAGGCUGCAAGCUGCGGGCUGUAUCUCUUCAACCCAAAAGGGAUUUCCAAAGUGUCUUGAUUUCCAUCCAAUUAUGGGGGAAGAUGUGUACGCCAAGGGAUCUUCUCCAAUGUGAGCAUUCAAAUCUCAUACAAAUUUAAAAUAAAGUUUAAAAUCAGUAAAAGCCCUGAAAUUUUAAAUUAAAACAAAUUAAAGGUUAAUCAUAUCCAUAUUCGUUCAAGCAUCAAUUCAAGCAAUUAAAAGUCAUAACAUUAGUCUCACAUAAAUUUUCUAAAAUAAAUAUAUAAGUAAAUGAAACAAACAAAAAUAUAAGAAAUUAAACACAUGCAAUCAAAAUUCAAAUAUUAAUCUUAAUGCAAUACAGAAUAAGAAAAUCGACAUGUUGAACUCACACAACUAAAGAUCUGUACUCACCCCAUGCAUUAAAAUCCGAAAUCAAGUCAAGAACUCAUCUAAACCUAAAACUUAGCAAUGAAACUCAAGAAAACAAAGCUAAGUGAACUAGGCCUAGUGAAGUGUAAGUGAUCCUAUAAAAGAUAAGCAGGUGUCCUAAGUGGAAAAUAUCUAAGUGACCUAUCCUAGAAAGGUGCUUAAGCGAAACCUAAACUAAGCUUGAAGAGUGGUCAAGGUUAGUGUGAGGGUCUAAAUGAGCCCUAAACAAAAGGUCCCUAAGGGUGGCUUAGAAAAAUUAGGUCAUAUGACUAUCACUGGGCUACCAAAUGAUGACUAUAAGUCAAAAGAGAAGCAUAGGAAAGUACCUAAUAUCACAUGUGCUAAGAGGAUAAAAUGAAGGAUCUACACAUAGCAAGUUAAUAUUUGUGGACCAUAGGUUGAGCUCCAACCCUUUAUAAAAUGAAAUAAUCAUUGCCCUGCUUAUGCUUAAUGUUGUGCCCAAUACUUUGGCUUGUCCAGGUUUUCUUCCAACGCCUAACUUUUAAAGGAAAAAAAUAUUAGAAGGUAGGAGGUACAAAAAUUACUUCAAGAUAAGGACUAGGAUAAAUGUAAUACCACGAAUGAUGUUAGUCAUUGCUACUACAAAAAUUGUAGAUGUGAAAGUGAAGCUCCCAGCAUACAAAUUAUGGCCCAAUGCUCCUAUGAAAUGAAAACUCUUGAUAAAAUAUAAACGAAUGGCCUAAGCAAGAUGAAAAAGGAAAAAAUUGUUGUGUAAUAACUAAAUAAAAAAAAGAAAAAAAAACACUAUAUGUUUAGUGCUUAUGAGAUAUAAGAAAAGAAAAAUAAAUACUCUUAUGUGAAAGCAAUAUUUUUAGAACUUAAUAUAUCAUUGAGUCAUAAAAGGUUUACAAAAAGGGAAAAGAAUUGUAAAAUUUAUUGAAGAGCACUUUGUUCUCUAUUUCCAUAAAAUGGGGAAAUGAAAAGCAUAUAUUUGGGGUUGCGGAUAGAUUGCACAUUAACCUAAUUCCAACUCACCAAGGAUAACAAAAGAAGAAAAAAAACUUCUCUAACUAAUUUAUUUAUUUUAUUUAUUUAUUUACAAAAAGGACCUCAACUUUAAUACUUCCCCUCAGGAUGGAGUGUGUAUAUUAUGAACACUCAUCUUGUUAAGUAAAAGAGAGAACUGAGUUAGAAACAGGGGCUUUAUCAACAAGUCUACUAUUUGGUGUCGUGAAACAACGUGCAUAGUCUUCAAUGUUCCUUUUUGAAUUUUCUCUCAUAUCAAAUGGCAAUCGAUCUUGAUGUGCUUGGUUCUUUCAUGAAAAACUUGAUUAACUGCAAUGUGUAGGGCAGCUUCAUUGUCACAAAACAAUAUUGCAACUCCAUCAUGAUUUACACCAAGAUCCUUGAGAAGAGAAAACAACCACACUAUCUCACAAGUUGCAUUUUCCAUUGAACAAUACUCAGCUUCAACUGAAGAUCUCGACAUUGUGUGUUGUUUCUUAGAUUUCCAAGAAACCAAUGAGUCUCCAAGAAACACAAUAACCACUUAUUAAUUUUCUAUUGUCAAGACAAGUACCCCAAUCAGCAUCUACAAAAGCCUUUAGCUGCAAUGAAGUUGAAGCAAGAUAAGAAAGACCUUGGCCAACUGCGUUCUUUAUAUAUUACAAAACAUGAACAAUAGAUUUUAAAUGCAAUACCCCCAGUUUAGCCAAAAAUUGGCUCAAGCAAUUCAUUGCAUAACAUAGGUCUGGUCGAGUGAUUGUCAAGUACAAUAACUUUCCAAUUAUACACCUAUAUUACAAAGGAUCAUCAAGAAGUUCUCCAUCAUCUUGAACAAGUUUAACAUUUACAUCCCUAUGAGUUUUGCGAGUCUUACACCUAAGAUGCCCUGUUUCUAACAGGAGUUGUAAAGCAUAUUGGCGUUGGCAAAUAGAAAUUCCUUUAGAAGAUCUUGUCAUCUCAAUGCCAAGAAAAUAUUUCAAAUUCCCUAAAUCUUUCAAAUUGAAUUGGCUAUUCAAAUAUAUUUUCAAAUUUUUUACCUGCUCAAGACUAUUACUUCCCAUAAUGAUGUCAUCAACAUACAAUAAAAGUGCAAUGAAGCUUUGUCCUUCAGCCUUAGUAAGAGUGAUCUACAUGAGAUUAUUUGAAACUAAUUUCAAGGAAAGCUGUAGAAAAUUUUGAAAACCACUAGCAGGAGGCUUGCUUUAACCCAUAGAUAGAUUUAUGCAAUCUACACACAAUGUUUUCAGGUAGAGAAAUCUCCCCCUCACAGCUAUAUCCUGGUGAAAGUUCCAUAUACACUUCCUCUUGCAAAUCACCAUGCAAGAAAACAUUAUUUACAUCUAGCUGUGUCAAACUCUAGCCAUAAACAAUAGACAAAGAGAGGAGAACCUUAAAUGUUACUAACUUUGCAACAAGAGAAAAAGUGUCCAAGUAGUCAAUACCUUCCUAUUGUGUAUACCCUUGGGCCACUAAGUGCGCUUUGUAACGCUUUAAACUACCAUCUGACCGAUACUUAAUAUGAUACACCCAUUUGCAGCCAACAGGGCACUUACCAGCUAGAAGAGUAGUCAAUGUCCAUGUCCCAUUGCUUUCAAGAGCUUUCAGAUCUACUAUCAUAGCUUCAUUCCAUUUAGGAACCUUAGCAACUUGUGAAUAAGUGGUUGGUUCAAAAUGAGAAAAAAUGGAACAAACAAAGGCUUUAUGGUUAGAGGAAAGAAGAUCAUAACUAAGAACAUGGGAAAGUGGAUGAGCUAUGGGAACAUUAUUAUGGGAUACAGAGUAGCAACGAAAAUCCUUCAGGUAGGAAGGAAGUUUAAUGACUCGAGAAGGUCAAGAAGAUUCAAGAUUUUGUGAAGAUAGAGCAAUCAUAGUAGUGGUGGAAUUAUCAUUUAGACCAACGAAAUAAGAAAGAGGAAUGACUUUUGGUAUAUGACAUGGUAACACUCGAUCAGGAAAAAAAACAAAAAAUGUUAGAAGAUUCGAUAGCUUGUGGAAUAGCUGUGAAGGGAAAGAAAGUCUCAUGAAACACAACAUCUUGUGAUAUGAAAACAAUAUUGGUACUAAGUUUUAGCAGUUUGUAUCCCUUAUACCCAAGUGGAUACCCAAGAAAAACAACAAGUAAAGCUCUUGGAGAAAAUUUUGUUUUAUGAUGCUUAAGAGAAGAGGCAUAACACAAGCAACCAAAGACCUUUAAGUGACUAUAUGAUGGUUUCUUAUUCCACAGGACUUCAAAAAGGGUUUUGUUAGAAAGAAUUGGAGAUGGUAAUCGAUUAAUUAAGUAUGCAACAGUUAAGACACAAUCCCCUCAAUAUCCUAAAGGUACAUUUGAUUGAAAAUGCCAAGUUCUCGCAAUGUUUAACAAAUGUUGGUGCUUGCAUUCUUCCACAGAGUUUUGUAGUGGUGUGUCCACACAAGAAUGAAAAGAAUUAAUGCCUUUGGAAUGAAAAAAAAAAAUCUAUAAAGGCUAAUUCAGGGGAAUUAUUAGUUCUCACAAAUUUAAUUUUAGCACCAAAUUGUGUGUUUAUGAGAGUGUAAAAAUCAGGAAAGAUGGUCAGGACAUCGGAUUUUUGUUUCAAUAAAUAGAUCCAAGUAAAACAAGUCUUAUCAUCCAUAAUCGUAAAAAAAAUAACGAUGCCUUUCUAUAGUUUGUGGGGUAAAAGGAUCCCAUAUAUCACAAUGCACAAGAUUGAAAGGUUGAUUAGACAAAGAAUUUGAUGAAACAAAUGCUAAACGCUUUUGUUUAGCAAGGGAACAAACAUCGCAAAGCAAAGAAUCACUAAAGAAUUGUGAAAAUUUAAUUCAUUCUUCAAAAUUUAAAGUUUUACAUCAGAUGGAUGACCCAAAUGAAAGUUCCAUAAUUCCUUUCGAGUCAAUAUGAAUUAUUACAAACACUAGAGAAACAAGAAAUAGUUGAGAGCAAAUUGUUUGGAUUCAAAAUGUAGAGGUUGCCAACACUGAUUACUACUCAAAAAGUGUUAUUUCAUAGCUUGUAAUUAACUCUUUUAAACACUCUUGAGUAGUAAUUAUUACCUUUUAACUCAAUAGACAUGUUAAGGACCCUUGCAAUAGUUUCUAAUCAAAUUGUGUUAAGUUUUGGUGUUUUGAUAGCUUUUUUAUCACCAAAGCAAUCCAAGAAUGAGGGAGAGCUAUAUAUAGUUCAUGGCAAAGCUUUUGGAAGCUCAAAUUCAUGAAGAACCAAGCUUGGGAGCUCCAUAUCCCUUUUCCAAAGUCGUUCAAAGUAUGCAAGGAAAGAACAACGGAGAGAGGAAAAACAGAGUGAAGAAAACAGAGGACAGCAACUGCAGUCUUAUUUCACACUUUUGGAGCACUUUCCGAAGUCCAUUUUCUACAUGCUAUAUACCAUUUCAAAGCUCAGGAAGUCAAGAAUCCAACGCUUCAAAUGGUACGCAAUUCGAAGUUGAAAUGAAGGAGUUACAGCCAUUGCAAGCCGAUCACUCCAAGCUGAAGAAAGAAUUUUGCACAGCGCUGCGAAAUCACCCUUUUGUUGCAAAAUGAUUUCGCAGCCUUUUUGUACAGUGCUGUGGAUUUCCCCUUGAAGUAUCCCGUCACGUUGGAAGCUGAGCACCGCAAUCUCAAAGACUACUUCGCAGCAAUGCGAAAUCAGCCGUUUGCUGCGAAGUGAUUUCGCAGCCCUUUUUGUGCAUCUGCGAAAUUUCGCAGACCUCGUUUGCACCUGCGAAAUGGUCCUUAGUGCUUCCCGAUAGUUGCGACCGACACUUUUGGAUAUUUUUCUUCAGAUAUUUUUGUAUAAAUUUCCAUUCUUCUCCUUGUAAUCCACCAACCAUAAGAUUUCUUAGUUAAGAAGGUUGGAAAAACGUCUCUAUAUAUAUUCCCUUGCAUCCACUGUAAUAGAUAUAGGGCAUCAUGUAAUCCAACGGAAUAUAGAUAGAUAUAUAAAUAUAUAGAAUAUACAGAGCCUUGCUCUGUUUUUUCCUUCUCUUUCAUUUUCAUUUUCUUGCUAACCAAACUCUGAGGAUUUUUUCUCAGAGGAUGAGAGGCUAGGCUUUUCGUCUCUUGGAGUGAGGAAAUCCGGGUAAGUUUCCAAAUGCAUAAAUUGGAAGUUUUGUUGUUUUAAUUUUUAAUGAAGAGAAAGUGUGACCCGUUAAUGGUUUUUAUAUUUUUAGUUAACUUAAAACGCCUUUAAAUCACCUCGGCCAACACUUGGUAAGGCAAGUGAUCUCCGUCCAUGGAGAUUCACUAGUUUAUCUCUUGCGAGCCUUUGGGAGGUGGUUUGAAGGUAGGAUUUUCUAGAAUAGCCAACACUUGGUAAGCUUUUGGACUCCAAGGAGACAUCCAUUAGUUAUCUCUUGCGAGCUUUUGACGGGUAAUCCAAGGUUAAAGAUCACCUUGAAUGGCAAGUGCUAGGUGAGAGGUAGGAGUCAUUGCAAGGUGCAUGAGUGAGAGGGAUUUAGUGUUUGAACCCAUUAAUGGGAAGCAUCUGUACAACACCGGUUGGAGAAGGAACUAUAUGUUAAUUCUCUAAUGCGAGGAAAAGAAACAAGUGAUCGGAACUCUCCUUUUUGUAUGAGGAACCUGAGCCUAGUGAUCUGAACUCCAAGAAACACUUUUCUUUGUAAGUAAAAUCAGUUACUAUUUUUGGUUAGUUUAAAUCUAAACCUUUUUCAUUCAAACAUCUUUAUGUUUUCUUUUAAAGCUAACCUUGAAAUGAAAAGGCACCAAUUCAGCUUUGAAUUAAUAUCAUUUGCAAAGUGAAAACUCAUCCCAGUGAACGAUCCUAGAGCCACUAUGCUAUAGUAGCUUUGUCUUUGCUACCCUAGUUUAUGGUGUAAUAGGUUAUAAAUUUUGUUGAUUACUCCCUCAAUCAAGGAGCACCAGCUGGACACGAAUCAGCUGAGACACCAAUUGGGCACGAAUCAAAUGGCGCCGUUGCCGGGGAUGGUGCCACUUUAUAGUGAUAUCACCUUUUCAGAGUACUUGUGAUCUUCAUCACAAGUUUGGUGACUUUUCUUUUCCUUUCACUAACUCUUUUUAUUUCUUUAUUGUUCAUAUUUUAGUAUAUCUUUUAUUUAGUUUUUAGUUUACCUUAAUUUUUUUCCUUUAUUUGAAUUAUUUUUCUUUUGUUUUCUUUUGUUUUCUCUGUUUUUAAUUCACAAAUUGCUAGUUGUGCAUGCCAUGUUGAAUACGAGAUAGCAGAGGAAGCCAUGAACUUCAUGAGUUAUGUGGCUGAAGUUUCAAGAGGAUGGGAUGAACCAAAUGCUAGAGAUAUGGGAAAAAUGACGUCUCAACCUAAUGCUAAGGGUGAUAUGUAUAUUUUAAAUGACGACAUAGACAUGAGGACAAAGUUUGCAGCUAUGGAAAGGAGAUUGGAAAAGCUAGAAAUGACGAAUAUGCAACCAGUGCAAGCCAUCUCUCAGACACCAUUACAACCUAUGCCUUGUUCCAUUUGUCGAUCAUAUGAGCACUUGGUGGAUGAGUGUCCUACCAUUCCAGCCGAGAGGGAAAUGUUUGGUGAUUGCAAUACCUAUAAUUCCAAUUAGAGGGACCAUCCAAAUUUCUCUUGGAAACCACAGCCGCCUCAGUACAAGCAACAUGUUCAAGCACUUCCGCAAGCCUCAAGCCUUGAACAAGCUAUGGUGAAUCUUAGCAAGGUCGUGGAAGACUUUGUUGGAGCUCAGAAAUCCAUCAAUGCUCAGCUCAGUCAAAGUAUUGACAGUGUAGAGAGUUCAUUGAUUAAAAGGAUGGAUGAAGUGCAAAAUGAUCUAUCUCAGAAGAUAGAUAAUCUCCAAGAUUCAAUCUCAAGGUUUGCCAACCUCAACACAGUGCAAGAGAAAGAAAACUCUCCUUCUCAACCUUAUCAAAAUUCCAUGAGUAUCCAUGAAAUGGAGGCUAAGGAGGGAGAAUCUUCACAAAAGAGGGAAGUCAAAGAAGUGAUCACUUUGAGGAGUGGUAAAGAGGUUGAUCUGCCUACAUGCAAGCUAGAACAUUUGGUAGAGAGUGAAACAGAGAAAGAAAAGAGGGAGGAAAUCAAAGGAAAGAAAAAGGGGAAAAUCAUAGAGAAAUAUGACUAUGAUCUUAUUAUAGAUGGAGAACCACAGAGGAUAGUCAUCAAGGAAGAAAUGAUGAAACACAUGCAUCCACCUUUUCUCUAAGCUUUGUAUGGGAAAAUCAUACAAACCAAGUCUCAAGUGAAGGAUGCAAACUUCAUAUGGGAUCCGGGCAAGCUAAAUCAGGAGCAAUUUUUUGAUGGACUUAGUUUUUUUAAAGAUUAGCUAGUCCAUAUCUUUUUGUUUUGUUUUUUACUUGUUUUAAUUUUGAUUUCAAUGCUUUAAUUCUAAUUUGUUUUGAUGUAAUAUAGGUUUUUGGAUGAUCUCAGGUAGGAGGAAUUGCAAAGAAAUUGAAAGGAAGUCUUUCAGAGCAAAAACGAGUCAAAAACAGGGUAAAAAUAGGGGAAAAACAGGGGUCUGCGAGAUUUCGCAGCCUCUACGAAAUCAACACUUUGCUGCGAAACCAUUUCGCAGCCUUAGGCCCCUCUUUGUGAAAAUUUUCGCAGCUGCGAAACCAAUUUUGGCACACGAGUGCCACUUCGCAGCACAAGAGCCCCCAUUUCGCAGCUGCGAAACGGCUGCGAAGCUCCAAAACGUGAAAAAUCCCAAUUUCGUAGCCAAAGCUCCAUUUGGCAGGGUAUUUCGCAGCUGCGAAACCAACUUUUGGCACACGAGUGCCAUUUCACAGCACAGUGAAUCUCAUUUAGCAGUUGAGAAAUCCAAAAAAAAAAAAUAGAGCCUUUGCUCUGAGAAAAAAAAAAUUUCGCAGCCAAAGCCCCAUUUCACAGGGUGUUUUGCAGCUGCGAAACCAACUUUUGGCACACGAGUGCCAUUUCGCAGCAUAGUGACCCUCAUUUCGUAGCUGCGAAAUGCCAAAGCGUAAAAACUCCCAAUUUUCGCAACCAAAGCCCUAUUCCGCAGGGAGUUUCUCAACUGCGAAACCACUUUUUGGCACACGCGUACCAUUUUAAAGCCCCGUACACUCAUUUCGCAGCUGCGAAAUGAGCUGCGAAAAUGGACUUUAGCUGCGAAAUCACCUUUAGGCUGCGAAAUGGUCUACGAAAAUGCCACUUUUCUGCGAAAUGAUCUCUAAGCUUCGAAAUGGCUGCGAAAUGAUCUCCAAGCUUCGAAAUGGCUGUGAAAUCACCUCCAAGCUUAGAAAUGACCUUCAAAUUGUGAAAUUGACUUGCAAAAUGGAGGAAGGUUUGCAAAAACACCUUGCAAAGCCAAGGGAAGUUGCUAAAAUGCCAUCAGAGCCCCGCAACCAUGCAUCUGAAGAGGAGAGCCCCGUGCACCCUGGGAUCACACACACUAAGCCUCUCACUCCAUUUCUUACCUCCUUAAACCAUCAAAGCCCAUAGCUCCAGUUGAGAGCUCCAGCUAUGGAGACUAUGCCAUCUAAGGAGACUACCAAAACAGAGGUCAAAGUCUUGAUCCAACCCAUUCAAGAGGCCACCACAGACGCAUCAGCUCCACAGGACCCUACCAUUACUUGAUCAUCUCUUUACUUUUUGUCUUUACAUAUUAUAUUAGUAUAGAUAAUUCCAUGUUUUGAUGUCUUAUAUUCUGGGAUUGGAUGUAUUACUGAUGAUACAUCAUAUAUAGACAUCAUUCUUGUUUAAACUUGGCAUUUUCCUCUACUCACUAACUCUUAUGUUUUCUUUGAAACAUGUGGUUUCUCCUAUACGACUCAGACUCCAUGUCACUCAGGAGGUACCACUUCCUCCCUAUUUUUCAAUCCCUGUUGUCACAUUGAGGACAAUGUUCAGCUUGGUUGGGGGGAGAGUUGAGGAAGUAAGUAUUGUUAAUAAUGCUAAGUUAUUUUGGUAAUUUAGUUGUUUUUUGCUUAAUUUUUAAAAUUUUUGAAAGUUUUUAUUCUACUCUCCAUGGUUAUUAAGGAAAAAUUUUCAAACUAAAAAGGGAGAAAUUGAAUUUUUGUCUUUUUACUUGACUUAGAGUUUGUAUUAUGCUUACUAAAGUUGAUGAAUUAUUGAAACUUCUAUUGAAUUCAACCUCAGUUCUUCCACUUUAAGCUAUUCACACACUGUGCACAAUAGGUUCCGAGUAUAAGAUGAAAAACUAUUUCCCUCUUGACUUAGGAAAUUUUAGACUUGGUACCUUUGACCUUAUUUAAUAGUGUUGGGACACCUUGUAAAAGGCUAAUGAGUCUUUGAAAAAAAAAAUGUUUGCUUGCCUUGAAACCCGAGCAAGGUCUGAGGGGUAUAUGGUGAAAAUCUUUAAAACCUGGUGCCCUAAGCCUUAAUUGGUUGGGAGUCACCAACCUCAAUGCUCGUUACAAGGGUGGAUAGGUGGAGUUUAACAUACUAUAGGUGCUUGGGUAUUAAAAUUCAUUCUCAAAACUCCGAGGUAAAAUCCGAGGAGUUAGUGGUUGAAAGAUCCUUAAAACUUGAUGCCCUAAACCUUAAUUGGUUGGGAGUCAUCGAUGGACCCCCGUUACAUGGACAAUUUAAAAAAGAAUACCUUUAAGCCUUGUACUCCUACAAUGAAAAAAAAUUGUGAGAAAAGAGGUGCAUUCUUAACCUAUUGGAGCUUGAUCAGUUUGCUAAGCUUUGAAAAAAAAACUAGGUUGGGGGGUGGGAGAUUAGUUCAACAUACUAUAUUCGGAAACUAAUAAAUAACACUUAGAUUUUUGUGGAAGAGUAAGGUUUGACCCUUUGGGAGUGGAAACUCUUUUAAAAGCUUAAAUUUGCAUAAUACCUUCUCUUUAUGAAUUGUGAUUAGACAAGUUAUUUAAUAACUCUUGUUGAAGUUUGAGUUUUAUUUCUUUAAUGUUCCAUGUGAGAGUUAGAUCAUCAUGCCACUUGAGAAUUGUUUUUUGACCAGCAUGAUGUUGUAAAUUAUAGUAUUGUUUAUUUUUAUUUUUCUCUCCUUCAUUGCUAAGGGACUAGCAAUAUGUCGGUUGGGGGGAGUGAUUACUACUCAAAAAGUGCUAUUUCAUAGCUUGUAAUUAACUCUUUUAAACACUCUUGAGUAGUAAUUAUUACCUUUUAACUCAAUUGACAUGUUAAGGACCCUUGCAAUAGUUUCUAAUCAAAUUGUGUUAAGUUUUGGUGUUUUGAUAGCUUUUUGAUCACCAAAGCAAUCCAAGAAUGAGGGAGAGCUGUAUAUAGUUCAUGGAAAAGCUUUUGGAAGCUCAAAUUCAUGAAGAACCAAGCUUGGGAUCUCCAUAGCCCUUUUCCAAAGUCGUUCAAAGUAUGCAAGGAAAGAACAACGGAGAGAGGAAAAACAGAGUGAAGAAAACAGAGAACAGCAUCUGCAGUCUUAUUUCACACUUUUGGAGCACUUUCCGAAGUCCAUUUUCUAUAUGCUAUAUACCAUUUCAAAGCUCAGGAAGUCAAGAAUCCAAAGCUUUAAACGGUGCACAAUUCAGAGUUGAAAUGAAGGAGUUACAACCAUUUCAAGCCGAUCACUCCAAGCUGAAGGAAGAAUUUUGCAUAGCGCUGCGAAAUCACCCUUUUGUUGCGAAAUGAUUUCGCAGCCUUUUUGUACAGUGCUGUGGAUUUCCCCCUGAAUUUUCCCGUCACGUUGGAAGCUGAACACCACAAUCUCAAAGACCACUUCGCAGCGAUGAGAAAUCAACCGUUUGUUGCGAAUUGGAGUGAGGAAAUCCGGGCCGGGUAAGUUUCCAAAUGCAUAAAUUGGAAGUUUUGUUGUUUUAAUUUUUAAUGAAGAGAAAGUGUGACCCGUUAAUGGUUUUUAUCUUUUUAGUUAACUUAAAACGCCUUUAAAUCACCUCGGCCAACACUUGGUAAGGCAAGUGAUCUUCGUCCAUGGAGAUUCACUAGUUUAUCUCUUGCGAGCCUUUGGGAGGUGGUUUGAAGGUAGGAUUUUCUAGAAUAGCCAACACUUGGUAAGCUUUUGGACUUCAAGGAGACAUCCAUUAGUUAUCUCUUGCGAGCUUUUGACGGGUAAUCCAAGGUUAAAGAUCACCUUGAAUGGCAAGUGCUAAGUGAGAGGUAGGAGUCAUUGCAAGGUGCAUCAGUGAGAGAGAUUUAGUGUUUGAACCCAUUAAUGGGAAGCAUCUGUACAACACCGGUUGGAGAAGGAACUAUAUGUUAAUUCUCUAAUGCGAGGAAAAGAAACAAGUGAUCGGAACUCUCCUUUUUGUAUGAGGAACCUGAGCCUAGUGAUCUGAACUCCAAGAAACACUUUUCUUUGUAAGUAAAAUCAGUUACUAUUUUUGGUUAGUUUAAAUCUAAACCUUUUUCAUUCAAACAUCUUUAUGUUUUCUUUUAAAUCUAACCUUGAAAUGAAAAGGCACCAAUUCAGCUUUGAAUUAAUAUCAUUUGCAAAGUGAAAACUCAUCCCAGUGAACGAUCCUAGAGCCACUAUGCUAUAGUAGCUUUGUCUUUGCUACCCUAGUUUAUGGUAUAAUAGGUUAUAAAUUUUGUUGAUUACUCCCUCAAUCAAGGAGCACCAGCUGGACACGAAUCAGCUGAGACACCAAUUGGGCACGAAUCAAACACGAUUACCCAUCCUAAUCGUCCUCCCUUAUGAGAGGUCCUGAAUAGUACAAGAACCAGAAGGGAGUGUUGAUGUGAAAGGGAACUAAUAGAAAGCAAAUUAAAUGAAAACUAGGAAUGAACAAAACAUUGGCAAGAACAAUUGUAUCCAUUAUUCAAAUAGAUCCUAUACAUGCUAUGCUAACAGAAUGACCAUUUGGUAACAUAAUAAAAGAAUUUGAAAUUGGUUUGGAACUAGUGAAAAAAUCUAAAAUAUAACAAACAUGAUGCGUUGCUCUAGUAUCCAACACUCAUGAAUAAAGAGAAAUAGUUGAAGAGUUGUAGGUCAGAGAGAGAGAAAGAAAUAUUACCACUGAAACUUGACACAGAUGGACCAAGUUGUGGAGUAUCUGUCAAGGUUUGAGAUCCAAUUUGAAGUUGUGAGCACAAGAGUGUAAUGAGUUGUUUAUCUUCAAAUUGAUGAAUGGUAGUUUUUCAUUUAAUUAUUUCAUUCGUUCAUGUACAGAGUAUAUAUAGAGGGUAAUCACCAUUCUAAGAAUGGGAAAGAAUGAUACAAGGAAUGAAUGAUAUAAGGAAAGAAAAACUAAUAUCCUAAUAUCUCAACAUUCCUAAUAUCUCAACUUUCCUAAUAUCUCAACACUCCCCCUCAAGUUGGUGCAUAGAUGUCACACAUGCCCAACUUGUCUAAAAAUUUUGAGAACACUCGACUAUAGACUGCAGCUUUGGUGAGGAUAUUUGCUAAUUGAUCUUCUGAUCGAAUCUUAGGCAAUUUCACAAUCUUAUCAUCCAACUUCUCCUUAAUGAAGAAUUUGUCCACCUCGACAUGUUUUGUACGAUCAUGUUGUAUUGGAUUAUGAGCAAUAUCACAUAUGACUUUAUUAUCACAAAACAAUUGGAUUGGUUGCCUAGAUAGGUAACCUAAAUCCUAUAAGAGGAGUUUUAACCAUAAUGCCUCACAAAGUCCUAGAGUCAUACCCCUAAAUUCCGCUUUUGCACUUGAACGAGUGAUGACAUUCUACUUCUUACUUUUCCAUGUCAUAAGAUUACCACCUACAAAGGUAAAGUAACUAGAUGUAGAUCGCCUAUCAUCCACUGCACCGGCCUAAUCAGCAUCAGUAUAUACUACUAUACUCUGAUGAUCAACAUUUUUAGUGAACAAAAUUCCCUUCCUAGGAGCAUUCUUCAAAUACCUCAAAAUAUGCAUGACUACAUUCAUUUGUUGCUCUUCAGGAUUAUGCAUGUAUUGACUUACUACACUCAAUGCAUAAGCAAGAUCUGGUCUUGUAUGAGCUAAGUACGUUAAUCUCCCCACAAGUCUCUAGUAUCUUCUCUUAUCGAUUGAUACUUGAUUAGGCUCAACACACAAUUUCAGAUCUUCUUCUAUUGGUGUAUCAACAAGUUGACAUCCCGACAUUCCAGUCUCCUGUAAAAAAUCUAAGGCAUACUUUCUUUAAGACAGAAAAAUUCCUUCAUUUGAUCGAGAAACUUCAAUCCCAAUAAAGUAUUUCAGAGGACCUAGAUCUUUCAUUUCAAAUUCUCUAGAUAGAUAAUUUUGCAGAGCUUUUCUUUCUUUGGGAUCAUUUCUUGUAACUACCAUGUCAUCCACAUAUACGAUGAGUGUCAUAAUCUUACCAUGUUGCUUUUUCAAGAACAAAGUGUGAUCUGAAUUACUUUGACGAUAGCCAAAAGCUCUCAUUGACUUUAUGAACCUUCCAAACCAUGCUCUCGAGGAUUACUUCAACCCAUAUAAUGGCUUCUUCAAUUUGCACACCUUCUAACAUUGCUUUUCUGAAACCAUGCAUCUUGGUGUAAGAUCCAUAUAUACUACUUCAAAUAACUCACCAUGCAAAAAGGCAUUUUUCACAUCGAACUGUUGUAAUGGCCAAUCCAGGUUUGCAACUAAAGACAGUAAUACUCGAACCGUGUUGAUCUUAGCCAUAGGUGCAAAUGUCUAUGUGUAGUCAAUUCCAUAAGUUUGAGUGUACCCUUUUUCUACCAGUCUUGCUUUAAAUCAUUCAAUAUUACCAUCUGCCUUGUACUUCACAAUAUAGAUCCAGCGACACCCAACUGGCUUCUUUCUUGGUGGACAUUCUACGAGUUCCCAUGUUUUAUUCUUCUACAAUGAUUUCAUCUCUUUAUUCAUGGUUGCUUUCCAUCUUGGAUCAACUAAGGCUUCCUGCACAUUGUUAGGAAUAGCUACAGUAGAUAAUUGAUUUACAAAUGACUUAUUUGAUUUAGACAAACGAUGGUUAGACACAUAGUUGCUCAUGUGAUAUUUGACUUUGGGAGACAAUUCAGGUUCAUAUGUGGGUUUAGGAAUACCUCUAUUAUGACGGUGUGGUAACCGUUUCAUGAAUGGAUCAGGUUCCAAAUUAAGAACACCCUCAACAGACGACGAUUGGUUUGGUAUUUCAGUGAAGACAUCUUCAAACCCAAAUUGUUCAUAUGGUGGUGAUGGUUCAAUUGUACUUUCUCUUCCUUCUUCUAUCUCUUCUUCAGUUUCUGGGUGGUCAUUACUACUUGGUUCCAAAGUUGUACCACUCAUAUCCAACUCACCCACUUUCUGGUUCACUAGUUUAGAUUGUCCAAAUUCAUCAUCCUCAGAGAUAUGAUAAUCAUAAUCGAGAGUCUAAAUUUCCUUCUGGUACUCCCCCUGAAGUUCAAACUCAAAUGAAAAAUACAUCAAAUCUUCAUGAAACACCACAUCCAUUGUAAUAAACAUUCGUCGAGUUGGAGAAUGGUAACAUCGAUAUCCCUUUUUGUGCAAUGCAUAUCCAACAAACACACAUUGCAAUGCACGGGAAGUUAACUUAGUGCUUGGUGUUUGUGUAGAUGCACAAGAUAAGGAUGCAGUGAUUUGAGAAACUGACAAAAGAUUGUAAUCUAAAGAUGAAACAACUAAAACAGAAUCCAAAUUCAAAGUAUCAGUAAGAGUUAAGGAUUCUUCCCCAAUGACUAGGGUUGUGUUACCAUUGGUUGUGGAAACAAUUUUUUGUGAGGAAGGUCUAAGAGGUGAGACCUAUCUAGAAUCAAAAUUCAUAUGAUCUGUAGCACCAAAAUCAAUUUUUCAUGCACUAUUAAUAACAGGUGUAAAAGUAUUUAAAAAUUUACCACCAUAAUCUGUAGCGGCUACCAAUGCAGAGGCUUUCUCAGCAACAUUAACCUCUAUUUUUAUUUCGGCAACAACUGCAGUCAAGGUUUUUUUGGAAUCCUUCUUUCGUUGAUCACGAUUAUCAUCCCACCAGUCUAGAUAUCCCACAAUUUCAAAGCAACGACUCUUGGUAUGACCAGUCUUAUUGCAGUGAGUGCAUUUGAAGGUUGACUUAUCAAUAUUAGGGUCUAUCUUAGGAUGGUUGGUCUUGGAUUGGUCCUGCCAAUUCUAGGUUGAUCGUUGUCGAACUACCAUAGCUGAGGUGUCAGGGUUGUCAAAUUCUACUUUCAUACUAGCAUGAUGCACUGCCUCUUAUUGAAUCAGUGCAUAAUAUUCUUCCAAAUCAGGAAGAGGAUCUUUGCGUAGAAUCUCUCCUCGAACUUGCUCAAUGUCACCAUCCAAUCUAGCAAGAAAGAUGUGCACCCAUUGUCGUUCAAUGGAUUUCUGGUAUGCUGCAAUGUCAUCAGGGUCUUUCAUGACUACCUUAUCCCGAUGAUCCAAUUCGCAAAAAAUUUCAGUUAACUCUCCAUAAUAUUCAGAAAGAGACCUUCCACUUUGUUUGGCAGUGAAGGCUUUUUUAUUCAAAGAGAAAACUUGUAAUUCAUCAUAGAAGGCCUUUGAUAAUGCUCUCCAAAUUUCUUGAGUGGUGGGUAAGCAUAAGUAACCCUUCAUAAUUUCUGGACUCAUGGACAUUAACAACAAUCUCUUCAACUUUUGAUUCUCAACAUACCAUUUUUCAUAUCCAUUUUCUGACUAUUUUGGUGGAUUUGUCUUACCUCAAAUGUAGGAAAGUUUUUCCUGAUGGGCAAUAUGCAUCUCCACGAGUUGUGAACAAACAUCAUAGCUUGAUUCAGUCAAAAUAAUUCCUGGAUUAAAAGUACCUUCAAAUUGAAAAACAAUAGUAUUUUUUUCACUCUCAUUUUUUUUUAUCGCUAAGGAGGGGCGAUGGUUGGCCUUACUGACAAAAUAUCCAGGAUUUUAGUUCCAUGGCUCUGAUACCAUCUUCAAAUUGAUGAAUGGUAGUUUUUCAUUUAAUUAUUUCAUUCGUUCAUGUACAGAGUAUAUAUAGAGGGUAAUCACCAUUCUAAUAAUGGGAAAGAAUGAUACAAGGAAGGAAUGAUAUAAGGAAAGAACAACUAAUAUCUCAACAGUUUACACUAAUCACUAGUUAGAGUGUUCAAUGGUGAAUCCUGUGGACAUAAACCAAAUCCAUUGAGUACAUUGGAGCUCGUUUUAUUUAUUUGGACCUUUAGUGGAUUCGAUUUUUCUCUAGUUUUAUAGCUUGGUGGGUAUCUAUGAAGCUUGUAACAUUUAUCAACUAUAUGUCCUUGAAUACCACAAUUAGAGCAUAAAGGUCUUUCUCAUUUUGAUUUUGAAUUGAAGGAAGCUAUAGCAAUAGAAAUGCCAGAAUCACCCAAAAUCUGAGAAUCAUUAGAGAGUGACAAACCUUGAUUGACUGGACGUUGACUUUCUUCUUGAACAACCAGGGUAAAAACUUUGGUGAUUGGAGGCAAAGGGUUCAUCAUCAAAAUCUAACCCCAUGUGAAGGCAUAUGAGUCAUUAAGACCCAUUAAAAAUUGAAUAACACAUUCCUUUUGUUGAUACUCCAUCCAAGGUUUCAUCCUUCCAUAGUGACAUACAAGAAUAGGUUGAAAUUCCUUCAUCUCAUCCCACAAAAUCUUGUGCCUAGUGUAAUAAGUGUUGACAUACAAGAAUAUGAGUCAUUAUUUCUAUCUCAUUCCCUGCCUAGUGUAAUAAGUGCACCUUGAUUCAAGGCCAUAAGAGCCUUUAUGACUUGGAAAAUUUGUGGAGCAUUGGUUUGAUGAAACUGUUCUCCCAGGCCGUUCCAGAUCUCUGUAGUAGUAGAGAUGUAGAGAAGACUCGCAACUAUCUCCUUAGCCACCAAGUUCAAGAUCCAUGAAUUAACCAUGCUAUUGCAUCGAUUCCAAGCUCCAUAAAGCAAAUCAUUAGUAGUUGCAGGUUGAGGAAUGCUAUCAUCAAUGAAGCCCAUUUUGUUCUUGGCUAUGAAAGCUAGUAGCAUCGCCCAACUCCAUGUGUUGUAAUUGGGGCCAUGAAAAUGAUGGGAAACAAAAAUAAGCCUUGGAUGGUCUCCAUUAUGGAGAAAGAAGGAACUGGAGAAAUCUUCCACUGGAGAAGAGGUGGAGCUCAUAACAACCCAAUUAUUGUUUUGUCUUCCACGAGCCAUCAGGAAGAUUUAGAAACAAUAAACAUAGAAUAGUUGCAACAGAGAAGAACGCUUUGAUACCAUUUUACAAAAAAGGUAAAGAAAUUUCAAAAUUUGAUGAGGAGUACUAUGUUCUCUAUUUCUAGAGGGAAAAAAAGGGGGUGGGGGAAUGACAAGCAUAUAUUUGGGACUGGAGACAAAUUGCACAUUAACCUAAUUCCAGCUCACCAAGGAUAAUAGAAAAAAAAAAAACUUCUCUAAUUAAUUUCUUCCUUUUUAUUUAUUUACAAAAAGGUCCUCAACUUUAAUAAAAAGUCAUUGGAUCAUGCCCUCUUCACUCAUAAAAUUAUUCUUAUUCCUAUCAUAAACUAAGAGAAGUAGGGACGGGGAAUCCUUGAUGAGGUAUAAAUUUCCAUCCCUAAUAGGAAUCUUCAUUAGUAUUUUUGAUUUGAUAAUUUUUAUUUAAUUUUAAAUUUUAUACAUACACACACACAUACAAUAGGGCCCUAUCUUUGUCCCAUUCUUAGUUUAAGUUUUUACAAUUUUCCCCAUCCUCAACUUGAAAAAUACUCCUAGUCUCUGCCUCAAUGAGGUUUUUUGUCAUCCUUGCACUUGGUUUGUGCACUUGACUACCUAGCUGAAUUUCAUGUGGGCUACACCUAAUUUGAAAUAAAAAUUAUAGUGAUAAAGGGAAAAAUAAUUUUAAAAAGCAAUUUUCAUUGUUCCCACUAUAAGAAAAAAGGGCUUUCGUUGACAGUUUUUCACUGUCAAGAUAAGAUAUAUCUAUUAAGAUGGAUCAAUAUUCAUAUAUGUCAUCUAUACCAAUGUCAAGAAAAAGUAAAAGCUAUCUGGACAUAAUAUAUGUAUAUAUAUAUAUAUAUAUAUAUGUGUGUGUGUGUGUGUGUGUGUGUGUGUGAAGAUUAAUUUAUCUUAUGUCAAGGUUGACUUAGACUUCUGUUGAGCUUCACUUAAAUAUAUGUUAAUGUUGCUUUAUCUUCUUUAAGGUUAAAUUCAUGUGUCAAGGAUGUUUUUUUGUCACGGUUGAACUAUUUAUAUGUCAAGGUUGGUUUAGUUUAUGUCAAUGUUGUGUAUAGAAUAUAUCGAUAAAUAAAUCUUUAUUCUCUUCAAAUAUAUCCAAAAGUCUAAUAGUGGUAUGUGAUUAAAAGAACCUAUGCAUACACUGAGCAAACAUUGAUGAAAUAUAAAACCUGUAAAAAAUAAAUGUAAUAUUAAUUAGCUAAUUAUUGAUUAAAGAUGAAGCCAUAGAAUAAAACCUUAUGUAAAUAUAUGAACUUUUAUCUUACAUUUAUUUACCCCUAAAAAAAAGUUUCUAAUAUAUACAUAUACACAUACUCAAGAAUAUUGAGUUUUAAGAUAUACCCAAUGCUCUUAGUUUAGGUAGACACUUAUAGAAUUUAUUAGAUACAUCACACUCAUGAAUUUUGAGAUACAAGCAACACUCCAUUUUAGAAAGAACACUCAUACAAUCCAUGAGAUACGGGGAAAGUUUUGGGAGGCCUAGAUAUCUACGUUUCAUAUGCCCGGAUUAGGUUAAGAACAUGCAAAAGCUUAUUACAAGAUAGAAAUAAGAUCAUGUUUGAUAACCAAGAAAAAAAUUUCUUCACAAGUACUCUAGCUCAUCUCAUCUUGUUCAAGAAAGAAUAGACCUUUUGACAGUAAUUGGAAUAGAAUUUCAUAUGCAUAUAUAGUAACCUAGAUGACCAAAAGGGCUUUCAUAAGCACUUCAAACAAUGAUAUCUUCUAGAUAACCUUUUUAUACAGCCAUCCUAAACUUUACUCAACUUGCUAGUAAAAACAACCUCUAAUAGAAUGCCUAAAUCUAUGAACUAAUUGUGAACAAGUCAUCUACUUGGAAGGAACCCAUGACUUAGAUUUUUCAUGCAACUCUUAAUAUACCUAAGUCAUGUACAAUGCAAAAGAUGUUGUCUAGAAUACUAAAAAAGUACAAUACAUGGAAUAAGGAUAGAUAAAAGUGAAACUAGAAUAUCAUUAAAUAAAUAAUGAUUUCCAAAACUAUUAUAUCAUGUCAUGCUUUUAAGGGUUCUAUCCUAACACGUUCCCUAUCCCAAGAUUAAGUUAGGUUUCUCCCUAAGGCUCUAAAUCCUUGUAACAAAAGUAAAAUAUACAAUUUUUAACAAAAGGAUCUAGAUUGCAAGUGCUUUAGAAAACUUUACCACAGAUUUCGACGUUCCCAAAUCUAAUAUGUGCGGUAAAGAUGAAACCUAAAGUAUUUGGAGAUCUUGUACACCCAAGAUCUUCCGCCCAAUAGCUCUUUUCAGGACAUUGAGUCUAGUUUGUAUGUUGGCAAUUUUGUUAAUGUUUAUCCAUAUAAGUCUUUUUAGAUAGUAACUUACUCUCCAUUGAAGAUCAAUGGUUUCUAUUCUUCCAACCAAGAAGUCAUAAGUACAUUUAAAAAAAUUUAGUUUGUGGCAAGUUAGACUCUUAGGAGGUAUAAAGAGGAACGGUACUUUUUAAAUCAAUAAAAAUUGUUUUUUUCUUUUUACAAAUUAAAUGAAACAAGGGACGCUUGAGCAGGCAACAGUGCUUAGCACUUCUCAAAGCACUCAAACAGUGGUUAAGUGCACUCAAGCACUCAUGUAUUUUCUGUCAAAAAUUAGAGAAUAUUUUUUAGAUUUUCAUGCAAAUUGGAUUUGGAAACCUAUUCAUACCAAACCUCUUCGAUUUAUUUUCCUAUAAAUACAUGUCCAUAACCCCAAAAAGGUUAAAGAUCUCAAUUUCAUUAGAGAAGGUUUCAUUAAGGGGAAAGCCUCAUGAGCCACACCAUUCUCGAUCUCUCAUUCAAAGGAUUCAAGUUUUGAAUCUUGGGUUGAAGACCUUCAUCCCUUCAACAAGGUUGAAGCGUAUCCACUAGAGCAAUUGGAGGUUGCUACAUGUAGAUGUGGAUCAAGUUAUAGGUACUGGAAAGUAAGUCUUUAAGGUAAAGUAACUAGGUAAAUUUUUGUAACUUGGUCUCAUAUAGUGGAUUUACAUUAGUAGUCUUAGACCUCAUGGUUUUUUAUCCCCAUAAUUAGUAUGGGGGUUUUCCAUGUAAAAAUCCUUGUGCCUCAUUGCAUAUUUUUUAUUAUCUUGAUUGCAUUGCCUAUUAUUGAAUUUCCUUAGGAUUUAGUUUCCUUGUUACAAUUCAUGAUGUUUGAUUAUUUAUUUUUGAAAGCAUGUUAACUUCUUUAAGAUUUUGUCUCCUUGUUAAAAUUUAUGAUGUUUGAUUAUUUAUUUUUGAAAGCAUGUUAACUUCUUUAAAAUUUUGUCUCCUUGUUAAAAUUUAUGAUGUUUGAUUAUUUAUCUUUGAGAGCUUGUUAUUCUUUAGAAAAAGUUUUCUUAAUUGAUUCUGAAUUAAGUCAAAAUUUCUUUUACUAAAAAACAAAAAAAAAAGAAAAAAAACUUCUCUAAUUAAUUUCUUCAUUUUUUAUUUAUUUACAAAAAGGUCCUCAACUUUAAUAAAAAGUCAUUGGAUCAUGCUUUAUUAGUUGGAUUGGUGAUUCAAUAAUGGUCAAAUGAUGGUGAAGUUAUAGUGAUAUCAUAUAUAUAAUUUAUAUGUCGUAAAAAUUUAAAAUAUGUAUAAAUAAUAAAUAUAGUUAAUAUAUAUAUAUAUAUCUUUUAUAUUUCUAUCUUUACUACUAAUGGAUUCAAUCAUGAUAAGGUUAAAACGUAAAUGUAUUAUUAAAUAGUAUAAAUUUGUAAUAUUUUAAUUUGCUAUGUCCUAGAAUAAAAUUAAAAUUAUUUAAUAUAUUAUACUAUUCUAUUAUCUAAAAAAUUAAUUUUAUUAAAUAAAUAUUUGUAUGUAUGCAUUAUUAAGAAUGAUAAUAUAUGAUAUUAUAUUCAAAAUAAUAUAUGAUCACAAUAAAGCUAGGAGGUAGCAUUCAGUCAUGGAGAGAAGAAAAAACAAUGUCUUUCAUUUUUCAAAGAAACAUUGGACUAGUGAUUCAGGCCAUUCUCGUCUUGUUGAAAGUCAAGGAUGAUCUAAUAAUUCAAUUGAAUCGAUACUAAGAUGGGUCAGCAGUUCAGAUGGUUUUCUAUCCAUUAAAAGUUUGACCAAAUAAGCCCCGGAAAAAACCUUGGAAGAAGAUCGUCAAUGUCAAUUUUGGUCUGAAAUUAUGUUACUUAUUAUCUCUUUGACAAUAUUAAUUUAUUGUAUUUAUAACAAAUUGGCUUAGUAUCUAUAAAAUAAUAAUAUAUAUUAUUUAUUUAUUUUUAAUAUUAAAUAAAUCUCAACAGCCACUCCUAAAAUUUAAAUAUUUUUACUAGUUUUUUACUCAUUUCAAAAUUUUCAAAAUUGUCUCAUUUGAAAAUAUUAUUUUAAUUUUUUAAAAUUCAAAAGUAAUUAUUUCAAUUAAAAUAAAAAUUUAUGAUUUUAAUUAUUUUUUAAUAUUUAAUAUUUGAAAUUUAAAUUUUAAAAUACAUAAAUGUGACUCUAUUAUUAUGCAAGGUAGUAAUUACAAUUGACUAUGCUUUUCUGGCAAUUGACAGCGUAUGAUAAAUACAAACAUAUUAAUUAAAUUAUUGUAAAUUAUAAAGUAUUACUUUAUAUAAUAUGAAAUUUAUAUUAUAAUUGUAUUAGUACUUUAUAAAAGUAUAUUCUUUGGCAUUGGCUUUGUAUUGUAAUGAUAAAAGAAAAAAUGAUUUUUAGUAAAAAUUAUUCAUAGAAUUAACCUACUAUUGUUAUGUGCAAUGAUGAACAUUAUUUAAUUAUGUGGGAUGAAUUAUUUAUCUUCAAGUUCAAAUACUUAAAGUGUUGGGUAUUACAUAUACUAUUAAAAUAGUCAACCAUAAAAUAGAUGCAAAUUUACAAUUUUCUUCCUUAAUCAUAGUUUAUAUUACUUUCAUGAUAAUUUUCUUCCUUAAACUUUGUUACACACACUUAAAAUUAUUCUCAUUCCCACCCCUAUUCUCGACCAUAGACUAAAAGGCCAUGGAUGCAAAAUCCUCCUAUCCUUGAUAGGAAUCCUAUUAGUAUUUUUAAUCUAAAAAAUUUUUAUUUAAUUUUUAAAAAUUAUAUAUAAAUAAAUAAAUAUAUAUAUAGCAAAAUUUAAAUAUAUAAUAUUAACUUUAUUAAUUAACCAUAGUCAUGGUUAGUGCACUUGCCUAGGGAUAUAAACCAGGUUGGGUCAAGAAAGGCUCCCUCAUCCCCUCUCCACUCGUAAAAUUAUUCUUAUUCCUAUCUCAUUCCCUGUCAUAGACUAAGAGAAGUAGGGACGGGGAAUCCUAGAUGGGGUAUAAAUUUCCAUCCUAGUAGGAAUCCUCAUUAGUAUUUUUAAUCUGAUAAUUUUAAAAUUUAUACAUAUACACACACAAUAGGGUCCUAUCUUUGUCUCGUUCUUAGUUUAAGUUUUUAAAAUUUUCCUUAUCCUCAACCUGAAUAAUACUCCUAGUCUCCGCCUCGAUGAGGUUUUUCGUCAUCCUUGCACGUGGUUUAUACACUUGACUACCUAGCUGACUUUCACGUGGGGUACACCUAGUUUGAAAUAAAAAUUAUAGUGAUAAAGAGAAAAUUAAUUUUAAAAAGUAAUUUUCAUUGUUCCCACUAUAAGAAAAAAGGCUUUCGUUGAUAGUUUUUCACCGUUAAGAUAAGAUAUAUAUGUUAAGGUGGGUCAAUAUUCAUAUAUGUCAUCUAUACCAAUGUCAAGAAAAAAAAUGUAAAAGCUAUCUUAACAUAUAAUAUAUUUGUGUGUGUGUAUGAAGGUUGUCUCUAUUUCUACCAAUUAUGAAAUCUUGUUAGGAUGAUAUAUGUCAAGAUUUCUUCCACUUUUGUUAAGUUUUCUUAUUCUUAUGUCAAGGUUAGCUUACUCUUUGUUAAGAUUAAAUCCAAAAUAUGUGAAGGUUGGAUGAAACAAAUGUCAAGAUUAAAUAUAUGUUAAGGUUGCUUUAUCUUCUUUAAGGUUAAACUUAUGUGUCAAGGAUGUUUUUUUGUCAAGGUUGAACUAUUUAUAUGUCAAGGUUGGUUUAUUUUAUGUCAUGGUUGCAUAUAGAAUAUAUUGAUAAUUUAACAUGUUACCAAAAUAAAUCUUUAUCCAAAUUGAACAUAUAAUCAAAUUGAAUCCAUAACCAAAUCCAAUAUUUAACUUUCAUAUCCACAACACAUCUUAAAUUUUUUCAAGAAGAUAUAAAGUACACAAAUAUACAAUAUAUAUAUAUAUAUACUUGAACCCAAGUAUAUAAAAAAGACCUAGCAACUAUACAUGAGAAAAGAGUACUCCAUAUAUGAUCUUAUCCUCUCUUCAAAUAUAUCCAAAAGUCUAAUAGUGGUAUGUGAUUAAAAGAACCUAUGCAUACACCGAGGAAACAUUGAAACAUCAAACCUGCAGAAAAAAAAAAAAAUUAAGAUGAAGCCAUAGAAUAAAACCUUAUGUAAAUAUAUGAACUUUUAUCUUACAUCUAUUUAACCCUAAAAAAAAGUUUCUCAUAUAUACAUAUAUAUAUAUAUACAUAAUCAAGAAUAUUGAGUUUUGAGAUAUACCCAAUACUCUUAGUUUAGGUAGACACUUAUAGAAUUUAUGAGAUAUAUCAUACGCAUGAAUUUUGAGAUACAAGCAAUACUCCAUUUUAGAAGAACACUCAUACCAUCCAUGAGAUACGGGGAAAGUGUUGGGAGGCCUAGAUAUUUAUGUUUUCCAUGCUCGGAUCAAGUUAAGAACAUGCAAAAGCUUAUUACAAGAUAGAAAUAAGAUCAUGUUUGAUAACCAAAAAAAAAUUCUUCACAAUUACUCUAGCUCAUCUCAUCUUGUUCAAGGAAGAAUAAACCUUUUGAUAGUAAUUGAAACAGAAUUUCAUAUGCAUAUAUAGUAACCUAGAUGACCAAAAGGGGCUUUCAUAAGCACUUCAAAUAGUGAUAUCUUCUAGAUAACCUUUUAUAUAGCCAUCCUAAACUUUACUCACCUUGCUAGUAAAAACAACUUCUAAUGGAUUGCCUAAAUCUAUGAACUAACUAUGAACAAGUCAUCUACUUGCAAGGAACCCAUGACUAAGAUUUUUCAUGCAACUCUUAAUAUACCUAAGUCAUGUACAGUGCAAGAGAUGUAGUCUAGAAUACUGAAAAGGUACAAUGCAUGGAAUAAGAAUAGAUAAAAGUGAAACUAGAAUAUCAUUAAAUAAAUAAUGAUUUUCAAAACUAUUAUAUCAUGUCAUACUUUUAAGGGUUCUAUCCUAAUACGUUUCCUAUCCUAAGAUUAAGUUAGGUUUCUCCCUAAGGCUCUAAAUUCUCGUAACAGAAGUAAAAGAUACAAUUUUUAACAAAAGGAUCUAGAUUGCAAGUGAUUUAUAAAACUUCACCAUAGAUUUGGAUGUUCCCAAAUCUAAUAUGCGCGGUAAAGAUGAAGCCGAAAGUAUUGGGAGAUCUUGUACACCCAAGAUCUUCCGCAUAAAUAGCUCUUUUCAGGACAUUAAGUCUUGUUUGUAUGUUGGAAAUUUUGUUUCUUUUAAUGUUUAGCCAUAUAAGUCUUUUUAGAUAGUAACUUACUCUCCUUUGAAGAUCAAGGGUUUCUAUUCGUCCAAUCGAGAAGUCACAGGUACAUUUAAAAAAAUUUGGUUUGUGGCAAGUUAGACUCUUAGGAGGUAUAAAGAGGAACGGUACCUUUUAAAUCAACAAAAAUUGAUUUUUUUUCUUUUGUACAAAUUAAAUGAAACAAGGGACGCUUGAGCGGGCGACAACACUUAGCAUUGCUCAAAACACUCAAACAGUGGUUAAGUGCACUCGAGCGCUCAUGUAUUUUCUGCCGAAAAUUAGAGAAUAUUUUUUAGAUUUUCAUACAAAUUAGAUUUGGAAACCUAUUCAUACCAAACCUCUUCGAGUUAUUUUCCUAUAAAUACAUGUCCAUAACCCCAAAAAGGUUAAAGAUCUCAAUUUCUUUAGAGAAGGCUUCAUUAAGGAGAGAGCCUAAUGAGCCACACCAUUCCCGAUCUCUCAUUCAAAGGAUUCAAGUUUUGAAUCUUGGGUUGAAGACCUUCAUCCCUUUAGCGAGGUUGAAGUGUAUUCACUAGAGCAAUUGGAUGUUGCUAUGUCGCAAACGUAGAUCAAGUUAUAGGUACUGGAAAGUAAGUCUUUAAGGUAAAGUAGCUAGGUAAAUUUCUGUAACUUGAUCUCAUAUAAGGAAUUUAGAUUAGUGGUCUUAGACCUCGUGGUUUUUUAUCUCCAUAAUUAGUGUGGGGAUUUUCCAUGUAAAAAUCCUUGUACCUCAUUGCAUAUUUUUUAUUAUCUUGAUUGCAUUGCCUAUUAUUAAAUUUCCUUAGGAUUUAGUUUCCUUGUUAUAACUCAUGAUGUUUGAUUAUUUAUUUUUGAAAGCAUGUUAAUUUCUAUAAGAUUUUGUCUCCUUGUUAAAAUUUAUGAUGUUUGAUUAUUUAUCUUUGAGAACUUGUUAUUCUUUAGAAAAAACUUUCUUAAUUGAUUUUGAAUUAAGGCAAAAUUUAUGUUACUAAAAAACAAAAAAUGAAUUUUCUUCUUCAUGUAUGAGGUUCCUUGAUCACAAAUGAAAGGUGGUAAAAAAGGGGAUCCAAGUUAGUAUUUCUUUUAUUUUGAAAUCCCUUUAAGUUAGAAAUAUAAAAAUCCUUUAUUUGGCCUAUUGUUCAGGAUUUCUUAAUUCACUUGUUUCUUUUUGCUUCUCCCAAAAUCAUUGUUAAAGGAAUUUAAAUCAUCUAAAGUGUGAAACCAAGGUUUGGUUAAUCUUAAUUUUGAUGAUAACAAAACAAGGUUUAGAACUAAUGAUCAUAUUUCAAGUGCGAUUAGGCAAGACGAUUUCCAAAGUGGCAAUCACAAAGACAAAUCAAGCUAAGAAGAAAUCAUGAAAAAGAAGACCACCUCAAAGAGAAGAGUUUUUCAAGACCAAAGCUUCAUAAGAUCUCUUUGUAAGGUUGUUGGUGCUCUAAGACUUUCAUGCUUUUCAUUCUUUAUUUAUGCACCAAAAUCAUCCAAGAGUAAUAUUAUUUUAAUUAUCUUAAGAAUUGGAUGAUUUCAUGUUUUCAACUAAAACCUUGUGUUAAAUGAUUUUCAAACUUGUGUUAAAAGGUUUUAAGUUGAAAAAGGUUGGGUGUUGAGCCAAAAAAAAUGGCUCAAUCGGUUCAACCGGUCGACCGGUUGUGCUCGUCCGGUCGAAGACCGGUUGAGGGAGGCCAAAAAGUUUAUCUCUCUCCUAGUGGCCUUCUCUUGCCGGUCAAGGUUGAACCUCAACUAGUUGAGGUCCGGUUGAGGCCCAACAAUCACCUGCCAAGCAUUAAAUGCUAACGGCUAGUCAUCCAGUCGAACCCCCAACGGCUAGUUUGGCUUUUUUCUUCUAUAAAAAGGCUUCAAUCUUCAUUAUUUCAAAAGCUUAACCUUCCCAAAUCUUUCUUGAUUAUAUUUGAGCAUUGGAAGAGUAUUUUUGAGUGCACCAUUAUUCCAAAACUUGCAUAUCUUUAGUGCACCAUUCAAUCCAAGUUUUUCUUGUAUCAUUUGAGCUUAAAGUUCUUGUACUAGGAUUUUUGAGAGAUCAUUCAUUUGUAAAUCUUUGAGAGGAAGUUUCUCAAGUGUGGGGUAUCACUUGAGGGGUUGUUCAAGAAUGGGAUAUCUCUUGAGAAGUGCAAAGGGUGCUUGAAGCCAAAAGUCCAAGAGGGUGAAUUGGAACCAUAAUCCAAUUGUAUUGCUUGAAGGCUUGGUUUGGAAGCCUUGGAUUAGUGGAACCUCAAGCUCGGGAUUGAAGCUAGAGGAGAGUGGAUGUAGGCUGGGUUGCGUCGAACCAUUAUAAACUCUUGUGUUUGCAUUCUCUCUUCCCUACUCUUUAAUUUAUAUGCAAUUGUCUAUAUAUUGAUUAUUAUAUACUUGCAUAUAAUUGUCUCUUACAUUCACUUGUUUAAAUUUGCGAAAAGAGACCAUCACCCUAUUCACACCCCCCCCCCCCCCCCCCCUCCCCCCUCUAGGGUGACUACCAUAGGUUGGAUUAGCCUCAAAUUCCUAACAUAAAGAAUUUGGAAAAACAAAAUACAUUCUAAGUUUAGGACAAAGAUCCCACUUUCUUUUAAAAAAAACAUGCAACUCAUUUCAUCCAAGUUGCUUUUUUGCUUUCUAAAACUCUUUUAUAUUUUUAUUUUUAUUUUUUAACAUACGUUUGAACUUGAGCCCCCAAGCUAAUGAGAAUGUUCUUGGCCUUGAUGAAUUUCUAAGUAUUCAUUUGAGGUUGAGGAUGCACAAGUUGAGCUUGUGUAGAUUGAACGGGGACUAAAUUGGAACCCCAACAUUAAAAAAUGUUUUCAAAAAUCAUUUUUGUUGCUAGUUUCAACCCAACUACUAUCCCUUCAAAAAGAAAAUUCAUUUGGAUUAUUCUGAAGUGUUUUAAUUUUUUUUUCAAAAUUUGUAUGAUAUUAUUCACUUUUUGAAGUUGCUUCUAGAAUGUUGUUUGAAUCAAAAAGCUUUUCUCAAAGCUGAGUUAUGAUAUAUUAUUUUAGCAUGUUCUGUUCUAGCCUGAUUCUAUACAUCUGAGAGCAUUUUGUAAAAUUAAAUUGCUUUUUGACUUUUGAAUUUAAAUGAAUAUUUUUUCCAAAUUCUCUCAAAUUGAAUUUUGACAUAUAAAAUAUUGAAAUAUAUGUUUUCUACAAGGAGAUAUGAUUUUUCAAAUUCACACCUACUAUACUUGACCAAUUCUGGAGAGCUGACAAAUUUGAAUGUUUUAAAAAUUCUUUUAAGUGCUCCCUAGUCUUGGCUUUAUUUUUUAUAUAAUCUAGACACCUUAAAGGACAUAUGUGAUUUUUUUUUUUUUUUAUGAACUUAGAAAGCCUCUAGGUAUUUUUAUUUUUAAAUUCAAUUUAUGUAUAUCAUUGUUUUUUGCCUAGUUUUGGACCUUGUAGAACUUUUAAUUUUUUUAAUUAAAUCUAUUGUUUGAAUGAGUGUUUGGAAUUUUUUUAUAUUGUUGUAGACGUAUAGGAUAAGUUUUGUGUGCUUUGGUAUGGUUAAAUUUAUCUUCUUAAUAUUUUUUUGGAAUUUAUUUUUGAAGACAAUCUAUUGUGGUCAUAUGUCGAAUUCUUGCAUACUAAUUGUUCUUAAUGUUUAAUUCAUAAUGAAUAGAUGUUUCAUUGAUUAUUAUUCAUUAUUGAAUUAUGAUAUAUUAUAUAUGAUAGGGUUGUGUAGUGUGCAAAUCCCCUAUACUAAAGCAUAUUCCCCCACUUUGAGUUUAUCAGAUCCACAUCAGAUUCAAUAGGGUCUUAUUAGAGACUUACUCUACUCUUGAGAUUAUGAAAUCCCUUGUCAUUUCAAUUAUCCUUUUGAGAUUUGAUUUGGAGUAUUUUUGCUUGAGACAUGAACAGAUUUAUAUUUUGAUUUCUUAGAAUAUAUUUUUUUCCUUGUCAAAAUUUCAAACCAAAUCAUGAUUGUUGAAUUGGUGGAUGUAAGGCAAAGAGAGCACAAGAGACUAAUUGAAACAAAAGAGUCUCCCUACCGUCAUUAAUCUUUUGCCUCUUGUUAUUGUUUUAUUGUUAUCGAUGUCGCAUUACUGCCAAAAUUCCACUAUCGUUGCUUUUGUUGUUUCGCCCCUAUCGAUGUCUUUGUUUCGCCACUUGUUCACCAUUCCAACCCCUCUCCUCUGUCAUUUGGAUUUUGGGUAGAGCACAUCGCUUUCAGCCUCCUCAUAUCUCUCUCAUACAUGACUUCCUAUUUUUUAUAAAUAGUAAUUAUUUAAUCAAAUAUUAUAUUUUUGUCUGUGUAGUAGAUAUUUUUAUUCAUUAUUUAUUGAAUAGGUAAUUUUAUUUUUCAAAUGAUCAUAGACUUAAAAUCCAACUCUAUUUGGAUUCACAACCAACUAGUAAUAAGUGAUACUUCAAAAGAGGCAAUGGAGAUUCGUGAUGUUUGCUUUUUUAGUCCUAAAACCUAUAAACAUUGCAAAUGUACAAACCUUCCCAAAAUUUAUAAGUCUUCCCAAAAUACUUGAACUUGUUAGUUAUUCCUGUAUGUGGGUAGAAUCUCUAACCAUGUUAAUAAUUGUUAUAUUAAUAUUUAAUUCUUGUGUAUCAAAGACAAUAGUAUAUGUUGGUCAAUGUUGCACUCAAUGAUUAAAAAAAAGUAAAUAUAGCUAACAAUUUUUUUACAAUUUAUAACUAUAAUUAAAAUUGUGAAAUUAUAUGUUUUCUUAAAUUGACAUUUGAUAAUUUAUUAAUCAAGAUGGAUGGGAGGUUCUUCUUGGUUUUUCACUACAAGAACCCCCUUAUAAAAAUGCUUAAUUGAGGAGGCAAAAUAGAAGUUAUAAUUAAUGUUUUUGUUUAACUUGAAUUUAAGCUUUUAUCCUUAUGUGGUACUUCCAUUUGUUUUUAAGGAGUUAAAAAAAAUAUUUAAAUGAGGUUUUUGUUCUUGAUUGGAUAAAGAAUUUAAUAUAAAAAUAAAAAAUAAAAUGAUUUCUCCUUAGAUAUAUAUAUAUUGAUUCAUGAAGAAAGUUGUUUCAUGGUAAUUUUAUCAUAUUACUGUUUUUUAUAAUUAUGGUUUUGGUAGUCUUGGUGUUGAUUUUAGCUAGGAACGAUGGUGGGAUGAGUUUUGUUAGGUACAAGUUUCGUCUUUCCCAUUUUGUUAAUAUGUAUAGGGACAAGGGUGUUUAAAAGUUAUCCCAACAUUGUUAAGGUAAGAUAAUAAGCUUUGGUAUUCACUCCUCCGAUCAAUGUAGAUACUUAAUCUUUUUGUCAAAUUGUCUUUCCACAAAGGAUUGAAAAUAUAGGAAGGUUGUUUUUGCUUUAGAUUUUGUAAGAGGUAGAUUCAUGUAAACCUAGUAAAAUCAUCAACAAAAAGAAUACAAUAAUAAAAUUCCUCAUUUGAUAAAAUAAAAGUUGGACAGUCAAAAGAUCAUAAUGCACAAGUUGUAAAGGCGUUAUUCAUUGAAGAACAAAAAGGUUGUUGACAUGCCUUAUCAUAUUGACAAGUAGUACAAAAAUCAAGUGUAUUUGUAUUAAGGAUAUGCAAGUACUUGAGAACAAGAUCAAGAAUAGAUCUAGAAGGAUGUCCUAGCUUGUGAUACUAAAGUGCAGUCUUAGUAUUGAUUUUGGGUUCAAAAGUACAAGGCUUCAAAACUACUAAGAUGACAUUUAUUUGUAAACAUGAAAGUUGAAGUACCUAAAUAAGUUGAAACACUUGAAUCAAUUAAUUUAGUUAGGUAUAUUGAUGGCAAAACAACAUUUUGAGAACUUAGAAAAGACUUUAACCUUGAGUAAAAACCAAAUACAUUUAAUUAGUACAACCCAUUCCUAUGAGAGUCUUAUAAUAGUACUACCUCAAGUUCUUGUCCUUCACAUAAAAACAAUCAACAUAAAAUUCAACAAUGACAUUAUUAUCAUUAGUAAACUAAGAAAUAGUUAGUAGGUUCUUGUUUAUGGAAGGAACAUGAAGAAUAUUUUUGAGAUGUAAAGGUUAGGAAUCAAUGUAUAAAGUAAAAGAAGUAGAACUAACAUGUUUAAUAUCAAGAUUUUGACCAUUACCUAUAGUGAGCUUCUCUUUACAAUAUUUGUUUGUAAUUCUUAAUUGUUGAGUUCUAUAGUAAUGUGAUUAGUAGAACCAUUGUCCAUGUACCAAUUUGAAUCCAUGACUAUUUCAAAGGAGGCUAUGUAGGCUUGAUGUUGACCAACUCCUUAAGAAUUUUCUACUUGUGACAAUUUAGAUUUGAUUUAAAUAUCUAAUGAAGCUAAUGUCAAAUUUGCUAUAACAUUUUGCUGCCACAUGUCCAACCUUGCCACAAAGCUAGCAAAUUGGUUUAUACACUACAAGAAAAUAGACUUUUAGUGAUAAAAUAUUUUAUAAUUGAAAAUCUAAAAUUUGUUUGCAAAAAUAUGUCCUGACAAAAAGUGUUUUGUAACAUGUCCAUUCCCCUAAACCCAUUGUUAAAAGUAUUCCAACAAAAUUCACAUUUCAUCUCCAAAAUCUUUUCAUAAUUGAAAUUUCAUCAUUUAAUAUUUUUGCCAACAAAAUAUUUCAUUAGCGAAGUAAGAUUUUUUUGUCAUUAAAAAAACAAAAUUUAUCCCAAGAGUUGUGAAUAUUCAACCGUGGCAAAUUCAUUUCAUUGUUAAAUAUUUUUUUCUAACAAAAUAAUUUAAUCAAGAAAUAAAUUUAACAAUGAAAAUUUUUUGUCAGGUAAUGUACUUACUAUUUUCAUUUUCCAUAUUAUAAUUAUACAUUUUCUUCUUCUAUCUAAACUCGGUUAAAACAUUUUAAUAAAAUUUUUCAUUCUAAAAUCUAGUUACAAAAAUUUAAAUAUAUAUUGUAUAACUUUAUUUUUAAUACAUAUAACCAUUGUGAGUGAUCAUAACAAUAGAAUGUGUACGUCAAUAACUACAUAAAAAAUAAAGUAUUUGUUUAACAAAAUGUCAAUUACAAAAUAACCAUAACAACAUGAACAAAAAAAGGUAAGGAGGAUUCAUCAUAUGUGUAUAAAAAAAUGAGGGAUUAUGACAACUUUUGACUUGAUCAUAGAUGAUAUAAGAUCUCUUCAAAUUGUUGUUGAUGUUUUCUAUGUUGUUACUAUAGUAGGCUCUCUAGUUGAUCGAUAUAUUCUUGUUGGGUAUCAAGCCAUUAUUGUUGAGUCACCAGAAAUUUUUAUCUCAUUCAUGGCCUUAGCUCCCCCCACUAAUGGCUAGCAUUGGAGCUCUAGCACCUUCUCUUAUGAAUGCAAAAAAGAAAAAAGAAAUCUAAGAAUACAAUUUUAUGUAUCUAUUUAGCAAAAAGAAAUAACAAAAUGACAAGAAUAAUAACAAAGAUAGAACUAUAUAACAAUUAAACACACCAUAAUAUAACAAUUCAUUAUGUCAAAAUGUCUUUCUAAUAAGAUUGACUUCCCAUUAUUCCUCCCAUUGGCCAAUAUACCUCACAUAGUGAUUCACUUUAAAGUUAAUCCACUUUAUAAAGGACAUAUAGAGUUAAUUUAGUAAGUGACACUAGAUAUUAUUGUUUACUUUAUAAAGGACAUAUAGAUAUUAUCUUCCUUCCAAAUUUAACUUGUUAAAAACAAGUUGAGAGGAAACACAAGAAUAUAGUUGAAGUAGGCCUAACUCUUUUAGCUCAAGCUCAUAAGCCUUUUCAAUAUUAGUGUGAUUCAUUUUCCACUAUUGUGUAUUUGAUAAAUCGAUUUCCAACCUUAUAACAAACAUAAAUUUGACUUUCACACAUCCAAAUGUGUCUUUCUAUGAUAUAGUUCAAAUCACAAAGGGUACAAGUGCCUUCAUUCAUUUGGUCAUCUUUGCAUUACAAGGAAUAUUAAUUUUAAUGAAUCUAAAAUUUUUUUCCAGUAAUCUCUUCUUUUCUUUAUUAAAAUCCAAACAUGGUACACCUUUAUCUCAAAUGCCUUUUGUUAUUCCAACUCAUUCUCAUAACUUUCAUUAAGCUAUAUCUCAUUAUUCAAAAUAUGUAAUUGGUACAACAACUGAAGUAGCCAUUCCAAGAGAAGCCUCUACAUAUGAGCAAGUUCCUCAUAAUCUGCAUAUAAAAUUUGUUCCAUCCAUUGUAAGAAUUUCCUCCCCUUCGUCUAAUAUUGAACCUAAUCCUUCUUCUACUUUAUUCUAUCCUCCUUCAACCUCUAUUCAUCCUAUGCAAAACAAGGUCAAAUUUUGAUAUCUAUAAUCCUAAGGUCUUUAACUCCAUCACCAAAACACUAGCAUGUAAGUGACCAUGUUAAUCAAAAUCGACUAAUAUUGCUCAGGCCCUUAAUGAUCCAAGCUAGAAAUAUACAAUGGUGGAUAGAUAUAAAACUCUUAUGUUCAACAAAACUUGAAAUUUGAUGCCUUAUCCAAUAGGAAUGAAUGUGGUUGAGAAUAAAUAGGUGUUUUGAGUUAAAUACAAAUCAUGUAAGACUAUUCAAAGGUAUAAAACAAGGUUGGUGCCAAAAGGUUUUUAUCAAACAUCUAGUCUAGACUAUUUAGAAACCUUUAGUCUUAUGGUUAAGCUCUUCUAUGAUUGGAUUUAUUUUAAUAUUGGUUGUUACAAAUGGUUGGGAUAUUCAAUAAAUUGAUAUCAUCAAUGCAUUUCUUAAUGGUGAUUUACAAGAGGUGGUAUAUAUGGCAUAACCUAUAGGCUUUGUUGAUGCAACCAAACUAAGUUAUGUUUGCAAGUUACACAAGGCCUUGUAUGGCUUAAAACAAGCCCUAAGAGCUUAAUUUAACAAGUUAAAGAAUGCAUUACUUGACUGGGGAUUUCAAAAUUUUGUAAUUGACACUAGCCUAUUUAUUCACAAGAAAGGCAACACACUUAUCAUUUUGCUAGUGUAUGUUGAUGACAUCCUAAUAAUAAGCACUAAUGCUACUCAAGUCAAUCAAGUGGCUAAACAUUUAUUUCUUGAAUGGUUUUCAGAUGUGGAUUAGGCCAACAACUUAGAUGAUUGAAGGUCGACUAGUGGCUAGCUAUUGUGUGUUCUUAGGUGGAAAUUUGAUUCAAUGAAGCUCAAGGAAACAAAAGACUGUUGCUUGCUCUAGCAUAGAAUCAAAAUACCAGUCAUUAGCUCAAGUAAGCGCAAGGAUUCUUUGGCUUUAGUUGUCACGCCCCAAGACCCACUCGAAGGGCGUGACGGUCAUUUCACACCUCAAACCCGAAGGCUUAAAUUGUAACCUGACCCAAAUAAUCAUAUUGUAACUAGAAGUAACCAAUUACCAAAAACCUAUUCAGAGUAGCGAAACAAAAUUCUAAAAUCUUCAAACUUAACUUUAAAACUAAGCAUCCAUCAACCAAAAUCCAUUAUCCAAAUAGAUAGCAAACUCAAAUAAAUCAAGUGCUAACAAAUUGUCAUAAUCUCCAAAUCUCAACUUCAAACUUAUCAAAAAAAAUAUUUAAAAGCUCAAUAUCUAAAUAGCUUCCAAAAACCAAAUAAUCCAAAUGAACAUAAACUUAUAAGCUAACAAUGUCCAAAUAACAUCCUAAGCAAAAUCCUAAUGAUGACCAUUUCCCGACCUAGCCAUCACUCCUCGCCUGAACUAAGGGUGCUUGAAAAGUAAUCAACAAAUAGGAAUGAGCUCAAAGCCUAAUAAGGAACAUUAAUGCAGUCCAUGGAUCAAAUAUUUCAAGUUCACUUGCAAAAUAGGAGAUAUUAUAACUAAUUAUUUUCAUAAACCUUUCAGUCAGUUUUGCCAAUACAUUCAAAACUUUUAAUUAUACACUUUCAUUUCUGAUUCAAGCAUUUCCGUAUCAAAUUCGAUCAAAACAUUCAAAUUAUUUAUUUACUCUGGUCAUCAAACAUCAAAUGGUGUCCAAUUAGAUGGGAUUUUUCAAAUAGGUGGCUAGCCUCAAAUUGUUCCUUUAAAGUGGACGGAACCAAACACUACUAGUACUAGUAACCUCUAACAGAACCCCUAAAGGCUGGGGUCCAAAUCAAUUACAUUCCCCACCAAGAAAUGUAAAGGUCAACUAUUAUAUCCCGUUGACAAGGGUCAAAAAGUCAUAAGUCAACUAUUAUAUCCCGUUGACAAUGGCCAAACAAACUAGAGUCAAACACUUAUUUCAAUUAUUCGAAUUUGCAAAACAUAGUAUCUUCACAUUUCUCUGUUGUAAACAAAUUAUAAAGUUCUAACAUACUUUUCAUACAAAACAUAUUUGAUCCAUGCAUAAAACGAAUAUUAAUUCAAAAUAUUUCCAAAUAAUGUAUAUAAAAAUUUGUUUCUAAAAAAAAUAAUAACUGCAUUAAUUUCCCUUACCUCAAAAGAAGUCCUUGAAAACUUAGGAGAAAAAUAAUUCUGGAAAAUCUACUCUUCACCUAAUAUAACAUUAGAGAAAUAACUAUUACUAUUUAUCUAUAAUUUAAUUAAUCUAUUCCUUAUUUAAAUAAAUUAAUAAAUUCCCAAUUUGUUUCUAAUAACACAUUACUAAUUUAAUUAAAUUGCAAUUUUAUUUCAUUAUAAAAUUCUAUAGUAUAUAUAUAUAUAUAUUAUUGUUGACGUUUCUACAUGUAAGUGAAGUUUCUUUGGAGUUCAUUAGUUAUUUAAGUAGUAACAAUGUCUUGGCUAUUUCAAGCUUUUUUUUUAUUUUUUUAUUUCUUAGGCUGGUGUACUUUUUGAGUCAUGCUUCUAGCACACAUGGAUUGCACCCCCUGCAACUACCUCAUUCUAUUUAUUACAUUAAACCAUUAUUACUAUAUCUUAUUUAUUAACCUAAAACUAAUCAGUUCCCACACGCAGGCAACCAUUUUUUUUCCACAAUUCUUCUAUCUUCCAGUGCACACGCGUUCUCCCUUUUUUUUUUUACCAUUCUUCUAUUUUCUAAUGCACAACCGUUCUUUUUUUUUUUUUUUUGUUAAAUCAAAUUGUUUUAAUAUUAUUCUAAUCCCUUAAGCCACAAUUAAAAAUAUAUUUAUUUUUUAUUUUUUAAAAUAAAUUAACCCUAGUCUAAAUCGAAAUCUUCCAAAUAUUCAUUUUUUUUUUCAUCUAAAAACUUAAGAUUUCCCAAUUUCCAACAAUAAAUCAAAAUCUUAAAUUUUCACUAUUUUGAUAUUAAAAUGAAUUAAAAAAUAAAUAAAUUAACCCUAAUCUAGAUUUGGAUUUUCUAAAAAAAUAUCUAAUCUGCUUAAAAUUAACUAAUGAAUCUAAAAUAUUAAUCUAGGGGUUAGAAUCUUACCUAUAGAGAUCUAUUCUUCAAACCCUGAAAUCCGACUCCGAUCUUACGUUCUUAGGAACUAUCUGCGAACAGGAACGCGAUUCAAAAAAGAAUAGGAAGAACAGAAUUCUAGUUUAUACCUAGGGUAUUUAUUCGUAAAAUUACCUUUUCACCCCUCUUUUAUUUUAUUAAAUUAAUUAAUGAAUUAAUUUAAUAAUAUUAUUAUUAAUAUUUUCCUAAAAAGAAACUUGGGCGUUACAUCCUCCCCUCCUUAACAAAAGUUUGGUCCUCUAAAUUUGACAUACCUGAGUCUUGAAAUAAUUGAGGAUGUUUUUCUCUCAUCUCUUCUUCUAACUCCCAAGUGGCCUCUCGAAUACUAUGAUUGCUCCACUGGACCUUUACCAACUUGACAACAUCAUGUCGUAGUACCUUAUCCAUCACAUCCACAAUUUGAACGGGUACCUCUUCAUAGGUCAAGUCCUCAGAAAUUUGAAUAGGCUCCAACUCCACAACAUGAAAGGGAUCAUAAAUAUAUUUCCUCAAAGUCGAAACAUGGAAUACAUUAUGAAUCUUAGAUAGACUUGGGGGCAAGGCCAGUUUAUAAGCCAAAGUGCCUACUCUUUCUAAUACCUCAAAUGGUCCUACAAAACGAGGACUGAGUUUCCCUUUUCUUCCAAAUCUCAUUAUAGACUUCAUAGGUGAAACUUUCAAGAAAACAUGAUCACCCACCUCAAACUCUAAAUCUCAUCUGCGAUUAUCAGCAUAACUCUUCUGUCUACUUUGUGCUGCUUUUAAUCUUUCCUUAAUUAAAGAGACCUUUUCAAUAGUCAACUACACAAGUUCAAGCCCUAAAAGUUUCUUCUCUCCAACACCAUCCCAACAAACAGGAGAUCGACAUCUCCUACCAUACAACUCCUCAAAAGGUGUCAUCCUAAUGCUAGCUUGAAAGCUAUUAUUAUAGGCAAACUCCACUAGGGGCAAAUAAUCAUCUCAAUUACCAUUUAGGUCCAAAGCACAAGCUCUCAACAAAUCUUCCAAGACCUGAAUUACCCUCUCUGAUUUACCAUCAAUCUGCGGAUGAAAAGCAGUACUAAAACUCAACUUAGUACCUAAUGCUUUAUGUAAACUAUGCCAAAAUCUAAAAGUGAAACAAGGAUCUCUGUUAGAUACUAUAGAAACAGGUAUACUAUGCAUUCUCACAAUCUCCUUAAUAUAAAUAGAAGUCAAACGAUCCAUAUAAAAAUUGACUUUCAUAGGCAGAAAAUGAGUAGACUUUGUCAAUCGAUCAACAAUCACCCAAAUUGCAUUAUUACCCCCCUAAGGUCCUUGGUAACCUUGUCACAAAAUUCAUAGUAAUAUGUUCCCAUUUCUACUCGGGAAUAGAAAGUGGUUGCAAAAACCCUGCUAGUCAUUGAUGCUCAGCUUUCACUUGUUGACACACCAAACAUUGAGCCACAAAUUGUGCAAUAUCUCAUUUCAUACCUGACCACCAAUAAUUUUGUUUCAAAUCUUUGUACAUUUUUGUCCCUCCUGGGUGGAUCGCAAGCCUAGAACAAUGAGCUUCCUCCAAAAGCUUCCUCCUUAAGUCUCCAUCAUUUGGGACACACAGUCUAGCCCUAAACCUCAAAAUUCCAUCAUUUGAUAAAAUAAAGUCAGGCUUACUGCCCUUUUUAACCUCUUCCGUAAGUUGCACUAAAUUCAAAUCGUUCUUUUGUAGGGCCUUAAUUCUCCCAACUAAGUCUGGUUGUACUCUAAAGUUUGCCGCAAGAGCUCCCGAGUCCAAAACUCUCAUAUGGACUUGUAAACUCCUCAAAUCUUCCAAUAAUUGCCUCUCACAACCUCUAAUAGCUGCUAAGGAACCGACAGAUUUCCUACUCAAGGCGUCAGCCACAGCAUUCGCCUUCCCUGGGUGAUACUGAAUAAUGCAAUCAUAGUCUUUAAGUAGUUCAAUCCACCUCCUCUGUCUCAUGUUCAAUUCGUUUUAGGAAAAUAAAUACUUCAAACUCUUAUGAUUUGUGAAUAUCUCACAAGUUUCACUAAAAGGAAAAUGUAUCCAGAUCUUAAGUGCAAAAAUCACUGUAGCUAACUCCAAAUCAUGAGUAGGAUAAUUUCGUUCAUAAGGCUUCAACUAUCUACAAGCAUAAGCUACAACUUUCCCAUGUUGCAUAAGAACACAACCCAAACCCUAACGAGAGGCAUCACUAUACACCACAAACCCUCCUGAGCUUGAAGGGAUAGUCAAAAUAGGAGUUGUCACUAAUCUGUUCUUUAUCUCUUGGAAACUACAUUCACAAUCAUUAGACCACUCAAACUUAACCCCUUUCUGAGUUAACCUGGUCAAAGGUAGGGUAAUCUUAGAGAACCUCUCAAUAAAUCACCUAUAAUAACCAAUCAGUCCUAAGAAACUUUGAAUUUCGGUCAUAGUAUUAGGUCUUCUCCAACUUGACACGGCAUCUAUCUUUCCAGGGUCAACAGAGAUGUCAUCCUUGGUCACCACAUGCCCAAGGAAAGAGACUUUGUCUAACCAGAACUCACACUUCUUUAGUUUAGCAUACAAUUGUUUAUUUCUGAGAGUUUGCAAUACAAUACUCAAAUGGCGCUCAUGCUCCUCACUACUCUUUGAGUACACCAAAAUAUCAUCUAUAAAAACUACCACAAAGUGAUUUAGAUAGGGCUUGAAUACCCUAUUCAUUAAGUCCAUAAAAGCAACAGGUGCAUUAAUCAAACCAAAAGGCAUAACCAAAAACUCAUAAUGCCCAUAUCUAGUUCAAAAAGAAAUAUUGGGUACAUCUUCACUUCUAACCCUUAACUGAUGAUAACCAGACCGAAGAUCAAUUUUAGAGAACACAUAUGCACCAUGAAGUUGAUCAAACAAAUCAUCAAUCCGAGGAAGAGGAUACUUGUUCCUCACCAUCACCUUAUUCAAUUCUCUAUAAUCAAUGCAGAGUCUCAUAGAUCCAUCCUUCUUCUUUACAAAUAAAAUAGGAGCUCCCCAAGGUGAAACACUAGGCCUAAUAAAACCCUUAUCUAACAACUCCUAAAGUUGAAUCUUCAACUCCUUAAGCUCCAAAGGUGCCAUCCUGUAAGGGGCCUUAGAGAUAGGAGUUGUCUUUGGUGUCACAUCAAUGGUGAACUCUACCUCCCUCUUUGGUGGCAAGCCAAGUAGAUCCUUUGGAAAGACAUCACGAUAGUCCCUUACAAUGGGUAUGUCUUCCAACUUUAAAUCAUUUUCCCCAUUCACAACAUAAGCCAAAAAGCCUUGACAACCUUUCCUGAGUAAAGAACUAGCUCGCAAGGCUGAGAUCAUACGCAGUGGUUUAUCCACAUGCUUCCCCUCAAAACUAAAAUCAGGCUGACCAGGAAUGCUAAACGUCACUCUUUUCCCAAAACAAUCAACAGAUGCAUGGUAUGAAGCUAACCAAUCCAUCCCCAAAAUCACAUCAAAAUCCUGGAGGUCAAGAAGUACUAAGUCAACUGUCAUCUCUCAAUACCCAAUCAUCACACAACAAUCUCUAAGUAUUUUAGCACGUUUUGCAUUUCCCAUUUGAGCAUGAAAGUCAAUCUUAGAUUCCACAAAUAUGCAUAAUAUCAAAUAUCCACAUUCGAGCAUCAAGAUGAACCCAAAUACCAGCAGGAAAUAGAAUAGAACAAUCCAAAAUGGGAAAUGCAAAGCAUACUAAAAUCAUACCUGGACCAAAACGGCAAGCUCCUCCUCUGCUCCACUCCGACUGCCUUUUUCCCAUUAAUCUUUUUCAAACCUCCCCCUCUGCAUCCUCUUGCUCUAUUUUUCUUCCAAGUUGCCUUCUCGUUUCCUACUCCUACUCAAAUCAUCAUUUCCUACUAUCUCUUUUCAAUCAUCCCCCUCCCCAACUACUCCUCUACUCCAUUGCUUCAACUGCCGCCAUGGCCUCAAGGUGGUCACAUCCUUGCCAUGCGUCUCAUACAUGUAGCUUCAUGGAAGCUAUCCCCCACUUCAGAAAAAUAUCUUCAGCUCCUCUCUAGGGUGAUAUAAAAUACCCUUUGGUGCUAUUGAUAAAAGCAAUAAUAAUAAACACUAAAGUUGGUUUGCAAAAAGAAGGGGUCUACAACACAGCUUUAAUUUUUUUUUUUUUGACUAAAUUUUUUAACAUUUUAAUCAAAGAAAACAAAAACUCAAUUGUAGUUCUAACAUUUUGUUUUAUUAAAUUUUUAUUUAUAUAAAAUAAAAAAAUAAAAAAUAUUUUUCAUAAAAAAAUGUAUUUAAUCAUAUAUAUAUAUAUAUAUAUAUAUAUAUAUAUUAAUUUUAUUAAAAAUUAAAAUUUUUAUAUAUUGAAAUUAUGUAUCGAUCAACACAACCAUCAUAAAAAAAAAUGUCAAUCUUUUAUUAAAAAUGUAACAUUAAACUGUGUGUUAAAAGUUGGUGUUACAUUUUUCAUAUAUAUAAUAAUGGUACCCUCUUUGUCAAAAGUUAUGUUUAUCAAUGUACAACUUUAAUAUGUAAUAAUUUUAAUUUUUAACAAAAUUUAAGAGAAAAUUAACAUAACUGAUUAAAUAUAAUUUUUAUGAAAAAUAUAUUUUACUUUUAUUUAUAUACAUAAAAAAUUAAAAAAUUUUACAAAACAAAAUGUUAAAACUACAAUCAAGUUUUUAUCCUUUUUAAUUAAAAAUAUUAAACAUUUUAACCUAGAAAAAAAGUUAAAACUAUGUUCAAGUAAGAAUCAUAACCAAAGAGUUAAAAAUCAUAAUAAUUGAUUUUGAUUUUCACAUGAAAAUUUAAAAAUUUUUAAAAAUCUAAACAAUAAAAUAAUAUGAUAAAGUUAUUUUAUUUAAUCUAUAUAUGAUAAGAUUUAUCAAAUAAAUAAAUAUUUCAUUUAAUAUGAAUAUAUAAAAUUUUAUAUUUUUAAACCUUUAAAUUUAUGCAUUAUAUAUUUAUUUUUAUAUUUAUUUUUUCUCAUUAAUUAUUUAUCAUAUAUUAUUAUUAUUAUUUUAUGUUUAAAAUGUCUCUAAAUAAUUAAAAUCAAUAGAUAUGAAAAAAUGCAUUAUUUUUAGGUAAAAUAAAAUAAAAAAGAAAAAUAAUGUGACAUGUUUGUUAGCCCAGUGGAUUUCUUUUGAUUUAUCAUUUCAAAAUUAAAAAUAUAAAAUAAAAAUAAAAACAAAUGAGUUAAUUGAGUUGCGGAAGAGAUAAGAAUUGAGGGCAAUUUUAGAGGCAGACCAUAAGCUGACCUGCUGACCAAGAGUCACGUGUCGCGAUCUGCAGCGCACUAGUAUACUUUUUCUUGACUAGGGCUGACAAAAGCAAUGAUGUGCAUGAUUCAAGCAAUGACGUCAAACCAAAGUUUAAAAAAUUAAUUUAAUUAUAUUACUCCUUAUAUUUCAUUUUCUGAUUUUUGUCGGUGAAAUUAAAAUUGUGGAAUUUUUUAGAAUAAUUAGAGGACAAGAUUUAAAAAUUUAUUAAUUUAUUUUCUACAGAUAAUAUAAAUUAAUUAAUUAAUUAAUAUAGAAGAAAAAUGAAAGAGGAGAUAAGGAAUGAGCAUACCCACCUUCUAGAAAUUUCCCAGGUUUUAAUCCUCUCUCUGGAAUUUGCUAUAAAUAAUUAACAAUUUCCCUUGUGUUGUUCAUCGAGAGUUGAGUUUGAAGCUUAUCGAUCCCAGUAGUAGUAGGAAUGGCGGACGAGAUUAUCUUGUUGGAUUUCUGGCCUAGCAUGUUUGGUAUGAGGGUCAAAGUUGCCCUGGCAGAGAAGGGCCUCGAGUAUGAAUUUAGAGAGGAGGACUUGAGGAACAAGAGCCCCUUGCUCCUUGAGAUGAACCCAGUUCAUAAGAAAAUCCCAGUUCUGAUCCACAAUGGGAAACCCAUUUGUGAGUCUCUGAUAAUUGUUCAGUAUAUAGAUGAGGUUUGGAAGGAUAAAUCCCCAUUGUUGCCUAGUGACCCAUACCAGAGAGCUCAGGCCAGGUUCUGGGCGGACUACAUAGACAAGAAGGUAUGUUUUUGCGGUUGAUUUAAAGCAUUCUUUUACAUCGAUUCAUGGCAAUUGGCUCAGAUUUUGAUUAUGGUGGGGGAUUUGUUCAAAAUGCUAUGUUUUCUCACAUAUUCUCUUCUGAUGGCUUGUUAUCCAUCUAUACAGAAAGUUGAAACUUCAUGAAAUGCACAAAAAAUAACCCUAUUCUCUCGUUGAUUUCAUCAUGUUUGAUAGAUCUUUGAACUUGGAAGGAAGAUAUGGACAACCAAAGGAGAAGAUCAGGAGGCAGCCAAGAAAGAAUUCAUAGAGUGCCUUAAGCUUUUGGAAGGAGAGCUUGGGGAAAAGCCCUACUUUGGUGGUGAAAAUUUUGGGUUUGUGGAUGUGGCUCUGGUGACCUUUUCUUGCUGGUUUUAUGCAUACGAGACCUUUGGCAACUUCAGCAUAGAGGCGGAGUGCCCCAAGUUGAUCGCUUGGACCAAGAGGUGCAUGGAAAGGGAGAGUGUGUCGUCUUCUCUUGCAGACCCCCACAAGGUCCAUGGCUUCGUUGUGGUGUUGAGAAAGAAGUUUGGUAUAGAGUAGAAGGACAUUUGCAGCUAUUUACUAGUGUUGUUUUGGUCAUAUGGAAG
This 345521-nucleotide long non-coding RNA is filed under the name Vitis vinifera (wine grape). RNAcentral describes it as "long non-coding RNA (VVIN_LNC006642)". Lineage: Eukaryota; Viridiplantae; Streptophyta; Magnoliopsida; Vitales; Vitaceae. The record is from RNAcentral.